AAUCAUAGACAUAAAAGUAUUAAUAGGCUCAUUCAAGUGAAAUGAGCAUUAUUUCACACAUCCUUUAGGUUUUUAAGUUAUUUAGAAGUCAUUCAUGUUAAAAAAAAAAUCAUAUACUUUCAAUAUAAUUAGUACAUACACAAUUAAUUAAUUAAAUAAAUUUGUUUCAGCUAAUAUAGGAACUUAAUUAAUCAAAGCUAGUAGUUAUAGCUAGGACUUGAACGAGGCACCUUUCAAAGUUCAAGAAGAGCAUCUGAACAGAAUGAAAGCAAUUUGUAGAAAUGGUAAUGAUGCUUUACAUCUACAUGCUCUUACACAAUAUGAACUUUCAUUUACUCCAAGCUCUUAUUCUACAAGUCAAUUCAGUUUGUAGACGCACGCCAUUGUAAAAACUUUUGUAUUAUAAUUUCUGAAAAUAGAAUGUAACAUUAUUAAUAUAGAAUCAGCAAUGUAUAUAACUUAUCAGACAAUAUAACAAGCACUUGGUGAGCAUACAAGAUAAACUAAAACAAGUUAUCUAGAAAAUGAAACUAAAACCCAAGCUCCGCUAUUCAUUGUAGAAGCUUUAAACAUAAAAUUAAAGUAAAUCUAAUAGCAAAACAUUAGAAUGGAUAUUGAAAUUAAAGCUAAAUUCAAUAGUAAUUCAAAUGAAUCCAUUUGAACUUUGUAAAUUCCGCAGAACAAAAUUAAUUUGAGUGAGCAAACUCACCAAUGGAACAAGAACACAGGGGCUUCAACUUGUAGGAAUAAAAAAAUAUUGCUGGCGGGACAAAAAUUGACAAUAACAGCUACAAUACGAAUUUUAAAAAAAAUCAAAAUCUAUAAUUACAAGCUAAGUAAGAGAAGAAACUCAUAAUCACAAGCUUAACUCAAAAGAUGAAGGGAGAACACGAUGAAGAAGAAGAUGGCUGGUGUUUUACGCCGUUCGCCGGCAACCAGUUAGGUUUACGAUGGUGGCUAGUAACACGGAGUCCAGCGAAUAGUUUUCUAACUGGAAAUAAAUUUAAAAUUCUAAAAUAGUACCGAACGGCUCAAGCUCUCUAUAUAGUUACUAAUUCAAUUCUCCUUCGAAAGGUUCUCUCUGUCCUAGAGAGAACUUUGAAUGGAAGAGUAAAAGGGUCCUCAUGACUCGAGUAGUCACUCACAGGUGAGUGAAGUAUUUCAUUUCGUUACCUUACAUCCUAGUUCAAGUAGAUAUUCAGGUCCUUUUAUUGGGGUGAGCAGAGUUGGUGAGGGGUAUAAAACACAGGGUAUUAACAACCAAGGCUGUACAUCAAUUUCUCUAUCUGUUAAAAAGAGAGCUUCCAUAAAUAUGGAUACUGAGGAACUGAUUAGGAAAUGCAAAGCUAGGGGAGGAUAAAGAAAAGAUAGUGAACUUUGAGGGAAGCAUGAGGAGCAAAGGAAGACAAGUAGUAGCUGGUUGUUUGGUGGGUAAAAUCCUACACAACAGGAGUGUUAAUCAAGAAGGAUUGAAGAGUGCGCUACAAAUGGUGAGGCGGACAACCAAAGAAGUUCGGAUUGAAAGCUUGGGAAAUAAUGUCUUUUUGUUCAAAUUUGCGCAAGAAGCAGACAAGAAAAGAAUCCUAGCAGGAGGUCCUUGGCAUUUUGACAGAGCAUUGAUAAUCCUCACAGAGCCAAAAGGAAUUGGGGAGGUUACUAGACAAGCCUUCACACAUACUUCAUUUUGGGUACAACUUCGGAAUGUACCAAUCAUGUGUAUGGAAAAGGACAUCCUAAAAGUGUUGGGGGAGCAAAUCGGGACUGUGGAAUAAGUAGAGACGAACGGAUAUGGAGAAUGUAUUAGUGAAAUUGCUAGAAUACGAAUCUCUGUUGAUAUAACACAACCACUGCCCAAAAUGAUUUUUCUCAGACUAGAAGGGGAAGAAAAAAUCCCAAUGCCAGUUGGCUAUGAGCAUCUACCAGACUUUUGUUUUUGUUGUGGACAUAUUGGUCAUAGCUUCAAAGAGUGUGCUCAGUACAAGGGGCAAGCUAAAGAGCAGCUACCAUAUGGGGUCUGGAUGAAAGCGAUCAAGAUAAGUGAAAGAGCAAAACUGAACCGCAGUAGAGUAAAUUGGAGUAGAAACCAUGGGAAAACCGACGGUAAUCCAACAAGUUCAGAGCAAAUUGACAAUGGGAAAUCGCAACAAAGGCGGGUUGAACCAAACCCAGAUAUGGUGCACGGGUCGAAACCAGCAAAUGAGGAAACGGGUCAAAUCAUUGAACAAGCUCGAGAUGCUGAGGUGGAGUGGAAAGCUGAUGAGCAUUUAAUGCAAGAUAUCGGAGGAUCGAAAAAGAAGCAAAUCAGGGACAGUAAGCACGAGGUAGCAGCUGACAAUGGAAAAUCUUUUGGAAAUUCGAGAUUUCAAGCGAGAAAGGAAAAUACGAAAGAGAGGGAAAAUGGAGGAGCUGAUUCAAUUGAAUUAGAUUCGGGUACAGUGGGCUCAGAACACCAAAUUCAAAAAACCAAAAAUCAAGCAAAAAAGGGAACAAAAAAAUAUGGUUUGGAUAAAGGGCCACGCAUGAACUACUCGAGGCCCAAUAGAAGGAAAUGGAAGCUGCAGGCUCGGGCAACAUGUAACAAGAGUGGAUGCAAGGCUAGUCCAAAGGUUUCAAAAAGCUCAAGUUGUCACCUAAUUGGACCAAGCCCAAAACACAAAAACAUAAAGCUUGUUAGCCCGAUUAAAUCAGCAAUGAAGCAAAAACAAGAAGGCUCCCCAGCAGCAAAGCUCAAACUUACUUGGGAGCCGUUGGCAGUGGAAGAAAUGGAGAUGGCAAUUCCAAGCUUAGAAGAGAUAUCGGCGGAGGCUAGUGGCCAGCCCCGCCGGAAGCCAUGAGGAUCCUUAGUUGGAACGUUCGGGGUUUGGGGAAUACCCGAACGUUUCUAGCAUUGCAAAAGAUUCUCUAGUUGCAUAGGCCUCAUCUUUUAUUCUUGUGUGAAACGAAGUUGUUGCCUGCGCAAAUGAACGGGAUUAGUAGGAAGUUGAACUUUGAAAAUUGCUUUAAGGUGGAUAGAAGAGGUAGAGGAGGAGGAUUAGUGAUGUUGUGGAACUCUGAAAUUGAAGUGCAAAUUAAAUCUUUCAGCAACCACCAUAUUGAUGCUAAGGUUCAAACUGAAAAUGGGAAGCACUUUCGAUGCACCGACGUUUAUGGCCAUCAUGAGGCAGGGCAAAAGAAACAUACUUGGACACUUCUGAGGCGGUUGGCAGGAUUAUACCCUUUGCCUUGGUUAUGUUUUGGCGACUUUAACGAAGUAUUGCAUCCUUAUGAAAAAACAUGAGGUAAUGAAAGAGAGCUAAGCUUGAUCAGAAACUUUAGAGAAGCUUUGCGAGAUUGUAACUUAGUUUGACGUGGGAUACAAAGGAUACCCAUUUACCUGGAAUAAUGGGAGAUAUGGGCCUCAUUACAUUGAAGAACAGCUUGAUGGGUUCUUGUGUAACAGGAGCUGGAGUGACAUUUUCUACGAUUGUGCAGCAGCUCAUCUAUCUACUUGGACUUAUGAUCAUUGUCCGUUGUUGAUAGAAGUUCAAGAAAGGGGGAGGGAUUAUGUUGGAAGAGAAAAAAAUCCACUCGAAUUCAUUAUGAGGAUUUAUGGAGCCCAUAUGAAGCUUGCAAAGAAAUAAUCAAGACUGAUUGGAGUAGUUACGGAAGCUAGAAUGAUGCAAAUCCCAUACCCUUAUUUCAAAAGGUGGUUAAAGAAUCAAUGGCUAGGCUGCUUGUGUGGAGCAAGGAAGAGUUUGGAGAAAGAGAGAAGAUGCUGAAGCAGAUUAUGAAUCAGCUGGAGAGGCUGAAACAAAGCUGCGUGCAAUAUGAUAAUGGGGAGGAGAUUAAGAAGUUAGAGGGGCAGAUUCAAGAUAUCCUCAUUGAUGAAGAAAUAUUUUGGAAGCAGCGAUCGAGGGCAGAGUGGUUGAAAGCAGGGAACAAAAAUACCAAAUACUUUCACUACAAAGCAUCAUCGAGGAAGAAAAAGAACCAGAUUUGGGGAAUUGAAAAUGGGUCAGGAAGCUGGACUGAUAAGGCAGAAGAGGUGGAGUAUGAGUUUUACGAAUAUUUCGCAAAACUCUUCACUACAUCAAAGCCAAGUCAAGAAGAAAUUUCGGCAGCAUUAGAAGGCAUCACGCCAAGAGUCUCAAAAGCCAUGAAUGAGCAUUUGGAGCAACCUUUUACACCGGAGGAUAUUACGGAAGCCUUAGCUCAAAUGUCUCCAAUAAAAGCUCCGGGACCAGAUGGUUUUCAAGCAGCCUUCUAUUAGAAGCACUGGAACAUGGUGAAGAAAGGGGUCAUCACAACCUGCCUCCACAUUCUAAAUGAGCAAGGUACUAUGGCUCCUCUUAACCAUACCUAUAUUGCUUUAGUCCCAAAGGUCAGAAAGCUUAAGAGAGUAACAGAUUACAGACCAAUUAGCUUGUGCAAUGUGAUCUAUAGAAUUGUGGCUAAAACGAUUGCAAAUAGGCUGAAACAUAUCCUCCAUCAAGUUAUUUCCCCAACAUAAAGCGCUUUUAUUCCUGAUAGGCUUAUAACAGACAACAUCAUAGUAGGAUAUGAGUGUCUACACAAAAUUAGGCAUAGUAAGGGAAAAAUAAAUGGGCUGGUAGCUUUGAAACUUGAUAUUAGUAAGGCUUACGAUAGAGUCGAGUGGAGCUUCUUAGAACAAGCCAUGACUAGGUUGGGUUUUUCUCCAAAAUGGGUGAAUCUAAUUAUGAGAUGUAUAACUACAGCGUCUUUCGCUGUGAUUAUAAAUGGAGUACCACGAGGAGUUAUCCAACCACAGAGGGGUCUGAGGCAAGGGUGUCCACUUUCUCCAUAUUUGUUUAUCAUGUGCGCAGAAACUUUUUCUUCUCUAAUGUUACAGGCGGAAAGGCAGAAACUCAUUCAUGGAUUAUCAUUCGGCAAAGACAUAAAUAUCUCGCACCUCCUCUUCGCUGAUGAUAGCCUAAUUUUUAUUCGAGCUUCGCCUACGGAUUGUCAGAAUCUGAAAAGAAUUUUUGACUGCUAUACUACUGCAUCAUGACAACUCUUUAAUUUCGAGAAGUCAUCAAUGUUUUUCAGCAAUAACACCAAAGUUGAGCAAAUUUCAGCCAUACAGAAUAUUUUUCAGCUCAAUGUGGUUUCAAGGCAUGAGAAAUACUUAGGUUUACUAUCAAUGAUAGGGAGGAAGAGAAGUAGUUUUUUCCAAGAUGUCAAACUCAAGGUGAUGGAGAAGAUAUCCAAUUGGCAGCAUAAAUUUUUCUCUAGUGGGGGCAAGGAAGUGUUGAUUAAGGCUGUGGCUCAGGCUGUUCCAGCGUAUGCCAUGAGCGUGUUCAAAGUUCCUCUUGGAGUUUGUGAUGAUAUUUAGAAAGCUAUUGCCAAUUUCUGGUGGGGAUCCAAAAAAGAGAAGAGAUGUAUUCACUGGGCGAAAUGGGAAUGACUAAGUAUAGCAUUUAUAAAAGAAUCCUUAGUCUUUCCAUAUAGAAGAACUUACAAAAUAAAUUAGUAAUUUAUUGUUGUGCAAUAAAAUAUUUUCAUGCAAAUAUAAAUCAACCCUUUUUCCCUAAUUUCUUUUUUACAUCUAAAAUUAACAUAUAAAAUAAAUUUUACCAAUAAUUCAAUUUUUUUUUAAAAUAUAAUAUAAAACAAAUACUAUAAAGUCACUGCGUGUGACCGUAGAUCAUCAAUUGACCUCAUUAGUUAUUACGAUUGAUGAUGAUCAGAUCGUACCCAACUUGGAGGAACUAUCACUAAGUGGAAAAGAUGUGAAGAUGAUUUUGCAGGCCGAUUUCCCACAACACCUUUUUGGCAGUCUUAGACAUCUAGAGAUUGCUGCAGAUGACUCAGCUUGUUUUCCAAUCUGGAACGUACUGGAGAGAUUUCACAAUCUCGAAAUACUCAUACUGUGUUAUUUUUCAUUCCACGAAGAGGUAUUUUCGAUGGAAGGAUGCUUAGAGAAACAUGUGGGGAAGUUGGCAAUGAUAAAAGAAUUAGAGCUGUACUGGCACUAUCAUCUGAAGCAGCUGUGCAAACAAGACUCCAAACUUGGCCCCAUUUUUCAGUAUCUUGAAAUUCUAGGAGUAUAUCAUUGUCAAAGUCUGUUAAUUCUAUUGCCAUCAUCAUCGGUAUCUUUUGGGAACCUAACAAAACUUGUAGCUUUCGAUUGCAAGAAAUUGAUACACUUAGUUACAUCCUCCACAGCAAAAACUCUAGUGCGACUCGUAUCACUUUGUGUAUACGGAUGCAGAGCAAUGACAGAGGUCGUAAUAAAUGACAAAGACGGGGUUGAAAAAGAAGAGAUUGUUUUCCGUAAAUUGAAGACGUUGGAACUGCGUGAUUUAGACAGCCUCACUAGUUUCUGCUCUGCCAAUUACACCUUUGAAUUCCCAUCUUUGCCAAUUUUAUUGAUUUCACUACAGGAGAAUCAAUCACGCCUCCGAGAGCAUACGUCUGGCAUGGAGAGACAGCGGGUCAAUGGCUUCGGGCCAAUAAUGUUCUUAACACAACUAUACAACAUUUGCAUGCUGAAAAGGUACGGAUAUACAUACUGCUCUCUAUCUCCCAUGGAAAAAUUUUACAAAAUUUGCUUUUUUUAAUAAAAUAUAGAUAAAAUGUUUGUUAUAAAGUAAAAGUUUAAAUUGAUGAAUAAGAAUUUUAUUUUCAGCUGUUGGCGGUGCCGUCGUCGUUCUCCACCCGGUACUAAUUUCAUAGGCUUCUUAUGACUUGGGAAUUGUGAAUUUUUAGAAGAAAGUCUCAACUAGUAAUUAAUUUUUAUUUCAUUUAUUUGAUCACAUGGCUUCUUUCGCAAUUUCAUCUGAAUUAUUUAGAAUGGGUCACUUGAUUUACUGUUAAAUUUGGAAUGUCAUUUUAAUGAUUCGUUCAGACUUUUAUGGACAGAUUUUGCAUCAUUGAAUGUCUUUUAGUCUAGUUUAAUUUUUUUUUUAUUUGGAGAGUUUCCCUUGUUUUCUAAAAUUGUAUAAUUCCUUUCAUACUUUUUAUGAUAAAAUUUCAUUAAAAGCCUUCAUAUUUUAUAAUUCCAUGAAAUCGUGCGUACUUUUUUCCUAUCUUUCUUCGCCAAUUAUUUGUUUUCAUCAUUGCUGUUCUGUUAUUUUAGUUUGUGCUCUGUUUGUUCAUUUGGUUUGGUUUGCUUCACACCUACCUUUCUUUGGAAACUUAGAAGGCAAAGGAAGUACUUAGAAAAUGCUCUUCCCUAUGAACACAUAAUUAAGAACAGCUGAAAAUCAUUCAUCGGAUAAAAAAAUUAAAAAUAAACAAAAUCUAAUCAGAGCAUUAUGCCUGGAACAAAUCCUUAAGCCAUCAAAGCAAAACUCUUCGCUAUGAAAAACUAUAUUGUGGAAAUAUUGUUUGAAAACGUUGGAUACCAAGAAAGGGACUAAUCUGGUCUAGUUUUAUGAGAAGUGCAGAAGAACAGUAUUUUCUCUGUUGUUCCUAUUAAAAUUCUUUACUCUGUGAUUGUAGAAUGUCUGGAUACUGAUGAAGAUUCAGGUAACUCUUCUUCUGUGCAUCAUUUGAAAUAAGGUCUUUUGUUUUUUUUGGGAAUAUCUCCUACUGGGUUAUAGCUCAUACAAAGAGAUAUUCUCAAAUGAAGCCGGAUACUGGUAGAAACAAGGGAGGAAGUUGGCACUGAUAAAAUGGAUAAUGAAGCAACUCCAAACUGGACUUCAUUUUCAAUAUCUUGAAAUUCUAAGACUAUAUUACUGCUUGUAAAAAUCUUUUAAGUCUAUUCCCAUGAUCAUCUGUAACUUUUGGGAAUCUAACAGAACUGGUGGUUUUCCAUUGCAAAGAAUUGUAACAUCCAUCCACUACAGCAGAAAGUCUAGUGCGGCUCGUAUCAAUGAAUGUAGCUGGAUGCAGGGCAAUGACAGAGGUGGUAAUAGGUGACGGAGAAGAAGAUGGAGCACCAAAUUUAAAUAGAGAUCGUUUUCAGCAAAUUGAAGACGUCAAGUCUGUGUGAUUUAUCUGUGUGAUUUAGAUAGUCUCACAAGUUUCUGCUUUGCCAAUUACGCUUUCAGAUAAAGAUUCUUGAAACUGUCCUAUUUAGAGCUGACAUUUCCACAAGAGUUAAGAGAAUAUAAAAAAUUCAUUAAUCGUUAGUUUUUAAUUUCAUUAUUCAAUGAAAGUCCUGUCAAAUUAAAUUGCCGCUAUUGAAUCUCUCGCUCCCCUUGCAAAUCUCUAUGUGCAAGUACCUAAAUUUACAAAUUUUACUUCAAAUUAAUGAAUGACAUAAUUUAUUUUCAGCUGUUGGAGGAGCCGUCGUCUCUCUCGACGCAGUACGAUAUGUUCUGAUCCCAUAGGCUUUUUAAUUUAUUACAUGGUGCUGUGAAAUUUGAAGAACAAGGUCCCAGGUAACUAUCGUUUUCAUUUCAUUUUGUUUGAUCUCUAAGUUUAUUUUAUCGUUUCAUCUAAAUUAUUUGCAAUGCGUCGGUUGGUUUAUUGUUAAUUUUGGAACAAAGUUGAUGCAACCAACGGUUGCAUAUGAUGAGUAGGAUAUCGCUCUGAGAUCAUAACUUGAAUUAUAGGUAUCUAUCUAGGGCGUAUAAUAUAUCAUUAAUCUAUUACUAUAACAUCGUAUUGGUCUCGUGGUCCAGCUAGAAAUUCUGUUUAUUUCAUAGUUAUUUUACAAGUUUAAGAUAUUUUCUUAUUUUUCUUAUUAUUUUCAAGAUUUUUAUUUUUUUUAUAAAUAUAAGAUUUAAGUACGAUUAUUUUAUUUUUAUUAGAAGAAUGUUAUUAUAUAAUAAUAUUUUAGGUUUGCCUAUUUUGGUAAAUUCGUAAUAUUUAGAAUUAGUAUAAAGAGGGUCCAAAAUCCAAAUUUUGUUAUUCAGACCUCUCUAUUAAUAAAAUUUCAGACUUUUCAAAAACUUGUGUUUCUCUAUAUUUUCAAUCUCAACGUCCAUGUUUCCGUUAUCAUAAAUUCUAAUGCCUGGUUCCAUCAGACCUCUCUAUUAAUUGAGGCUCUUGAAUAAGACUCUUUAUGACUUCAAUAUUUUACUUGAUAUGAAAAUUUCUUUCUAGAUAGAAUCAUUGUGAAGAUAAAUUGUGGUAUUACUGACAAUGAAUAAGUUGAAACAUCAACAGAGAUAAAUAUUGAGCAAUUAAUGUUACCAGCAAUCAAUUUGUGAGCACCAACAACCAUUUUCAUAUUUAAGCCGUUAGAACAGUAACACAAAAUAUGGCGAGUGGCAACCACACAAAUAAUCAAAUUCCUGAUAGAUUUUGAAAACUUUAAUUUGCUAGAUAUGUAUUUUAAUAUUUCAACAGGUGCAUCUUUUCUCUACUCAUGUGGCACGUUGAAUCAGAAACGGUUUGAAUGUCAAUAUUACUCCAAGUGCCUCAACCAAAUUCAGAAUGAAGAAAAUCAUCUGGUUACCUGCACUUUAGUUUAAGCAGCUGAUUAAGUUAAUUAGCACCAAGUAAUUCACAUACUAGUGAGAAAUUUCAUUAGUAAAUUCAUACCUGGGAGGAAACCAGCAUCUUGACGCUUUUGUGACCAAGAAAAUCUGCCAGAACCCCAAUUAAUGAAAAAAAAAUUAUAACAUCAUUUACAUAUAAUUUUAAAAAAUCAAUAGGACACUUACAGAGCACCUCCUACAGCUGGACCGGCAGUUUUGGUAAGCGACACCACUGUCAUAGCAAGUCCAUUAGCAGCUCCUCUUUGAUGCUGUUCCUGUUAUUAUACCAUAAACCAAAAAAAUAAUUUAAACUUUUGACACAUACAAAACUUGAAAAAGCUGAAAGCAUGGAAAUGUACUAAACAAACAAAAGAAAAUAUAUUUACCACUGCUCUGUUUUGCAGAAGGAACAAUCCAGUUAUUAUAGACACCUGAUGUUAUAAUUCAGGAAAAGUGAAAGAGAAUUACAACAUUUCUGAUAAAGAAGAUAUAAAAUAAUUUUUAUACAUACUUGCUAAUGGGUAAUACAACCUAAGUAUAUGAUGGGUGUCGAAGCCAACAAAAAUAAAUUCCUACUCUAAAUAAAUUGUGUAUAGUGAUUGAGCAGGGUCGUGUCCACAGAGAUCGGUAAUUAUUUAAAUCCUUUUGAAACGUAAAACGUAAAAUGGGGGAAUUGUUGACAAUAAUAAAAAUCAAAUUGAAAUAAACAAGAAUGCAAAUUAAAGUUGUAAUUCAAAUUGGAGAAAGCUCUGGUUGAAGGAAUUAACUCAGCUUGAUUCGACUACUGAUCAUUGAUUCAAAUAUAGAUUAUUAUUAUUACUUAUGAAUAGAUCGGUUAUAGCUACUGGGACCCUCUAAUAGCCAAUCUCUCCUUAACUAGUCGAUAACCAAGGUACGACCGUUGGUUAUUUCCCUAAUCAAUAGACAACCCUAGAUACGAUCAUAGGAUUUAAUCAAUUGACAGCCUGAGAAACCAGAGAGACCCAAAUCCUAAUCAACACAUAUGAUGAUUCAUUUAAAUUAGAUUGUUUAUUCUCACAACACAACUCUCUGCUAUGUUAUUUGUCACAAACAUUAAAUUCUUCAUACGAUGAAUCCUUUAAUUGACAAUAGAUUAAGUUGAUAAUUAAAUAGUGGCCAAUUACCUAAUUAACAAACAUAAUCAUGAAACUAAUUUAGAGAAUAAACAAAUACCCAAAAAGCAAUAAAACAAUUAAAGCACAAGAAAGAUCUCACAGUAGUGAUGAAUCAAAGCUUCAUUAUCCUUCAACCAGAAAAAUGGGUUUAGUUCCUUAUAGAGAGAAGAGAAAAAUUAGAUCUAGGGUUUCUUUUUCUCCAAUCCAAAAAUCCCCCUUUUUCACAAUAGAUUCCUCCCUUCAAUACUCUCUCUCUCUUCUCUUUUAGAAUUCUAUUUAAAAUAAAAUACUAAUAUCUGAAAUAUUAAAUUCGUAAUUACAAAAAUAACCAAAAAUACAAAACACGUUAAACUAAAAACUGCAGGUCCGCAGUUGACAGCACGCGCCCACGCCUUAUCAACAAAGUUCUUCUGACGCUCAGAAAUUUCUCCAAGAGAACAAUCCUCCUUAAACAUCAUCUUUUAGCUCAAUUUUAUCAUCAAUCAAUAGAAUUGCACCUACAAAAGUAAAACACAAGUAAAACAUUAUUAUUAAAUGCAAAACAUCGAUAUUAAGGGAAGUAAAUAAUGCAAAACUAGUGCAUAAAUUGCACUCUAACAAAUUCUCCCACACCAAGAUGAUGCUUGUCCUCAAGCAUAUAACUCAAGAUUAAUCCCAAAUCUCCACUCAAUUCUCAUCUCAACUCAUCCAAAAAUAAUUUUAAGCAAGCAUACCUCAAGAAAUUAAGUCGAUCAACAUUCGAGAGACAAGGAUUUUAAAGCAUAGAAUCUCAUAAGAUAGAAUAAGAACAUUCAACCACCAAGAAGAUCCAUUCAAAAUUCAAGUGCAACAAGAUGUAAUAGCCCUCUCAAUAACUUCACUCCAUGCACUCAAAGUGUUUAGGGUGUCAUUUAUCCACUCAAAUCAAAUCAAAGAAUGCUAUUACCAUAAGCUUGCUCAUAAAUCACAUCUCAAUCCACAAAACAUGAAUAAAAUGCAAAAAUCUAAGGGUCUUAAAAGGGUUGUAAUGGGGUUAAAUGGGUUAAAUGAAAAAGAAAGGUUUACGAAAGAAAAAGAGAUCAAAAUGAGAAGAAUGAACUCAUUGAAUGAACUUAUGAUAUCAAAAUGCUUAUUUCUACUCAAGUCACCAAGAAUGUAAACAUUUUUUUUUUCGAUUUUUCUUUUUCUUUUUUUUUUCUUUUUCUUUUUUUUUCUUUUUCCUUUUCUUUUUCUUUUUUUUUCAUUUUUUUUUGUUUUUUUUUUUUUCGAAUCAAACAAAAGAAACGAACCUUGCACAAUUGAAUUCAAGCAUAAUGCUUGUUGAUCUAAUUGAGAAACUUUAAUACAAGGUAGAAAAAGCAACAAAAUAUAUCCAUACAAUGAGUCCAAAAAUCUCCUUAAAUUGAGGCUCAAAAAGAAGAAAAAUGGUUAAGUAGACGGAGAGAAUUAGAUGGGUAAUGGUUAAGGCUCAAACAAAGGUAGCAAAUAAAGGUCUUCGGGUAAAGAAAAAUGAAAAUGCGAGAAUAGAAAAAUGGUAAAUGGUUUGCCCUUAUCAUUUUAAUGCCUAAAAUCCCGUAAUGUGGCUUCAACAUGCAUAACAAAGCAAGUUCUAGAAUAAACAAACUAGGAUUGAUAUUCACAUAACAAAAAUAAUUAGAGCAAAGUGGUUGCUCAUAGGCUCAAAUCCUCACAAAGUUGGUAAAUUUGCCAUCAAAUCAUGUACACUCUUCAAAUGAAUCAACCAUCAAUAGUGGUGUAGAAUGAGAAGAAGGUAUGAGUGAUAUAUAAAAGGAAAGGUAAAAAUGAUAAGAAGUGAGAAAGAUGAAAAGUGAAAGAUAAAAUGUGAGUGAUGAAAGAGUAUGAUAGAAUAAAAAUAGAUGUAAAUAAUUUGAGAUAGAUGGGAAAAAAAAAAAAAGUAGUGAGAAAUAAAAGAAAAGAAAAAAUAAUAAUAUAUAAAGCAUACUAACUCCAAAAUCAUUUAAGGAUGAGUAGAGUGAAAAAAAAAAAAGAUAAGUAGAGUGAAAACAAUAAUUCCAGCAUCAAUAAUGCAAAAAUCCCUCCCCCACACCAAGAACUUACAUUGUCCCCAAUGUAAGAUAAUCAAAGCUCACAUAAAAAUUAAAGCAUAAGGAUAAAAGUUAAAGGGCAAAAAGAAACUUCCCUGAAUUGUGAGCUUUGAUCCACAUAACGUCUAUGGGCUUGGCGGAAAUGGUGGGGUAAAUCCCACACUCUCAAAGUAUGCGGCCAAAUUCUGCUCCAUUUUGUUCAACUUGUGCUCCAUUUUCUCUAACUGAAUGCUCAAAGGUGGUGCGGAUGUAGAAGGAAUAGUUGGCGGGGCAACAGUGUCGUCGUCAAACUCGUCAUCAGAGGUAGCACCACUCCUAGCAUAAAGCUUCUUCGGAAGUUGAGUGGGUCCUGGUUCAGUAAACUGAAAUCUCCCCUCCUUGAAUUCAACCACACCUGUUCUUUCAAACACAAACAUAUCCAAAAAUUCCUUUUUGCAAGCAGGAUGCAAAUCAUUAUUGUCAGGAUCAAGCACACAUAGGUUUAUAGCUAACAGAGUAAUGUAUGGACCAAGAAAUAAAGUCCUAUACCGUUUAAGCACACUUUGAAAUUGAUCCGCUAACCAAAAACCUAAAUUAGGCCUCACAUCAUUUAACAUGCACCAGAUAAAAUAAAAUUCAGUUUUAGAGAAAAUUCCUGAGUGAUAUUUCUUGCCUAAAAAAUUAUAUGCUAAGAAUCGAUGCACACAUUUCAAAACAGGAUCACGUAAGAAAGAACUCUUUGAUUUACUCGGGUCAUAGGCAUUGUGAUCAACAGAUAAAUUACGCCAAAGACCAUAAGGCUCAAAAUUUUUGCUAAAGUCACAAGUUGUUCCUAAAUAUUCAUCACUAGUAGAAUAAUCAUCAUCAAUGAAUCCUAAAGCUAGGUUAAAAUCCGUGAUAGAGUGUGAAAAACUUCGUCCCAUUAACCUAAACUUAAUGACAUCCGGGGUAUGCAAAGUAAAAUCAUUCGGCAUAGUGAAUUGAAAAGUAGCAUAAAACUCCCUAAUCAACUCAACAUAACCCAAGCAAUCAACAUCAACAAACUUACGCAACCCAAUCUUAUCUAUCAAAGAAUCAAAAUUAUCUUUAACAUUUAAUUUUUCAAGAGUCGGGUAAUGAAUAUACUUAGCUGGAAGUAUUUUGCGCGUGGAAAUAUCUUUGUACCUCUCUUUCUCUUGUUGAGUCGCGAAUGCGAGGCACCCUCCGAGAUUGGAUUCCGCAAGUGGCAAAACACUCAUGCCUUUUUCAUGCUUCGAUCUUUGUCUCACGGCUUGGCGUGAAUCUGAAAUUAUGUUCCAUGGAACCGUAGUGGGAGCGGCAAUCUUAGAUUUCUUUGCGACGGGUGUCUUUUUCGACGACUUGGAAGUAGAUGCUUUCCUCUUCGGCAUUGUUACAAUAAUUGCACUCACGGAUUUCGAUUUACUCGGCUGGAAUACAGGGCGUAGGCUGGUUGUGUUGCGCUUGCUGCUCGGCUGGAGCUUGUUGCGCGAGUUGGGGCUGGUUGUGCGCGCUGCUGAGGCUUGCUUUGCGGGUGCUGGUUCGUUGCUGUGUUGCGCGCACGGGGCUGUUGCGCGGGAGAGCCAGUUCACGUUGCGGGUCUGCGUUGCGGAUCUGUUGCGCUGCGCGCGCGGGACUGAUGUGCUGUGCUGAGGCUGAUUCGCGCUGCUGCUGGUUGCGGUGCGCGAUGCUGUGCGCGGCGGCUGGGGCUGCUGGAGCUUGCUGCUGGUUCUGGGCGUACUCGUCUGCUGCUGCUGGUUGCGCGGUGAAGGCUGGAGCUGAUGCUGCUGUAAAACGAUAAUCAACAGUAAUUUUGGAAUUAGGGAUUUGUAAACAGUGAUUUUCGAUUUUUGGUUUUUUUUUUUUUUAUAUAUAUAAAUAAAUAUAGAAAAGAAAGAAAGGAACGAAAAUAAAUAAAUAAAUGAUGAUUUUCGAUUUUCGAUUUUUGGUUUUUUUUUUUUUUUUUUUUUUUUUUUUUUUUUUUUUAGUGAUGAAUCACUUUGAGACACUAAAAAUUUCAGAAGUACUUUUCUAAUAAGUACGUGGGCACGCCUUAUCAAAAAUUUUCUUCUGACCAAAAUAAGCAAACAAAUUAAAUUUCAGAAGUACUUUUCUAAUAAGUACGUGGGCACGCCUUAAAACUUUGUGACAUUAAAAAUCACAGAAGUACUUAUUAGUUAAGACGUGGGCACGCCUUAUCAAAAAUUUUCUUCUGACCAAAAUAAGCAAACACAUUAUUUAUUUUUUUUAAAAAAAAAAAAAAUCUGAAUCAAAAUUAAAAGAAGAUAUAACAAAAACCAAAAUAAAUAAAUCAUUUGGGUUGCCUCCCAAAAAGCGCCUUUGUUUUAUGUCUUUGGCUAGACACAUUUAUGCAUCAAUCUCCAUAAUUGGGACUCUCGAGAGCCACAUCCUCCAUAAUAUUCACCGAAAAACCUUCAUAAAAAGGUUUUAAGCGAUGACCAUUAACCUUAAAAACUUUGUCAGAGGUCGGACUCCGAAUUUCAACUGCACCAUGAGGAAAAACAUUAGUAACAAUAAAAGGUCCAACCCAGCAAGAACGUAAUUUACCCGGAAAAAGUUUAAGCUUAGAAUGAAAAAGAACUUUUUGACCAACAGAGAACUCCUUUAUCAAAAUCAUUCUAUCAUGAAAUGUCUUCGUCUUUUUCUUGUAAAAAACUUCCUGCACUAUAGGGUUAAUAACAUCCACAGAGAAUAUUGAAUGUUCCUCACUAGGAUAUUUCAUGGCAUCAUUCAUAUUGAAUUCUAUAACCUCUCCAUCAAACUCCAUAGUGAGAGUCCCUUUAUGUACAUCCAUUUUAGUCCUAGCAGUCUUAAGAAAAGGUCUUCCUAGCAAAAUUGGGACAGAAUUAGAGGAGUUAUCAUCUUCCAUAUCAAGUACAUAAAAAUCAGCAGGAAAAACCAACUCAUUAACUUGUACUAAGACAUCUUCUAAUACCCCAUCAGGAUAUGCAUUAGACCUAUCAGCUAGUUGAAUUAUCACGCCAGUUUCUUUUAAUGGACCAACAUUCAAAGAUGAAUAAAUGGAACGAGGCAUGACAUUAAUAGAAGCUCCUAGAUCUAACAUAGCCUUUUCAACUCUAACACUACCAAUUUUACAAGGGAUAGUAAACAUACCUGGAUCCUUGCACUUAGGAGGUAGUUUCUUUUGGAGAACUGCUGAAACAUUCUCCCCCAUGUGAACUUUUUCAUCUCCUCUUAAUUUUCUCUUGGAGGUGCACAGUUCCUUAAGGACUUUAGCAUAUCGAGGUAUUUGUUUUAUAGCAUCUAACAAAUGAAUAUUUACCUCAACCUUGCGAAAUGUCUCAAGGAUGUCUUUAUCUUGUUCCUUCUUCUUGGAUUUUGCAAACCGGCUUGGAAAAGGAGGAGGUAUCACAAUAGGUAGGGGUUUCGCUCUUGUGGGUUGUGCAUCUUGAGAUUGAGGCAUCAAUUCAUUCUUCUCAAGCUCAUCUUCUACAUGCUUUGUCACUUUCUUACUAGGCUCUUGCAACUCCGUCCCACUUCUAAGGAUGACAGCACUAACGUUUUCCUUUGGAUUCACCUCAGAUUGUGAAGGCAAUCUCCCUAAUACUUGAGACUCCAGACGGCUCACUGUAGUCGCCAAUUGACUCAUUUGGUUCUCCAAGUUCUGAAUGCUUGCUGUAGUUGCCUGCUGAAAUUGUUGAGUGUUAGUCGCAAGUGAUUUAACAAUUUCUUCAAGAGAUAUACCUGACUUGGAGUUUGACUGUGGAGGUGCUGGUUGUCUUGGUGGAUACUGUUGUGGGAAUCCUGAUUGCCUAACUCCAUAGCUGAAGUUGGGAUGAUCCUUCCAUCCCGGAUUGUAUGUUUGUGCAUAAGGAUCAUACCUCCUCUGAGGCAUGCCUGGAAAUCCUCCAACUGCAUUGGCUUGUUCAACGGGUUCUUCUUGAAGUGUAGGACACAUAUCAGUUGAAUGACCCAUAUUGUAACAAAUGCCACAAGUCUUCACCUGUUGCACAUUACCUACAACAAACUUUUCCACAAGAGAAGUAAGUUUAUCUAAACGUUGUUCAACAGAAGAAAUAUUUACCUCAUUCACCGUUCUUGAAGUGGCAUCUUGUCUGCUGCCAAAUUGUUGUGCAUUGGCAGCCAUAUUUGAGAUCAACUCCCUUGCUUGAGUAGGGGUCUUGUUCACCAACACACCUCCACUAGCAGCAUCUAUCAUACUCAUAUCCAUCAAUGACAGUCCUUCGUAAAAAUAUUGAAUAAGAAGUUGAUCAGAAAUCUGAUGCUGAGGACAGCUGGCACACAAUUGUUUGAAUCGCUCCCAAUACUCUUACAAAGUCUCCCCAGGAAGUUGUCUGAUCCCACAAAUAUCUUUUCUGAUGUUGGCAGCUCUUGAAGCAGGAAAGUACUUCUCAAGGAACUGCUUCUUCAAACCAUUCCACAUUGUAAUCGAUCCAGGAGGCAAGUAGUACAACCAAUCUUUAGCUAGCCCAUCUACAGAGAACGGAAAAGCACGCAGCUUAAUCUGCUCUUCAGUCACGCCUUGUGGCCUCAUACUUGAGCACACAACAUGAAACUCCUUAAGAUGUUUAUGAGGAUCUUCACCUGCAAAACCAUGAAACUUGGGUAAUAAAUGAAUAAGACCAGACUUUAAUUCAAAAUUUACCUCCAAAUCUACAUAUUGAAUGCAGAGUGGUUGCUGAUUCAAGUCUGGUUCAGCUAACUCUCUAAGAGUUCUUUCUACAGGUGCAGGUCUAUCCAUCACUUGUUCUUCUGAAUCACUAGAUGAUUCAACUAAAUCAGGCACCGUAUCUGUUUCAGAAAGCAAAGGCGACGAGGAUCGUUGCUUAGCUCGCUUUGUCUGCUGUCUCAGCUGGUGAGCUGUCUUCUCAAUUUCAGGAUCAAACGAAAGUGUACCUGUACGAGAAGAACGAACCAUACACCAAGUAAAACGUAAAAAGGAUUAAAUAAAUGACACCAAUCCCUGGCAACGGCGCCAAAAUUUGAUGGGUGUCGAAGCCAACAAAAAUAAAUUCCUACUCUAAAUAAAUUGUGUAUAGUGAUUGAGCAGGGUCGUGUCCACAGAGAUCGGUAAUUAUUUAAAUCCUUUUGAAACGUAAAACGUAAAAUGGGGGAAUUGUUGACAAUAAUAAAAAUCAAAUUGAAAUAAACAAGAAUGCAAAUUAAAGUUGUAAUUCAAAUUGGAGAAAGCUCUGGUUGAAGGAAUUAACUCAGCUUGAUUCGACUACUGAUCAUUGAUUCAAAUAUAGAUUAUUAUUAUUACUUAUGAAUAGAUCGGUUAUAGCUACUGAGACCCUCUAAUAGCCAAUCUCUCCUUAACUAGUCGAUAACCAAGGUACGACCGUUGGUUAUUUCCCUAAUCAAUAGACAACCCUAGAUACGAUCAUAGGAUUUAAUCAAUUGACAGCCUGAGAAACCAGAGAGACCCAAAUCCUAAUCAACACAUAUGAUGAUUCAUUUAAAUUAGAUUGUUUAUUCUCACAACACAACUCUCUGCUAUGUUAUUUGUCACAAACAUUAAAUUCUUCAUAUGAUGAAUCCUUUAAUUGACAAUAGAUUAAGUUGAUAAUUAAAUAGUGGCCAAUUACCUAAUUAACAAACAUAAUCAUGAAACUAAUUCAGAGAAUAAACAAAUACCCAAAAAGCAAUAAAACAAUUAAAGCACAAGAAAGAUCUCACAGUAGUGAUGAAUCAAAGCUUCAUUAUCCUUCAACCAGAAAAAUGGGUUUAGUUCCUCAUAGAGAGAAGAGAAAAAUUAGAUCUAGGGUUUCUUUUUCUCCAAUCCAAAAAUCCCCCCUUUUUCACAAUAGAUUCCUCCCUUCAAUACUCUCUCUCUCUUCUCUUUUAGAAUUCUAUUUAAAAUAAAAUACUAAUAUCUGAAAUAUUAAAUUCGUAAUUACAAAAAUAACCAAAAAUACAAAACACGUUAACCUAAAAACUGUAGGUCCGCAGUUGACAGCACGCGCCCACGCCUUAUCAACAAAGUUCUUCUGACGCUCAGAAAUUUCUCCAAGAGAACAAUCCUCCUUAAACAUCAUCUUUUAGCUCAAUUUUAUCAUCAAUCAAUAGAAUUGCACCUACAAAAGUAAAACACAAGUAAAACAUUAUUAUUAAAUGCAAAACAUCGAUAUUAAGGGAAGUAAAUAAUGCAAAACUAGUGCAUAAAUUGCACUCUAACAGUAUAUGGAUCAAUGAUUAGGAUAUCCACUUACAGAUUAAACAUUCUUCAUCACAGAAGCACAGUUUAUCAAUAAGGCAAGGCUGAACCCAGAUAACAUUGCUAUGUAAGUGUAACUUGUCAAAAGCGGUAUCGAUAAAACCUGUACAUACAUAGAAAAUUACGUCACCAAAUCCAUGAAGAAAAGUAUUUUAUAAACAAAUAUGUUUGAGACAAACUAUCAAAUGAUCUAAAUGCCACAUGGUGUGUUCAAAAUUUUACCCCUGCAAUGCGUGUUAUUAUUAUUGGCCCGAUCAUCCUCUCAACGUAAGGGUACAUAGUAAGUUGAAAAACAAGGAGAAUGAAAUCUAUAGUAACUUCAAAAUGAGGACAAUCGUCAAGCAGUUUUGGGGGGUUGAUGCAUGAGAAAAGAAGUUAAGAGGAACGAGUAACAUUUUCAGUUUCGUAAUAAGUAUAAAUGGGGAGCAAGAGUAUCAGUUUUGCACCUGAGAUGGCAAGAACUUGGCCAACAUUUUCGGUUGAGUAACUCAGACCCCCGUACUUCCACCGGCUGAUAGCCCACAGUGAAAAUAUCUAACAGAAUAGUUGCAAUAUUAUGAUUUAAAAAAAUUACACAGAUAAGAAAUUCUUAGGAUCAGUAAUAGCCAUAUGUCUUCUUUAUGUAUAAAACUCUCAACAAUCCCAUCAACAGCAAUAGCACCCUCUGUUUCAGGUAGAAGUUAAGAGAUAACUUUGCAAAUAUCUAACAGAAUGCGAUCUGAUCCAGGAUCCUGGACUUUAUUCAAGUUCGGGAAAGCCAUUGGUCAUUGGACUAUUAAACCAUAUGGCUUAAUAACUUUCCCGAACAUUAACAUAGUUUAGAUUUUGGAUUGGAACAUUUUUAUGUCAUAAUAAAGUAGAAUAUAUAUAUAUAAACAAUCAAGUAGAGAUAUUUAUACCUCGGUGUAAGCGAUAUCAUGAAGCGAGAAAACACAAUAAACAAUAAUAGAAGAAAUAAAGGGCCAAUUCUUCAUGAGGCUUUUCUUAGCAGUGGCCUCCUCACUUCCUUCAUCUUGUUUAAAUUCUGCAUUGGACCCACAGGAUGCGGAUUCCAAAGCAUCACAUGAUACAUCAAGUGAUACACCAUCUUCAUUGUGUUUGUGCAAUGUCUCACACUGAUCCAUAGUUGAGAGAGGCUGUGGGGAAGUUAAUGGAGUUGAAGGAGAGGGAUAAUGAUAAUGAAGAUUACUCUUCAUAUGCUAGUGAGGAUUAUGUCUACUCUUCUAGAGCAAUGACUGAUGAGGACUUCUCAUUCUCAGUAACUGGCUGAACUCAACUUAUUUUUUCUUUCUUUGGCUUUUGGCAGCUGAUGUUCUUUUUGGGGUUAGUAGAAGGAAGGAUAAAGCUGGCAAUUAAAGGAAGCCAUUUAUGUUAAUCUUAGUAAUUUCCCCAUAUAUAGAUAUAUCUUUGAAUGUUUUUAACUUUUGCAAGGUUCAUUAUGUAACGAGGCAGUGACACUGAUUAAACUUGUAUUAUUAUUAUUAUUAUUAUUAUUUUGAAUAGAAGCAAAUUGAUUGUGUUAUGGGUUUCUUUUGCUUCCCAUCGGAUUAGCAACUGGCACUGGCACCGGCAUGAUUGGCAAAGGCCAAGUUGAAGCUGCCUGCAGACUCUCAGUGGACUGAAUUACAUAUUACAUAAUACAAGUGAAAGGAAGGGACUCGUAAAGCUUUAUUGUCGUAGUUUGGAUAAGAUUAAGAAUUGCUGUCGCUUCUUGUCAGAUUGCAUUGAAACGCUAGUAGUCGCUGCUGCGAGCAUUGGUAUUAGAAGAUUAGCACAAGCAGCCCCUACCUAUCAUGGACUCUGAUGUUAUGGACCUUACGGAUAUCAAUUACCUAGUUAAAAGCUAGUUAAAAGCUACCUCCAUAUUUUUUAUUUUUACCCUAAUGCAUGUCUGAUUCUUUUAAAAUUUUACGUUAUAUAUAUUAAACAAAUAUUAUAAUUUUAAUCAUUGAAAAAUUAAUGACAGACAUCUUUUGAAUAAUUUUUUUUUUUAAAAAUACAGAGCUAGAGAAAAUGCUAUAAUUGAUUGAAUAAGAAGGCUACAACUUGAUGAUAACUUUAUUGCAAUGUUGCGUGAUCUCAAUAUAUUAUUGGCUUAUGUGUGAGUAAAAGUUGCUGGCUCCUGUUUUACUAAUUUGCCUUUGAAUUUGACUGGCUCGACAAAGAAUCGAUUUACCUCAUACUCAAAUUACAAACAUCGAAACCGGAUCUGUCAUUACGUUAAUUGGCCUCCUAAAAUAAUCAAUCACUUUCUCUUUAGUCUACCAUCCACGCUUUCCAGUCGCUUAGUUUCAUUCUAAUCAUCUAAACGGCUCUUUGCUACUGUUUCUUCUAUUUGUCAUUGUUCUUGUUCUGUUAUUAUUUAGCUUUGCUCACUCCUGAGUCUCAUUUCUUAUUCUGUACCCAUCAGCUCUUUUAGCUCUUUACGUCGUGAUAGAAACCCUUUUCUUGUUUCCUUCAUCUCAUCUGAAAAACACAAUUGCUUGUCCUAUCGCUGUCUCUUUGUUUUUACUUUCCUUUGGCCUUCUUCGCUUCUACGUUUUUGUCAGGAUUCGAGAUGCUGGAAAUCAUUGUGACUAUCGUCUUGGAACUUGUAAAAUGCUUGGCUCCUCCAACUGCACGCCAACUUGUUUAUUUGCGAUAGCGGAACUACAAUGCCAACUUUGAGAAUAUCAAGGCGGAAAUGGAGAAGUUGAAGGUUGAACGUACGAGCAUUCAGCGCAAAGUUUCAGAGGCGAAAGAAAAAGGGGAAGAGAUUGAAGAGAAGGUUGAAAAGUGGCUGGUUAGUGCGAAGUGCGAACGGCAUCAUUGACCGGGCAGCCAAAUUCAUUGAAGAUGAGGAGUCAACAAAUAAGCGCUGUCUCAAGGGCUUGAGUCCUAAUUGGAAGAGUCGCUAUCAGCUUAGCAAGAAAGCAGAGACGGAGGUGAAGGCCAUUAUUGAACUUGGAGAAGAAGUUAAGAAGUUUGAUACUGUUUCCGUAUCAUUCCGGAGGAGAUACGGCUCAAGUCUAGCAAUGGUUACGAGGCCUUCAAAUCAAGACUUUCUACUUUGCAGUCUAUAAAAAAUGCAUUGACUGAGGCGAAUGUCAGCAUUAUUGGGGUGUACGGCAUGGGCGGCAUUGGAAAUACGACAUUGGUGAAGGAGUGUGCUAGGCAAGCCAGGGAAAGGAAGCUGUUUGAUCGGGUGGGUUUUUCAGAGGUUUCACAAACUCCUAACAUAAAAAAGAUUUAAGGGGAAAUUGCAGAGAAGUUAGGUCCGGAGUUGUCCGACGAAGCUGAAUAUAGAAGAGCAAGCAGGCUGUAUGAACGAUUGAAGAGUGAGAAUAAGAUUCUUGUGAUUCUAGAUAACAUCUGGAAACAUCUUGAAUUGGAGACGGUUGGAAUUCCUUUUGGAAAUAAUCAUAAAGGAUGUAGACUGUUGCUGACAGCAAGAGAUAAUAAUGUGCUUUUAAGUAUGGGCUCCAAAGAUAACUUUUUGAUUGGCAAUCUAACUGAACAAGAAGCCUGGAGAUUGUUUAAGAUAAUGAAUGGUGAUGAUGUUGAAAAUUGUAAGUUCAAGUCUACAGCAAUUAAUGUAGCUAAGGCAUGUGGAGGUUUGCCAAUUGCGUUGAGGGCACUGAGAAACAAGAGUCUCCAUGAAUGGAAGAAUGCCUUGCGAGAGCUCCGAACGCCUUCAAUGGUAAACUUCGAAGGUGUGCCUGCAGAGACUUAUUCAAGUAUUGAGCUGAGUUUCAAUUAUUUAAAAGGUGAGCAAGUCAAGAAAAUUUUUCUGCUUUGUGGACUAGUAGGUAACAGUGUUUGGUUUUCAGACUUAUUUAGAUACUCCAUGGGUUUGGGCAUAUUUCAAGGAGUCAACAUUCCCUUCAUAUUUACCAAAGGUAAGUGAUAAAUCCUACAUAUCCCACUCAAGAAUGCAUAAGUUUCUUCAAUCUCAAGUACCUAAAGUUUUCUUCUACGUUUAUAAAAAUUUCAGCACCAUCUCCCUAUAAUUCUCCAAGCUCACGACAUAGCUAUAUAAGUGUUUAUGCGUUAUGCCAAAACAACACAUGACACCCGCUCACCUAGAACGUACCCAGAGAACACGAGGAGCAGCUACCGAAAAAGCCAUAUUUACGUGGGAAAAAAACUUCAGCUACUAGCUACCAGAGAGACCUAUGCAUUCCCAAACUGUCCAAGCCUGGACAAUUCAAGAAUUAUUAAUAGACAUAUGAUCCUCACUAUCAUCCAAAGAUGACACUAAUACAACAUGUGUCUAUUAAUAAUUUCUUAAACAAGUCUAAGCUUUCAAUGCACGUAUCAAAAGUUUAAAAUUGAAUCUGAAAUUUGAAUAACACAUAAAUAUCAUAAAUCUCUUCAAUUUAUUCCUGAUACAAUGUAGCAUUAUUUCAGAGAUCAUUUCUUAAGCAAAACCAUAAAAAAUACAAACGAUAAAUACAUUUUCCCACUGAUGCAGAUUAUGUUUACUGAGCAAUAAGUUUUAAGCCAUUCAUGUUGAAAUACUUCUGCCUGUUCUUUCAACAUAUAACUAGUACGUACACACAAUUAAUAAAUUAAAAAAAAAAAAACUGGUGGUGAAUCUGCAAAAUCUUCCUUUUUUUCUUUUUUUUUCUUUUUCUUCUUUUUUUGGGGGGGGGGGGUGUUGGGGGAACUAUGAAUCUUGCAAAUCCUCAAGAAGCUAUGUUAAGACAAGGCCAGCUUACUAUUAGGGUAUGAAAGAUAAAACCUUUUAUUUCCUUUUCAGAAUAAAAAGAACAUUGACAGUGUUAAAAAAAUCUAGAGGAUUUCAGGCCUCCAGAUCCUUACAAAUCAAGGAUAUUAAAAAAUUUACUUAGAGGAGAAUGGUUAUGCUCAUUUGUAUCUUGUUAGAAGAAAUUGAUCCAAAGCCUCAGUUUUAAUUAGCUUCAUAUAGCCAAUGAUUAGGUGUUUAAAAACCAAUGAAUAUUUUUAUAAGAAAUCGACAAUAUUGUUGAAAGAAAAACCAAAUAAAAAUAAUAAAGCCAAUGAAUAGAUCAAGGCUCUUUGUGGUCUAAAACUAAUCAAACUAAGUUGUGGGCAAAGGCGAAUAUGUUUGUUUGGUCAAUAAUAAGCUCAACAAAUCACUAAUAAUCACCUAAUCACUAUUCCUUACGCUAUGCAAUAUAAUGGCCUGGGUAAUGGCGCCAAGGCAGACAUUAACUAGCUAGCCAGUUAUGAUAGUUGAUUAACUUAACCUACUGGAAAUCUGAAGACCAAAACGAAGAAGCUUUGUCUAGAACUAGAAUAGGAACAUUCGUACCCAAAACUAAUAUACACAAUUAAGAAACUUGAUUAUAUGUAUAUUUCUGUUGGCCACACUUAAAGAGAAUUUUCAAAAGAUGCUAAGGUACACCAAAUCCCACUAUUUCAUACUCAUAAACACAAAAAACCAUGGCAAAAAUUAAUGACUAUAUCAAAUAAAAUCGGUGAUAGGACAUUGAGAUUAGGACAACUUGAUUUGUAUACCGUAAAAUAACUAUAUCUGCAUGGUGAACUAUAUUUCUGUUAGAACUCUGAAGUUUUCUAUUAAGUUUUUUUCUGUUAGGUAAACCACUUAACUGAAGUGCUUAAGCCAAUAUUGACAAUCAUAGACAUAAAAGUAUUAAUAGGCUCAUUCAAGUGAAAUGAGCAUUAUUUCACACAUCCUUUAGGUUUUUAAGUCAUUUAGAAGUCAUUCAUGUUAAAAAAAAAAAUUCAUAUACUUUCAAUAUAAUUAGAACAUACACAAUUAAUUAAUUAAAUAAAUCUUUUUCAGCUAGUAUAGGAACUUAAUUAAUCAAAGCUAGUAGUUAUAGCUAGGACUUGAACGAGGCACCUUUCAAAGUUCAAGAAGAGCAUCUGAACAGAAUGAAAGCACUUUGUAGAAAUGGUAAUGAUGCUUUACAUCUACAUGCUCUUACACAAUAUGAACUUUCAUUUAUUCAAGAACAUAACACUACUCCAAGCUCUUAUUCUACAAGUCAAUUCAGUUUGUAGAUGCACGCCAUUGUAAAAACUUUUGCAUUAUAAUUUCUGAAAAUAGAACGUAACAUUAUUAGUAUAGAAUCAGCAAUGUAAAUAACUUAUCAGACAAUAUAACAAGCACUUGGUGAGCAUACAAGAAAAACUAAAACAAGUUAUCUAGAUAAUGAAACUAAAACCCAAGCUCCGCUAUUCAUUGUAGAAGCUUUAAACAUAAAAUUAAAGUAAAUCUAAUAGCAAAACAUUAGAAUGGAUAUUGAAAUUAAAGCUAAAUUCAAUAGUAAUUCAAAUGAAUCCAUUUGAACUUUGUAAAUUCCGCAGAACAAAAUUAAUUUGAGUGAGCAAACUCACCAAAAUUAAAAAGAUAUUGCUGGCGGGAAAAAAAUUGACAAUAACAGCUACAAUACGAAUUUAAAAAAAAAAUCAAAAUCUAUAAUUACAAGCUUAACUCAAAAGAUGAAGGGAGAAUACGAUGAAGAAGAAGAUGGCUGGUGUUUUACGCCGUUCGCCGGCAACCAGUUAGGUUUACGAUGGUGGCUAGUAACACGGAGUCCAGCGAAUAGUUUUCUAACUGGAAAUAAAUUUAAAAUUCUAAAAUAGUACCGAAUGGCUCGUUGCCGUCACGUGGUUAGUAACAUAUGUGACCGCAGUGUGGCCGUCACAUAAAAGGUAUUGGGGUUACAAAGUUAGUGAUAUACGUGAUGGCUGCUCUUGCAUUCACAUUAGGGAUCACAUAUACCCUAUUUUCUUGUAGUGCAUGGUAAAUUCUAUUUGAAAAUUGCUAAGUAUUUUAGAUUUGUACGAAUUCAUUUUUGUGUGCUCAUUGGAUAAUAAUAUAUAAUAAAUUAAAUUUUUGGUGUCAACCAUACCAUACCAUACCAUAAAAUCAAAUUUUAUCGUGUCAUUCUUCUUGGUUCAAAUUUUUGGAAACAAUAAUCAAAUGCAUCCAUGAACUAGUAUAUUCCGACAUAUAUAUAUAUAUUGAAAUUUUAAUAACAACAAUUGGGCCAAGCAUAUGUUGGUACUUGAAGAUUUAUAAGCUCCAUCCUUGAAAAAAAUAAGGCUUGACUGUUCUCAAUCUAAAAUUCUUUUUGUUUUAAGUUCUUAAUUAAGCUUUCUUGCUUGUUUUCAAGAGCCAGUUUUGUAAUGAUCGACAAACAUGACUUGCAUAUACUGCACUUGGCUUUUAUGUGUCACUUAUUAAUUAGAUUUAGAUUUUAUGUCUCAUGCACUCGCUAAUUAAGCUCUUAAUUAAGUGCUCCUUAUAUGGAUAUUGUGUCAAAACAAGUGCUUUCCAUACGGAUAUUGGAUCUAAAGAGAAAAUUAUCUUUAGGUAGUGUUGCCAAAUUUGGAGGCUUUGGAGCUGAAUGCUAUUAAUGUCGACGAGAUUUGGCAUGACAAUCAACUUACGGCCAUGAUUACUUGCUUUCAAAGUUUGAUACGAUGGAUAGUGUGGGGCUGUGACAAAUUAAAAUACAUAUUUUCAGCUUCUAUGAUCUUAAGCCUUAAGCACCUCCAACACCUGGAGAUACGGAUAUGUAUGGGUUUACAAGAGAUCAUCUUCAAAGACAGCAGAUCAAGUGACCCCAUAUUUUGUCUUUCCACAAGUGACCACUGUGAAUCUCGAAGGUCUACCAGAACUCAGAUGUUUAUACCCUGGAAUGCAUACUUCAGAAUGGCCAGCACUAAAAAAAUUGGAGGCCUGUAAUUGUGAUAAAAUAACGUUGUCCCAGAAUAACGAGAAUGAUCAAUUUGGUAUUCCGCCACUACAACCCCUGCUCUCGUUCAAGAAGGUAUGAAACCAAAAUUUAGAUUUUUUUUAUCAAUUAUCUUUGUUGUUCCUCACUCACAGAUCAGGAGGUUUAAUAACUACCUAUAUGGAGUUUUUUUCUAGUGGGAAUGCCCUUAUUUUUUACUUUUUUCAUGCGGAGAAGCUUUCAAAUCCCUCGGUUUAAGAGCGUGUUUGUAAUGAUCCACAAACAUGAUUUGCAUAUACAGUAUUGCACUUGGCAUUUAUGUAUCACUUACUAAUUAGAUUUAAAUUUUAUAAAUUAAUUAAACUGAUUAAUAUUUUAUAUGUGCACUGAAUGAUAGAUACUACAUAAAUUGGGACACUAUAACUACGUAUCCCAACUAUGUAAUAUUUGUUUGUCACAAACCCAAUCAUGACCUGAUAUUCUGAAUAUUAUUUAGGAUACCAUUUCAAGCCCCAUGAGGGCUCUUUCCAUUUUAAAAAGUAUGAAAUAGAUGUAGAUUUUUCUUUAGAUAUUAUCAGUGAGAGUACCUUUGGUGGCAGUGGUCCGGGAUGAUUUGUGUUAAGGAAGCUCAUUGAGCACGUGUGUCAAUGAUGAGUCAGCAGUUAGUUGGGUAAAGAAGCCAGCUCAGCAAAUCUGUUAAUCAUGUUUUACGUUCUGUUCUUCAGUUGUUAGUAAUGCUUUUAAUUCUGUUGAGAUAUGAGUUAGUAUAAAUAUGUUGUUAUUGUAUUUGUAAUUGUGAACGUGAGAUUCAAUAAAAAAUAAGUAGUUUCUAAGGAAAAAUCUUAUCAUUAUUUUCUUAGCUUCCAAACAACUUUUACAGUCACAAUUCAACUUUCAAACAUGGUAUCAGAGCCAGUAAGAGCAAGCUCUAGUGCUCAGCAAACAAAUCAACAAAGUCAAAUAAAUUUUUCUUUCAACACUCCAAUUAAACUAGAUCGAUCGAACUAUCUACUUUGGCGUUUUCAAGUUUUUGCUUCCAUAAGAGGCAAUCGAUUGGAAGGCUUCAUCAAUGGAACAAAACCAGCUCCUGAAGAAUAGUUCACUCAAGUUGUAGCUGAUGGAUCUAUUCAGAAAAUUGAUAAUCCAGAAUAUCAGAAUUGGAGAUCACAGGAUCAAACAUUGCUUGGAUGGAUGCUAUCAUCAAUAAGUGAAGGUACUCUAAAUCUUGUCAUAAAUUGUGGUAGCUCGUUUGAUGUUUGGAGAACUUUAGAAAAGAAAUUUGGUGUGCAAUCUGAAGCUAGGGUUCUUCAACUUAGAUAUGAGUUGAAUACUCUUAGGAAGGAAUCAAUGAGUAUUGAAGAUUACUGCAUCAAAAUGAAAAUUGUAGCAGAUAAGCUUGCUAGUGCUGGAAGUCCUAUAACAGAGAAAGAUCUCAUGCUGACAAUUCUUAAUAGCUUAGGAGCAGGUUAUCGUGAUAUUGCUACCUUUAUAACUGGCUCAAAAAUGGACUAUGAUGAUGCUUAUGCAUUAUUAUUGACUCAUGAAACCAGACUUGAACAAGAGCAGAAUGAUAAAAGCAUGUUUAAUGCAAAUUAUGCUUACACAAAUGCCUAUUAUCCAAGGGCAUUCUAUGCCCAAUCUAGAAAUAAUUUUAGAAGAGGAGGAUAUGCUGGUGCUCAGUUUGGUAAUACUGGUAGAAAUCAUACUGCUGGAAGAGGAAAUAUUUUUCAGUCUCCAAGGAUGUUUACUGGCAAUCACAGAGGUGGAUAUGGAAGAGGACACUCAUUUGGCCCAAAUAAUGUUAACUCUUUUCAUGCACCUAGGAAUCCAAUACAAUUUACUAGGACUGGAGUCACUAAUAUGAAUGGACCUCAAGGAAUUCCAAGUAAUGCAGAAGAAUUGGUUUGCCAGAUUUGCUUUAAGCUGGUCACACUGCUGAUAUUUGCUGGCAUCGAUUUGUGGAGGAUUAUGUCCCUUCUUCAAGAAGUCUAGGCAGAGGAAAAGGACCAAGAUCAGCAUAUAUUGCUAAUUUUGAUGGCUUUACAUAUCCAUAUCAAGGUUAUGAUAACUAUGAUAAUCAUCCUGCAUCUGAGACAAGCUGCUAUUCUGGAAUUGAUAACUAUGCACCUACAGAAGCUUAUGUGGCUAAUUUUGAAAGCUUUGCUGAUGAUGGCUGGUAUUUGGAUAGUGGGGCAACUCAUCACUUGACCAACAACAUGGAGAACUUGCAUUUUAAGGAAGACUACAAAGGUACUGAUCAACUCAUUAUUGGAAAUGGUCAAGGUCUGUCAAUUUCUCAUAUUGGUCAUGCAUUUUUAUCAUUUAGAGCUUCAAAACAUCCUUACACACAUGCCUCCACUAUAGCACUUAAAGAUAUGUUACUUAUUCCUACAAUCACUAAGAAUUUACUAAGCAUCUCCAAACUUACAUCUGAUAAUUCACUCUCUGUUGAAUUUUGUGGAAAUGUUUGUUAUGUUAAGGACAUGAAAGGGCAAGUUCUUCUGCAGGGCCUUGCUGAGAAAGGUCUUUACAAGCUGUUGAUGAAAUCUUCUUCCAUGUCAUCUUCUGCUUAUCAUACAUCACCUGCCUUUCAUCUUUCUCAACUUCAGUCACAUAAACCAAUAUCCAUGCUGUCAUGCUCAAAUGUGUCUUCUAUUUCUCAUCAUUGUAAUGUCUCAACUUCAGUCACAUAAACCAAUAUCCAUGCUGUCAUGCUCAAAUGUGUCUUCUAUUUCUCAUCAUUGUAAUGUCUUUGAUAAGACUUGUUUCAGCUCAAUUUCAAAUAAGUGUAACCAGAAACAUGAUGAACUUAUCUUGUUACACAGAAAGUUUGGUCAUCCAAGCUCAACAGUAUUGAUGCAUUUGCUUAAGACUUGUAAACAAGUUAAAGUCUCUCAAAAAUCAAUUUUAUCUCCUGAGCAUUCUAUGUGUGAAGCAUGUCAAUUAGGAAAAGCUCACAAGCAACAUUUUUCUACAACCGAAACCAAAACAACUCAAGUAUUAGAACUGAUACAUACUGAUCUGUGGGGGCCUUCACCUACUACAUCUAGAAAUGGUUUCAAAUACUACAUUAGCUUUGUAGAUGAUUACAGUAGGUAUACCUGGAUUUACCCACUCAAACUCAAAUCAGAAGCUUUUGAAGUUUUCAAAUUAUUCAAAAUCCAAGUAGAGAAUCAGUUCAAUACCAAAGUCAAGAUGCUGCAAUCUGACUGGGGGGGAGAAUAUAGAGUUUUUACUAACUUCUUAAACCAGAAUGGGAUCAUUUUCAGACAUUCAUGCCCUUACACACAUCAUCAAAAUGGUCUAGUAGAAAGAAAACAUAGACAUAUAAUUGAGUUAGCUUUGACUCUCUUAGCUCAAGCCAAUCUUCCUUUUAAAUUCUGGUGGGAAGCUGUUCAUACAGCAGUGUAUCACAUAAACAGAUUACCAACACCUGUAUUGAAACUCUUAUCUCCAUAUGAGAAGCUCUUUAAACAUAAACCAGAUUACAGCCUCCUUAAAUGCUUUGGUUGUCUUUGUUAUCCAAACUUGAGAGAUUUUAACAAACAUAAAUUUGACUUUCAUACCAGCAAGUGCAUCUUUAUUGGUUAUAGCUCAUCUCAUAAGGGAUAUAAAUGUCUUACAAGCUCAGGUCGAGUUCAUAUCCUUAGACAUGUUGUUUUUUAUGAAAGUGUAUUUCCAUAUACAACAUUCUCUGUUCCUUCUUCAUCUGAAAAUGUUGCCAACUCAGAAACACCAGUGUCAAAUUUCUCUAAACAGCAAGUCUAUCAUCUUUUAACUCUACCCUUAUUCAACAGCAGUUUUGAAGAUACUUUCUCAGCAGGUGUACCAAGUGAUGAACAAACUCCUGUUUUGCCUGAGCAUACAGAUAAUUUGAAUCAACAAGAAUCAUCUAGUUAUUCUUUAUCAGAACCAUCAAUAUCACAAGUUAUCCCUCAAAUCCCUGAAUCUACUCAAACACAACCUGAACCACAAACAAGCAAUCAACAACACUCAGAAUAUAAUCCAAACAGAAUUCAGAUCUCACAACCUACACACAAAAUGAUUACCAGAUCAAAGUCUGGAAUAUUCAAGCCUAAGUUAUAUACAGCCACCUUGACCAACAAAGAACCUGACACAAUUCAAAAAGCUCUGAAUGAUAAAAAUUGGUAUAAGGCCAUGAAAGAGGAAUAUGAAGCUUUGAUCAGGAAUGAGACUUGGUCUCUUGUACCACCUCCAGCUGAAUACAAAAUAGUUGGAAACAAAUGGGUGUUCAGGGUUAAACAAAAUAGUGAUGGCAGUAUAGCAAAGUACAAAGCUAGAUUGGUUGCUAAAGGUUUCCAACAAACUGAAGGGAUUGAUUAUUUCGAAACUUUUAGCCCUGUUAUAAAGGCUUCCACAGUGAGGGUUAUAUUAAGCCUGGCUGCAAUGCAGAGUUGGAUGAUCAGACAGGUAGAUGUUAAUAAUGCUUUUCUGAAUGGUGACUUAACAGAAGAUGUCUACAUGUGUCAGCCUGAGGAUUUUGUUGAUGAGAAGAGAUCAGGCUAUGUAUGUAAGUUGAAGAAGGCUUUAUAUGGUUUGAAACAAGCUCCCAGAGCUUGGUUUGAUAAACUAAAAGGCUGUUUGGUUGCAAACUGGGGAUUUCAAAAUUCCAGAGCUGAUACCUCACUAUUCUUUAAAGGAAAACAAGAUUCAAUGAUAUUAGUUUUGAUCUAUGUUGAUGACAUACUGAUAACAGGGCCUAACAGUGAUGAACUUGAAAAGUUUAUUUCAGACUUCAGCAAAGUGUUUGCAUUGAAAGAUUUGGGAAGACUCUCAUAUUUUCUGGGUAUAGAAGUAUCUUAUGCUGAGAAUAACAUUUACUUAUCUCAAAGAAAAUAUGUUAGAGACCUGCUAAGUAAAGCUGAUAUGCUUCACUGCAAAGGGUGUGAUACACCAAUGGUUACAGGGACAAAACUUCAAAAGGAAGCUAAGGGAUCUUUGGGUCAGCAUGUUGAAGAUGCAACAAGUUAUAGAAGUUUAAUUGGAGGGCUGCAGUAUUUGGUUCUGACCAGGCCAGAGAUAGCUUUUGCAGUGAACAAGCUAAGCCAAUAUGUUUAUACACCUACACUACAACAUAUCCUAGCCUGUAAGAGAAUGCUUAGAUAUUUGAAAGAGACAGAAGACUAUGGAUUAAAGUUUUCAGCUGAUGGAGAAAUAAAGUUAACAGGUUUCACAGAUGCAGAUUGGGCAUGUGAUAUUGAUGAUAGGAAAUCAACAGGUGCAUACUGUAUUUACUUGGGAAAUAACUUGAUCUCUUGGUCAUCCAAGAAGCAAUCCAUAGUUACAAAGUCAAGUGCAGAGAGUGAGUACAGAGCUCUUGCUUCUGCAAGUGCAGAAAUUACAUGGUUACAGUCAUUGUUCAAGGAACUCAAGAUUGAAUGUAUUUCAGUGCCCACAAUCUGGUGUGACAAUAUAAGUGCAACUGAGCUGGCCAAAAAUCCUGUCUACCACUCGAGAACCAAACACAUUGAAUUGGACAUGCACUUUAUAAGAGACAAAGUGUUAGCAAGAGAGCUGGAAAUCAAUUACAUUCCCAGUGAAGAACAGAUUGCAGACAUCUUGACCAAGCCUCUCACAUUCACUCAAUUCAAUUAUCUCAGGAGCAAACUUAAUGUGCAGCCAUGCCCCUUAAGUUUGAGGGGGGCUGUUAAGGAAGCUCAUUGAGCACGUGUGUCAAUGAUGAGUCAGCAGUUAGUUGGGUAAAGAAGCCAGCUCAGCAAAUCUGUUAAUCAUGUUUUACGUUCUGUUCUUCAGUUGUUAGUAAUGCUUUUAAUUCUGUUGAGAUAUGAGUUAGUAUAAAUAUGUUGUUAUUGUAUUUGUAAUUGUGAACGUGAGAUUCAAUAAAAAAUAAGUAGUUUCUAAGGAAAAAUCUUAUCAUUAUUUUCUUAGCUUCCAAACAACUUUUACAGUCACAAUUCAACUUUCAAACAAUUUGGGAUUUGACAAUUCCACUCUCAUCUUAAUUAUCAAAUGGAAUGUAAGUAGAGAUAAACUUGUCCUGUUUAUAUAUUUGUGAUCAAAAUUAGGACCAAUAUAAAAAAUAUUAGGGUCCGACUAUCUAUACUUUAAAAAUCAUUAUGAACACUUAAUUAUUUAUGUACUCAGCUAAUAAAUUUAAAAAAUUAAGUUUUACUUUCCACACUUUUUUUAGGAGUACUUUCUACACUUUUUAAAAUAACAAAAACAUCUUUACAUGAACUUAAUAAGUUUCUUUAAAAAAAUUAAAUCAACUAUUUUUAUUUAUUCAAAAUACUAAUAAAAAUAUUUAGCAGACCGUGAAAGAAAAUUUUUAAGAAAUUUAACACGAUUUUAGUUAUUACUUAUUGUUUAUUAAAGAAUGUGUUCACUAUUGUAUUUAAUUUUGUUAGUAAAAAAAAAAAGAAGAAGUUUGGGUUUAAGAUACAUUUAAUUUUUAGUGUAACAGUUGUAUCAAAACAAUAAAAACUAAAAGAUCCAAAAGUCACAAGUUCCAACACCACCCAAAUAAAAAGGUCUGUUAAGAUUAUUUUUGGGAAGCUCAAAAGUGAUUUUAAAAAUUUAAAACUAAUUUUUAGUGUUUUAUAAAUUUUUUAGUAAUUACUUUUGGCAAAAUCAUCUCAUUGUACAGUAGAUUUUGAAAAAGUAGGGAAUGAAUAAUUUUUCAAAAUAUGAUUUUGAGAAUCACUUUUAUAUUUAAUCAAAUUCUAUAUAUAUAUACUCAUUAUAUAAUAAAAAUUCAAAAUUAUCUUUAUUAAUUAAGAAAUAAAAUGAUUAACUUUAAAGAGAUUAUUAUUAUUACCAAUUAUAUUGAGAUAAAAAAAUAGAGAAUAAAAUUUAAUAAUAUAAAAUAUUUAUUUUAGUUAUCAAUAAUUAUAUGUACAAUAAAAAUAUUUUAUAUACAUGUUUAUAAAUGUGUAAAUAAAUUUUAUUUAACAUUAUGUCCAAUUCAGUCAUUUACAUUUUUGGUCCAAUUUAACAAUAAGAUUUACGAAAUAUAUACGACGCUUUUAAAACUAAAAGUAUUUUUAAAAAUAAAUUUUACUAAAUGUUCAGCUGAUUCUCUUGACGAUUGAUCAAUUUCUACAGCAUAGCUAACUGUAAUUAUUUUAAAGGCUACAGGAUUACCAAACUGACCCUAAAUCAAACCAAUAAAAAUGUUUAAAAAUAAUAAUAAUAAACCAAAGUAAACGUACAAAAAUUCAUGCAUAAAUUGAUAAUCAACAAAAACAUCCACAAGUUUACCUCCAAGUUUUCUAUUCAAUUGACAUAACCCUUAAAUUUCAAAAGGCAUAAUCAAUUUUUGUCUAAUCCUAUAAAAUUAGAAAAUUAAAGAAUAUUAUGUACUGAUAAUUAAAUAAUAUGCAAUUAACAAUGUUAAAAAAAAUAAUGUUAAACAUAUUGUCAACUAAAACAAUUGGGAUUAACGAGCUGCUAUUGAAAUUAAUGUUAAAAAAAAUAAUGUUAAACAUAUUGUCAACUAAAACAAGCAUCAUGUGCAGUACCCACCGUGAUCUACUCACAUUGGAAUAAGUUGUUGGCAGCUGGUAAAAAAUUCAAUGUUGAUUUUGAUCCCACUAAAUUAAGUCAUCAAAAAUUGCUGGGAAGGGAGUAAUAUCUAUUUAUAACUGGAAAUUAGUCACCGUACAAAGAUGAUUGGAGCUGCAUAUAUCGUUUAUUAUUAACAACUAACUUAUGAAAUGCUUUGAAUGUACCUCCUAGGUCGUAUUAUUUACUAUACUAGUUAGGAGAAAUUGCAAUGUUAAAUUAUUUGAUAAAUACUUAUUAUAAUUUGAAAAUAUGUUAAUUUUGUCCUCCAUUUAUGAUAAAAAAUUUUGUAAUAUAUAUAAAUCAUUCAUUCUAUAAUCUUGAACUUUAUUAAAGUUCGAAAAACUAUUACUCUAUAUGAUAUAAUAGUGUGAUGUUAUUACACUAUUAUACCAUAUAAAAUAUAUUUGCUUUCUCAAAUUUUAAUAAAGUCUAGGUCUUGGACAGAAGCACUUUAUAUAUGUAUAUAUAAUGAUUCUCUAGUAACGACAUUCUCAUUUUAACAAAGUAAUGAUAUCACUAACAAACUAAAUAACACAUAUUUCAAUACACCAAUAGAUUAAAAAAAAUACAAUUUUUAAUGUGUUAAAAUAUAGGUCUUUUGUAUGUUAUUGAUAUUUUCACUUUAACAAAGUGAGGGUCUCCUCACUAUAAAAGUAAUUUAUAAAUAUUCCUUGUAUUUUUGUGAAAAUUAUUAUUUAAAUGUCAUAUCUUACCAAAAACUAUUAGUUUUUAUUUUAUUACUACGCUAUACUUUUCAAGAUAGAACACCUUAAUACCAUGACCUUAAUUUUUGAACCCUCUUGUACAAAGUUGUUGGCUGGUCUAUUUAGCUUAAUCUUUCAAUUAUUUGUCGUUUGAACUGAGAUGAUCCGAAUAAGGCUAUGUAUCAAUAAUUUCUUAGUGAAACUUCGGGAAAAAAUAAAAAUCAUCUCAUACAGUAGCAUUAUUUUAAUUCUCAGCUUGAUUAUGUUUUGAGUUAACUUAUAGAUUAUUUGAAAUGAAAAUAAUAUAAUUUAUUUUUUCCAACUGAAAUUUUUAAAUAAUUUUAUUAGUUUGAUGAGUAAGUAUACACUUACAAAGUUAUGAUAUAAAAUUAUAUCCCAGAAUCCCAAUAAUAUGACACCAAUUAACUAUUGCUAUGUGUUUCUUAGUAAUUAACUUUUUAUACUAUUAUUAAUGAGAUAAUUAACUUCAACACCAAUAAACAAUUAAUACAUCCUCUAACUUUAUUAUCAAAUAAUCAUACGUCAUAAUCAAACCAAGUUACCAGAGCCUACCACUAAAAGAUUGAUUGAAGGGUUUUCCAAGUUUGAAAAUGUUAGUAGCAUUGGCAAAUGGCAACUUCCAGGAAUCUUCCUGCUACAAUCAAUCAUUUAGUGAAAUGCCCAAAUGACACAAAGGACCCCGCCAACCGUGAAGUCACAUCAUUUAUUUAUUUGUAAAUGAAAAAUAAGGUUCCGAUCGGAAGAAAUCAGCACCUUAUAAUGCAUGAUUACCCGUAUGUCAAGUUUGGCGAUUAUAAGUCAUCAUCACAAUAACUUUGGAUUUUGAUAUUUAAGUCUCCGUUUGGGACCAAUGUAUGCCAAUUGGACAACACAUCACUCAAUUAUAGAGAGCGAAAUAUUGAUAUUGUCAUUAUUUUACGUAAUGUAUAAACUUUUCCUUUUAUUUUUGUUUGUUUAUUUAUUUUUAAUACCUAAUAAAUAUAAAUUUAUUUUUUAAUAUUUAAUAAAUUUUGUCAGAAAAUAACAAACAAUGACCCAAAUCCUUUUAUUUUACAGAAAUAAUUUCAAUUCACAACUAUGACAUUACAUUACCAAACAAACACUAAAUAUUUUGAUGAUUGGAGUUUAUCUUUCAUUCAUAGCAUGAAAAGUUUGAAAUAGAAUCUCAAAACAAAAGAGUACGACAUGUCUUGUUGGGUUUACAGAAGAAGUGUACGCCAUGUCAUCCGAAAACUAAAAGGCAUGUAUGACAACCAAACGGUAUCAUCCCUGAUUUGCCUACACUUUAAGGAUGAAUUCUGGGUUUUGAGUGACAAUUAAAAGCCAGAGUGAGAAUUAGAGAGAGAGUUAUAUAUUCUUAUUUAUUCCUAGUCACUUGCUAUAUUGUGUGGGUCUUUUGUGAUUCCAAUAAUAAAAAUGUUCAAUAUUUUUUUUGAUAGAGCAAUAUUUUUUAAAGCAUAAAGAAAGGCAGAAAUAUUGUAAAUCCAUCUCAAAUUUUCUGUUUAUUGUGGUUGCUGCUAGCGCUAGCUGUUUUCUUAUUUAACUUUGUUCCCUUUUGCCAUCAGCUCUUUGCAUUUUCAUUGGAUCAAGCGGCCCUUUUCUUGUUUCAAUUUUUUAUCUCAAAAGCACUUUGAUUCUCUUCUGUUACACUGAUUUUCUCCUUAUUUUGCACAAAUAUCGUUUCUCUUUCCCAUUUAGCCUUGAUUUGCUUCUACUUGACUACCAAUUGCCCAGUCGUUGACCCUGUUGUAUUUUUAUUUCAUUCACUUCCAAUAGACCAAAAAAAAAAAAGAGAUGUUGAAUAAAAGCUUAAAAACUAAUUUGAUUUUUAAUAUGAUUUAGCUAAGAUGUCCAAUUUAAUACUAAGAGUAAUGUUAAGGAUCCUAAUAAUUGAGUCCCAACUGAUAUGGUAGUCAUUUAUUAGAUGAUGGAAAUAUAAAUUUUAUUAGUUGUGAAAUUCAUUAUUCAAUAAAAAAAUAACACAUAACAAUUAGGUCUCAAGUUAGUAUUUUACUAUUGGAAUUCCUAACAUUAUUCUAAUAUUAAAAAAUUCAUCAAAAUAAUAUCCGUUGAUGCUGAAAUCUAGUCGCCUUUGGACCGACCAGAUUGGUUCACCAACGCUUGUAUUGACAAAGGAAUAGAGGCUGCGAUCCAUUAGCUUCAACAAUUUCCCGAGCUUCUGGGACCCAAAUCACCCGUCUUCUUCCUUCCAGGCCUAUGUUCACAUAAACAAAUCAGAGAAGCCGGUGGUUUUUUGGGCAUAAACCCUUCGAUACUUAAGUUAGUACAAGGUGUUUACGAGAAAAGUUAAUGAUUUGUGUUGUACAUAUUAGUUGCAAUAUUCUCAAUACCAAAUGUAUCAAGGAUUUGGAUAUUUGAAUUUCUGAUUAUAAUUUGACAGAGUUUCCCCUUUACUCUCAAUUUGUGUCUCCCCCUUUUCAUUGAUUUCUUGGCCUUUUAUAGGCAAUCAUCCCAUGUUUUCUGAGUAUUAUUCAUGCCCCUCAUUUUCGGGUGAUGACGGACCUUCAUGGGUCUCCAACCACCGAAUCGUGGGUAAACGUGGGGCGUCAUGUUCUCCCCAACGGUUUGGGGCAUGACAAAACUGUCGUGAGUUUGUGAGAUCGUGUCCUCUUUCUUUGAAUAAUGAGUACUUGGUCGAUAUGUACAUCUGGUCGGUACUCGUUUCUAGUCGGCAUAUGCCCCGUACAGGAUGUAUUACCAGGAAUCUGCUCGUGCCAUUCAUCUGGGGAGAUUCGCCCCAGGGUGAGGGAAGAGGGGAUAGCUGAGCUGGUACUUUUCAUUACUCAACAAUAUCUAUUAUCUAAAAAAAUAAAAUAAAAAUCUAAAACCAUAGAUUUACUUUUCAAUCUUCGUGAUUUGACUGAUUUCUUUUAAAGCUUUGGUUUCUUUAGAAGUGCAAGGAGAAAUAGUAAUAAGAUUAAAAAAGCAAUGAAGUAAAACUUUAAAAUUUUUGUUUCUUUAUAUUUUUAUCGGUCAUUUUACCGGUACUGGCGUUUGAUUUUCUGACUAAGCUACUGUUUAGUUCUAAGUUUUGGCAAUUACCCGGACUGCUCUCUUUCGUGUAACAUCGACACAAUGAGGCUUUGCAUCUAAAAGUCGGCAGCCACGCAACUUCUUGGAAUCUUCGUGCAAGUGUUGGAUAUCGACCGUUCGAUAAUGACGGCAGCAUUGUUCUGGAGUGUAAUUGACGCAGUGGAAUAAGGAUCACAUGUCUCAAACUUUCGGUGAAGAUAUUGUUAGAUAUUUUAUUGAUUAAGGAUCAUUCUUUGCACUCAUUCUCAAUCAAGAAACGCAUAUGCUUUUGUUCAUUGUAGUCACUGCUGUUUUGUUAUUAAUCUUUGCUCCCUUUUGCUGUCAACUCUCUUGAAUUUCACUGGAUCAACUUUUCUCUUGGCAUCUGCUUUGUUGUAAUCUCCAGUCUUUGUUAAUUAGUCUCUCCGCUCGCAAUCCAGUUGUUGAACUAGAAACCUUUUCCUUGUUUCCAUCUUCUCAGCAGAUCCAUAACAGCUAUUACGAUUUCUUUCAUUUCUCCUCGUCCACAACCAGAUAAACUGUCCAUCUUUGCGUUUCUUUUUCUUUUUCUCCUCACUCUCUCUGUGUUUCGCUCAUUGUUUAUUUUCUUGUCAGAAACUUCGAAAAAAAGAAAAGGGAUUCAGGAUGGUGGAAAGCAUUGUUACUAUUGUUUUAGAAUUUGUGAAAUGCUUGGCUCCUCCAACAGAACGCCGACUUGGUUAUUUGCGUACUAUAAAGCCAACGUUGAGAAACUCGAGGCAGAAAUAGACAAGCUCAAGGAUGAAAGGAGAAGCAUUCAGCACAGGGUUUCUGAGGCUGAAAGAAAAGGGGAAAAUAUUGAAGAGAAGGUUGAGAAGUGGCUGGUUAGUGCGAACAUCAUCAUUGAGCAGGCAGCCAAAUUCAUUGAUGAUGAGAAGACAACAAAUAAACGAUGUCUCAUGGGCUUGUGUCCUAAUUUGAAGACCCGCUAUCAGCUUAGCAAGAAAGCAGAAACAAAGGUGAAGGCCAUUGUUAAACUCCGAGAAGAAGCUGGGAGAUUUGUUGAUGGAAUUUCCUACCGUACCAUUCCGGAGGAUAUAUGGCUCAAGUCUCACAAAGGCUACGAAGCCUUCGAAUCAAGACUUUCUACUUUAAAGGCCAUACAAAAUGCAUUGAUCGAUGUUGAUGUCAGCAUCAUUGGGGUGUACGGCAUGGGCGGCAUUGGAAAGACGACACUGGUGAAGGAGUUUGCAAGGCGAGCCAUUGAAGACAAGCUUUACGAUAUGGUGGUUUUUUCGGAGGUUACCCAAUGUCCAGACAUAAGAAAGAUCCAAGAGGAAAUUGCGGAAACGUUAGGCCUAGAGUUGUCCGAGGAAGCUGAGUCUAGAAGAGCUAGUAGACUAUAUGAAAGAUUGAAGAAUGAGAAGAAGAUCCUUGUGAUUCUCUAUAACAUGUGGAAACCUCUUGAUUUGGGGACUAUUGGCAUUCCUUUUGGAGUUGAGCACAGAGGAUGUAAAUUAUUAUUCACAACAAGAGAUCUUGAUGUGCUGUUAAGGAUGGGAUCUGAAAAAAACUUCUCGAUUGGCAUUUUAAAUGAACAAGAAGCCUGGAGAUUGUUCAAGAUAAUGGCUGGUGAUUAUGUUGAAAAUCGUGAGUUAAAAUCUGCAGCAACAAGUGUAGCCAAGGCAUGCGGAGGUUUGCCUAUUGCCCUAACCACAGUAGCAAAGGCACUGAGAAAAAAAGAGCUGCCUGUGUGGAAGAAUGCCUUGCAAGAACUCCAAACGCCUUCAGAGGCAAGCUUCGACGAAGGAGUACCAGCAGAGGCAUACUCAACAAUUGAGCUGAGUUACAAGUACUUAAGAGGUGAGCAACUCAAGAAAACUUUUUUACUGUGUAGUCUUAUUACGCCAGCACCAAUUAUGGAUUUGUUCAAAUACAGCAUGGGCUUGGGUGUAUUUAAAAGUGUCCAUAAGCUAGAAGAUGCACAUAACAAAUUACAUGCAUGGGUCCAUCAACUAAGAGACUCUUGUUUGUUGCUUGAGGAUGGUGGCAGUAAAUACAUUUCUAUGCACGAUGUUGUUCGCGAUGUUGCCAUUUCAAUUGCAUUUCGUGACAUGAAUGCAUUUGUGGUGAGAAAUGAGGAUGAUUGGAAAUGGCCAAAUGCAGAUGAAUUAAAAAAAUAUUUUGCAAUUUCUUUUAAAGAUAGUAUUGUUAAUGACAUUCCUGAAGGGUCGGAAUCUCUACAACUUGAACUUCUAUUCAUGUCUCCCAAGAACUCUUUUGCUGUGCCUAAUAUUCCUGAGAACUUCUUCAAAAGGACGAAAAAGCUUCGGGUUUUGGAUUUGACUAGAAUGCGGUUAUUGUCAUUGCCAUCUUCAAUUGGUCUUCUAGUAAAUCUUCAGACACUUUGUCUUAAUCAAAGCAUUUUGGGAGGCAUAGACAUAGCCAUUAUUGGAAAGUUGGAAAAUCUAGAAAUCCUUAGCUUUUUGCAAUCUGAUAUUGUAGAGUUGCCUAAAGCACUGGGUCAACUGACUAAGCUAAGGCUGUUAGAUUUAACAGACUGCUUCCGUCUGAAAGUUAUUGCCCCAAAUGUCAUAUCGAGCUUAAUCCGAUUAGAAGAAUUGUAUAUGGGUAAUUGCUUCAUUGAAUGGGAGGUUGAAAGAGCCAACAGCAAAAGAAGUAAUGCUAGCCUUGACGAAUUGAUGCAUUUACCUCGGCUAACUACUCUAGAAAUUGAUGUUAAAAAUGAGAGUAUGUUACCAGAAGGCUUUUUGGCCAGAAAGCUCGAAAGGUUCAAAAUACAUAUUGGAAAUGGGUUAUUCAUGCAUCCCAUGCUUUUUGGACAACAUUGGUUUAAAAGUCAGCUGCACUUUUUGAUCGACAGUAAUCGCAAGAUUUCAAGAGAAUUGGAGCUCAAGCUUGAUUUUAUGGACAUUUGCUCCAUGAAAUUGCAAGGCAUCAAUAACGUUGAAUACUUACGGUUGGACAAGCUGCAAGGCAUCGAGAAUGUUCUUUUCAAUUUGGACACGGAGGGCUUUUCACAAUUGAAGGUCCUCUGGCUUCAAAAUAAUCCUGACUUCUUUUGUAUCGUCGAUUCAAGGGAGAUGGUCGCUUGUGAUGCCUUUCCUCUGUUGGAGUCACUUGCCCUUCACAAUUUGAUCAACAUGGAGAGGAUAUGUAUUGAUCGGCUCAAAGUAGAGUCUUUCAACGAACUCAAAAACAUAGAAGUAUAUAAUUGUGAUAAGUUGAGUAAUAUCUUUUGGCUCUACUACAAAAUGCCUUCCAAGACUUGAGAGAAUUGCAGUUAUUAAUUGCAGCAAAAUGAAAGAGAUUUUUGCAAUUGGGGAAGAAGUUGAUAAUGCAAUUGAGAAGAUAGAGUUUGCUCAAUUAAGAUCUUUGAGUCUGGGGAAUCUUCCAGAGGUUACAAGUUUUUGCCGUGAGGUGGAGACUCCUUCAGCAUCACCGAACAGACAAGUGUCGCAAGAGGAAUCGACGACUAUGUAUUGCUCCAGCGAAAUCACUUUGGAUAUUUCAACUUUGCUUUUCAAUGAGAAGGUGCGUAGGCUAACAUUUUAUUCAUAUAUAUAUAUAACAGAGUUUAUUCUAUCAUGCGUUCUCUUAUGUCAAACGUGGAAAAUAAUUAAAUCAUUUAGAGAAUUGAAAGAAAAUGAAAACAAUGAGGAAAAAAAUAAUCUCACGCACUCACUAAUUGAGCUCUUAACAGGUAGUAUGAAUUAGAAUGUUAAUUUGUAAUCAAAGAGAAAUUUUCAACAAGAAAUUCUUAUCUUUUUAGGUUGCGUUGCGUAACUUGGAGGCUUUGGAGAUAUCUGAAAUUAAUGUCGACAAGAUUUGGCACUACAAUCAAAUUCCAGCGGCAGUGUUUCCUCACUUUCAAAGUUUAACACGAUUGAUUGUGUGGGGUUGUCACAAAUUAAAAUACAUAUUUUCAGCGUCUAUGAUCGGAAGCCUUAAGCAGCUCCAACGCCUAGAAAUACGCUCCUGUGAGGAUUUACAGGAGAUCAUCUCUGAAAACAGAGCAGAUCAAGUGAUCCCUUAUUUUGUCUUUCCACAGCUCACCACUUUGAUACUCCAUGAUCUACCAAAACUUAGAUGUUUGUACCCUGGAAUGCAUACUUCGGAAUGGCCCGCCCUAGAAAUUCUUUUAGUGUAUCGUUGUGACAGAUUAAAGAUAUUUGCGGCAGAUUUAUCGCAGAAUAAUGGGAAUGAUCAACUUGGUAUUCCUGCACAACAGCCCCUAUUGCCAUUGGAAAAGGUAUGAAGCCAUUUUCUAGAUUUUUUAUCUAUAGCUUAUUUUUAACUUUGAAAAAUAUGACAAAGUAUUGAUAAAUUAAUGCUCAAUAAAUUGAAAACUUUUAUUAUACAAUAAUCUUUGCUAGUCUAGACUAAGGGAUCAAUGUGGUAGAUUAAUGAUUAUAUAAACUUUUUUAGGUAUAGCAUUUGUAAAAGAAUCUUGAGUCUUUCCAUAUAGAAGAACUUACAAAAUAAAUUAGUAAUUUAUUAUUGUGCAGUAAAAUAAUUUCGAGUCAGUAUAAAUCAACCUUUUUUCCCUAAUUUCUUUUUUACCUCUAAAAUUAACAUAUAAAAAAUCAUUUAAUAAAUUUUAUCAAUAAUUCAAUUUUUUUAAAUAUAAUAUAAAACAAAUACUAUAAACUCACUGCUUAUGAUUGGAUUACUCAAAAUCAUUUGAGAAAACAUCAAUUGACCUUAUUAGUUAUUAUGAUUGAUGAUGAUCAGAUCUUACCCAACUUGACGGAACUAUCACUAUGCGGAAAAGACGUGAAGAUGAUUUUGCAGGCCGAUUUCCCACAACACCUUUUUGGCAGUCUUAGAGAUCUAGGGAUUGCUGCUGAUGACUCAGCUUGUUUUCCAAUCUGGAAUGUACUGGAGAGAUUUCACAAUCUCGAAAUGCUCGUACUGUGUUAUUUUUCAUUCCACGAAGAGGUAUUUUCGAUGGAAGGAUGCUUAGAGAAACAUGUGGGGAAGUUGGCAAUGAUAAAAGAAUUAGAGCUGUACCGGCACUAUCAUCUGAAGCAGCUGUGCAAACAAGACACCAAAUUUGGCCCCAUCUUUCAGUAUCUUGAAAUUCUAAGAGUAUAUCAUUGUCAAAGUCUGUUAAUUCUAUUGCAAUCAUCAUCGGUAUCUUUUGGGAACCUAACAAAACUUGUAGCUUUCGAUUGCAAGAAAUUGAUACACUUAGUAACAUCCUCCACAGCAAAAACUCUAGUGCGACUCGUAUCACUUUGUGUAUACGGAUGCAGAGCAAUGACAGAGGUGGUAAUAAAUGACAAAGACGGGGUUGAAAAAGAAGAGAUUGUUUUCCGCAAAUUGAAGAGGUUGGAACUGCGUGAUUUAGACAGCCUCACAAGUUUCUGCUCUGCCAAUUACACCUUCAAAUUCCCAUCUUUGCAAGAUCUAUCUGUGAUUGGUUGUCCCAAAUUCAAGAUUUUCACUACAGGAGAAUCAAGCACGCCUCCGAGAGUAAACGUCUGGUAUGGAGAGACAUCGAAUCAACGGCGUUGGGCUAGUAAUGAUCUUAACACGACCAUACAACAAUUACAUGCUGAGAAGGUACGGAUAUACGUGUUACUCUCUAUCUCCCAUGGAAAAAUUUUACAAAAUUUGCUUUUUCUUUUUAAAUAAAAUAUGGAUAAGAUAUUUGUUAUAAAGUUAGUUUAAAUUGAUGAAUAAGAAUUUUAUUUUCAGCUGUUGGCGGGGUCGUCGUCAUACUCUGUGGAUUACGACUAAUUUCAUAGGCUUCUUAUGACUUGGAGUUACGAAUUUGAAGAAGAAAGUCCCAGCUGGUAAUUAAUUCUUAUUUUAUUUAUUUGAUCUCGUGGGUUGUUUCACAAUUUCAUCUCAAUUGUUUAGAAUGGGUCACUUGGUUUACUGUCAAUAUGGAAUGCACUUUUCAUGAUUCGUUCAGGCUUUUAUGGGCAGAUUUUGCGUCAUUGAGCGUCUUUUGGUCUAAUUUAAUUUAAUUUGAGUAUUUUGUUUUGAGAGUUCCCUUGUUCUCUAAAAUUUUAUAAUUCCUUGCAAGCAUUUUAUGUUGAAAUUUCAAUAAGAGGGGCAACACUUGCAUGUUGAAAGUGUUCAGAUUUUAUAAUUCCUUGAAAUCAUGCAAACUUUUUUCUUUCUUUCCUUGCCAAUUAUUUAUUGUCAUCGUUACUGUUCCGUUAAAUUUGUUUGUGCUCUGUUUGUUCAUUGGAAACUUGGAAGGCAACGAAAGUACUUAAGAGAAUGUUCUUGCCUAUUAACACAUAAUUAAGAACAGCUGAAUAUCAUUCAUCGGAUAAAAAAAAAAAAAUCUAAUUAGCCCGUCAUGCCUACAACAAAUGCUUAAACCAUCAAAGGUUAGCUAUGAACAAAUAUAUUAUGGAAAUAUUGUUUUAAAGCAUUCGAUAGAAUUUUCAAAAAUAUCAAGUUUUCACAAACCAAAAAGGGAACUAAUUUGGUCUAGUUUUGUUACAAGUAUAGAAGUACAAUAUUUUGUCUGUUAUUCUUGUUAAAAUUCUCAGCUCUGUGUUUGUAGAAUGUCUGGAUACUGAUAGAGAUUCAAGUCACUCUUCUUCUGUACAACAUUCGAAAUGAAGCCUUUUUUCCCCCUCCAUUCAAAUUUUAUGUUGUGAAGGGUUUCCGUUUCCAUCUUCAUGUGAUUUACUUCACCGUGUCGCUACAUCUAUGAUAGUGUGUGUUAUAUCCUGUCUGUUUCCUUUAUUUGACCAUCGAAAGUUCAAAGACAGUUUAUUCUAAAUAUGUGUAAAUUCAUUUUCUGUAUAAGCUCUUUGUAUGCAUUUUGACAUUUUAUUCUCAAUAUGUAUGACUUAAUGAGAGGUCUUUUGUUAUACAUAUGUCCCGAAUUUCUUGUGUAUUUUUAGAUUUGAUGAUGUAUUCUUGUCUCAUUGCAAGGUCUUAUAAUCACUGAUUCUCAUUUCUCGUAUACAUACGUAUAUAUGGGCAAGAAAUUUGGUAAAUGAUCUAGUCAUUUUCUCAGUAAAACAUCUAGUACUUUAUAUGUUGGAAGGGUACUAAGCAGCAGGCCAAGAUUUGUCAACUCAAAGAUCGUCAUGUCAUUUUUUAAAAAUAUUAAGGAAUUCUAAGGAACCUCAAGAGAAAAUUUAGAAAUACUAUAGGGACUACUUCUGCAUUGUUCAUUUUCGUAAUUACGUUCAUUAUUAUUUUUUUUUUUUCAAUUAAUCAAACUUCAGUUCCUUAGCAUUCAUCUAAUUAUGUACUUCAUCUGGAAAUCCUUAAUUUACUCAUCAAAAUGUGAACGCUAAGGAAACUAUGAAAAUAAAUAUAAAACUACUAGCUAAGUUUAUCAUCACAUAUGAUCAGCACUAGACUAUCAAAUAAUCAUAAAAGCAUAUAAAUUCAAGCUACUGUAUUAUUUGUAGCUUUCUAAUUUGUGUUUAUAAAGAAUUUAGUUAUGCAACAAAAAAAGGGGAUACGAAAGUAGCCAUAAAAAAUACUCUGUUUUGUAGUACUUCAACAUAUCUACUGGCUAAGAAGUAGCAUCACAUAUGAAAAUGUCGGCACAAAUACUCAAGCAAGUGCAAGUGUGUGGACGAGCCACUUGUGUUAUCAUGAAACUUAAUAUAAGUAUCAAAAGUUGGUGGAUUAUUGUGGUUUUCCUGCUUUAUCGUUUUUGGUUGAAUAAAAUAAUAUAAAGCUGUCGAUUCUGCAUUAAAGCAUAUGAUUUGUGAAGAUAUGAAUACCACAUCUUUCCAACUCCUCAACUCUUGAGUAAUUACUAGGUUCCCACCCAUGCAAACAUAUUUUCUUUCGAGAAAAAGGGAUGCCUGAUUCAGGGCAUCCGUUGCCUCGGUUUAUUUGAUUUUGUUUGGUUCAAUUGUGGUUCUGUUAUUUAGUUUUUCCUCUGAUGGUUCUGUUUCUCUGUAUAUUUCACUGGGUUUGCUUUGCUUCACAUCUUUCUUUCAAAACUAAGAAGGCAAGGAAAGAGAGUACUUAAUUAGAAAAUGCAAGAAGCAUAUAUUAAAUAUGCAUAUGGCUCAUGCUCUUGCCUAUGAACACAUAAAGAACAACUGAAUAUCCUUCGUCGGAUAACAAAAAAGAAAAUCUAAUCAUCCAUUUAUCCAUACAAGAAAUGAUACCAUUACUUUUAGCAAAUUGAAAGUGUUGUAUCUUUUUUAUUUAAAAAGUCUCUUAAGAUUUUUAUUUUUUCCGGUAAUUACACCUCCAAAUUUCCACAGCUAUAAUGUCAAUUUGUAAUUAUUUGUCCCAAGAUGCAGAUUUUCACUAGAGGAGAAUUAAUAAUUACGCUAUUUCGGCCCAGAGGACCAUGAAGCCCCUUGGGUUGUUGACAUUAACACUAGUGCGUUUACCAACCUAAACCUUCGGUUUGGUCAACAGUGUCUAAAUUGAACCUAUGGUGAAUGGAGGAAAAAGAAAAAGAGAUUUAUUAGAAACCUCCCCUGAAGUUUGAUAUAUUUUUAGUUUAAUAGAUUAUAUUUGUGUAUUCUCAAAUACCUCCCCUGCUGCUAGGGUUGGCAAUAGGACGAGAUAUGAUAGAAUUUACCAAUUACAGUCCCAUCCUGUAUAUGUAAAUGGGAUUAAAAAACAUAUCAGUCCUGUCCCUAUAUUUGUUUUUAGGACAAAAAAUAUAUCCUAAUCUCGUCCAAAAAGAGAUAGAAUCCUGUAGGAUCUCAUCCCAAUUAGAAAAUUUUUUAUUCUUAAUCGAUAAUGAGACGAGAUGGGACAGAAUUUGUCAAUCCUACUCCCGUCCUGCAUAUGUAAUUGGGAUAAAAAAAAUCUCACUCCCGUCCUUAAAUUUUUUUAUGGAAUAAAAAUAUGUCCCAAUUUCAUCCCAUCAAAAAAAAUUAUCAUUCCUAUCUGGCGCUAGUAUACCUUUCUUAAUACCCCUAAUUUAGAAAAAAAAAAUUUGUAUACUGAAAAUAAAAAAUUGUUGGUUAGUACCAGCAUGUUUGUUUUGGUGCCAAGGGAUGUGAAUGCAAUGAAAAUAUCAAAUCAUCCCCGUUACUUUCCAAAAUGACUUUGAUAAAUGAAACAAACAAAAGAUUUAAGUCAAAUAUCAAAGAAUCAGAGGGAAGCUGUUUUGCACUGGCCUAAUUGCUAUGCUGUCUGAAUCAAAUUUCGUUCAAUCUUGGUGUCCCUCUUUUAUUCAAUAUAAGAAGAAUGAAAAAAGUAGGUUGUUUUUUACACAAGUGAUAGAAAUACUUCUGAACUUUAGACAGUGUAACACCAUACACAUCAAAGAAAUAAGACAACAAACCAAUUCCCAUACAUAAAGCCAACAAAAUUACUAUUUAGUACAAGAGAUGCAACAUAAUUUUAAAUUUUAUUCCUCAAGAGCUACAAGUGAUACAAAUGAGUACACAAAUCAACCAUCUGUAGCUUAACCAGAAGUUGAUGCGAAUGCAUGAAAAUGAAAAAAGCCUACGAAUAGUAUACAUGGUAAGUAUGACUAAGUAAAAUAACAAUUCUGAUUGAUAAUACCACCAGCAACAGGACCUUCAUACCCUCUCUUUAUUAAUCACUAGUUGGUAUGCUAUAGCCCAGCCAAGUGUAAAAUGAAUGGCGAUCGAGCUCUUGAGCCUCUUUAUACCCUCCAUAAGUUGUCCUCAACUUCAUCAAGGACUGCAAAUAUAUUAAGCAAUAGAAAAAUAAUCGUGAUACAUUGAGUAACAUAUGGAGCAUGCACCUGCUUUAUAAAUAUCCAAGAGUCUGAAGAUAGAUACAUGGAGCUUGAUUUGCCAAAUGAUCUAUCAAAAAAGCCUCAGUGCAAAAUCUUCAUCCAUAUUCCAAACAAAACCAGGCAUAUCAAUCCUCUGCCAGGCGACAAUCCUAUAUAUGUAAAGCUUCUUAACAGGGAGCUCCGGCCUUUAAUCUGGGGGUCUCCUCUCGUCAAUAACUUAAACAUUCAGCGUGAUUUUCCAAAGACACUGCAAUUUUCAUUUAUAACUCAAACAAAUAAGACAGGACUUAUCUAAAGACACUGCAAUUUUGGACAUUGGCUAACAAGUGUGAUUAGGUCAAGACUUUGUAUAGUGGCAUAGCUCAUAUUCAAGGUUAUUAGGCCAGAGCAAACAAAAUUGACAGAUCACACUAUUUGAGACCAUAAUCAGGUUGCAUCUACAACUCAUUUUCCAAAAUUAUACCAAUCUCUAACCCAGUACAUUGCUAAUCAAUAUUCCUGAUUAAUAUAGGCAGCAAUGACUGUAUAAACAAUUAUUUCCAGCCAACCAGGUAUGCUAGAAGCCAAAUCUAUAGUAGAGAAGGUUUUGCAGAUCUCCUAAAAAAAAAUCUCAUCUUCAAUUUAACAAAAACUAGCAUGAAUCUCUGUUCAAUAAUCAGCAGUAAUACCUUAAACAAAUAAAAAAAUUUCAGAGCCAUUUUCAAUCUGUCACACGGCAGCAUAACAAAUCACAAGCCAUUUUCAAUCAAUCACAAGCUAACAUGCAUUUGCAACAAUCAUUCACCUACAACUAACAUUAAUCGAUGGAAAAAAAUGUAAGCGACAGAAAUACUCUAAAAAAUUUUCGAGACCCAUUAUUCUUUUUUCUAUUUUUUUACCAAAUAGAGUGACCAUGUCGUGCUGUGAAAUUUGAUAAGAAACCUCGACGUGUUUGUUUUGUUACUGUUUUGGGACUUUCAUUUGGUUUGCUUGUUAAUUUUAUUAUUGGUUCGGUUUCGGUUUUCAUUCAUCCCAACCGAAAUGAAACCGUCCAAUUUAGGUUAUUGCACAACCGAAUCAAAUAUCGAACCGAAUCUGAUACGGUUCUUCAAUUUUCUGCCCACUCCUACUUCAUGACAAUAAACAACAAAAACAAAAUCCAUAAUAUAGCUUUUGAAUUCUUAAAAGGGGGGAGAAAAAAAAGCACAGGUGAGUAAGCUAUUAAGGUAAGAAGUUGAGAUUAGACACGUAUCAGUAAUAUUGAUAUUUAAAUUUUACUCAAACAACUCUAAUUCAAAAUAUGUAGAAACAAUUCAAAAUAACAAUAAAAAUUAAAAAAAUAUUAUUUCAAGGAAUCCAAACAGGGUAUAUGAUGAGUAUGAUGCUGUUUUAAAUUCUCAACUGAGGAAAAACAGAGAUAGAGAAAGAACAUACUAUCAACACCAGCAAAGGCUUUGGAUUCUUAAGCAGGUGGUGAUGCAUGGUUUGUCAGGAGGUGGAGAUGGAAUUCUGAUUUGUUGUUGGCAAUAGCACACGAUUUUUGGCAGAUUCGGGCGAAAUUACAUUCUUAUAUAGAACCGAGGAAAGGGUGCUGGCCAAUAAAUGAUAAAGGCCUGUAUAAAGAAAGACAAACAAUAAUGUGGGCUUUAGAGAAUCAGAAACUUGAUAGAAGAGAAGGGGAAUAUCAACAAUUAUUUCAGAAGAAAGAAAAAGAAAAAAGCAAGCACGCUUGAAAAUUUUUCAAGAUAAUGAAACCGCAUUAAUUAACAGGUUAAAAUUUUUUGUAAGAUUACUGGUUUCUAAAAAAUUCUAUGAACCUUUCAGUUUCACAGAAAGAGAGAUAAAGACAAAGACAGUAGUCUACAUUAAAAGCACUUAAAAAAUCCAGUGCAGAAUACAUCUCUAAAAGUACUACAAAAUAUAUACAAGUAAAUAUUUAUAAAAGAAGCAUUGAAACGAGUCAGAAUGUGACCCACCGUGUGUCCUUGACUGUAUAUAGCAUUAAAGCAAUACUCCCCUAGUAUGAUAUGCGCACACACAAUUUAUAUAGACGCAUAAAACAAAAACAGCACAAAUCUUAUUAUUUGUCUUGCUAAAACCCAAGAAAUAGCUUAUAAGAUGAAAUGGACUGCCCAUGGUUCAUACAAAGAAAAGAAUAAGCCACAUAUUAAUUGAAGCUAACAACAGACAUAAAAUGAUAAAUGAAAAAUGCUCACCUUCAGAAUGAAGUCAAUGUAAUGAAGAGCUCAAAUUCAGUUCUGCCACCUGAAAAAAUGUGGUAUUCACCAGUAACUUUAACCCCAUUUUGCUAACCCUUAACUUCUGCAAGCUUUGUGUGGGGAAAAUUAUAAUACCAAAUCUAUCCCACACAGCAUGAGAACAAAUCUUAGCCCAAGUGAAUUAAAAGUACUCAAGUAUAUAUUUUAUAAUGCAUAAUAUAAGAUCAUACCCUAUCCCUGCUUUGGGGCCACUUAAUUGAGUGUUUGUAUCCUUCCGGUAAAGGAGCAAUACAGGUACAAGCUUCUUCAGGGCAAUACCUCUCUCGAUGUUCAUAAUGCUUUUGUGCUGGAAAGCAUUCUAAUUGCUUGCAAAUUGUCCAGGCAAGGGAUGCAAUCUGGCCUAGCAGUGGCAUUACACACUUUCCAGCGAUGACCAUACGGGUCCUUAGAUAUAGAAGUUUGUUGUGAUAUUUUCUGAUUCUAUGACUCAAUAGGUUGAGUUAAGCAAGCCCCAUUCUGAGCAUUAGUUUCCUUCAGAAUUUCUGACUAGUCACCAAAAGGAAAAAUCUCAGUUGAAGCCUGAUCCUUUCAACGACUCUCAGUGUCAUUAUCUUGAUCUUGAGAAUCCUUCUCCUUUUCAAUCUGACUAGCCUCAUCCAUUUAUUUUCAUCCAAGCUCUUCUCUGAUUCAAUUUGCUCAAUUUUAUUCAAUUCGCCGCCUUCUGUUUCUCCAGCUUCUGAAUUCGAAUCUCCACCUUCACUUUUAGAUUCCUUAUCUUCCCUUUUUCUAACAUCGUAAUUUUUAGACACCACCUUAGAUUCCUCUUCAGACUCAGUAUUCUCAUCAAAACUCUCCUUCACUAAAUUCUCUUCCUGGUUUUGAUUAACCAUAUUCUUAGAUUCACUCGUCUCACCAUCACCCUCAUACAUAUUCAUCUCUUCGUAAUUAUCUUCCACUCUAUUCUCUAACUUUUCAACAGGAACAUCAUCCCCAUCCCCAUUUGUUGAAUCCUGUCAUUCAUCACCUUGAUUUUCUACGGAAGGCCCAGAAAAAUCUCAGAUACUCUCUGUUUCACUUUGCUUAUAGGCUCUUAAGAGGACAACAUCCUGGAUCCCACACCAGUACAACUGAUGAUGACAUUAACAUCCAAACGCCAACCAGAAAACGACCAACAAACACUACUACAGUAACCAUUGAACAAAGACAAUAUCACAGGUUCUUUAGCUAUUUAAUAUUCCAUCAAAUAUAAUUAUAUAAUACCUACCAAGGAUUUCCGAAUAGAAGGCAUUCUCAUCAUUCUCAUCUCAAGCAGCAACCUCACCAGUAACACAUUUUCAUAUCAUGUUUCCACCACAGGUCGCACAUAUAGAAAGAAUGAAGUAUUAAUUAGCUUCAACAGAGCCUAUUUCUUUAUUUCUUUUUUUCCCAAAUAAACCUUCAUUCUUAUACGUAUAAUUAAAAUAUCAACUGAAUAAACAAAGUCUGUGAUUACUAGUACAACAUUUUCAUUUUCAAGCGGAGCUAGAUAAGAUAUCGAUGUCUGUCAAAUAAACCUAAUUUAAUCUUGAAACCAUAAACUGCACUAAGCAUAGCAGCAAAGCCAGAGCCUGACUAUAAAGAAGAUAAUAUAUAUAUAUAUAUAGAGAUUAAACUUUUGUUUUAUCUUCCACAAGCAAGAAAUUCGACUGGAACAUGAAAUUUUUAACAAUCUUACAAACAUUAUACACAAAUCUCAAUUAACGGCAAAUAGGGGGAUGAAUCACUGACAUCACCCAAUUCAUAUAUUCAAUUAAUGUAUUCCCACCCCAGUCAGCAACGUGCUACCACAGUUGAUUAGUUAUUAGGGAUAAGGCUUACCGCAAAGAACUGAAUGGCGUUAUCUAAAUAAUGAGUUGAAACGGCAUCUGCAAUCGCAUUAAAUGGCAUUGAACCGAAAGGUAGGGUUUAAAUGAAUGUUGGCCUGAGACAAAAGGGCGUGGCAUAUUGGGGUCUUAUGGCUUCGUUUUGUUUCAAUUGACGGAGGGAAGCUGAGCGAAAGCUUUGAUAUGUAAAUUUCAGCUUAAUUUAAGCUAGGGUCUUCUUUCGAUUGAAACAGAAAAAGAUUUUGGGUUAUUAAAGUGAAAGAGAUGGAAUAAUACAAAAAAUUAGCAAAGUGAAAGCGAGGGAAUACAAGAUUUAUUAUGGGUCCUAAGAGCUGAAGGCAAUUCGCCAUGGUUCUGAUAUACGGAAAACUUUCUUAGCUUUAUCGGUGGUGGAAGUGAGGGUUAGGGCUAGGGUUCUACACAAUGUCGUUGAGAAUGGCUCAAAGUUCAUUGAUUUUAGGUUGCGGCGAGAGAGGGGUUUAUUCAACACUUGUCGAUAUUUGGCUGAAGUGUUGGUAUGUUUUAAGUUUCAUAAAAACGACGUCGUUAAUUUAAACGUCAUCAUUUUAAGAUAUUAUAAAUCCACAAAACUUGAGCAUCACUUAUAUCUAUAAUUUAUUUAUGUUAGUUAAGUUAUAAGUUAUGAAUAUGUCAUAAACUCUAAACAUAUGAAUAUAUGCCACACCAAUAAAGUGUUGGCUCCAUUAGCAAUGGAGUCCCCUUAAGUGGCUUGAUUGGGUUUGCUCCUCAGUUCUAGUUGCAGGGAAGUCGCCUUUGUUGAGAGAACUUGUGCCUCCCGGUUCGAGCGGGGACUUCUAAUAUGGGUUGUGGUACGGGCUUAAAAGUGUCUCCCACAAUUGGGGCCCUCCUCAAAAUACCUCGUGGUUAAGACAAAAUAUAUAUAUAUAUAUAUGUCACAAAUCUAUCACACUUUCAUGAUACAUUUGUGACGUAUCGAAGGUUCAUGUCAUUCCUCCGGUGCAACAUUCGAAAUAAGGCCAUUGCCCUUGUGAAAUUUGCAUUACUUCUAUUGAAAAUCUACAUAAUAAGAGCUCUCCCGUUGCAUUUUUCGUUGUUUUGCUUUUGCUUUACUUUAAUGUGUCGCUACAUGAACAAGUAUAUUGCAACAUAUGUACCAUCAAUUUUGCUAUGUCUUAUUCCCAAUUUUAUAUAAUACAAAUCAUUUUGAAAUUAUAAUAACAACAACGGGGUCAAGCACAUUUUGUGUCUUGAAGAUUUGCGAGGGCUCCAUCCUACAAAGUUAAAUUAUUAUUGUUGUUGUUGUUAUUAUUAUUAUUAUUAUUAUUGAUGACGAUGAUGUGCUGUUGAUGUUUUUAUUAUUUGAGAGAUGGUAGAAUAAAGUUAUUCAUUUUGGAGCUUAACAGUGGAAAAUAAGGAAAACAAGAAAAAAGUUGUAUUCGUGUUAAUUUCCUUUGUCAUUUCUUGUUUCUAGAAAUAUUUUUGCUUCGUUUAUUCUAUUUUAUUUGCUUAUUUCAUUGGGCUUGCUUCACAUAUCAUAUCUAUCUUUCUUUCAAAAUUUGAAGGGAAGGAAAGUACUUAGAAAAUGCUCUUGCCUAUGAACAUGUAAGAAAAACUGAAUAUCAUUCAUCGGAUAACAAAAAACACUAAUCAGCGCAUAAUCCCUAGAACAAAUAAUUAAACCAUCAAAUGUUAGCUAUGAACAACUAUAUAUCCUAUCAUAUUUAACUUCUAUUUAUGGUCAUAUCCCUAACAUAUUUAGAGUGGUUUUGGAAUUUUGAUUACAUCUGAGCUUUCUCAAAAGCAGAUGCUGUGAAAUGAAGUUACUAUUUGCUUUUCAAAACUGUUAAUAAUGAUAGUAGUUUAGAAACUUGAACCACCACCUACGUGAGUCUGUGAAUUUCACCUUUUUGUUUGAUAAUUGGAGGUUUUCGUUUAAUGCCUAAAUUCGUAAACUGUGGAAACGUUUGAAAGCAUCUAUAGCAUAUUCAUUAAAAUCACGUUUUCACAAACCAAAAAGGGUACUAAUUUGGUCUCGAUGUGUGAAAAGUAACACCUACCUAGCCAUCCAUCAGGUAAGUGAAUAAGUAUAAAAAUAUUAAUAUUUUCUCUGUAGUUCCUAUUAAAAUUGUCUAUUAUAGUUGCAGAAUGUCUAGGAAGUAUAAAAGGAUGUCGUUCAAACAUGAUUAAGAUAGAAAGGGAAAAAAUAAGUAAUUAUCCAUGGACCACUUCAUCUUUUAGCCUUUAUAAAAAACAUACAAACAUUUUUUAUUGUUUUCAACAAUCCAUCUAAUAUUUACAAACUGCAUCACAGCUCCACUACUAUCAUAACCCUUUAAAAAUGUUGCUUAAUCACGAGAACCUAUUACUUGUAAAUUAUUUUUCAAGCAAAUGCAACAAUAGAUCUAGUUUUGAUCUGGGUGACUUUUAAGUGUACAGAAACGAGGAGAACGACCUUAUGUCAAGUUGAAGGAUUAAGAUAAAUCAAUUACAAAUCCAAACAAAACUUAUGAGUGACAUUUUAGUAUUAAGCAAACCUACCAUAAUUAAUCAUCCAGUGAUAGGUUUGUUUUCAAUUAGAGUAAUGAUAGAUAUCUCAAAAUAUUUUAUCCCAAAUGGUGUGUCAUUACUUGAAUAGUAGGUAAUUCUUUCAAGAUUUGAGUGAAUUAAUUGUAUUAUCUCUUCAAUCUAUUGAUAAAUACCAUAUCAUUUGAGAUAAUUUUUUAAGAUAAAAGAUUUAGGAUGUGUGGCACUACUCAUUAAUUAUGCAACUUAAAUGCAAUUUUUUUAAAACCAUUUAUUUUCAUUAAAUUUUGAGCCAUUAAUGAAAUAAAUAUAAGUAAAGCUAUUUGAACCUACUCAUUUUCUCACUACAUCAUUUAUUUAAUCAAAUUAAAAUUUAAUUUUAAAAUAUAAUUCAUUAAAUUAUUUGUUUGACUUUGUUCUCUCUCUCUCUCUCUCCCUUCCUCUCUCAUUCUCUCCAACCAUUUUUUUUUUGUUUACAUAGACUAAAUAUUUCAAUUAACAAAUAAAAUUGUUAUAAAGAAUAACAAAUUUAACCAUAGACACCAAUAUUAAUUAAUAAACAAAAAAAUUGAAGAGUGAUAGAAUUAAAGUCUGUUAUACCACAAUUUGCUUUACUUUUAUAUUUUUAUUUUAGUGCGGAUAUGAUGUAGACAUUAUUUUAGGAUUUUAUAAUUUUUAUUAUUUUAUCGUUUUCUAUUUUAAUUAUAGUCAACUAUGGUAUAUGUCUUAGUUUUUUUAUUUCUAUUAAAAUUGUGAUUUAGUUUUUCUUUUUAAGUUAACUUAGUGAAGUAGGUUUAUUAUAUUAUAAAUCAAAAUCUUAUUAUUGUAACUUCAACUAUUGAUCAACUAAUAAAGCCCUUUUUAAUAAUUCCCUCUAAAAUUAUUUAUUAAAAUCUCUCUUGCAAAGUUAUUUAGAUUAAAACGUCGUCUAAUCUCGCUUUAUGCGUUAUUAAAAUCUCAUUGAGCCAUUGUUAGAAUGAGAUCUACUCACGUUUCGAUUAGGACGUAAACUAUCCACAUUACCUUAGCCAGUAUUAGAACAAUAGCUAAUAUUUCCGACCUAUCAAUUCCACUUCCGCUAUUCCAAUUUGUUAGUUUGUAUUAGAGUGGUUCAAUGCCAAUUGCACAGUUUUCCUGGCUACCCAUAUCCAUCCCCACCAAAUCCAUCAUUGUUUAUGCAACAAAAAAAUAUUACAAAAUUACAAAACCUUAGCAGCCGCCCACCGCCAUUUCCACUCUCCACUAAUAGUUCAUCAUUGGCUAAUCCAUCUACCAAACUCAUUAGCCACUACUGACCAAACCUUAGCCACUCCUGCCAUCAAUCGCCGCUUGUACCUACUAUAAAUCAUCUAGACCUAAAAAUUGGGAGCAUCCACCAGCUGCCACCGUGAAACCAACCAUCUUCACUGUCAACCAACACCACCACUAAACUUGCUAGAUUCCACUGGUCAUAACUUGACAAAACCCACCAAUGAUCACCGCCAUAAAUCGCCACAACGCUAACCCAAAACCCGGGCUUCACCUAGCACCACCGCAAACGCCACUUUCUCAUUGUCGAUAUCCAAAUCGCAAUUGAAAUCUCUAACAUGAAUGAAGCACCACAUAUGCCAAUUCAAGUCAACUUUUUGACCAAACCACCGUGAAUCCAGCCAAUCCUCGGCCAUUGUCGAGUUUCUCACGACCAUAUCUAGCAAAUCUAACCACUAAGGUCACCAGCCCCAGCGAAAGAAACUCUAAAGGAUAACUUUAAUCUUAGGUGUUCAAGUAAAAUGGUAAUUUUAAUCUUAUGACAUCAACAAGAUUCUAACGAGCUAAGAUGACAGUGAAUAAUUAAUAAACUCUAGGUGGAUUUCUACAAAGAAAAACGUUUCUGUGUAUUUUUAAAAAAGACCCAAAGACUACAUGGUUAGUGGAUAAUUUCCUUUUUUGUUCUUAUUUUCUACUAUUAUUAACAAUAAAAGUUUUUCAAUAGUAAUUGUUCCAACCAUUAUAACAAUUAUUAUUGUUAUUGCUGUUGUUGUUGUUGUUGUACAACAAUUGUGAAAUUCUAUCUACACAACCCAGGAGGGCGGUGAAUUGGCUAUUAAAAUUAUACUUACAAAAAUACAAAACAAAUUAAACAAAUGCUUUAAGAAAUUUAUAAUAGCAAAAUUAAACAAUGAAUGCAAUUAAAAAAAUAAAGGAGAAGAUAACAAACAAACGAAUUUUUAUGUGUUUCGACAAAACUCGCCUAUGUUUAUGCCGCCGAGCAAACUAAGUUUGAGGAUUCCACUAUCCAAACCUUCUCAGGCUCCAAGAUUUUACAAUUGACUUUUAAUGUGUCAAUAAACUUUUAUAGUAGUAAUGUGUACACAUACCUCUUUCCCCAAGUGUUUCCCACACUUAUACUCAUAAAAUUUUGAUAUUUAAUUGAAGAUUACAAAGAUUAAUCUCUAUAAGAGUGUAUAAGCAAAUGAUAACUCAAUAAUGAUUUAAUGCAUGUAGAUAAGUAAAAUGAAAGCUCAAGAUUAGUUGUAUGAACAAGUUUUAACUUAAUUGGGAUUGAAAAAGUUGUUAGAUUUGAGUUUGAUUUGGGUUCUUCUAGUUUAAACAAUCAAACUAGUCAUAAUUGACUUUUUGAGGACCCACUGGAUUGCUGCUAAAAUAAAGAAGUUAGUUGCUAUAUUGAUGUGGCAAGUUACCGUUACAAAUAAAAUUUAAAAACUUUUUUGCCUAAGCAAAUCGUCGCCUGAUUUAAAUGGUUAGCAGCUAUGUUUUUGGACCUGAAGCAGUUAGCCACUAUUCGUUAAGUGGUUAGUCGCUACUGUUUCAAAAUUUAUAGAUUUAAACUAAAAGUUCCUAAAAUUAUACUAUGGCCUAAAAUUUUGAAAUAUUUACAAAUAGGUCCACUUCAAGAAUUUAAUACAUUACUAAUUAAUUUCAAAGUUCUCAAAACUUUUCAGUCCAUAAAUUUGAAAACAAUUAAUUUUAUAAAAUCAUUUUUACUUACGUUUAAAACUUUUAUAUUAUAGAAAAUGAUGAUUUAAUUUGAAAAUUGUAUGAAAAAAUAUCUUGAACUCUUAAAUACUAAAUCAUGCAUAAAUUAAAUCAUAUUAGCUUUACAAGAAAUAUAACUAUGAAGAUUGCUUAAGCUAGUACCUUUAGUAUUCAUCCUUGAUUGUUGUUGUCUAUUGAGUGACUUGAAAUUGAUCUCACUUGAAUGAUUUUUGUCCUUCAAGAACUUGUCAGAUUGUGAGAAAUAAAUUUAUCAUUUUACCUUAUGUGGUUUGUUAUCAUCAAAAUUAAGGAUCAUAUAGCCGUUUACCCCAACAAUCUCUCCUUUUUUUAUGAUGACAAACACCCUAUGUAUUUUGACAUUUCUAUUGCCCCUGAGUAUAUGACAUAAUUCAAAAAAUAUAACCAAAUAUAUAAACUCACUCCCUCUAAGUACAUGAUCCAUAUAAUUGUACAACAUUUGUAAACUCUCCUUGAGUGACUCAGAAAGUAACUAAAAUACUACAAACACUCAAUCAACCCCCAUGAGCCAAAAACAUGUCAAAACACUUCAAAAUACAUGUCAAUAUCUUCUCCCCCUUCAUCAUGAAAAAUCACUCCUCUAUUAUACAAAUAUUAUCAAUAAUUAUCCCCUACAAAGAUCAUCAAUCGAAAAUCCACACAUGACCAUUAAUCAAGUAUCCAUAUACAUAAUCCAUAAUCAAUAAAGAUAAUCCAUAAAGAUAAUUAAUAAAGAUACCACAAUCAAUAACUAGAAUGCAUAAAGAUAAUCCAUAUCAACUCAAGUAUCUAUAAUGCAUAAGUAAAAUAAAAUCCAUCAAGUAUCCAUAAUGCUAAAAACGAAAAUGCAUAUGAUAAAUAAUGUCGGUGCAUAAAACAAGGAAGCAAAAGAGAUAAAAGAAAAUCACUGAUGAGGCAGCAAACAUGAUAAUAAGGAUGGUGGCGAAAAUUUGAGAGCAAUGAAAAUAAGCUGGUGAUGGUCUAGAAUUUGUUGUUGUUGAAGAAAGAGACGCUGCUGCUCAGAAAGAAAAUGAUCCUGGAAUGCUGCGAACGAUAUCUUAAGUUCGUUUUACUGUUCGGAUAUGGAACGCACUUUAUUCAACAACUGCUGGAUUGGGUUAUUGGGAAUGGCUGAAGAUGAUGAUGGUGGAGCAUCAGAAGGCCAAUGUAGAGCUUGUGACCUCAGGGAAGAACUAAGAUCAAGAACCCAGUAAGGGGAAGCACAUCGUUAAAGAUGCAAUGAUAAAAAAGAGCCAGCUUUGUGGGUUUUCUCAACAAGUUCUAAUUUUUAACCUAUUGGUCAUCUACCCACCCAAAUCCUAAGCUAGCAAUGACCUCAUCCCUUAACUCCUUGGGUUCAUCAUGAGAUGGUUCAGCUAUAGGGACCCAAAAAUAUUGAAGGAUAUGGGUAAUGACACUACCAACCGAAAAGGAUAGGUUUCCUAUACUCAGUGUAUUAAGCAUGUGCUGAAUGAUAAUAUUCUCACAUUUAGCUUUUACCCUCAAGGAUGCUAUCUAAUAAAGUAACAUCUAAGCGUGUAACCUCAGCACCAUGUCCCUUGUGAGGACUGAUCACAAGCUGAAGGACAUUAUGUAGGAUCCGAACUUGAAGAGGCAACACUUGUGAUCUAAGAGAGGAGUUAAAAAGCUCCAUGGAUAGAUCAGAUCACCUACAUAUGUUUCGAACAUCUAUGUUUCAAAUAUCAUCUACAACUAAAUACCAGGGAUAAUCAAUUUUAAUCCUAGAUGUAUACAAAUGCAACCUAUCAUCUAGGAUUCAUGUUUAAAUCUUCUACAGUAAACUUAAUAGGAAUCCCAAUAACAUUAGUAAUAAUCAUGUUGGCAAUAUUUGUAGAAAUAAGCAUGUUCGAAUAAAAUACUCGUACCAAAUUAGGACAAAUAUGUUCCUUAAGAACUAAGACAUUUGUCCAACCCAAUUCAGCAAGUAAAGUUCUAAGAUUUUUGCUACAACUUGAAAAAUUUUCUAAUUAAUCAAGAUUAACAUAUAUAGUAUGGGAGGACUGACCUUGUCAUAAAUCGAUCAGAGAAUCAUUCCAUUGAGGCAGAUUUGGGAAGUGGGUGGAAAUGAAUUUCAAAAUGUCUUUAUGAAUCUUUUUUUUUUUACAUUUUAGGCAUAUGCUUACCCUUGGACUUCUCACCACUAGCCAUUAAGAAAUUAUCAAAAUGUGUCCAAAAUUGCACAAAUUCGAGUUCACAAAGUUUUUAAAGAAAUAGAUGAUUUUGAACCGAUUAAAAUGUUCUUUGAGAAGAUCUAAGGAAUGUAUGGGUUUAUUUUGGUCGAAAAUGGUCAAAUAAUGGUUCAAAUUUGAGAAUGUUGAAACUGGUGACUUAGGCUUUAAGAUUUUGAGAGAAGAAUGAUUAGAUUGUGUUUUAAAAGCAAAUGUGUGAAGAUUAAUUGAUGGGAAAUGAUUUGGAAAGUUUAAUUUGACACAAAAGUGAUGUAAAAAUGGAAGAUUUUAGAGAGAGAGUAAAAGAAAUGAGAGAUGACAGUGAUAGAGAGAGGGUAACAACUGAAAGUAGGAAAAAGAAGAUGAACAACAUUUGAAAAUGUGAAGCCAGCUAGCCUCUUGAAGAAAGCGGUUAACCGUUUCAUUUUUAGAAACCAAGCAAUUAACCGUUUACUUUGAGCCGGCUGGCCAGCUAGUUUCUGCCUCACAAUUGGCUAGUCGCUUGUGGUUAACGGUUAGCUAGUUCCUCUAAAUUUUGCAUGAUUUUGCUUUUUGGCCAAAAUUUAAUUAAUUUUGAGACCAUUUUGUGAUCCCGAAGUAUUUCAAAAGCCAUUUUUAAUGCAUAAGAUAUGAUGAUAAAUAUUCAAAGAAGUAAAUUCAAGCAUAUAAAACAUUAAAAUCAAGUUUUUAUCAUACAAUCAAUCAAGAUAGAAAAUCAAGCAAAUUUGUAGUCUCAAUAUCAUGCAACGAAAUAUUGAUGUGAAAAUGUCAUCAUUCCAAACUCAAUCCAAAUCUUUGAAAACUAUUCUUCACAAAAAGGCUUUGUAAAAAUAUCAACAAGUUAUUUUUCUAUAGAAACAAAUUCUAAAGCAAUAUCUCUCAUUUGAACAUGAUCACGUGAGAAAUAAUGCCUAGUUUCAAUAUGUUUGGUCCUAGAAUGUUGAAUGAGAUUCUUUGACAAAUUUAUUGAGCUAAUAAUUUAUAUGAGUUCCCUUAGACCAAGAUCAAUUGUUCCUCAUAAAUAAUGAAAAAUUAUUUUAACCGCAAGCAAAUGAGAUUCUUUGAGAUAUGGUUGAAAUCAUGCACACAAACAUACACUAAAGUAAUGUCUACUAGCAGUAAAGUAAAGUAAAGAUAUGAUCAUACCUCGAUAUCUUUUGAUACAACAUCUUUACUUUUUUUAUCCUUAUCGAGCUUGAUUGUAGUACUCAUUGGAGUGUCCUUAGUCCUGAAUGCAAAAUCUUUUGAGUAGAUCUCUGAAAUACUUGGCUUGAUUAAUGAAUUCUUUUUUUCUUUUAAAUUUUAAGUCCAAGAAAGUACUUCUAUUCUCCCAUCAUGCUCAUCUCAAAUUCUCUACUCAUGCAAGAUGAAAAUUCCUUACACAGAAACUCAUUAGUAGAACUAAAGAUAAUAUCAUCAAUAUAAAUUUGAACAAGUAUACCUUGAUCCUUGUAUUUAACAAAUAGAGUAGUAUUCGCUUUACCCAUUGAAAAACUAUUUUCUAAAAGAAAUUUACUAAGUCUAUCAUAUCAUGCUCUAGAUGCUUACUUUAAACUAUAUAAAACUUUGGACAACUUGUAAACAUGAUCCAAAAACAUUUUUCGUUUUUAAAAUGAGGGGGUUGUUUCACUUAAGCUUCUUCAUAAUACAACUAUUUAGAAAGGUGCUUUUAGCAUCCAUUUAAUAUAAAAUAAAAUCAUUAUGAUAUGCAAAUAAUAAAAGCAUGUAAUGGAUUCUAAUCUAGAUACAUGUGCAAAGGUUUCAUCAAAAUCAAUUUCUUCUUUUUGGUUGCAUCAUUGAGCUACUAAUCUAACUUUAUUCCUUACAACCACACUAGAUUCAUCGAUUUUAUUCAUAAAUACCCAUUUACUGCUUAUUACAGAUUGAUGUUAUGGUUUAUGAAUAAGUUUCCAUACAUUGUUUCAUUCAAAUUGAUUUAACUUUUCUUGUAUUGCUAUAAUCCAAGAUUCAUCAUUUUCCACAUCUGAAAAAGAUUUUGGUUCAACUUGAGAUAUGAAUACAGUAUGUUCACAUGUAUUUCUAAGUGAUUAUCUAGUAGUUAUACCUCAUGAAGGAUCUCCUAAGAUUAAGUCUUAGGGUGUGAAGAGACAUACCUUAGCUCCUUGGAGCGUGUUUGUGAAUUACCUUCAUUUUGAAUCUGUUUAACUUGUUCUUCUUGUUGCUUAUCUUGAUUUUUACCUCGUAAAUCAUCUUGUUUGUCUUUUAAAGACUUUUUGUUUUGUAACUCUUCAUAUGCAUCAUCAUCAACAACAACUUCCUUCAUAGAAGAAAAGUUAGAUUCAUCAAACAUAACAUGUAUAGAUUCUUUAGUGACCAAGGAUCUUUUAUUAUACACUCUAUAAGUUUUGCUUGUAUUUGAAUACCCAAGAAAAAUAUCAACAUCAGAUUUUAGAUUAAAUUUACCAAGAUUGUCUUUUGUAUUCAAUAGAAAACAUUUGCAACCAAAAACUUUAAAAUAGUCAAUGUUUUUUCUAUUUUUCCAAAGCUCAUAAGGAGUUUUAUUUAGGUAAGGUCUAAUCAAUGCACGAUUUAAAAUAUAACAAACAAUGUUGACGGCUCCAACCCAAAAAUAUUCUAGUAAAGCAUUUUCAUUUAACAUGGUCCUAGCCAUUUCUUGGAUAGACCUAUUCUUUCUCUCAACUACUCAAUUUUAUUGUGGAGUUCUUGGUGACAAGAAUUGAUGCUCAAUGCCAAAGUUAUUGUAAAAAUUUUCAAAAUAUAAUUUUCAAAUUCUCCACCAUGAUCACUUCUAAUGCAAGAAAUAACAUAUCAUUUUUUAUUUUGAACCUUUUUAUAGAAAUUUUGAAAGCAUUAAAGGUGUCAUCUUUAUUAGUUGAGAGUAAUACCAUGUGUAUAUAGAAUAAUCAUCUAUAAUUAUAAAUGCAUAAUAUUUACCACUUAAACUAGCAUAUUUAGAAAAUUCAAACAAAUCCAUGUGAAAAAGUUAAAGUGGUUUUGAAGUAGAAAUAUGAAUUUUAUUUUUAAAGGACGUUUUAUUUGUUUUCUAAAUUGGCAAACUUCACAAAUUCUAUCUUUUUUAGAACCAAUUUUUAGAAGACCUAUAACCAAAUCAUUUUAAAAAAAUUUUGAAAUCAAAUCCAUGCUCGCAUGACCUAGUCUUCCAUGCCAUAUCAACUAUCAUCAUGUAAUGUGAAAAAAAUAUUUAUCAUGAGUUGAUACACUAUCUAUAUCAAUGGUGUAUACAUUAACACAUCUUUAUCUAACAAAUAAAACUUUGCCAUCACAUGCAUUUUUAAUAACACAUUUUGUUUUAUAAAAAAUAACUCUAUAGCCUUUAUUACAUAAAAAUAACUUUGUAACCUUUAUCACACAAUUGACUAAUACUAAGCAAAUUCUAAAGCAAUAUAUUUCAUUUUUCUUUUUCAAAUCAUUUACAAGUAAACCUUUAUUCUUAGAUGAAACAUUUUGUUUUUUCUUUAAAAGAUGCAAUUUCUUCACAAAUACUUCUAGGCACUUAAUCUUUUUAUUCAAAGUGUCAUUCUCAUUUAAAAGUUCUACUUUUUUCUUUCCAAGAGAAACAUUUUACAUUUCAAUCUUCUUUAAAUCUUUAUGCAAUUUAGAGAAUACUUCAAACAACUCAUCCUAAGAGGUUUACCUCAUCAAGUUCAUCUUCUAUAAUCAUCUCCUAUAACCAUAAGUGCCAAAUUUGACACUUCAUGGGACUACUCUUCAUCUAUAGUCUCCUUAUCGCUAUCAUCCCGUGUUGCUACCAUGGCUUUCUUCUUUAAUUUUUUGAGAAAAGGACAUGCUAGUUUUAUGUGUCUAGGCUUCCUGCAUUUAAAGCAAGUAAUUGCCUCCUUCUUCUCUUUCUGAUUUUUGAAUUUCCUUCGCUCGAUGGAUUUCUUGAAAAUUAUUUUGAAUUUUCCAGCUAUCAUAGCCAUGUCUUCAUUUUCGAUCUCACUUUCGUUGUCACUUCUAGAUCUUGAUGCUUUUAAGGAAAUACUCUUCUUCUUCUCGUCUUCAUUAUAUUUUUUAGUUGUCAAAUCCUUUUCAUAAGAAAUAAAUGAACUAAUUAAAUCAUCAAUAGAUAAAGUAUCCUUGGCUUCCUUAAUGGCAAUUUUCUUAGGUCUCAAUUCUUUUGGUAAAGACCUACUGAUUUUUUUUACCUUCUCGCUGUUUGAAAAGGUUUUUCUAAGAGUUCCUAAAGUGUUUAUAAUGUCUGUUAAUCUAGUGUAUAUAGGAUUAACACUCUCAUUUUGUUCCAUUUAUAGCAAUUCGUAUUGCCUAGUAUAUUUACUAAUUUUAGACUAUUUGACUUGAUUUGUAGCUUUAUAAACGACUUUAUGUUUUUUCCAAAUUUCAUAAGCAUUGGAACAACCUUAAACUCUAUAGAAUUCUUUUUUAUCUAAGGCACAAAACAAAGCAUUCAUGACUUUGAAAUUAAGAGAAUCUUUUCUCUUUUCCGACUCAUUCCAUUCUUGUGAAGGUUUUAGAAUUUCUUUCCCUUCUUCAUUUUUAGCAGUAGGCAUGAAUGGACCAUCACAAUCAACUUCCUAUAUUUCAUAAUAUAAUGCUUGCAAAUAAAUUCUUAUCAUAAUUUUCCAACAUAGAUAAUCAUUCCCAUCAAAGAAUGGUGAUCUAGUAAGGGAUUAACCUUCCCCAAAUCUGGGAUCAUUUUGGAUUACUAUGGAUCUUUUACUCUAGAUGGUUAAGUCCUAACAAGAGAACUUCCUCUGAUACCAAAUGAAAUUCUAGCUAAGCAACCCAAGAGGGGGUGAAUUAGGUAUUAAAAAUUAUACUAACAAAAACACAAUACAAAUUAAACAAAUGCUUCAAGAAAUUUAAUAAUGGUAAAUUUAACUAUGCGUGAAAUUAAAAAGAUAAGGGAGAAGAUAACAAACACAUGAAUUUUUAUGUGGUUCGGCAAACCCGCCUAUGACUACGCCUCCAAGCAAUCCAAACUUGAGAAUUCUACUAUCCAAACCUUCCAAGGCUCCAAAAUUUUACAAUUGACUUCUAAGGUGUCAAUAAACCUUUACAAGUAAUUAUGUAUACACACACCUCUUUUCCCAAGUGUUUCCCACACUUAUACUCACUCAAUUUUGAUAUUUAAUUGAAGAUUACAAAGAUUACACUCUAUAAGAGUGUAUAAGCAAAUGAUAGCUCUAUAAUGAUUAAUGUAUGUAGAUAAGCAAAAUGAAAGCUCAAGAUAUAUGAAUAAGUUUUAGCUUAAUUGAGAUUGAAAAAAAUUGUUAGAUUUGAAUUUUAUAGUUUAAACAAUCAAACUAGCAAUUAUUGGCUUUUCUAGGGACUUGCUGGAUCGCCGUUAAAAUGAGGCGAUUAGCCACUAUGUUGAUAUGGUAAGUUACAGUUGCAAAUCAAAUUUGAAAACUUUGGUUCAAGCAGAUUACCACUUGAUUUAAGCGGUUAGCUGCUAUGUUUUUGGACUUGAAGUAGUUAGCCGCUAUUGGUUAAGCGAUUAGCCACUAUUGUUCUAGGAUUUAUAGAUUAGACCUAAUUUUUUUGAAAUUAUAUUACGACCCAAAACGUUUGAAAUAUUUAUAAAUAUGUCAAUUUCGAUGAUUUAAAACAUUAUUAGUUGAUUUCAAAGUUCUCAAAACUUUUCAAUUUAGUCCAUAAAUUUGGAAAAAGCAACUAAUUUUAUAAAAUCGUUAAAACUUUUAUAUUAUAGAAAAUGAUGAUUUAAUUUAAAAAUGUCAUGAAAAAUAUCUUGAGCUUUUAAAUGUUACAUCAUGCACACGUUCAAUUAUACUAUCUUUACAAGAAAUUUAACAAUAAAGAUUGCUUAAACUAGUACCCUUAGUAUUCAUCCUUGAUUGUCAUUGUCUAUUGAGUAUCUUGAUCUUGAUCUCACUUGAAUGAUUUUUGCCCUUCAAAAACUUGUGAGAUUGUGAGAAAUAAAUUUACCAUUGUACUCUAUGUAGUUUGUUAUCAUCAAAAUCAAGGAUUAUAUAACCAUUUAGGCCAACAAAAUAUUAUAAUAAAUAAUAAUUAUUAUGAUAAAAAAUUAAAGAUAUUUUGUAAUUUGUAACAACUCAUCGUGAUUUUAAAAUAAAAUAAAUAUAUCAAUGAUGAUAUAAUUUAUUUUAAUUUUAAUUUUUACAAUUUAAAUAAAUUAAUUAAUUAUCAUUCCAUAUUUUAAUUCCAACUCAUUCCAUUCCAAUUCAUUCAUAUUUUAAUCAGUAUAUCAACUACCCCCGAGCAAUGCCCGAAAGACAUUGAGGCAAGGGCCACAGAAAAAUAUGCACUUGUUAGCUUAGCGUUGGUGUCAAGUUUCUUUAGCAUUUUAAAUUCAUAAAAGAACUUAUAGUGUUUCUUCAUCCUUUGGCCUUUUCGGUGUUUACUUUCUGGAGUGAGUGUCAGCAGUGUGAAUUCCUCCCACUCCAGUGUUUACUUCACCAUUUUAAGGAGGGAUUGGGAAUCCCACUCCAUGGACCCCACUCAUUUUUGGAGUGGGGAGUGUGAGUGGGACUCCCAUGGGAAACCCACUCCCACCUCUCCAUUUUCUACUUUUAUUUAAUUAAAUUUAAUAUUUUAUAUUUAAUAAAAUAAAAUAAAAUAAAUAAUAUUAUUAUAUUAAUAGAGAAUUAAUAAUAUUACUAUAUGCUAUCUUUAUUUGAAGAUAUCAUAUUAUUAUAUUUAUUUAAAAAUAAUAGUAUUAUAUUUAUUUAAUAUUAAUAAUUAAUAAUAAUAAAUAGUUUAUUCUAAGAAAAUAUUAAUUUUGUACUAAAUAAUAUUAUAUUAUUAUUUAUAUAAUAAUAAAUUUAAUAUAAUAAAAUAAAAAAAUAUUUCAUUUUAUAUUUACCUUCCUUUUUUAACCCCCUUUUAUUAAAUUUACUAUAAUUAUAUUUAAUAAAAUAAAAUAAAUAAUAUUUUAUUUAUUUAAAUAAUAUUAUUAUAUUUAACUAAAUAAUAAUUUGGUUUGAUUCUAAGUUUAAAUUACUUAAAAAUAAUAAUAUUAUAUUAAUAGAGAAUUAAUAAUAUUACUAUAUACUAUCUUUAUUUGAAAAUAUAAUAUUAUUAUAUUUAUUUAAAAAUAAUAGUAUUAUAUUUAUUUAAUAUCAAUAAUUAGUAAUAAUAAAUAGUUAAUUAUAAGAAAAUAUUAAUUUUGUACUAUGUUCAUAGUAAAAAUGUUUCAUUUACAUUGCUCUUAUCAAUAAUUUUUAAUUUAUAUAAUUAAAAUUAAAAUUAAUAAAAAAUUAUGAUGUACAUAAUUAAGAAUAUUAAUAAUUAUUAUAAAUUUACAAAUAUAAUAAAAUAAAUGUUUAUUCAUUAAACAUAUUUUUUUAUUAACUUUGUAAUUAAAAACUAUAAUUCUUUAAAUAAAGGUAAAAUUAUAAUUUGAAACUAUUUACUUCCAAUCCAAGAUAAAGUAAACACAUAAAUUGGAUUAUAAUUUUCAUUCCGUGCUUAUAUUCCAGUGUAAGUAAACAACUUACACCCACUUUUACUCCAUACUCUCAAUCCUAAGAUUUCCACUCUUCAAGAUUCUCAGUCCAAUCCAAAAUGUAAACACUAUCUAUGGUAAUUGUUCACGCAACUAUUUUAAUCGAAAAUAUUUUAAUCGAAAAUAUUUUAAUCGAAACUAAUAGACCUUUCAACAAUUUUAAUCGAAAAUAAUAGACCUUUUAACAAUUUUUGCGGAUUCUGGCAAUUGUUCAGGCAACUAUUUUAAUAGAAAAUAUAUAUGGCUCCAUAAACAAUGAUUAUCUCUUGACAGCUGUUCUGGACUCGCUAUUUGUACUGAAAUAGAAGAUUAUCUCUUGAUGAUUAUUUAAUUGAAAAGAAUUUGUCGUUUAUAUUUGUUCACCUGGCCUUUGGAUGAGGAUCACAUGUUUUAUGACAAUCGUAAUGUUACUAAUGUAAGUCAAGCAAUUAUUUUUAAAUAAUGAUAUUAUAAUUAAAAAUCUAAAAACAUUUAUAAUACUUAAAGACUAAUUCAGAUUAUUAAUUUUUUUAUAUGACUUCAUUAUUAGCUGACAAAUAAUUAAAAGGCCAUAGAUCAAUAUUUUUAGGUCCAAUUUUUAAUUUAAUAUGACACAACUUGUACUUUCAUUCCUAUACUAAAGUAUAUCGAACCUACUAAUAAUUAAGAAAUAUAUAUAUUCAACACAUAUUUGUUAGAAAGAUUAUCUACUAAUUAAUCAUUGAUUACGAGAUUAAUAUAUUGAAAUUCAGAACUUUUUUUUUUCCUUCUGCAGUUUAAAAAGGAGUCGCCCUCUUGAUCCCCGUAUUCGUCAGCUUCUACUCUUUGCCUUCAAUUCUCAGUCAAGAAAACCUCUCCUGAUUUUCGUCUUUUGAUCUCAUACACACUUUGCUUCUGUUUAUCGUGGUCACUGCUCGUGCUAGCCGUUUUCUUAUUUAUCUUUGUUCCCUUUUUCCAUCAGCUCUUUGCAUUUUCAUUGGAUCAAGCAACCCUUUUCUUGAUUCAAUUUUCUGAUCUCAAAAACACUUUGAUUCGCUUCUGUUACACUGAUUUUCCCCUUGUUUUGUACAAAUAUCAUUUCUUUUUUCAACUUUGCCUUGUUUUGCUUCUACUUGAUUAUCAAUUGCACAGCCGUUGACCCUGUUCUAUUUCUAUUUCGUUCACUUCCCCAAAAAAAAAAAAAAAAAUGGACAUUUUGAAAAGCAUUGUUCCAGGAGUUGUAAACUGCUUGUCUCCUCACGCACAACGCGAAUUUUGUUAUUGGUAUAACUCCGCUGCCAACUUUGAGAAUCUCAAGGAAGAACUCGAUAGGCUCAAGGAUGAAAGAGAAAGCGUUCAGCGCAGAGUUUCUGAGGCUGAAAGAAAAAGUGAAAAGAUUGAAGAGAAGGUUGAGAAAUGGCUGGUUAAUGCGAACAAGAGCAUUGAGGAGGCAGCCAAAUUCAUUCUAGACGAAGAGAAAGCAAAUGAACGAUGUCUCAUGGGGCUGUUUCCUAAUUGGAUUACUCGCUAUCAGCAUGGAAAGAAAGCAGAAACAGAGAAGGAGGCCCUUUUUAAACUCCGAGAAGAAGCUGGGAGAUUUGAUGAUAGAAUUUCCUACCGUACCAUUCCGGAGGAGAUUUGGCUCAAGUCUCACAAAGGCUACGAGGCCUUCGAAUCAAGACGUUCUACUUUGGAGGCUAUAAAAAAGGCAUUGAUCGAUGUUGAUGUCAGCAUCAUUGGGGUGUACGACAUGGGCGGCAUUGGAAAGACGACACUGGUGAAGAAGGUCGCCAGGCAAGCUAUGGAAGACAAGCACUUUGAUAUGGUGGUCUUUUCAGAGGUUUCGCAAACUCCAGACAUAAAACAGAUUCAACAGGAAAUUGCCGAGAAGUUGGGCUUGGAGUUGCGCGAGGAAGCUGAAUCUAGAAGAGCUAGUAGACUAUAUGAAAGAUUGGAGAAUGAGAAGAAGAUCCUUGUGAUUCUGGAUAACAUCUGGAAACCUCUUGAUUUGGGGACUAUUGCAAUUCCUUUUGGAGAAGAUCAUAAAGGCUGCAAACUACUGCUGACAGCAAGAGAUCGUAGUCUCCUCUUAAAAAUGGGAUCUAAAGACAACUUUUUGAUAAACAAUUUAAAUGAAGAAGAAGCCUGGAGAUUGUUUAAGAUGAUGGCCGGAGAUGAUGUUGAAAAUCGUGAGUUGAAAUCUACAGCAAUAGACGUCGCCAGGGCAUGUGGAGGUUUGCCCAUUGCCUUGACUACAGUGGCAAAGGCACUGAGAAGCAAGAGUCUUCAUGAAUGGAAGAAUUCCUUGCGAGAACUCCGAACGCCUUCAAUGGUAAACUUCGAAGGAGUAUCUGCAGAGACUUAUUCAAGUAUUGAGCUGAGUUUCAACCAUUUAAAAGGUGAGCAACUCAAGAAAAUUUUUCUGCUCUGUAGUCUAAUGGAUAACCGUAUUCUUACUUCGGACUUGUUUAAGUACUCCAUGGGUUUGGGUAUAUUUAAAGGAGUCAAUAAGAUGGAAGAUGCACGAGACAAAUUAUAUGCAUUGGUCCAUGAACUUAGACACUCUUGUUUGUUGCUUGAGGGUGAGAGCAAUGAACAAUUUUCAAUGCAUGAUGUUGUUCGUGAUGUCGCAAUAUCAAUUGCAUGCCGCCACCAACAUGUGUUUUUGGUGAGAAAUAAGGAUGUGUGGGACUGGCCAGAUGAGGAUGCACUUCGAAAAUGCAAUGCGAUCUCUUUAAGAAAUAAUAGUAAUCGUGAAUUUCCUGAAGGAUUAGAAUGCCCAAACCUUGAAUUUUUAUUUAUCUCUCUCAAAGAUUCUUCUCUUGAAAUCAAUAUUCCUGAGAACUUUUUUGUAGGGAUGAAAAAGCUUAGAGUUCUAGAUUUUACUCGAAUGCAGUUUUCUUCUUUUCCAUCUUCAAUUGAUCUUCUACCAAAUCUUCAGACACUAUGUCUGGAUCAAAGUGCGUUGGGGAACAUAGCAAUCAUUGGAAAGUUGAAGAAUCUAGAAGUCCUUAGCUUUUUGAAGUCUGAUAUUAUGCAGUUGCCCGGAGAACUAGGUCAAUUGAAUAAGUUGAGAUUGUUAGAUUUAACCAAUUGUUUCCAUCUAAAAGUUAUUGCGCCUAAUCUCAUAUCAAGCUUAACUCGAUUAGAAGAGCUGUAUAUGGGUAAUUGCUUCAUUGAAUGGGAGGUUGAAAGAGCCAACAGCAAAAGAAGUAAUGCUAGCCUUGACGAAUUGAUGCAUUUACCUCGGCUAACCACUCUAGAAAUUGACGUUAAAAGUGACAAUAUUUUACCAGAAGGUUUUUUGGCCAGAAAGCUCGAAAGGUUCAAAAUAUCUAUUGGAAAUGAGUCAUUCAUGCCUCCCAAGAGUGUUAGAGGAUCAACAGUUAUCGCAAGAGUUUAAGAGGAUUGAAGCUCAAGCUUGAUUUUAUGGACAUUUGCUCCAUGAAAUUGCAGGGCAUCAAUAACGUUGAAUACUUAUGGUUGGACAAGCUGCAAGGCACCGAGAAUGUUCUUUUCAAUUUGGACACGGAGGGCUUUUCACAAUUGAAGCUUCUCUGGGUUCAAAAUAAUCCUGACUUCUUUUGCAUCGUCGAUUCAAGGGAGAUGGUCGCUUGUGAUGCCUUUCCUCUUUUGGAGUCACUUACCAUUCGCAAUUUGAUCAACAUGGAGAGGAUAUGUAUUGAUCGGCUCAAAGUAGAGUCUUUCAACAAACUCAAAACCAUAGAAGCAUAUAAUUGUGAUAAAUUGAGUAAUAUCUUUUGGCUCUCUACAACAAAAUGUCUUCCAAGACUUGAGAGAAUUGCAGCUAUUAAUUGCAGCAAGAUGAAAGAGAUUUUUGCAAUUGGGGAAGAAGUUGAUAAUGCAAUUGAGAAGAUAGAGUUUGCUCAAUUAAGAUCUUUGAGUCUGGGGAAUCUUCCAGAGGUUACAAGUUUUUGCCUCCAUGAGGUGAAGACUCCUUCAGCAUCACCGAACAGACAAGUGUCGCAAGAGGAAUCGACGACUAUGUAUUGCUCCAGCGAAAUCACUUUGGAUACUUCAACUCUGCUUUUCAACGAGAAGGUGCGUAGGCUAACAUUUUCUUCAUAUGUAACAGAUUUUAUUCAUAUAUAACGUUCUCUUUUGACGUCAUACGUGGAAAAUAAUUAAAUCAUUUAAAGAAUUGAAAGAAAAUGGAAAAAAGGAUAAAAAGAAUCUCACUCGCUCACUAAUUGAGCUCUUAACAAGUAGUAUGAAUUAGAAUGCAUACUCAGCUGUCAGUUGGAAAUUGAUUCAGACUUGCAUUAAUUUGCAAUCAAAGAAGAAAUUUUCAACAAGUGCUUCCCAUAUGGAAAUUGGAUCUAACGAGGAAUUCUUAUUUUUUUAGGUUGCGUUGCCUAACUUGGAGGCUUUGGAGAUAUCUGAAAUUAAUGUCGACAAGAUUUGGCACUACAAUCACCUUCCGAUCACGUUUCCUCGCUUUCAAAAUUUAACACGAUUGAUUGUGUGGCAUUGUCACAAAUUAAAAUACAUAUUUUUAGCGUCUAUGAUCAGAAGCCUUAAGCAGCUCCAACACCUAGAAGUACGCUUCUGUGAGGAUUUACAGGAGAUCAUUUCUGAGAACAGAGCAGAUGAAGUGAUCCCUAAUUUUGCCUUUUCACAGCUCACCACUCUGAGACUCGAAGAUCUACCAAAACUUAGAUAUUUGUACCCUGGAAUGCAUACUUCGGAAUGGCCCGCACUAGAAAUUCUUUUAGUGUAUCGUUGUGACAAAUUAAAUAUAUUGGCUGCAGAUUUAUCGCAGAAUAAUGAGAAUGAUCAACUUGGUAUUCCUGCACAACAGCCCCUAUUGCAGUUGGAAAAGGUAUGAAGCCAUUUUCUAGAUUUUUUAUCAAUAGUGUAUUUUGAACUUUGAAAAAUAUGACAAAGCAUCAAUAAAUUAAUACUCAAUAAAUUGAAAACUUUUAUUAUACAAUAAUCUUUGCUAGUCUAGACUAAAAGAGUUUGUUUGUUAAAUGUCUGAAGUUUGAAAUUUUAUUAAUUUCAGACCUUUUCCAACAUAUGCUUAUUUGUUUUUUUGGAACUUAUUGUUUGUUUUUUGGAACUUAUGUUUGAUUUUCAGACAUUUACAUAUGAAUAGAAAAAGUAAACUUUUGUGACUUUUAUUUGAAUGGAAAAAUGUCUGAAUGACAAGUAAAUAUUAAAUUCCAAAAAUAUCCUUGUAAAAUAAUUUAUUUCCUAAACUAUAAAAUGUUAUCCUCUUUUUUGUUUUAAUUUACAAGGACAUAAAUGUCAAAUAACCAAAUUAAGAUGUUUUUUAUUAUAAAAACAAACAAGAUGCCACUUAUAUUCAGAUAUUUAAAAAAGAAAAGGGAAAAGGACAAACACACCCCCAACGUUUAGGUAAAGGGACAAAAACCUCCCUAAUGUUUCAAAAAAGACAUUUACACCCCAAUUUAUUAUAAUUUUACCAUUAUACCCUUCUAGCAUAUAAAAAAAUUAUUAGAUUAUCCAAUUUGUCUAUAUAUUGUUAAUAAAAUUAUAAAUAUACCCUCAUUGCCUCAUUCCUCUAUUUAAAUUUUUAUCAAUAACCAAUUUUAAAGAAAGACAUCUACACACUUAAAAAAAAUUGUAAAUAAAUUAUAAUUUAUAAAAAAUUGGUUAUGAAUACCAUAAUAAAUAACAUAGAAAAUUGGUUAUAAAUGUACAAGUUUAAAUGAUUGACAUGUGGAGAAUUGUUAAAUAUACAAGUUUAAAGUUUAAAUAAAAUUGGUUAUUAAUAACCAAUUUUAUUUUUUAAAUUAUAAUUUAUUUACAAUUUUUUUAGGUGUAUAGAUAUCUUUUUAAAAAAUUGGUUAUUGAUAAAAAUUUAAAUAGAGGAAUUGGGCAAUGAGGGUAUAUUUAUAAUUUUUUUUUAAUAUCCAAAUUGUCUAUUUAUAAUUUUAUUAACAAUAUAUAGACAAAUUGGAUAAUCUAAUAAUUUUUUUUAUAUGCUAGAAGGGUAUAAUGGUAAAAUUAAAAUAAAUUGGGGUGUAAAUAUCUUUUUUAAAAUAUUAGGUGGGUUUUUGUCCAUUUACCUAAACGUUGGGGGUGUGUUUGUUAUUUUCCCAAAAGAAAAACAAACAUGUCAUUCAUAUUUUCGUAAUCAGACCCAUUCAGACUUUAAAAAAAUUUAGACUCAUUUAGAUUUCAGACAAAAAAAACAAAAGCUACCUAAGGGAUCAAUGUGGUAGAUUAAUAAUUAUAUGAACUUUUUUAGGUAUAAAAUUUAUAACUAUAUGAACUUUUUAAGUCUUUCCAUAUAGAAGAACUUACAAAAUAAAUUAGUAAUUUACUAUUGUGCAAUAAAAUAAUUUCGUUUUUUUCCCUAAUUUCUUUAUUACCUCUAAAACUAACAUAUAAAAAAUUCAUAUAAUGAAUUUUAUCACUAAUUCAAUUUUUUUAGGGGUAAAACUAAUAUAAAAUAAAUACUAUAAAGUCACUGCUUGUGAUUGGAUUACUCAAAAUCAUUUGAGAGAACAUCAAUUGACCUCAUUAGUUAUUAUGAUUGAUGAUGAUCAGAUCGUACCCAACUUGAAGGAACUAUCACUAAGUGGAAAAGAUGUGAAGAUGAUUUUGCAGGCCGAUUUCCCACAACACCUUUUUGGCAGUCUCAAACAACUAGAGAUUGUUGGAGAUGACUCAGCUUGUUUUCCAAUCUGGAAUGUACUGGAGAGAUUUCACAAUCUCGAAAUACUCUCACUGUUUCAAUUUUCAUUCCACGAAGAGGUAUUUUCGGAGGAAGGAAGCUUAGAGAAACAUGUGGGGAAGUUGGCAAUGAUAAAAACAUUAGAGCUGCGCUGCCACUAUCAUCUGAAGCAGCUGUGCAAACAAGACUCCAAACUUGGCCCCAUUUUUCAGUAUCUUGAAAUUCUGAGUGUACUUCAUUGUCAAAGUCUGUUAAUUCUAUUGCCAUCAUCAUCGGUAUCUUUUGGGAACCUAACAAAACUUGUAGCUUUCGGUUGCAAGGGAUUGAUACACAUGGUAACAUCCUCCACAGCAAAAACUCUAGUGCGACUCGUAUCACUUUGUGUAUACGGAUGCAGAGCAAUGACAGAGGUGGUAAUAAAUGACAAAGAUGGAGUUGAAAAGGAAGAGAUUGUUUUCCGCAAAUUGAAGAUGUUGGAUCUGCGUGAUUUAGAUAGCCUCACAAGUUUCUGCUCUGCCAAUUACACCUUUGAAUUCCCAUGCUUGCAAGAUCUAUUUGUGAUUGGUUGUCCCAAAUUGAAGAUUUUCACUAGAGGAGAAUCAAGCACGCCUCCGAGAGUAAACGUCUGGUAUGGAGAGACAUCGAAUCAACGGCGUUGGUCUAGUAAUGAUCUUAACACGACCAUACAACAAUUACAUGCUGAGAAGGUACGGAUAUACAUGUUACUCUCUAUCUCCCAUGGAAAAAUUUUACAAAAUUUGCUUUUUCUUUUUAAAUAAAAUAUCGAUAAGAUAUUUGUUAUAAAGUUAGUUUAAAUUGAUGAAUAAGAAUUUUAUUUUCAGCUGUUGGCGGGGUCGUCGUCAUACUCUGUGGAUUACGACUAAUUUCAUAGGCUUCUUAUGACUUGGAGUUACGAAUUUGAAGAAGAAAGUCCCGGCUGGUAAUUAAUUCUUAUUUUAUUUAUUUGAUCUCGUGGGUUGUUUCACAACUUCAUCUCAAUUGUUUAGAAUGGGUCACUUGGUUUACUGUCAAUAUGGAAUGCACUUUUCAUGAUUCGUUCAGGCUUUUAUGGGCAGAUUUUGCGUCAUUGAGCGUCUUUUGGCCUAAUGUAAUUUAAUUUGAGUAUUUUGUUUUGAGAGUUCCCUUGUUCUCUAAAAUUUUAUAAUUCCUUGCAAGCAUUUUAUGAUGAAAUUUCAUUAAGAGGGGCAACACUUGCAUGUUGAAAGUGUUCAGAUUUUAUAAUUCCUUGAAAUCAUGCAAACUUUUUUCUUUCUUUCCUUGCCAAUUAUUUAUUGUCAUCGUUACUGUUCCGUUAAAUUUGUUUGUGCUCUGUUUGUUCAUUGGAAACUUGGAAGGCAACGAAAGUACUUAAGAAAAUGCUCUUGCCUAUGAACACAUAAUUAAGAAGCUGAAUAUCAUUCAGCGGGUAAUAUAUAUAUAUAUAUAUAUAUAUAUAUAUAUAAUUAGCCCAUUAUGCCUACAACAAAUCCUUACACCAUCAAAGGUUAGCUAUGAACAACUAUAUUAUGGAAAUAUUGUUUGAAAGCAUUGGAUAGAAUUUUCAAAAAUAUCAAGUUUUCACAAACCAAAAAGGGAACUAAUUUGGUCUAGUUUUGUGACAAGUAUAGAAGCACAAUAUUUUGUCUGUUAUUCUUGUUAAAAUUCGCAGCACUGAGUUUGCAGAAUGUCUGGAUACUGAUGGAGAUUCAAGUCACUCUUCUUCUGUGCAACAUUCGAAAUGAAGACUUUUUUCCCCCUCUAUUCAAAUUUUAUGUUGUGAAGGGUUUCCGUUUCCAUCUUCAUGUGAUUUACUUCACCGUGUCGCUACAUCUAUGAUAGUGUGUGUUAUAUCCUGUCUGUUUCCUUUGUUUGACCAUCGAAAGUUCAAAGACAAUUUAUUCUAAAUAUGUGUAAAUUCAUUUUCUGUAUAAGCUCUUUGUAUGCAUUUUGACAUUUUAUUCUCAAUAUGGAUGACUCAAUGAGAGGUCUUUUGUUAUAUAUAUGUCCCGAAUUUCUUGUGUAUUUUUAGAUUUGAUGAUGUAUUAUUGUCUCAUUGCAAGGUCUUAUAAUCACUGAUUCUCAUUUCUCGUAUACAUACGUAUAUAUGGGCAAGAAAUUUGGUAAAUGAUCUAGUCAUUUUCUCAGUAAAACAUCUAGUACUUUAUAUGUUGGAAGGGUACUAAGCAGCAGGCCAAGAUUUGUCAACUCAAAGAUCGUCAUGUCAUUUUUUAAAAAUAUUAAGGAAUACUAAGGAACCCCAAGAGAAAAUUUAGAAAUACUAUAGGGACUACUUCUGCAUUGUUCAUUUUCGCAAUUACCUGCAUUAUUAUUUUUGUUUUCAAUUAAUCAAACUUCAGUUCCUUAGCAUUCAUCUAAUUAUGUACUUCAUCUGGAAAUCCUUAAUUUACUCAUCAAAAUGUGAACGCUAAGGAAACUAUGAAAAUAAAUAUAAAACUACUAGCUAAGUUUAUCAUCACAUAUGAGCAGCACUAGAUUAUCAAAUAAUCAUAAAAGCAUAUAAAUUCAAGCUACUGUAUUAUAUGUAGCUUGCUAAUUUGUGUUUAUAAAGAAUUUAGUUAUGCAACAAAAUGGGACACGAAAGUAGCAAAACUUCAUCAAAUACUCUGUUUUGUAGUACUUCAACAUAUCUACUGGCUAAGAAGUACCAUCACAAAUGAAAAUGUCGGCACAAAUAUUCAAGCAAGUGCAAGUAUCAAAAGUUGGUGGAUUAUUGUGGUUUUCCUACUUUGUCGUUUUUGGUUGAAUAAAUUAAUAAAAGCUGUCGAUUCUGCAUUAAAGCUUAUGAAUUGUGAAGAUAUGAAUACCAAAUCUUUCCAACUCCAACUCUUGAGUAAUUAUUAGGUUCCCACCCAUGCAAACAUAUUUUCUUUCGAGAAAAAGGGAUGCCUGAUUCAGGGCAUCCGUUGCCUCGGUUUAUUUGAUUUUGUUUGGUUCAAUUAUAGUUCUGUUAUUUAGUUUUUCCUCUGAUGAUUCUGUUUCUCUGUAUAUUUCACUGGGUUUGCUUUGCUUCACAUCUUUCUUUCAAAACUAAGAAGGCAAGGAAAGCGAGUCUGUAAUUAGAAAAUGCAAGUAGCAUAUAUCAAAUCAUGCAUAUGCUUAUGCUCUUGCCUAUGAACACAUAAAGAACAGCUGAAUAUCCUUCGUCGGAUAACAAAAAAUAAAAUCUAAUCAUCCAUUAUCCAUACAAGUAAUGAUAUCAUUACUUUUAGCAAAUUAAAGGUGUUGUAUCUUUUUUAUUUAAAAAGUCUCUUAAGAUUUUUAUUUUUCCGGUAAUUACACCUCCAAAUUUCCACAGCUAUAAUGUCAAUUUGUAAUUAUUUGUCCCAAGAUGCAGAUUUUCACUAGAGGAGAAUUAAUAAUUACGCUAUUUCGGCCCAGAGGACCAUGAAGCCCCUUGGGUUGUUGACAUUAACACUAGUGCGUUUACCAACCUAAACCUUCGGUUUGGUCAACAGUUUCUAAAUUGGUUUAGGUCAACAGUUUCUAAAUUGAACCUAUGGUGAAUGGAGGAAAAAGAAAAAGAGAUUUAUCAGAAACCUCCCCUGAAGUUUGGCAUAUUCUUAGUUUAAUAGAUUGUAUUUGUGUAUUCUCAAAUACCUCCCCUGGUGGCUGGUGCUAGUAUACCUUUUCUUAAUACCCCUAAUUUAGAAAAAAAUAAUUUGUAUACUGAAAAUAAAAAAUUGUUGGUUAGCACCAGCAUGUUUGUUUUGGUGCCUAAGGGAUGUGAAUGCAAUGAAAAUAUCCAAUCACCCCCGUUACUUUCCAAAAUGACUUUGAUAAAUGAAACAAACAAAAGAUUUAAGUCAAAUAUCAAAGAAUCAGAAGGAAGCUGUUUUGCACUGGCCUAAUUGCUAUGCUUUCUGAAUCAAAUUUCGUUCAAUCUUGGUGUCCCUCUUUUAUUCAAUAUAAGAAGAAUGAAAAAAGUAGGUUGUUUUUUACACAAGUGAUAGAAAUACUUCUUAACUUUAGACAGUGUAACACCAUACACAUCAAAGAAAUAAGACAACAAACCAUUUCCCAUGCAUAAAGCCAACAAAAUUACUAUUUAGUACAAGGGAUGCAACAUAAUUUUAAAUUUUAUUCCUCAAGAGCUACAAGUGAUACAAAUGAGUACACAAAUCAACCAUCUGUAGCUUAACCAGAAGAUGAUGCAAAUGCAUGAAAAUGAAAAAGCCUACGAAUAGUAUACAUGGUAAGUAUGACUAAGUAAAAUAACAAUUCUGAUUGAUAAUACCACCAGCAACAGGACCUUCAUACCUUCUCUUUAUUAAUCACUAGUUGGUAUGCUAUAGCCCAGCCAAGUGUAAAAUGAAUGGCGAUCGAGCUCUUGAGCCUCGGUAUACCCUCCAUAAGUUGUCUUGCUAAAACCCAAGAAAUAGCUUAUAAGAUGAAAUGGACCGCCCAUGGUUCAUACAAAGAAAAGAAUAAGCCACAUAUUAAUUGAAGCUAACAACAGACAUAAAAUGAUAAAUGAAAAAUGCUCACCUUCAGAAUGAAGUCAAUGUAAUGAAGAGCACCAUUCUCAAAUUCAGUUCUGCCACCUGGAAAAAUGUGGUAUUCACCAGUAACUUUAACCCCAUUUUGCUAACCCUUAACUUCUGCAAGCUUUGUGUGGGGAAAAUUAUAAUACCAAAUCUAUCCCACACAUCAUGAGAACAAAUCUUAGCCCAAGUGAAUUAAAAGUAGUCAAGUAUAUAUUUUAUAAUGCAUAAUAUAAGAUCAUACCCUAUCCCUGCUUUGGGGCCACUUAAUUGAGUGUUUGUAUCCUUCCAGUAAAGGAGCAAUACAGGUACAAGCUUCUUCAGGGCAAUACCUCUCUCGAUGUUCAUAAUGCUUUUGUGCUGGAAAGCAUUCUAAUUGCUUGCAAAUUGUCCAGGCAAGGGAUGCAAUCUGGCCUAGCAGUGGCAUUACACACUUUCCAGCGAUGACCAUACUGGUCCUUAGAUACAGAAGAUUGUUGUGAUAUUUUCUGAUUCUAUGACUCAAUAGGUUGAGUUGAGCAAGCCCCAUUCUGAGCAUUAGUUUCCUUCAGAAUUUCUCAGUAGUCACCAAAAGGAAAAAUCUCAGUUGAAGCCUGAUCCUUUCAACAACUCUCAGUGUCAUUAUCUUGAUCUUGAGAAUCCUUCUCCUUUUCAAUCUGACUAGCCUGAUCCAUUUAUUUUCAUCCAAGCUCUUCUCUGAUUCAAUUUGCUCAAUUUUAUUCAAUUCGCCGCCUUCUGUUUCUCCAGCUUCUUAAUUCAAAUCUCCACCUUCACUUUUAGAUUCCUUAUCUUCCUUUUUUCUAACAUCGUAAUUUUUAGACACCGCCUUAGAUUCCUCUUCAGACUCAGUAUUCUCAUCAAAACUCUCCUUCACUAAAUUCUCUUCCUGGUUUUGAUUAACCAUAUUCUUAGAUUCACUCAUCUCACCAUCACCCUCAUACAUAUUCAUCUCUUCGUGAUUAUCUUCCACUCUAUUCUCUAACUUUUCAACAGGAACAUCAUCCCCAUCCCCAUUUGUUGAAUCCUGUCAUUCAUCACCUUGAUUUUCUACGAAAGGCCCAGAAAAAUCUCAGAUAUUCUCUGUUUCACUUUGCUUAUAGGCUCUUAAGAGGACAACAUCCUGGAUCCCACACCAGUACAACUGAUGAUGACAUUAACAUCCAAACGCCAACCAGAAAAAGACCAACAAACACUACUACAGUAACCAUUGAACAAAGACAAUAUCACAGGUUCUUUAGCUAUUUAAUAUUCCAUCAAAUAUAAUUAUAUAAUACCUACCAAGGAUUUCCGAAUAGAAGGCAUUCUCAUCAUUCUCAUCUCAAGCAGCAACCUCACCAGUAACACAUUUUCAUAUCAUGUUUCCACCACAGGUCGCACGUAUAGAAAGAAUGAAGUAUUAAUUAGCUUCAACAGAGCCUAUUUCUUUAUUUCUUUUUUUCCCAAAUAAACCUUCAUUCUUAUACGUAUAAUUAAAAUAUCAACUGAAUAAACAAAGUCUAUGAUUACUAGUACAACAUUUUCAUUUUCAAGCGGAGCAAGAUAAGAUAUCGAUGUCGUCAAAUAAACCUAAUUUAAUCUUGAAACCAUAAACUGCACUAAGCAUAGCAGCAAAGCCAGAGCCUGACUAUAAAGAAGCUAAUAUAUAUAUAUAUAUAUAUAUAUAUAUACCUUUGGAAAUUGAAACUGUUCACUGUAGCGGGUUUUUAAGUGCACAGUAACCUUUGGAUCGUAGCUUUGAAUAGUAGGCUGACCGUAGCUUUGAACAGAAGACUACUUUGUACGAAUACUGAAAUACAAAAUGAAAUACAAUACGGGUGAAGAGACAUGUGCGGAUCGAAGGAUGGAUGUGCUUUCAAAAUACUUUAUUAUUAAAAACUCAAAUUAAACAAUCAAUAGAAUCAGCUUCGUCAGAUUUUAAAAGAACUUGAGCCCAAUACAGAGUUGCAAAAUAAUUUCCCGUCCAAGGAUAAGUUUUCCGUUUAGGGCUGUAAAACCAUACCUGUAGCCAUUCUGACCAAACCAAAGAUAGAACCCAGGAUUCUAACCAUGGAUCCUCUUUACUGUAGAGCAUCGUCCUUUUCUAGCUCUUCUUCUGGGAAGACUAGUGAUUCAAAGCAUGUUGUGAGUUCAGAAGAAUUUGUUAUUGAGAACUUUGAUAAAGCAAUUGAUUGUUGGGAACUUCCAAAGAUUUCAAAAGAAAAGAUUUACAGAACAAAAAAGCUUGAUUUCUGGAAAAAUGAUUAUGUUAUAAAAACUGAAGAACGUGAUAUAACUCUUUCAAAGCCUUUUGAAACAAUUAAUUUGUUUUCAGAAAAAUCUUUAAAUAAGUUAAAAGAAAAGAAUUUUAAUUACAUUCAUAUAGGUCUCAUCCAAAUAGGCAUAAAGCCCCUUACCAAAGAAGGCUUGGAUACUUCUAUCCUUGCUGUUCUUAGAGAUGGUCGAUUCAUCUCUUUUGAUGAUUCUCUGCUAAGUAGCAUUGAAUCCAGCCUAUGUAAAGGUCCCAUUUCAUUUGAUUGCUAUCCAAACAUAACAUUGUCUCUUAAAGACAAAAACAUUUUGAAAAGCAUGAUUUUACAAAUCAAAACGCAUAACUAUCAUAUGAUUGAGGGAUCUAUCCCUGUUGCAUUGAUUUUUAAAAUCUCUUACAAAGCUAUGAUUACUGCAUUCAGCACUCAGCAUAAAUUUCAGUCCAAAAGAGAUGAAACUCUUCUCUUACAGACUGAUCUGUCCAGAGCAAACACUGUCAUUCCAAAACCAAUCCAAUGGAAAGAUGUCAAUCUUCCUGAGGAAUGGAUUCUUGAAGGAGCCGCUCCACCAGCGAUUCCAAAACAACUUGAGCCCAAUACAGAGUUGCAAAAUGUGACUCAGUAUUCUGAUGGUAAAGUCAAAUUAUCAUUUAGGAGAUCUAAUUCAUCCAGAUUCUCCGAUAAAGCAUCAUGCUCAAGCAUUCCUUCAAUGGAAAGGAAAUUUACAAAAAUACCCUCUGUCAUAAAUCUCCCAUUUCAGAGUCAACCUAGGUUCUCCACUUCGGACUUACCUAGUUCUUCUAUUAGUUCUGUUGACUACACUACAAAGGUACCACAUCCCAUUUACAUUAGCAGUCAACAUGAACAAAGACAGGAAGAGAAGGAACCUUCUCCUCCAACUUCUCCUACAUUCUCUGCAGUCACAGAAAAUGUUUUAAAUGUUAUUGAAAAGCAUUUUGAAUUAGAUAAAACCAUAUUGCAUAAUGAUUUUUAUUCAGAUGAUAAUAAAGAAAAAAGACUUUGGUUUUUUAAACAUUUUUUAAAUCAAAGGAAGGAAAUCCAACAAACUUACUAUGAAUUUGUUAAUUUCCAUCAAGUUCAUAUAUUGUUUUUUGAUUGGUUCGAGAUAUAUUCUUCUAAGAACAACAUUUCCUAUCCUUUCAAAGAGUCAAACCCUAUUACUAUCAGAAAUAAAACCACUGAGUGGAAACUCUUCGAUAGUAAUAGAACUGUCAAUUCUGAGCAUCCCCCUCUUAGGAGUGUAAUCAUAGAUCAUGGUGAACCUCCUGUUGAAAUCAGAGCCUCACCUUACAAAAUCCCAAAGCCUAAUGAUCCUGAAAUCAAUUUAAGUAGUAUUAUUCAACAGAAUAAUUUCUGUAAUACUAACUUAAAUACCAUAGGAAAACAGUUGACCAGAUUGGAAAACCAAUUUCAACAGUCAACCAUAUCUGUAGUCCAAAACCUGUUUCUUUAAAGUCAGAUUCUGAUAAAAAGCUUAAAGAACCUAUUUUCAAACCUUUUCAGGUUUCGAAAACUAGCCAGAAGCUUGUCCAUGAAUCAAAAUCAGAUUUUGCUAAAGCCAUUAGAGAACAACUUGAUAGGAUAGAAGCUGCUUCUUCCUCAUCAAGCAAAGUUCAUAUUGCUCCUGAUACUCCCCAAUCUAGCAAGAUUGGAGUAUUGGAGCAAGACCAGGUUUCUAUUGCCUCCUCAGACUUAGAAGCCUUUACCGAAACACCUAUUCCUAAAACCAAUAAAAUCCAUUGGGAGUUAGCUCUUCCUACUUCCAAAUCUCCACCAGAUUUAACUAUAGACAACAGGCCUAGUGCAUUAAAUCAAGCUCGAUAUAAUGCAUCCUCUGUCUAUGAGUGGAAUAUAGAUGGAAUGUCCGAGUACAACAUUCUAGGUGUAUUGCAGCAAAUGACCAUGGCAGCCAAUGCCUAUAAAACCCAAUCAGGAACUUCUGACAAAGCCAUUGCAGAAAUCCUUAUUGCUGGUUUUACUGGUCAACUUAAAGGAUGGUGGGAUCAUCUUCUCACUAAAUUGCAGCAAUUAGACAUCCUUAAUGCCAUCCAAAUCGAUGAGAAUGGUGCUCCCAUUCUUGACGAAUUAAAUAAUCCAAUUCAGGAUGCUGUUGCUACCCUGAUUUUAACCAUUUCUCUUCAUUUCAUAGGUGAUCCUUCUCACCUCAGAGACAAAAAUGCUGAGUUACUACAUAACUUGAGAUGUAGAAAACUUAGUGAUUUCCAAGAUUACAAAACCACUUUCUUUACCAGACUCUUCCUAAGGGAUGAUGCAAAUCAUGUAACUUGGAAGGAAAAAUUCCUUGCAGGUUUACCUACCCUUUUGGGAGAAAAGGUAAGAAAUUCUAUCAAAACCCUUUUUGAUAAUCGUAUUCCCUAUGACGAACUCACCUAUGGUGAAUUAGUCAGUUUUGUCAAUAAAGAAGGUUUAAAGAUCUGUCAAGACUUGAAACUUCAGAAACGUCUAAAGCAAGAGCUUAGGCAAUCUAAGCAAGAAUUAGGCGGGUUCUGCAAGCAAUUCAAUUAUGACCCCUUUAAAGCUUCCACCUCCAAAGACUGUAAUGGUAAGUGUUCUUCAAAACCUUACAAAAAACAUUACAAGUCUAAAAGCCAUAGAAAGCCCUUUCAUGAUUUUAGAAAACUUCCUUAUAAGAAACCUUCGAGGCCUUAUAAGAAACAUAGUUUCUCUAAAAAGAAAGAGUUUAAAGCCAAACCUAAAACCCCUUUCAAUUUUAAAGAUGCUACCUGUUAAAUGUGGUAUGAAAGGUCAUACUGCACGAUUUUGUAAAAUGAACAGGAGACUCCACGAGCUCGGCCUCGAGGAGGAAAUCCUUUCCAAAAUUGCCCCUCUUCUGGUCGAGCUUUCUGAUUCUGAGUCUUCCUGGUCGGGAAAUGAUGACCCUCUUCAAGUCGAUGAACUAUUCGAUUCAGAUAGCUCUACUUCCAGUAAUAGUGAUUCUGAUUCGGAUAAUUCUUAUUUAAAGAAAAUAAAUGUUUUAACCAAAGAUCAAGAGAUUUUCCUUGAACUUGUAAAGCAUAUUUCUGAUCCAAAUCUUCAAAAGGAAUAUCUUGAUAAACUUUUAAAAACCAUGGAUUCAAGCAUUACAGAGGCUUCUUCUUCUAAAAUCCCUAUUGUCAAAAAGAAUUCUUAUGAUUUAACUGAGAUUUUAGAUAAAAAGAAAACAAAGAAGUCUACUCCUAAUAUCCAAGAUCUUCAAAAAGAGAUUAAGGAUAUUAAACUUGAAAUAAAGGAUUUAAAAGAAAAACAAAAAACUGAUUCUGCAACUAUUCAACUCCUUUUACAAAAACAGUUGCAAGAUACUUCCGACAAGGAGGUUGAAUCAGAAAAUGAUGAUGUUGAGCAAAAGAUUGAUAAUAUUGAGUCUAUUCCAAAUGAUUUUCUGUUUGUCUUAAAGCAAAUCACCACCAGAAAAUAUUUGAUUAAAAUUACUUUAAUUUUUUCAAAUGAUUUUGCGAUGGAUGCCAUUGCUCUUUUUGAUACUGGUGCUGAUUUAAAUUGUAUUCGAGAGGACAUUGUUCCUAAAAGGUUUCGUGAAAAAACAAAAGAAAGACUCUCUGCUGCUAAUAAUUCAAAGCUCAAUGUUACUUCCAAAGUUGAAGCAUCUAUUUAUAAUGACAAAAUUGAGUUUAAAACCUCUUUUGUUCUUACAAAUGAUAUACACCAUGCUAUCAUUUUAGGAACACCUUUUAUAAAUUUGAUAACCCCAUAUGCUGUCAACUAUGAUGGUAUAUAUUUUAAAGCAAAAUCCAAAGAACUUGCUUUUCCAUUUAUUGAAAAACCAAAGACUCGAAACCUCAAUAUGGUUAAAGCCUGCUCGGUCUACCAGAACAAAAUCAAUGCUAUUGUAAAGUCUAAACAAGAUGACUUGUUUCAUUUACAAAAGGAUUUAAAUUUUCAAAGAAUUGAGAGUCAAAUACAAAGUGAUUUUAUACAAAGAAAAAUUUCUGAUUUCAAAAGCCUUAUUGAAAAAAAAUUUGUGCUGAUUUACCAAGUGCUUUUUGGAAUAGGAAACAACAUUUGGUAGAUUUUCCAUAUGAAAAUUCUUUUGAUGAAAAGCAAAUACCUACUAAAGCCCGUCCAAUCCAAAUGAAUUCGGAUUUGGAACAGCAUUGUAAAGAAGAAAUUAAUGAUCUUAUUUCCAAAGGUCUUAUUGUAAAAUCCAGGUCACCUUGGUCUUGUGCUGCCUUUUAUGUCAACAAAAAUUCUGAGAUUGAAAGAGGUGUACCUAGACUUGUGAUAAAUUACAAACCUUUGAAUAAAGCUUUAAAAUGGAUUAGGUACCCGAUACCUAAUAAGAAAGAUUUACUUCAAAAACUCUGCUCGGCCUUCAUUUUUUCUAAAUUUGAUAUGAAGUCGGGUUUUUGGCAAAUUCAAAUUCAUCCAAAAGACCGUUACAAAACAGCAUUUACUGUUCCUUUUGGUCAGUAUGAGUGGACAGUAAUGCCUUUUGGUUUGAAAAAUGCACCCUCAGAAUUUCAAAGAAUCAUGAAUGAUAUUUUCAAUCCCUACUCUGAGUUUUGCAUUGUCUAUAUCGAUGAUGUUUUGAUUUUUUCUCAAAGCAUUGAUCAACAUUUCAAACAUCUAAAGACUUUUUAUCUUGCUACAAAGAAGGCUGGAUUAGCCCUUUCCAGUUCAAAGAUUUCAUUGUUUCAAACAAAAGUCAGGUUUCUUGGUCACUACAUUUCCAAAGGAACCAUUACUCCUAUUGAAAGAUCUCUUUUGUUUGCGGACAAAUUCCCAGACAAAAUUUUAGAUAAAACUCAAUUACAAAGAUUUCUCGGUAGUCUAAAUUAUGUUCUUGAUUUCUGCCCUAACAUCAAUAGGAUGUCAAAACCUCUGCAUGAUAGGUUAAAGAAGAAUCCUGUUGCAUGGUCAGAUGAGCAUACUAGAGUUGUUAGAUUAAUAAAGCAGUCUGUUAAAAGCAUUCCUUGUUUGCAUCUUGCAAAUCCUGCAUUUCCUAAAAUUGUUGAAACUGAUGCAUCAGAUUUAGGAUAUGGAGGUAUUUUAAAACAAAAAGAAAAUGAUAAAGAACAGAUAGUCCAAUAUGUUUCUGCUCAUUGGAACGAUUGUCAGAAAAAUUAUUCUACUAUCAAAAAAGAAAUUCUUUCUAUUGUUUUAUGCAUUACUAAAUUCCAAAGUGAUUUGUUAAAUCAAAAAUUCUUACUUAGAAUUGAUUGCAAAGCUGCAAAACAUGUUUUAGAAAAGGAUGUUCAAAACAUUGCAUCAAAACAGAUUUUUGCACGUUGGCAAGCUAUUCUCAGUGUUUUUGAUUUUGAUAUAGAAUUCAUUAAAGGUGAUAAAAAUUCUGUUCCUGAUUUUCUAACUCGGGAAUUUCUUCAAAACAGGUAAUGGCUCCAAAGAAAAAGGACAAAGGGAAAGCACCUGCUUCCCAAGAACUUUCCAAAGAACCUCAUGCAACCCCCUCUAAAGAAAAGCUCCUUUCCUCAGCCAUGCCAAUUAAAUCUUGGAUUGAAUUGGUUGAAGAACAUGAAGCCAAAUACAAAUCCAUUUCUUCUGAAGACCAAGUAAAGCAAUGGAUGAGUUCCAUUACAAAGUCACCCGAGCUUAUGAUAGCCCUACAAAGCCUCUCCCAAAGUCAACCUAAAGAGGAAGAAAAACCCACUUCCAAAGAAAUCUCAAAGCCUUCCUCUCAAAACAUUGUUGUUUCUGGUGAGAGCUCAUCCUCCCAAAUUGUGCUCUCUCAGCCAACACCUUCAAAGAAAACUUCCGAUUGGUUUGAUAAAACCCAUUUUCAAAACAUUAUUUCAAUGGAAGAUGGAUUUUACCAUUCUGAUCCUUUUCAAAGUAUUUCAAAGUUUUUUCCCCCAGGCUGGUUUUUCAAACCAUGAGAUUUGACAAAACCCCAGUCUUAUUAUCACAGUAUUUUGGAAAUUACUGAUUCAGUAAAAUUCAAACAUUUCUUUUUUAGCAAAACCCAUUCUGAGCCGGCCUAUUCAACGGCUACAAUUUUAAAAGUUUUGAGCCCGAACCAGUGGGGUGAUCUGCUCCACAAUUUUAAAACUUUCCCCCUUGAUUUUGAGACCCGUUUGCCACACUGUAGGACUUUCUCCUACUGGGAUUACCAACAGGCCUGGUAUAACACUUUCUUCAUACAAAACCCUAAAAAAUCCCAUUCCUGGUUAUUUUUCUUUAAUUCAAAAAUAACCGUCCAAAGCCUGCCGAACUGGUUUCACCAUUGGUGGAACUAUUUUGGUCCAACCUCAGAUAUCCUUACUCAAAAUGCCCUCCAAUGCCUAAACCUUUUCAAAGCCAAUUAUAAACCUACGGAGUCUGAGAAAAGAUUUCCUCCUUUUCUCUGCUUCUGUACCAAUUUCUUCCUUCCAUGGGUCUGGAUGUGGAGUCUUCGACAUCACACUCAGGAUUCCCAUUUUAUCCUCCAAAGAACCUUCAGAGUCAAAUGGUGGUCCAAAUUUGAUGAGCAGACCAAAUUAACCACCAACCAAGUACAAAACUGGCUUUCUGCCCAAGGCCAUCUACAACCAGCCAUCAAAGAUAUUAAAGCCCAAGGCACUUUCCUCACUCAAAAAUCCAAAGCCCAAGCCCUCCUAGCAAGUGCCAAAACCGAAGAAGAAUACUUCAAAGCAAUGGAACAGCUCCUCCGCUUCUCGAUCCAAGUCCUCAGUUGCAGAUUCUACUGAAGACGACGACGACGAUGAUGACGAGCCAACCGUCUCUCUCGGAGAUAAAAACGAAGAUGACUGUUUCGGCAUUUUCUCUCCAAUAAAGCAUUGUAAAUAAUUAUUUGAUUAUUUACUUAAAAAAAAAAAGUGUAAUUGUUCAUUUCGGGUGGUCCCUUGGACACAAGUGAGAGCGCACAUGUCUCUUCACCCGUAUUGUAUUUCAUUUUGUAUUUCAGUAUUCGUACAAAGUAGUCUUCUGUUCAAAGCUACGGUCAGCCUACUAUUCAAAGCUACGAUCCAAAGGUUACUGUGCACUUAAAAACCCGCUACAAUGAACAGUUUCAAUUUCCAAAGGUUACUGUGCACUUAUAGCUCCGCUACAGUGAACAGUUUACAAAGUUUUGUAUAUAACCCAAGAGGAAGACUUAGACUCCUCACGGGUUUUUAUUUUAAGUUUUCAUUUCUCUCUCUUCUCCUCCUUCUCUCUAAAAAUUCUCUCUAAAGCACGAAGAGCUCAAAGAAAUCCUCUGUUUACGCAAUAGUUCUAUCUUAGAGCUUUGAGUAAUCAGACUAGUUCUUUACCUUCAACAAAUCUUCCCGUCUUUCAAUCUUCCCUUCUGGAAAGAUUUGAAAAAUUGUAAAGCAGCAAAAGCAAAGUGUAUGUCUAGAUCUUUGAUCUAGUUUUAUUUACAAAGCAAUUUCAAUUCAUGUAAUUUAAUUUUAAAGCAAUUUACUUUUCUGCAAUUUCAUUUCAGUAAUUUACUUUAAAGCAUUUUCUUUUACAAAGCAUGUUAGCAGACUGAUCUGUAUCAGAUCUGCCAUAUAAAAUAUACAUUCUUCUGAGGCAAAGAGACCAGAUCUCGAUCCUCAGUCGUAAACUUCUCUCUCCCCCCUUCUUCAGAGCACCAUUUCCGGGAACCGGAUCUGGUACUGUGUAUGUUUUAGAAGCCAACCUUAAUGCAUGUUUAUUUCAGUAAAGCCCUGCUGCUAGGUUUGCUAAAAUCAACCUAACUCAGAUCUGGUAAAGACACUUCUAAAAUUGACGAAUCGCAUUCCAAAGCAAAGUAGAUCUCCAGAUCUACCAAAGAAUUUAAUAAAUAAUCGGUAAAGCACACUAUUCCGGUAUAUCGGCUGGAAACCAGAACGUGCGGGCUAUUGAUCUGUCCUAAGUCAGAUCUGGGUCCAAAGGCAGAUUAAUUUCUGCGUCGAUCCGGUAUAACAACGCCACGUACCAGUCUAGAUCUAAAAUUUUGACCAACCGCGUUCCAAAGCAAAUUAAUUUGAUAAAGAAACGGUAAGUUCUUUUAAAAUCUGACGAAGCUGAUUCUAUUGAUUGUUUAAUUUGAGUUUUUAAUAAUAAAGUAUUUUGAAAGCACAUCCAUCCUUCGAUCCUAUUUCCUUCUGGUAUCAGAGCCUCACCUUACAAAUCUCCAUUAACGGCAAAUAGGGGGAUGAAUCACUGACAUCACCCAAUUCAUAUAUUCAAUUAAUGUAUUCCCACCCCAGUCAGAAACGUGCUACCACAGUUGAUUAGUUAUUAGGGAUAAGGCUUACCGCAAAGAACUGAAUGGCGUUAACUAAAUAAUGAGUUGAAACGGUAUCUGCAAUCGCAUUAAAUGGCAUUGAACCGAAAGGUAGGGUUUAAAUGAAUGUUGGCCUGAGACAAAAGGGCGUGGCAUAUUGGGGUCUUAUGGCUUCGUUUUGUUUCAAUUGAAGGAGGGAAGCUGAGCGAGAGCUUUGAUACGUAAAUUUCAGCUUAAUUUAAGCUAUGGUCUUCUUUCGAUUGAAACAGAGAAAGAUUUUGGGUUAUUAAAGUGAAAGAGAUGGAAUCAUACAAAAAAUUAGCAAAGUGAAAGCGAGGGAAUACAAGAUUUAUUAUGGGUCCUAAGAGCUGAAGGCAAUUCGCCAUGGUUCCGAUAUAUGGAAAACUUUCUUAGCUUUAUCGGUGGUGGAAGUGAGGGUUAGGGCUCGGGUUCGACACAAUGUUGUUGAGAGUGGCUCAAAGUUCAUUGAUUUUAGGUUGCAGCGAGAGAGGGGUUCAUUCAACACUUGUCGAUAUUUGGCUGAAGUGUUGGUAUGUUUUAAGUUUCAUAAAAACGACGUCGUUUAAAUAGUCAUCAUUUUAUGAUAUUAUAAAUCCACAAAACUUGAGCAUCACUUAUAUCUAUCAUUUAUUUAUGUUAGUUAAGAUAUAAGUCAUGAAUAUGUCAUAAACUCUGAACAUAUAAACAUAUGCCACACCAACAAAGUGUUGGCUCCAUUGGCAAUAGAGUCCCCUUAAGUGGCUUAACUGGGUUUGCUCCUCAGUUCGAGUUGCAGGGAAGUCGCAUUUGUUGAGAGAACUUGUGCCUUCCGGUUCGAGCGGGGACUUCUAAUAUGGGUUGUGGUACGGGCUUAAAAGUGUCUCCCACAAUUAGGGCCCUCCUCAGAAUACCUCGUGGUUAAGACAAAAAAUAUAUAUAUAUAUAUGUCACAAAUCUAUCACACUUUCAUGAUACAUUUGUGACGUAUCGAAGGUUCAUGUCAUUCCUCCGGUGCAACAUUCGAAAUAAGGCCAUUGCCCUUGUGAAAUUUGCAUUACUUCUAUUGAAAAUCUACAUAAUAAGAGCUCUCCCGUUGCAUUUUUCGUUGUUUUGCUUUUGCUUUACUUUAAUGUGUCGCUACAUGAACAAGUAUAGUGCAACAUAUGUACCAUCAAUUUUGCUAUGUCUUAUUCCCAAUUUUAUAUAAUACAAAUCAUUUUGAAAUUAUAAUAACAACAACGGGGUCAAGCACAUUUUGUGUCUUGAAGAUUUGCGAGAGCUCCAUCCUACAAAGUUAAAUUAUUAUUGUUGUUGUUGUUAUUAUUAUUAUUAUUAUUAUUGAUGACGAUGAUGUGCUGUUGAUGUUUUUAUUAUUUGAGAGAUGGUAGAAUAAAGUUAUUCAUUUUGGAGCUUAACAGUGGAAAAUAAGGAAAACAAGAAAAAAGUUGUAUUCGUGUUAAUUUCCUUUGUCAUUUCUUGUUUCUAGAAAUAUUUUUGCUUCGUUUAUUCUAUUUUAUUUGCUUAUUUCAUUGGGCUUGCUUCACAUAUCAUAUCUAUCUUUCUUUCAAAAUUUGAAGGGAAGGAAAGUACUUAGAAAAUGCUCUUGCCUAUGAACAUGUAAGAAAAACUGAAUAUCAUUCAUCGGAUAACAAAAAACACUAAUCAUCGCAUAAUCCCUAGAACAAAUAAUUAAACCAUCAAAUGUUAGCUAUGAACAACUAUAUAUCCUAUCAUAUUUAACUUCUAUUUAUGGUCAUAUCCCUAACAUAUUUAGAGUGGUUUUGGAAUUUUGAUUACAUCUGAGCUUUCUCAAAAGCAGAUGCUGUGAAAUGAAGUUACUAUUUGCUUUUCAAAACUGUUAAUAAUGAUAGUAGUUUAGAAACUUGAACCACCACCUACGUGAGUCUGUGAAUUUCACCUUUUUGUUUGAUAAUUGGAGGUUUUCGUUUAAUGCCUAAAUUCGUAAACUGUGGAAACGUUUGAAAGCAUCUAUAGCAUAUUCAUUAAAAUCACGUUUUCACAAACCAAAAAGGGUACUAAUUUGGUCUCGAUGUGUGAAAAGUAACACCUACCUAGCCAUCCAUCAGGUAAGUGAAUAAGUAUAAAAAUAUUAAUAUUUUCUCUGUAGUUCCUAUUAAAAUUGUCUAUUAUAGUUGCAGAAUGUCUAGGAAGUAUAAAAGGAUGUCGUUCAAACAUGAUUAAGAUAGAAAGGGAAAAAAUAAGUAAUUAUCCAUGGACCAAACAUUUUACAAACUGCAUUUUUUAGAAAACACACAAACAUUUUUUAUUGUUUUCAACAAUCCAUCUAAUAUUUGCAAACUGCAUCACAGCUCCACUACUAUCAUAACCCUUUAAAAAUGUUGCUUAAUCACGAGAACCUAUUACUUGUAAAUUAUUUUUCAAGCAAAUGCAACGAUAGAUCUAGUUUUGAUCUGGGUGACUUUUACGUGUACAGAAACGAGGAGAACGACCUUAUGUCAAGUCGAAGGAUUAAGAUAAAUCAAUUACAAAUCCAAACAAAACUUAUGAGUGACAUUUUAGUAUUAAGCAAACCUACCAUAAUUAAUCAUCCAGUGAUAGGUUUAUUUUCAAUUAGAGUAAUGAUAGAUAUCCCAAAUGGUGUGUCAUUACUUGAAUAGUAGGUAAUUCUUUCAAGAUUUGAGUGAAUUAAUUGUAUUAUCUCUUCAAUCUAUUGAUGAAUACCAUAUCAUUUGAGAUAAUUUUUUAAGAUAAAAGACUUAGGAUGUGUGGCACUACUCAUUGAAUUAUGCAACUUAAAUGCAAUUUUUUUAAAAUCAUUUAUUUUCAUUAAAUUUUGAGCCAUUAAUGAAAUAAAUAUAAGUACAGCUAUUUGAACCUACUCAUUUUCUCACUACAUCAUUUAUUUAAUCAAAUUAAAAUUUAAUUUUAACAUAUAAUUCAUUAAAUUAUUUGUUUGACUUUGUUCUCUCUCUCUCUCCCCCUUCGUCUCUCAUUCUCUCCAACCAUUUUUUUUUGUCUACAUAGACUAAAUAUUUCAAUUAACAAAUAAAAUUGUUACAAAAAAUAACAAAUUUAACCAUAGACACCAAUAUUAAUUAAUAAACAAAAAAAUUGAAGAGUGAUAGAAUUAAAGUCUGUUAUACCACAAUUUGCUUUACUUUUAUAUUUUUAUUUUAGUGAGGAUACGAUGUAGACAUUAUUUUAGGAUUCUAUAAUUUUUAUUAUUUUAUCGUUUUCUAUUUUAAUUAUAGUCAACUAUGGUAUAUGUCUUAGUUUUUUAUUUCUAUUAAAAUUGUGAUUUAGUUUUUCUUUUUAAGUUAACUUAGUGAAGUAGGUUUAUUAUAUUAUAAAUCAAAAUCUUAUUAUUGUAACUUCAACUAUUGAUCAACUAAUAAAGCCCUUUUUAAUAAUUCUCUCUAAAAUUAUUUAUCAAAAUCUCUCUUACAAAGUUAUUUGGAUUAGAACGUCGUCUAAUCUUGCUUUAUGCGUUAUUAAAAUCUCAUUGAGCCAUUGUUAGAAUGAGAUCUACUCACGUUUCGAUUAGGACGUAAACUAUCCACAUUACCUUAGCCAGUAUUAGAACGAUAGCUAAUAUUUCCUACUCUAUCAAUUCCACUUCCGCUAUUCCAAUUUUUUAGUUUGUAUUAGAGUGGUUCAAUGCCAAUUGCACAGUUUUCCUGGCUACCCAUAUCCAUCCCCACCAAAUCCAUCACUGUUUAUCCAACAAAAAAAUAUUACAAAAUUACAAAACCUUAGCAGCCGCCCACCGCCACUGCCACUGCCACUCUUCACUAAUAGUUCACCAUUGGCUAAUCCCUCUACCAAACUCAUUAGCCACUACUGACCAAACCUUAGCCACUCCUGCCAUCAAUCGCCGCUUGUACCUACUAUAAAUCAUCUAGACCUAAAAACUGGGAGCAUCCACCAGCUGCCACCGUGAAACCAACCAUCUUCACUGUCAACCAACACCACCACUAAACUUGCUAGAUUCCACUGGUCAUAACUUGACAAAACCCACCAAUGAUCACCCCCAUAAAUCGCCACAAUGCUAACCCAAAACCCGGGCUUCACCUAGCGCCACCACAAACGCCACUUUCUCAUUGUCGAUAGACAAAUCGCAAUCGAAAUCUCCAACAUGAAUGAAGCACCACAGAUGCCAAUUCAAGUCAGCUUUUUGACCAAACCACCGUGAAUCCAGCCAAUCCUCGGCCAUUGUCGAGUUUCUCACGACCAUAUCUAGCAAAUCUAACCACUAAGGUCACCAGCCCCAGCGAAAGAAACUCUAACGGAUAAUUUUAAUCUUAGGUGUUCAAGUAAAAUGAUAAUUUUAAUCUUAUGACAUCAACAAGAAUCUAACGAGCUAAGAUGACAAUGAAUAAUUAAUAAACUCUAGGUGGAUUUCUAAAAAGAAAUUUUUUUUUGUGUAUUUUUGAAAAAGUCCCAAAGACUACAUGGUUAGUGGAUAAUUUCCUUUUUUUUCUUAUUUUCUACUAUUAUUAACAAUAAAAGUUUUUCAAUAGUAAUUGUUACAACCAUUAUAACAAUUAUUAUUGUUAUUGCUGUUGUUGUUGUUGUACAACAAAUGUGAAAUUCUAUCUACACAACCCAAGAGGGCGGUGAAUUGGGUAUUAAAAUUAUACUUACAAAAAUACAAAACAAAUUAAACAAAUGCUUUAAGAAAUUUAUAACAGUAAAUUUAACAAUGAAUGCAAUUAAAAAAAUAAAGGAAAAGAUAACAAACAAACAAAUUUUUACGUGUUUCGGCAAAACCCGCCUAUGUUUAUGCUGCCGAGCAAACUAAGUUUGAGGAUUCCACUAUCCAAGCCUUCUCAGGCUCUAAGAUUUUACAAUUGACUUUUAAUGUGUCAAUAAACCUUUAUAAGUAGUGAUGUGUACACAUACCUCUUUCCCCAAGUGUUUCCCACACUUAUACUCACAAAAUUUUGAUAUUUAAUUGAAGAUUACAAAGAUUAAUAUCUAUAAGAGUGUAUAAGCAAAUGAUAACUCAAUAAUGAUUUAAUGCAUGUAGAUAAGUAAAAUGAAAGCUCAAGAUUAGUUGUAUGAACAAGUUUAACUUAAUUGAGAUUGAAAAAGUUGUUAGAUUUGAGUUUGAUUUGGGUUCUUCUAGUUUAAACAAUCAAACUAGUCGUAAUUGACUUUCUGAGGACUUACCGGAUUGCUGCUAAAAUAAAGAAGUUAGUCGCUAUAUUGAUGUGGUAAGUUACCGUUACAAAUAAAAUUUAAAAACUUUUUUGCCUAAGCGAAUCGUCGCCUGAUUUAAAUGGUUAGCAGCUAUGUUUUUGGACCUGAAGCAGUUAGCCACUAUUCGUUAAGCGGUUAGUCGCUACUGUUUCAAAAUUUAUAGAUUUAAACUAAAAGUUCCUAAAAUUAUACUAUGGCCUAAAGUUUUUGAAAUAUUUACAAAUAGAUCCACUUCAAGAAUUUAAUACAUUACUAGUUGAUUUCAAAGUUCUCAAAACUUUUCAAUUUAGUCCAUAAAUUUGAAAACAACUAAUUUUAUAAAAUCAUUUUUAUUUACAUUUAAAACUUUUAUAUUAUAGAAAAUGAUGAUUUAAUUUGAAAAUUGUAUGAAAAAUAUCUUGCACUCUUAAAUACUAAAUCAUGCAUACAUUAAAUCAUAUUAGUUUUACAAGAAAUAUAACUAUGAAGAUUGCUUAAGCUAGUACCUUUAGCAUUCAUCCUUGAUUGUUGUUGUCCAUUGAGUGACUUGAACUUGAUCUCACUUGAGUGAUUUUUGUCCUUCAAGAACUUGUUAGAUUGUGAGAAAUAAAUUUACCAUUUUACCUUAUGUGGUUUGUUAUCAUCAAAAUUAAGGAUCAUAUAGCCGUUUACCCCAACAAUCUCUACUUUUUUUAUGAUGACAAACACCCUAUGUAUUUUGACAUUUCUAUUGCCCCUGAAUAUAUGACAUAAUUCAAAAAAUAUAACCAAAUAUAUAAACUCACUCCCUCUAAGUACAUGAUCCAUAUAAUUGUACAACAUUUGUAAACUCUCCUUGAGUGACUCAUAAAGUAACUAAAAUACUACAAACACUCAAUCAACCCCCAUGAGCCAAAAACAUGUCAAAACACUUCAAAAUACAUGUCAAUGUCUUCUCCCCCUUCAUCAUGAAAAAUCACUCGUCUAUUAUACAAAUAUUAUCAAUAAUUAUCCCCCACAAAGAUCAUCAAUCAAAAAUCCACACAUGACCAUUAAUCAAGUAUCCAUAUACAUAAUCCAUAAUCAAUAAAGAUAAUCCAUAAAGAUAAUUAAUAAAGAUACCACGAUCAAUAACUAGAAUGCAUAAAGAUAAUCCAUAUUAACUCAAGUAUCUAUAAUGCAUAAGUAAAAUAACAUCCAUCAAGUAUCCAUAAUGCUAAAAAUGAAAAUGCAUAUGAUAAAUAAUGUCGGUGCAUAAAACAAGGAAGCAAAAGAGAUAAAAGAAAAUCACUGAUGAGGCGGCAAACAUGAUAACAAGGAUGGUGGCAAAAAUUUGAGAGCAAUGAAAAUAAGCUGCUGAUGGUCUAGAAUUUGUUAUUGUUGAAGGAAGAGACGCUGUUGCUCAGAAAGAAAAUGAUCCUGGAAUGCUGCGAACGGUAUCUUAAGUUUGCUCUACUGCUCGGAUAUGGAACGCACUUUAUUCAACAACUGCUGGAUUGGGUUAUUGGGAAUGGCUGGAGAUGAUGAUGGUGGAGCAUCAGAAGGCCAAUGUAGAGCUUGUGACCUCAGGGAAGAGCUAAGAUCAAGAACCCAGUAAGGGGAAGCACAUCGUUAAAUAUGCAAUGAUAAAAAAGAGCCAGCUUUGUGGGUUUGCUCAACAAGUUCUGAUUCUUAACCUAUUGGUCAUCUACCCACCCAAAUCCUAAGCUAGCAAUGACCUCACCCCCUAACUCCUUGGGUUCAUCAUGAGAUGGUUCAGCUAUAGGGACCCAAAAAUAUUGAAGGAUAUGGGUAAUGACACUACCGACUGAAAAGGAUCGGUUUCCUAUACUCAGUGUAUUAAGCAUGUGCUGAAUGAUAAUAUUCGCACAUUUAGCUUUUACCCUCAAGGAUGCUAUGUAAUAAAGUAACAUCUAAGCGUGUAACCUCAGCACCAUGUCCCUUGCGAGGACUGAUCACAAGUUAAAGAACAAUAUGUAGGAUCCGAACUUGAAGAGGCAACACUUGUGAUCUAAGAGAGGAAUUAAAAAGCUCCAUGGAUAGAUCAGAUCACCUACAUAUUUUUCAAACAUCUAUGUUUCAAACAUCAUCUACAACUAAAUACCAGGGAUAAUCAAUUUUAGUCCUAGAUGUAUACAAAUGCAACCUAUCAUUCCUAGUCCUGAGAUUCAUGUUUAAAUCUUCUACUGUAAACUUAAUAGGAAUCCCAGCAACAUUAGUAAUAAUCAUAUUGGCAGUAUGUGUAUAAAUAAGCAUGUUCGAAUAAAAUACUCGUACCAAAUUAGGACAAAUAUGUUCCUUAAGAACUAAGACAUUUGUCCAACCCAAUUCAGCAAGUAAAGUUCUAAGAGUUUUGCUACAACUUGGCAAAUUUUCUAAUUAAUCAAGAUUAACAUAUAUAGGAUGGGAGGACUGACCUUGUCAUAAAUCGAUCAUAGAAUCAUUCCAUUGAGGUGGAUUUGGAAAGUGGGUGGAAAUGAAUUUCAUAAUGUCUUUAUGAAUCUUUUUUUUUUACAUUUUAGGCAUAUGCUAACCCUUGGACUUCUCACCACUAGCCAUUAAGAAAUUAUCAAAAUGUGUCCAAAAUUGCACAAAUUCGAGUUCAGCAAGUUUUUAAAGAAAUAGAUGAUUUUGAACCGAUUAAAAUGUUAAAAUGUUCUUUGAGAAUAUCUAAGGAAUGUAUGGGUUUAUUUUGGUCGAAAAUGGUCAAAUAAUGGUUCAAAUUUGAGAAUGUUGAAACUGGUGACUUAGGCUUUAAGAUUUUGAGAAAAUAGUGAUUAGAUUGUGUUUUAAAAGCGAAUGAGUGAAGAUUAAUUGAUGGGAAAUGAUUUGGAAAGUUUAAUUUGACACAAAAGUGAUGUAAAAAUGGAAGAUUUUAGAGAGAGAGUAAAAGAAAUGAGAGAUGACAGUGAUAGAGAGAGGGUAACAACUGAAAGUGGGAAAAAGAAGAUGAACAACAUUUGAAAACGUGAAGCCAGCUAGCCUCUUGAAGAAAGCGGUUAACUGUUUCAUUUUUAGAAACCAAGCAAUUAACCGUUUGCUUUGAGCCGGCUGGCCAGCUAGUUUCUGCCUCACAAUUGGCUAGUCGCUUGUGGUUAACGGUUAGCUAGUUCCCCUAAAUUUUGCACGAUUUUGCUUUUUGGCCAAAAUUUAAUUAAUUUUGAGACCAUUUUGUGAUCCCGAAGUAUUUUAAAAGCCAUUUUUAAUGCAUAAGAUAUGAUGAUAAACAUUCAAAGAAGUAAAUUCAAGCAUAUAACACAUUAAAAUCAAGUUUUUAUCAUACAAUCAAUCAAGAUAGAAAAUUAAGCAAAUUUGUAGUCUCAAUAUCAUGCAAUGAAAUAUUGAUGUGAAAAUGUCAUCAUUCCAAACUCAAUCUAAAUCUUUGAAAACUAUUCUUCACAAAAAGGCUUUGUAAAAAUAUCAGCAAGUUAUUUUUCCAUAGAAACAAAUUCUAAAGCAAUAUCUCUCAUUUAAACAUGAUCACGUGAGAAAUAAUGCCUAGUUUCAAUAUGUUUGGUCCUAGAAUGUUGAAUGAGAUUCUUUGACAAAUUUAUUGAGCUAAUAAUUUAUAUGAGUUCCCUUAGACCAAGAUCAAUUGUUCCUCAUAAAUAAUGAAAAAUUCUUUUAACCGCAAGAAAAUGAGAUUCUUUGAGAUAUGGUUGAAAUCAUGCACACAAGCAUACACUAAAGUAAUGUCUACUAGCAGUAAAGUAAAGUAAAGAUAUGAUCAUACCUCGAUAUCUUUUGAUACAACAUCUUUACUUUUUUUAUCCUUAUCGAUCUUGAUUGUAGUACUCAUUGGAGUGUCUUUAGUCCUGAAUGCAAAAUCUUUUGAGUAGAUCUCUGAAAUACUUGGCUUGAUUAAUGAUUUCUUUUUUUUCUUUUAAAUUUUAAGUCCAAGAAAGUACUUCAAUUCUCUCAUCAUGCUCAUGUCAAAUUCUCUACUCAUGCAAGAUGAAAAUUCCUUACACAGAAACUCAUUAGUAGAACUAAAGAUAAUAUCAUCAAUAUAAAUUUGAACAAGUAUACCUUGAUCCUUGUAUUUAACAAAUAGAGUAGUAUUCGCUUUACCCAUUGAAAAACUAUUUUCUAAAAGAAAUUUACUAAGUAUAUCAUGUCAUGCUCUAGAUGCUUACUUUAAACUAUAUAAAACUUUGGACAACUUGUAAACAUGAUCCAAAAACAUUUUUCGUUUUUAAAACGAGAGGGUUGUUUCACUUAAGCUUCCUUUAUAAUACAACUAUUUAGAAAGGCGCUUUUAGCAUCCAUUUAAUAUAAAAUAAAAUCAUUAUGAUAUGCAAAUGAUAAAAGCAUGUAAUGGAUUCUAAUCUAGCUACAUGUGCAAAGGUUUCAUCAAAAUUAAUUUCUUCUUCUUGGUUGCAUCAUUGAGCUACUAAUCUAGCUUUAUUCCUUACAACCACACCAGAUUCAUCGAUUUUAUUCCUAAACACCCAUUUACUGCCUAUUACAGAUUGAUGUUAUGGUUUAUGAACAAGUUUCCAUACAUUGUUUCAUUCAAAUUGAUUUAACUCUUCUUGUAUUGCUAUAAUCCAAGAUUCAUAAUUUUCCACAUCUGAAAAGGAUUUUGGUUCAACUUGAGAUAUGAAUACAGUAUGUUCACAUGUAUUUCUAAGUGAUUAUCUAGUAGUUACACCUCAUGAAGGAUCUCCUAAGAUUAAGUCUUUAGGGUCUGAAGAGACAUACCUUAUCUCCUUAGAGAGUGUUUGUGAAUUACCUUCAUUUUGAAUAUGUUUAACUUGUUCUUCUUGUUGCUCAUCUUGAUUUUUGCCUAGUAAAUCAUCUUGUUUGUCUUUUAAAGACUUUUUUUUUUUUUGUAACUCUUCAUAUGCAUCAUUAUCAACAACAACUUUCUUCGUAGAAGAAAAGUUAGAUUUAAUCAAACAUAACAUGUAUAGAUUCUUUAGCGACCAAGGUUCUUUUAUUAUACACUCUAUAAGUUCUACUUGUUUUUUAAUACCCAAGAAAAAAUAUCAACAUCAGAUUUUAUAUCAAAUUUACCAAGAUUAUCUUUUGUAUUCAAUAGAAAACAUUUGCAACCAAAAACUUUGAAAUAGUCAAUAUUUUUCUAUUUUUCCAAAGCUCAAAAGGAGUUUUAUUGAGGUAAGGUCUAAUCAAUGCACGAUUUAAAACAUAACAAACAAUAUUGACGGCAACCUAAAAAUAUUCUAGUAAAGCAUUUUUAUUUAACAUGGUCCUAGUCAUUUCUUGGAUAGACCAAUUCUUUCUCUCAACUACUCCAUUUUAUUGUGGAGUUCUUGGUGACAAGAAUUGAUGCUCAAUGCCAAAGUUAUUGUAAAAAAUUGAGAAUUACAAUUUUUAAAUUCUCCACCAUGAUCACUUCUAAUGCAAGAAAUAACAUAUCAUUUUUCAUUUUGAACCUUUUUAUAGAAAUUUUGAAAGCAUUAAAGGUGUCAUCUUUAUUAGUUAAGAGUAAUACCAUGUGUAUAUAGAAUAAUAAUCUAUAAUUAUAAAUGCAUAAUAUUUACCACUUAGACUAGCAUAUUUAGAAAAUUCAAACAAAUCCAUGUGAAAAAAGUUAAAAUGGUUUUGAAGUAGAAAUAUGAAUUUUAUUUUUAAAGGACGUUUUAUUUGUUUUCUAAAUUGGCAAACUUCACAAAUUCUAUCUUUUUUAAAACCAAUUUUUGGAAGACCUAUAACCAAAUCAUUUUAAAAAAAUUUUGAAAUAAAAUCCAUGCUCGCAUGACCUAGGCUUCCAUGCCAUAUCAACUAUCAUCAUGUAAUGUGAAAAAAACAUUUAUUAUGAGUUGAUACACUAUCUAUAUCAAUGGUGUAUACAUUAACACAUCUUUAUCUAACAAAUAAAACUUUGCCAUCACAUGCAUUUUUAAUAACACAUUUUGUUUUAUAAAAAAUAACUCUAUAAUCUUUAUCACAUAAAAAUAACUUUGUAACCUUUAUCACACAAUUGACUAAUACUAAGCAAAUUCUAAAGCAAUAUCUUUUAUUUUUCUUUUUCAAAUCAUUUACAGGUAAACCUUUAUUCUUAGAUGAAACAUUUUGUUUUUUCUUUAAAAGAUGCAAUUUCUUCACAAAUACUCCUAGGCACUUAAUCUUUUUAUUCAAAGUGUCAUUCUCAUUUAAAAGUUCUACUUUUUUCUUUCCAAGAGAAACAUUUUACAUUCCAAUCUUCUUUAAAUCUUUAUGCAAUUUAGAGAAUACUUCAAACAACUCAUCCUAAGAGGUUUACCUCAUCAAGUUCAUCUCCUAUAACCAUAAGUGCCAAAUUUGACACUUCAUGGGACUACUCUUCAUCUAUAGUCUCCUUAUCGCUAUCAUCCCGUGUUGCUACCAUAGCUUUCUUCUUUAAUUUAUUGAGAAAAGGACAUGCUAGUUUUAUGUGUCUAGGCUUCCUGCAUUUAAAGCAAAUAAUUGCCUCCUUUUCUUUCUGAUUUUUGAAUUUCCUUCGCUCGAUGGAUUUCUUGAAUUUUUUUUUGAAUUUUCCAGCUAUCAUAGCCAUGUCUUCAUUUUCGAUCUCACUUUCGUUGUCACUUUUAGAUCUUGAUGCUUUUAAGGAAAUACUCUUCUUCUUCUCGACUUCAUUGCCUUUUCAAUUUGUCAAAUCCUUUUCAUAAGAAAUAAAUGAACUAAUUAAAUCAUCAAUAGAUAAAGUAUCCUUGGCUUCCUCAAUGGCAAUUUUCUUAGGUCUCUAUUCUUUUGGUAAAGACCUACUGAUUUUUUUUACCUUCUCGCUAUUUGAAAAGGUCUUUCUAAGAGCUUCUAAAGUGUUUAUAAUGUCUGUGAAUCUAGUGUAUAUGGAAUUAACACUCUCAUUUUGUUCCAUUUAUAGCAAUUCGUAUUGCCUAGUAUAUCUACUAAUUUUAGACUAUUUAACUUGAUUUGUAGCUUUAUAAACGACUUUAUGUUUUUUCCAAAUUUCAUAAGCAUUGGAACAACCUUAAGGCACAAAACAAAGCAUUCAUGGCUUUGAAAUUAAGAGAAUUUUUUCUCUUUUCUGACUCAUUCCAUUCUUGUGAAAGCUUUUAACAGUAGGCAUGAAUGGACCAUCACAAUCAACUUCCUAUAUUUCAUAAUAUAAUGCUUGCAAAUAAAUUCUUAUCAUAAUUUUCCAACAUGGAUAAUCAUUCCCAUCAAAGAAUGGUGAUCUAGUAAGGGAUUAACCUUUCCCAAAUCUGGGAUCAUUUUGGAUUACUAUGGAUCUUUUACUCUAGAUGGUUAAGUCCUAAUAAGAUAACUUCCUCUUAUACCAAAUGAAAUUCUAGCUAAGCAACCCAAGAGGGGGUGAAUUAGGUAUUAAAAAUUAUACUAACAAAAACACAAUACAAAUUAAACAAAUGCUUCAAGAAAUUUAAUAAUGGUAAAUUUAACAAUGCGUGAAAUUAAAAAGAUAAGGGAGAAGAUAACAAACACAUGAAUUUUUAUGUGGUUCGGCAAACCCGCCUAUGACUACGCCUCCAAGCAAUCCAAACUUGAGAAUUCUACUAUCUAAACCUUCCAAGACUCCAAGAUUUUACAAUUGACUUCUAAGGUGUCAAUAAACCUUUACAAGUAGUUAUGUAUACACACACCUCUUUUCCCAAGUGUUUCCCACACUUAUACUCACUCAAUUUUGAUAUUUAAUUGAAGAUUACAAAGAUUACACUCUAUAAGAGUGUAUAAGCAAAUGAUAGCUCUAUAAUGAUUAAUGUAUGUAGAUAAGCAAAAUGAAAGCUCAAGAUAUAUGAAUAAGUUUUAGCUUAAUUGAGAUUGCAAAAAAUUGUUAGAUUUGAGUUUAAUUUGAAUUUUAUAGUUUAAACAAUCAAACUAGCAAUUAUGGGCUUUUCUAGGGACUUGCUGGAUCGCCGUUAAAAUGAGGCGGUUAGCCACUAUGUUGAUAUGGUAAGUUACAGUUGCAAAUCAAAUUUGAAAACUUUGGUUCAAGCGGAUUCCGCUUGAUUUAAGCGGUUAGCUGCUAUGUUUCUAGACUUGAAGUAGUUAGCCGCUAUUGGUUAAGCGAUUAGCCACUAUUGUUCCAGGAUUUAUAGAUUAGACCUAAUUUUUUUGAAAUUAUAUUACAGCCCAAAACAUUUGAAAUAUUUACAAAUAUGUCAAUUUCUAGGAUUUAAAACAUUAUUGGUUGAUUUCAAAGUUCUCAAAACUUUUCAAUUUAGUCCAUAAAUUUGGAAAAAGCAACUAAUUUUAUAAAAUCGUUAAAACUUUUAUAUUAUAGAAAAUGAUGAUUUAAUUUAAAAAUGUCAUGAAAAAUAUCUUGAGCUUUUAAAUGUUAAAUCAUGCACACAUUAAAUUAUACUGGCUUUACAAGAAAUUUAACAAUAAAGAUUGCUUAAACUAGUACCCUUAGUAUUCGUACUUGAUUGUCAUUGUCCAUUGAGUAUCUUGAUCUUGAUUUCACUUGAAUGAUUUUUGCCCUUCAAAAACUUGUGAGAUUGUGAGAAAUAAAUUUACCAUUGUACCCUAUGUAGUUUGUUAUCAUCAAAAUCAAGGAUUAUAUAACCGUUUAGGCCAACAAAAUAUUAUAAUAAAUAAUAAUUAUUAUGAUAAAAAAUUAAAGAUAUUUCGUAAUUUGUAACAACUCAUCGUGAUUUUAAAAUAAAAUAAAUAUAUCAAUGAUGAUAUAAUUUAUUUUAAUUUUAAUUUUUACAAUUUAAAUAAAUAAAUAAAUUAUCAUUCCAUAUUUUAAUUCCAACUCAUUCCAUUCCAAUUCAUUCAUAUUUUAAUCAGUAUAUCAACUACCCCCGAGCAAUGCCCGAAAGACAUUGAGGCAAGGGCCACAGAAAAAUAUACACUUGUUAGUUUAGCGUUGGUGUCAAGUUUCUUUAGCAUUUUAAAUUCAUAAAAGAACUUAUAGUGGUUCUUCAUCCUUUGGACUUUUCAGUGUUUACUUUCUAGAGUGGGUGUGAGUAGUGUGAAUUCCUCCCACUUCAAUAUUUACUGUACCAUUUUAAGGAGGGAUUGGGAAUCCCACUCCAUAAACCCCACCCAUUUUUGGAGUGGGGAGUGGGAGUGGGAGUGGGACUCCCAUGGGAACCCACUCCCACCUCUCCCUUUUCUACCUUUAUUUAAUUAAAUUUAAUAUUUAAUAUUUAAUAAAAUAAAAUAAAUAAUAUUAUUAUAUUAAUAGAGAAUUAAUAAUAUUACUAUAUGUUAUUUAUUUGAAGAUAUAAUAUUAUUAUAUUUAUUUAAAAAUAUAGUAUUAUAUUUAUUUAAUAUUAAUAAUUAAUAAUAAUAAAUAGUUUAUUCUAAGAAAAUAUUAAUUUUAUACUAAAUAAUAUUAUAUUAUUAUUUAUAUAAUAAUAAAUUUAAUAUAAUUAAAUAAAAUAAUAUUUCAUUUUAUAUUUACCUUCCUUUUUUAACCCCCUUUUAUUAAAUUUACUAUAAUUAUAUAUUAAUAAAAUAAAAUAAAUAAUAUUUUAUUUAUUUAAAUAAUAUUAUUAUAUUUAACUAAAUAAUAAUUUGGUUUGAUUCUAAGUUUAAAUUACUUAAAAAUAAUAAUAUUAUAUUAAUAGAGAAUUAAUAAUAUUACUAUAUACUAUCUUUAUUUGAAAAUAUAAUAUUAUUAUAUUUAUUUAAAAAUAAUAGUAUUAUAUUUAUUUAAUAUCAAUAAUUAGUAAUAAUAAAUAGUUAAUUAUAAGAAAAUAUUAAUUUUGUACUAUGUUAAUAGUAAAAAUAUUUCAUUUAUAUUGCUCUUAUCAAUAAUUUUUAAUUUAUAUAAUUAAAAUUAAAAUUAAUAAAAAAUUAUGAUGUACAUAAUUAAGAAUAUUAACAAUUAUUAUAAAUUUAUAAAUAUAAUAAAAUAAAUGUUUAUUCAUUAAAUAUAUAUUUUUAUUAACUUUGUAAUAAAAAAUUAUAAUUCUUUAAAUAAAGGUAAAAUUAUAAUUUAAAAUUAUUUACUCUCAAUUCAAGAUAAAGUACACACAUAAAUUGGAUUAUGAUCUCCAUUCCAUACUUAUAUUUCAGUGUAAGUAAACAACUUACACUUAUUUCCACUCUACACUCUCAAUCAUAGAUUUUUAUUUCUCAAAAUUCUCACUCCAAUCCAAAAUGUAAACACUAUGGUAAUUGUUCACGCAACUAUUUUAAUCGAAAAUAUUUUACUCGAAACUAAUAGACCUUUCAACAAUUUUAAGCGAAAAUAAUAGACCUUUCAACAAUUUUUACGGAUUCUGGCAAUUGUUCACGCAACUAUUUUAAUAGAAAAUAUAUAUGGCUCCGUAAACAAUGAUUAUCUCUUGACAGCUGUUCUGCACUCGCCAUUUGUACUGAAAUAGAAGAUUAUCUCUUGAUGAUUAUUUAAUUGAAAAGAAUUUGUCGUUUAUAUUUGACUGACUUGACAAAGAGUUGUUCACCUGGCCUUUGGAUGAGGAUCACAUGUUUUAUGACAAUCGUAAUGUUACUAAGGUAAGUCAAGCAAUUAUUUUUAAAUAAUGAUAUUAUAAUUAAAAAUCUAAAAACAUUUAUAAUACUUAAAGACUAAUUCCGAUUAUUAAUUUUUUUAUAUGACUUCAUUAUUAGCUGACAAAUAAUUAAAAGGCCAUAGAACAAUAUUUUUAGGUCCAAUUUUUAUUCUAAUAUGACAAAAUUUGUACUUUCAUUCCUAUACUAAAAUAUAUCUAACCUACUAACUAUCAAGAAAUAUAACUAUUCAACACAUAUUUGUUAGAAAGAUUAUCUACUAAUUAAUCAUUGAUUACGAGAUUAAUAUAUUGAAAUUCAGAACUUUUUUUUUUCCUUCUGCAGUUUAAAAAGGAGUCGCCCACGAGUAUUGAAAUAAUUUUAUCAGAUUCGCUUAAAAGUAGUUUUAAUUCUCAGUCAAUUCUCAGUCAAGAAUUGACUUUUUUUUUUCCUUCUGAACUUUUUUUUUUCCUACUCUUUGCCUUCAAUUCUCAGUCAAGAAAACCUCUCCUGAUUUUCGUCUUUUGAUCUCAUACACACUUUGCUUCUAUUUAUCGUGGUCACUGCUCGUGCUAGCCGUUUUCUUAUUUAGCUUCGUUCCCUUUUGCCAUCAGCUAUUUGCAUUUUCAUUGGAUCAAGCAACCCUUUUCUUGAUUCAAUUUUCUGAUCUCAAAAACACUUUGAUUCUCUUCUGUUACACUGAUUUCCCUUGUUUUGUACAAAUAUCAUUUCUUUUUUCAACUUUGCCUUGUUUUGCUUCUACUUGAUUAUCAAUUGCGCGGCCGUUGACCCUGUUCUAUUUCUAUUUCGUUCACUUCCCCAAAAAAAAAAAAAAAAAAUGGACAUUUUGAAAAGCAUUGUUCCAGGAGUUGUAAACUGUUUGUCUCCUCACGCACAACGCGAAUUUAGUUAUUGGUAUAAUUCCGGUGCCAACUUUGAGAAUCUCAAGGCAGAACUCGAUAGGCUCAAGGAUGAAAGAGAAAGCAUUCAGCGCAGAGUUUCUGAGGCUGAAAGAAAAAGUGAAAAGAUUGAAGAGAAGGUUGAGAAAUGGCUGGUUAAUGCGAACAAGAGCAUUGAGGAGGCAGCCAAAUUCAUUUUCGACGAAGAGAAAGCAAAUGAACGAUGUCUCAUGGGGCUGUUUCCUAAUUGGAUUACUCGCUAUCAGCAUGGAAAGAAAGCAGAAACAGAGAAGGAGGCCCUUUUUAAACUCCGAGAAGAAGCUGGGAGAUUUGAUGAUAGAAUUUCCUACCGUACCAUACCGGAGGAGAUUUGGCUCAAGUCUCACAAAGGCUACGAGGCCUUCGAAUCAGGACGUUCUACUUUGGAGGCUAUAAAAAACGCAUUGAUCGAUGUUGAUGUCAGCAUCAUUGGGGUGUACGGCAUGGGCGGCAUUGGAAAGACGACACUGGUGAAGAAGGUCGCCAGGCAAGCUAUGGAAGACAAGCUCUUUGAUAUGGUAGUCUUUUCAGAGGUUUCCCAAAUCCCAGACAUAAAAAGGAUUCAACAUGAAAUUGCCGAGGAGUUGGGCCUGGAGUUGCGCGAGGAAGUUGAAUCCAGAAGAGCAAAUAGAAUAUUUGAGCGAUUGAGAGAUGAGAAGAAGAUCCUUGUGGUUUUAGACAACAUCUGGAAACACCUUGAUUUGGAGACCGUUGGAAUUCCUUUUGGAGAAGACCAUAAAGGAUGCAAACUACUGCUGACAGCAAGAGAUCGUAGUGUCCUCUUAAAAAUGGGAUCUAAAGACAACUUCUUGAUUAACAAUUUAAAUGAUGAAGAAGCAUGGAGAUUGUUUAAGAUGAUGGCCGGUGAUGAUGUUGAAAAUCGUGAGUUGAAAUCUACAGCAAUAGACGUUGCCAGGGCAUGUGGAGGUUUGCCCAUUGCCUUGACUACAGUGGCAAAGGCACUGAGAAGCAAGAGUCUGCAUGAAUGGAAGAAUUCCUUGCGAGAACUCCGAACGCCUUCAAUGGUAAACUUCGAAGGAGUAUCUGCAGAGACUUAUUCAAGUAUUGAGCUGAGUUUCAACCAUUUAAAGGUGAGCAACUCAAGAAAAUUUUUCUGCUCUGUAGUCUAAUGGAUAACCGUAUUCUUACUUCGGACUUGUUUAAGUACUCCAUGGGUUUGGGUAUAUUUAAAGGAGUCAAUAAGAUGGAAGAUGCACGAGACAAAUUAUAUGCAUUGGUCCAUGAACUUAGACACUCUUGUUUGUUGCUUGAGGGUGAGAGCAAUGAACAAUUUUCAAUGCAUGAUGUUGUUCGUGAUGUCAUAUAAUUUUCAACUAUCACUAAGUGGAAAAGAUGUGAAGAUGAUUUUGCAGGCCGAUUUCCCACAACACCUUUUUGGCAGUCUUAAACAACUAGAGAUUGUUGGAGAUGACUCAGCUUGUUUUCCAAUCUGGAACGUACUGAAGAGAUUUCACAAUCUCAAAAUGCUCAUACUGCGUUAUUUUUCAUCCCACGAAGAGCUAUUUUCAAUGGAAGGAUGCUUAGAGAAACAUGUGGGGAAGUUGGCAAUGAUAAAAGCAUUAGAGCUGCGCUGGCACUAUCAUCUGAAGCAGCUGUGCAAACAAGACUCCAAACUUGGCCCCAUUUUUCAGUAUCUUGAAUUCAAAAUGUACUUCAUUGUCAAAGUCUGUUAACUCUAUUGCCACCAUCAUCGGUAUCUUUCCAGAACCUAACAGCUCUGGUGGCUUUCGGUUGCAAGAAAUUGAUACACUUAGUAACAUCCUCCACAGCAAAAACUCUAGUGCAACUCGUCAAAGUGUGUAUAUAUGGAUGCAGAGCAAUGACAGAGGUGGUAAUAAAUGACAAAGAUGGAGUUGAAAAAGAAGAGAUUGUUUUCCGCAAAUUGAAGGCGUUGGAACUGUGUGAUUUAGAUAGCCUCACAAGUUUCUGCUCUGCCAAUUACACCUUCAAAUUCCCAUCUUUGCAAGAUUUGUGGGUGAUUGGUUGUCCCAAGAUGAAGAUUUUCACUACAGGAGAAUCAAUCACGCCUCUAAGAGUAAACGUCUGCUAUGGAGAGACAGCGGAUCAACGGCGCUGGGAUAAUAAUGAUCUAAACACAACCAUACAACAAUUACAUGCUGAGAAGGUACGGAUAUACAUAUUACUCUCUAUCUCCCAUGAUAAAUUUUUACAAAAUUUGCUUUUUUUAAAUAAAAUAUCGAUAAGAUAUUUGUUUUAAAAUUAGUUUAAAUUGAUGGAUAAGAAUUUUAUUCUCAGCUGUUGGACGGGUCGUCGAUAUACUCUACGCAAUACCACUAAUUUCAUUGGCUUCUUAUGUCUUGGAGUUGCGAAUUUGAAGAAGAAAGUCCCAGCUGGUAAUUAAUUCUUAUUUUAUUUAUUUGAUCUCGUGGGUUGUUUCACAAUUUCAUCUCAAUUAUUUAGAAUGGGUCGCUUGGUUUUCAUGUUUCGUUCAGGCUUUUGUGGGCAGAUUUUGCGUCAUUGAUUGUCUUUUGGUCUAAUUUAAUUUAAUUUGAGUAUUUUGUUUGAGAAUUCGCUUGUUCUCUAAAAUUUUAUAAUUCCUUGCAAGCAUUUUAUGAUGAAAUUUCAUUAAAAGGGGCAACACUUGCAUGUUGAAUGUCUUCAGAUAUUAUAAUUCCUUGAAAUCAUGCGAACUUUUUUCUUUCUUUCUUUGCCAAUCAUUUAUUGUCAUCAUUGCCUUUCCGUUAUAUUUGUUUCUGCUCUGUUUGUUCUUUGGAAACUUGGAAGGCAACGAAAGUACUUAAGAAAAUGCUCUUGCCUAUGAACACAUAAUUAAGAAGCUGAAUAUCAUUCAGCGGGUAAAAUAUAUAUAUAUAUAUAUAAUUAGCCCAUUAUGCCUACAACAAAUCCUUACACCAUCAAAGGUUAGCUAUGAACAACUAUAUUGUGGAAAUAUUGUUUGAAAGCAUUGGAUAGAAUUUUCAAAAAUAUCAAGUUUUCACAAACCAAAAAGGGAACUAAUUUGGUCUAGUUUUGUGAAAGUAUAGAAGCACAAAUUUUGUCUGUUAUUCUUGUUAAAAUUCUCAGCACUAUGUUUGCAGAAUGUCUGGAUACUGAUGGAGAUUCAAGUCACUCUUCUUCUGUGCAACAUUUGAAAUGAAGCCUUUUUUUCCCCCUUUAUUCAAAUUUUAUGUUGUGAGGGGUUCCGUUUCCAUCUUCAUGUGAUUUACUUCAUCGUGUCGCUACAUAUAUGAUAGUGUGUGUUAUUUCCUGUCUGUUUCCUUUAUUUGACCAUCGGAAGUUCAAAGACAUUUUAUUCUAAAUGUGUGUAAAUUCAUUUUCUGUAUAAGCUCUUUGUAUGCAUUUUGACAUUUUAUUCUCAAUAUAUGUGACUCAAUGAGAGGUCUAUUGUUAUAUAUACGUCACGAAAUUCUUGUGUAUUUUUAGAUUUGAUGAUGUAUUAUUGCCUCAUUGCAAGGUCUUAUAAUCACUCUGAUUCUUAUUUCUUGUAUAUAUAUGUAUAUAUGCGCAAGAAAUUUGAUAAAUGAUCUCGUCAUUUUCUCAGUUAAACAUCUAGUACUUUAUAUGUUGGAAGGGUACUAAGCAGCAGGCCAAGAUUUAUCAACUCAAAGAUCGUCAUGUCACUUUUUGAAAGUUGACUAAAAAAUAUUCCUAAAAGUAGCAAAAGUUGGUGGAUUAUUGUGGUUUUCCUACUUUAUCGUUUUUGGUUGAAUAAAUUAAUAUAAAGCUGUCGAUUCUGCAUUAAAGCUUAUGAAUUGUGAAGAUAUAUGAAUACCAAAUCUUUCCAACUCCAACUCUUGAGUAAUUAUUAGGUUCCCACCCAUGCAAACAUAUUUUCUUUCGAGAAAAAGGGAUGCCUGAGUCAGGGCAUCCGUUGCCUCGGUUUAUUUGAUUUUGUUUGGUUCAAUUGUGGUUCUGUUAUUUAGUUUUUCCUCUGAUGGUUCUGUUUCUCUGUAUAUUUCACUGGGUUUGCUUUGCUUCACAUCUUUCUUUCAAAACUAAGUAUAUAUCAAAUCAUGCAUAUGCUCAUGCUCUUGCCUAUGAACACAUAAAGAACAACUGAAUAUCCUUCGUCGGAUAACAAAAAAAAAAAAUCUAAUCAUCCAUUACUUAAUUAGAAAAAAAAUUUGUUCGCUCUGCUUGCUUUAGUAAUUUGUCUUUUAUAUUUGACUGGCUCGACAAAGAGUUGUUGACCUCGUUUUGAUACACUUACAUUGCAGAGAUUGAAACCAGAUCUGUCAUACAUUAGUUGGCCAUAAAAAUAAUCAAAUCACUUUCUCUUUUUCACCUAUUUUCACGGAGAAAAAUGCUAAAGAAACUGGGAGAAUGCUAAAUUCAAAGGUGGAAAGUGUACAGAGAGAGGAAGCGCGUGUUUAGAGAGAGAGGUCUCAAAUAUAUAAGUUGGAUUUCUCAUAAAAGGUAGUAAGGUUUCUAUAAUUCUAUUUCUAUUUAUGCUGAAUUUCAUGGAAACGAAGUUAAUUUAGAGAUUUGUAUACUUUAUUUAUAGUUAAGUUUUCCAAAAAAAGGCGUAAAGUUGCUCCUAAGUUCAUUUUUAUAAUUGGUCGAUUAUUUUAGAAGUCACAAGGGUGCCAACAAGGAAUUGUAGAGUCGGAUACGUGUAGCCUUCAUUGUUUUCCUGAUUCGGUAUGUAUAUAGUUAUAUGUAUGUUUAGGUAGAUUAUGGUUGGUGAUGAUAUUGUUAAUAAUAUGGAUGAUUUGUUAGAUAUGAAAAUUAAGUUAUUAAGGGUGAAACAUGAAACCGAAUCCGUCACUGCAUUUGCUUGAAAAACAAUUUUACGAAUAAUAGGUCCUCGACAACUUUCAAUGUGGUUUAGUUACAUGUAUUCAAAACAUAAAUUAUUGUUAUGAUUUUAGAAAAUUUUGUUGUUUGUAAUUUAUAUUUGAAAUUUUGCAACAAUUGUUUGGCACAAAUAUUUUUAUUUAAGAAAAAGAGUGAUCUCAUUAUUGAGCUGGUUUUGAUAACACAUAUGGAAAUAAUAAAUUGAUUCAUAAUUAAGUCAAUUACCUAAUUAAAAUGUACCUCAAUAUUUUUUUCCUCAAUAUUUUUUUGGUAAUGUUGUAUCUGUUAUAGUAAUUUUUGGUAGUUAUGUUUGGAAAUAAUCACUAUGAAGAGAAUGAGUUAAACAUUUAGGAAAAUUUAUUUUUAGAAGUCCUAUUGAUAAUGUAAAUGCUAAAUUGAAUAUAAUGUUAAAUAAAAUUUAUUUAUACAUUUAUAAACAUUUAAAUAAAAUAUUUUUAUCUUGUAAGUAUAAUAAUUGAUUACUAAAAUAAAUAUUUUAUAUUAUUAAUUUUAUUUUUAGUUUGUUAUCUCAAUGUAAUUGUUGAUAAUAUCUUUAAAGUUAAUAAUUUUAUUUUCUAAUUAAUAAGGAUAAUUAAUAUAUGUAGGGAUGUAUAUGGAAUUAUAUUGAGUAUAAAACUGAUUAUCAAAAUCAGAUUUUGAAAAACUAUUUGCUUUCAAAAUUUAUUGUAGGAUUGAUGAUUUUACCAAAGGUGACUUCUAAAAUUUUUAUUAAAUACCAAAAUUAGCAUUUAACUUUUCAAAAUUAAUUUUGAGCCUCUAAAAAUAAUCCCAAACGGAACUUUAAUAUAUGUUUGAUUUUUUUUAAUUUUAUAUUAUAUGAGACAAAAAUAUAAUUUUUAUCGUUGAAAAACAAAUGACAGAUUUUUUUGAAUAAUUUAAAAAAAAAAGAAACACAGAGCUCAAGAUAAUGCUGUAAUUGUUGCAUAAGAAGGCUGCAACUUGAUGAUAAAUUUAUUAUACUAGUUUUAAGGUUUUAUUUUGUGUGUAAAAGUUGCUGGUUCUUGUUUUAGAAAUUUCUCUUUCUAUUUGCCUGACUCGACAAAGAGUCGGUGUACCUCGUACUGAUACACUUAAAUUACAAACAUGGAAACCAGAUCUGGCAUCAUAAAUUAAUCAAUCACCUUCUCAUUAAUCUACCAUUACUCUUUUCGUUCCCUUAUUUUUAUCUAACCAUUUAGGAUAGGAUUUGAAUUCAGUACUUAAUUAUUCUUUUUAAUAAUUUUAAAAAAUUAUAAUUAAUAGUUAUUGGAUAAAAAUAUAAAAUUAAUUAUAUUAUUUGUCAUACGCGUGUGACAAAAGGUUAAGAAAAAUUUAUUUACGUUUGCUCAAUCCACUCUCUUAUUAGCUCCCCCACUCUCUUAAUCAUUUCUUCUCAUUCGAAAAACACUUUGCUUCUGUUUGUUUGUUAUUUAUUUUUAGCUCCAUAACUGCUCGUCGUAACGCUGUCUCUCUGUUUUGACUGUCCUUUAGCCUUCUUCACUUCUACAUUGUUGUCAGGAUUCAAGAUGCUGGAAAUCAUUGUUACUCUCGUUUUGGAACCUUGUAAAAUGCUUGGCUCCUCCAACUGAACGCCAACUUGUUUAUUUGCGAUGGCGGAACUACAAUGCCAACCUUGAGAAUCUCAAGGCGGAAAUGGAGAAGUUGAAGGUUGAACGUACGAGCAUUCAGCGCAGAGUUUCAGAGGCGAAAGAAAAAGGGGAAGAGAUUGAAGAGAAGGUUGAGAAGUGGCUGGUUAGUGCUAACGGCAUCAUUGACCAGGCAGCCAAAUUCGUUGAAGAUGAAGAGUCAACAAAUAAGCGCUGUCUCAAGGGCUUGUGUCCUAAUUUGAAGACCCGCUAUCAGCUUAGCAAGAAAGCAGAGACGGAGGUGAAGGCCAUUAUUGAGCUUGGAAAACAAAAUUAGAGAAAUUUCCACGUUCAAAGACAUUUUAAUAUGUUAUAACUAAACUAAUCAGAAAAACGAGUUUAAAGAAAAAAAAAAAAGGAGAGGGAGGGGACGGCAUCGUUUAAUUAAAAAGAGCUAAAAUUUUACUCUGUCCAUGUUGCAAAGCAAGAAAGCCGAAAAGCACAAAACAACAAUAAGCCAACGUUUGGGGAACUCCUCCCACCAGGGAACCAAGCUCUCCGAAUCCACGCCCAAAUCCUCACUCCCCAACGCGACGUCUUUCAACGCCUCCUCAAACUUCACAGAUUUCUCCGACACAUUGUACGACUCGGACUUCACAUCCCGAACGGAUACUCGGAACGAGCAACCCCUGUCUCCGGACAGAACCCCAAGUCGAACAAAGGUUACGAGGCCUUCGAAUCAAGAGUUUCUACUUUGAAGUCUAUACAAAAUGCGUUGACUGAUGUGAAUGUCAGCAUUAUUGGGGUGUACGGCAUGGGCGGCAUUGGAAAGACGACACUGGUGAAGGAGUUUGCUAGGCAAGCCAGGGAAGACAAGCUGUUUGAUCGGGUGGUUUUUUCAGAGGUUUCACAAACUCCAGACAUAAAAAAGAUUCAAGGGGAAAUUGCAGAGAAGUUAGGUCUGGAGUUGUCCGAUGAAGCUGAAUAUAGAAGAGCUAGCAGGCUGUAUGAACGACUGAAGAAUGAGAAUAAGAUUCUUGUGAUUCUAGAUAAUAUCUGGAAACAUGUUGAUUUGGAGACGGUUGGAAUUCCCUUCGGAAAUGAUCAUAAAGGAUGUAGACUACUGCUGACAGCAAGAGACAAUAAUGUACUAUUAAGUAUGGGCUCCAAAGAUAACUUCUUGAUUGGCAAUCUAAAUGAAGAAGAAGCUUGGGGAUUGUUUAAGAUAAUGAAUAGUGAUGAUGUUGAAAAUUGUAAGUUCAAGUCUACAGCAAUUAAUGUAGCCCAGGCAUGUGGAGGGCACUGAGAAACAAGAGUCUGCAUGAGUGGAAGAAUGCCUUGCGAGAACUCCAAACACCUUCAGUGGUAAACUUCGAAGGUGUGCCUGCAGAGACUUAUUCAAGUAUUGAACUGAGUUUCAAGUAUUUAAAAGGUGAGCAACUCAAGAAAAUUUUUCUGCUCUGUAGUCUAAUAGGUAACAGUUUUUGGAUUACAGACUUGUUUAAAUACUCCAUGGGUUUGGGCAUAUUUCAAGGAGUCAACAGGAUGGUAGAUGCACGAAACAAAUUAUAUGCAUUGGUCCAUGAACUUAGUGUUGGGGAAAAAUUAGGUUUUUAAAUUUUUAUAAAACCUUUUGAAGAUCGCUCUCAUAUAAUAUAUAAGAAUUUGUAUUCUAGAAAUCGUACCUUGAAAAUCUGAAUUGGCUUUUUCCGCUGAAGUGAUUUAGGCUCCUAGAUCACGAUCCGCCACCACCACUCCUGAUAGAUCACGAUCUGUCACCACCACGCUUGUUAGAUCACGAACUGUCUCCAAUGAUCUUCCAGGUUAUGACUCAUGUUCGAUCUGCACUUGACGUGUGGGCGCCUUUAUCACUACCAAAGCAACUAGCAUGAGAAAAUUUUUCUCUCAACAAUAGAGAGAAAAAUCUUAUUCUCCGAUCUGUAUAAAGUGGCUCCUUUCUUUUUUCUUUAGGGAAAAAUAAGCCUUUUAUAUCACCCUUUAGUGAAAACCCUAGGCUCCUAAUGAUCAAAAAACAAAACCCACGUUUAUUUGCUUUUUCAAUAGGGGACCCACCUUGUAAAAUAACAUAAGGCCCCUUAUACAAAAGCUAAUUAAAUGGAGCCUCCCACUAAAUGAUAUAUUUAGGCUUUUGACCCAAAUAGCUAGUUAUCUUACUUAUUAGUCCAGUAGUGGUGCAAUCAAUUAAAUGAGCUAACCCGGGGAUCAUUUGGGAACAUACAAUAGUGGCUACAAUAAUUAGGCCUAUAAUUAAACUAGCCCAAUUAUUUAAUUCCAAAUCUACUCCACUAAAAGAUUGGAACCGACUUCCAUAAUUGUACGCUCGAAUAAUAAUUCGUCCCAAGCCACAUUGAUUUCUUUACUGCACAAUCCUUUGUACCACAUCGUUAAUUAAAUUGAUAUCUCAACUGUCCAAUCAAUUUAAUAACAUCUUAUUCCUUGAUCCUUACUGGUUUUCUCUAAUGAUCAUUUUCAACAUACUAAAUAUGUUGACACACUCUGGCCAGAGAAUUCUAUGAUCAAGUGCCGAAAACCCAUCAAGAGAUGUGUUGUACAAAUUCUAUAUUGUUAAUCCAUAACUUCAAUACUCAUAAUUGCUCCCACCAAGAUAACGGGUAAUCUUGACCACAAGGAUGUGUCGUGCCCAUUGGUAACUCAAAUGGAAUAACAAUUACAAUCAUGAAAUCAUAAUUAACUCAAGAUUAAGAUUACAGUAAAAUCAACGCCUAUGAGAUUUAAUAAGUCUGACAGUUAUUUCAAAGUUAAUUAAAUCUCAUAUGUGAUCCUGUUCAAUGUAGUCGCACUACAUCAAUAAAUUCAUACAUGAUUAAGACAAAUCAUUCAAUGAAUUUAUUACAGUCUAGCAUGACAAGUCGGUUGAAGAUUUGUCAUCAGCAUGACAAGUCGGUUGACAGUCCAGAGAGAGCUAUAUGACAAGAUUAUCGUGUCGUCUAUAUACGCAAAGAAAGCAUGUGGUGUUCACGUGUUUCACUUAAACUAAACGGCUGCUUGAACUGUCGUUUUGUUACUUGGAAUAACCAAGAUGAAGACACGUGUAAUGAAGGCUUAUUCAGAAGUCUGUUAAGCCGUUAAUCAGCGUGGGAAGUUACUGUUCUUCUCCACGGGAAACAGGGGAAGCUUGCUGGUGAUUUGAGAGUCCUUCUUUGAUCAAGCAUCGCCUAUAUAUAUAGCUGGGUAUUCUGGGGUUAACACUUUAAGUUCAUGUAUGCUUAGCUUCUCUAAAUAAAGCUUGCACUCUGUAAGACACUCGUUCAAUAAAGCUUGGAUUCACCCUUUCACAGUGGACGUAGGCUUCCAUAGCCGAACCACUAUAGCUUUCUUGUGUUGUCUUUUCUGCUCUUGAAUUCUUCGAUUAAACUAGCUUUGAUUCUUGGCUUGUUAAAGUGUUCUUUAAGCCGAGUUCUGUUCACAUUAGCUUUAGUUACAAGAACCCUUCUUGAGUGGAUCUUGGGGAGCCAUUUUUCGGUUCUUUACUGAUAUUUGGCACAACAAAUUGGUAUCAGAGCCUCCCUCUGAAGUUCUUGAUCUAAAGAUGACUGGCCCUAAACUUGAAGUAGAAAAGUUUACUGGGGAAAAUGACUUUCACCUAUGGAGACUCAAGAUGAAAGCACUGUUGGUACAUCAAGGCCUGGAUGAAGCCCUUGCCGAAGUCACAUCACCCAAGAAACCAAGGAAGAUAUCAGAUGAUGACCUCCUAGAUGUGCUUGAUAGGGCUCACAGUGCAAUUAUCUUAAGUCUUGGAGAUGGUGUACUCAGAGAAGUGGGAGGAGAGACAACAGCUGCUGGAUUGUGGAAGAAGCUUGAGGACUUGUACACCAAAAAGUCCAUGGCCAAAAGGUUAGCCACCAAAAAGAAGCUUUACACAUUGCAGAUGGAAGAGGGUUCAUCAAUCUUUGAUCACAUUGAUGCCUUUAACAAGAUCAUCUUGGAUCUUGAAGACAUUAAUGUAAAGAUCGAUGAUGAAGAUAAAGCCAUGAUUCUGUUGUGCUCUCUACCAAGCUCUUAUGAGCAUCUGGUCGACACUCUCAUGUAUGGAAGACAGUCCCUCUCGAUGGUGGAUGUAAAAGAGACAUUGAACUCCAAGGCUGCAAGCAAGAAAGAAGCAAGUCAUGGGGAAGGAUUAACAGUUAGAGGGAGAUCAGAAAAGAAAGAAGGUGUUAAAGGGAAGAAGAAAAGAUCCAAGUCAAGACCAAAGAACAUGAAGUGCUUUCACUGCCACAAGGAAGGCCACUUCAAAAAGGACUGUCCAGAGAGGAAAUAUAAAAACAAUGAAGCAAAAGAGAAGACUGGAGAUGCUGCUGUUGCAUCAGAAGGACAAGAAUCUGAUGGUUAUGACUCUGCUGGGGUUCUCAUAGUCUCUGAUGGUGCAUCUAAAGGUAACUGGGUUUUAGAUUCUGGCUGUUCAUUCCAUAUGUGCCCUAAUAAAGCCUUCUUUAAAAACUAUGAAACCUAUGAUGGAGGGAUAGUUGUAAUGGGGAAUGAUGCUAGUUGUAGAGUAAUUGGCAGGGGCACCAUUAAACUGAAAAUGCUUGAUGGCACAAUAAAAGAAUUAGCAAAUGUCAGACAUGUUCCUGAUUUAAAGAGAAAUUUGAUUUCCCUUGGCAUGCUUGACAAAAUGGGGUGUGUUAUCAAGCUUGAGUCAGGCACUCUAAAGGUGUUGAAAGGGUCUAUGGUGUUGAUGAAAGGAAACUUAGACAAUGGCCUGUAUGUACUCUAGGGGUCUGUAGUCACAGGAGAUGUUGGAGUUUCAAACCAGAAUCUAAACAAAACCUUAUUGUGGCACUUUAGAUUAGGCCAUAUGAGUGAGAGAGGCUUGAGAGAACUAUCAAAACAGAGAGUCUUGGGUGAAGAUAAAAUAGAGCCCUUGGAAUUUUGUGAGGAGUGUGUCCUAGGCAAAUCAUCAAGAGUCAAAUUCAGCACAGGUGCACAUGUUUCAAUAGGAACUCUAGAAUACAUACAUGCUGAUCUGUGGGGACUUGCACAGACAGCAUCUUUAGGAGGGGCAAGGUAUUUUCUAUCUCUAAUUGAUGACCAUUCCAGAAUGGUUUGGGUGUAUGUGCUGAAGAACAAAGAUGAAGUGUUUGAACAUUUCAAGAACUGGAAAACACUGAUUGAAACUCAGACCAAUAGGAAGGUUAAGAAGCUCAGAACUGAUAAUGGAUUAGAAUUCUGCAACAAGAUGUUUGAAGAGUUCUGCAGCAAGCAUGGGAUCAUGAGGCACAGAACAGUAAGAUAUACACCUCAGCAAAAUGGAUUAGCUGAGAGGAUGAAUAGAACCUUAGUUGACAAAGUGAGGUGUAUGCUCAUUCACUCUAAGCUACCUAUGUCCUUGUGGGCUGAGGCUCUGUCAACAGCUUGUCACAUUGUGAAUAGAAGUCCUUCAACUGGAAUUAACUUUAAAACACCAUAUGAACUUUGGUAUAGUAAACCAGCAGAUUACUCCAGUUUGAAGAUCUUUGGUUGUCCAGCAUAUGCUCACAUCAAACAAGGAAAAUUAGAGCCCAGGGCAUUGAGGUGUAUAUUUCUUGGUUAUCCUGAAGGGGUAAAAGGGUACAAACUGUGGUGCACAGAUAUGAAGCCACCAAAAGCAAUCAUAAGCAGAGAUGUAGUAUUUAAUGAAGCUGAGAUGCUCCAGCACUCAGUAUCUCUAAAGACUACAAAUGCUGAAAUAAAAGAGAAAGAUGAGAGAUCUUUUCUUGAGGUGGAGCUGUUAAACUCAAACCAGAAACAGAAAUCAAGAUCAGAGGCUGGAGACAAAACAGACAUGGAAAUACAUGACACUGAGAAUGAAGCAGCAAGUGAUCAGGCAAUAAGUGAAGAUUAUCAGUUAGUGAGGGAUAGAGUAAAGAGAGUAAUAAGACCUCCUAGUAGAUAUGCAUAUGCAGAUCUAAUAGCAUUUGCAUUAACAGCAGCAGAUGAAAUAGCAACAGAUGAACCCAGAACAUACUCAGAAGCUAUUAACAGUGAUAAAGCAGUAGAAUGGAUAAAGGCUAUGGAUGAGGAAAUGAUGUCUUUGAAAAAGAAUCACACCUGGAAUCUCAUUGAAAGACCAGCAAACAAGAGGGUAGUAGGAUGCAAAUGGAUAUUCAGAAUCAAGGAGGGAAUACCAGAUGUUGAGCCACAAAGAUACAAAGCCAGGCUGGUUGCAAAAGGCUUCACUCAGAAAGAGGGGGUUGACUUUACAGAAGUUUUCUCCCCAGUGGUGAGACAUGCUUCCCUGAGAAUCCUGUUAUCCCUAGUGGCUGUACAAGACAUGCAUCUUGAACAGAGGGAUGUGAAGACUGCUUUCCUGCAUGGUGAAAUAGAUGAGAUGAUAGUGAUGUCACAACCUGAAGGGUAUGAGGAUUCAGAAAAGGCUGAUCAUGUAUGUCAUCUAAGGAAGUCACUAUAUGGAUUAAAACAAUCUCCAAGACUGUGGUAUCUGAGGUUUGACAGGUUUAUGUCAGAUCAUGGUUUUAAAAUGAGUAGUUUUGACUGCUGUGUUUACUUUAAAACUAUAGAAGGUGGUGACAAAAUCUACCUACUACUCUAUGUAGAUGACAUGCUAAUAGCUUGUAAAGAGAUGGAAUUCAUCAAUGAACUGAAACAGCAGCUGAGCAAUACAUUUGAGAUGAAGGAUCUGGGUGCUGCAAAGAAGAUCCUUGGAGUUCCGCUAAAGAGAGACAGGAAGAAUGGCAUCCUAAGCCUAACACAGCACAAAUACAUCAGGAAAGUACUUGAGAAAUUUAAUAUGGAUAAAUGUAAACCAGUACAGACACUACUGCCUUCACAUUUCAGACUGUCCUGUCAACAGUGUCCAAACUCUGAUACUGAGAAGGCUGAAAUGAAUAGAUUUCCAUACUCAAGUGCUGUUGGAUGUUUAAUGUAUGCAAUGGUCCUUACUAGGCCUGAUCUCUCACAUGCAGUGAGUGUGGUAAGCAGGUAUAUGGCAAACCCUGGGAAGGAUCAUUGGAGGGUUGUUGUAUGGAUCUUAAGAUACCUUGCUGGUACAACUGGAUAUGGUUUGAUCUAUGGAGCUGAGAAAUAUGCAGAGGUUAGUGUGGAGGGUUAUGUAGAUGCAGAUUAUGCUGGAGAUCUGGAUAAAAGAAGGUCUUUAACAGGUUUUCUUUUUAUGCUUAAUGGCUGCACCAUAAACUGGAAGGCUUCACUGUAGAGUGUUGUUGCUCUGUCAACAACUGAGGCAGAAUACACAGCAGCUGCAGAGGCAAUCAAAGAAGCUAUCUGGCUCAGAGGGAUGGUGACAGAACUGGGGUUUGAACAAAAACAAAUCACAGUUCAUUGUGACAGCCAAAGUGCCAUAUGUCUAAGCAAGAACCAGAUUCACCACGAGAAGACCAAGCAUAUUGAUAUCAAGCUUCACUUUGUCAGAUUGGAAAUAUCAAAGGGUGUGAUUAAGCUGGCUAAAAUACACACUGAUAGCAACAUUGCUGACAUGCUUACCAAAGCUGUACCAGGAGCUAAGUUUGAGUUAUGCUUAAACUCAGCUGGCAUUUGCAGGGUAUAGACUGCAGGAAAUAAGUGGAAGGGUGAACCUGAGGGAAUGGAUGAUUUGAGCUCAAGGUGGAGAAUGUUGAAUAUGAACUGCAAAUCGGUUUUAUAGUCAAGCAUGACAAGUCGGUUGAAGAUUUGUCAUCAGCAUGACAUGUCGGUUGACAGUCCAGAGAGAGCUAUAUGACAAGAUUAUCGUGUCGUCUAUAUACGCAAAGAAAGCAUGUGGUGUUCACGUGUUUCACUUAAACUAAACGGCUGCUUGAACUGUCGUUUUGUUACUUGGAAUAACCAAGAUGAAGAAACAUGUAAUGAAGGCUUAUUCAGAAGUCUGUUAAGCCGUUAAUCAGCGCGGGAAGCUACUGUUCUUCUCCACAGGAAACAGGGGAAGCUUGCUGGUGAUUUGAGAGUCCUUCUUUGAUCAAGCAUCGCCUAUAUAUAUAGCUGGGUAUUCUGGGGUUAACACUUUAAGUUCAUGUAUGCUUAGCUUCUCUAAAUAAAGCUUGCACUCUGUAAGACACUCGUUCAAUAAAGCUUGGAUUCACCCUUUCACAGUGGACGUAGGCUUCCAUAGCCGAACCACUAUAGCUUUCUUGUGUUGUCUUUUCUGCUCUUGAAUUCUUCGAUUAAACUAGCUUUGAUUCUUGGCUUGUUAAAGUGUUCUUUAAGCCGAGUUCUGUUCACAUUAGCUUUAGUUACAAGAACCCUUCUUGAGUGGAUCUUGGGGAGCCAUUUUUCGGUUCUUUACUGAUAUUUGGCACAACAAAAAUAAUCCAGACUUCCUGUGUAUCGUCGAUUCAAUGAAGAGAGAACCUUGUGUCGCCUUUCCUCUUUUGGAGUCCCUUACUCUUCACAAUUUGAUCAAUACGGAGAGGAUAUGUAUUGAUCGACUCAAAAUAGAGUCCUUCAAAGAACUCAAAACCAUAAAAGUGGAAAAUUGUGAUGAGUUGAGUAAUAUCUUCUGGCUCUCUAGUAGUACAAAAUGCCUUCCAAGACUGGAGAGGAUUGCAGUUAUCAAUUGCAACAGCAUGGAAGAGAAGCUGAUGUUGAUGUUGAUGAGAAGAUAGAGUUAGGUCAAUUAAGAUCUUUGAGUCUGGGAAAGCUUCCAAAGUUUACAAGGUUUUGCCGUGAAGUGAAGACUCCUUUCACAUCACCAAACAGACAAGAGUCGCAAGAGGAAUUGACAGCCAGUUCCAACGAGAUCAGUUCGGAAACGUCAACUCUGCUUUUCAACGAGAAGGCACGUAGGCUAAUGCUUCUUUUUUUUUUAAGUUCUAUCAUGCACUCGCAUUUGAAAAAAAAAAGUCUCAUACACUCGCUAAUUAACCUCUUAAUAAGUGCUUCUCAUAUGGAUAUUGUGUCAAAACAAGUGCUUUUCAUACUGAUAUUGGAUCUAAAGAGAAAAUUAUCUUUAGAUAGUGUUGCCAAAUUUGGAGGCUUUGGAGCUGAAUGCUAUUAAUGUCGACGAGAUUUGGCAUGACAAUCAACUUACGGCCAUGAUUAAUAGCUUUCAAAGCUUGACACGAUUGAUAGUGUGGGGCUGUGACAAAUUAAAAUACAUAUUUUCAGCUUCUAUGAUCCAAAGCCUUAAGCACCUCCAACACCUGGAGAUACGGAUAUGUAUGGGUUUACAAGGGAUCAUCUCCAAAGACAGAGCAGAUCAAGUGACCCCAUAUUUUGUCUUUCCACAAGUGACCACUCUGAAUCUCGAAGGUCUACCAGAACUCAGAUGUUUAUACCCUGGAAUGCAUACUUCAGAAUGGCCAGCACUAAAAAAAUUGGUGGCCUGUAAUUGUGAUAAAAUAACGUUGUCCCAGAAUAACGAGAAUGAUCAAUUUGGUAUUCCGGCACAACAGCCCCUGCUCUCGUUCAAGAAGGUAUGAAACCAAAUUUUAGAUUUUUUUUUAUCAAUUAUCUUUGUUGUUCCUCACUCACAGAUCAGGAGGUUUAAUAAAUACCUAUAUAGAGUUUUUUUCUAGUGGGAAUGCCCUUAUUUUUUACUUUUUUCAUGCGGAGAAACUUUCAAAUCCCACGGUUUAAGAGCGUGUGUGUGUAUAUAUAUAUAUAUAUAUAUAAUCAUUCUCAGGUGUGGGGGUCCGCAUUUUUUUUAAUGUGGACACGCUUUUAAACUGUGCGGUUUAAGAGAGUUAGUUUUUAAAUGAAUUAUGAGUCAUGCGGUUUUAGGGAGUUAAAAACUAACUCUUUUAAACCAUGGAGUCUAAAAACUGAUCCACAUGAAAAAAAAAAAAAGAUGUCCGCACUAGAGAAGGAAUAUAUAUAUAUAUAUAUAUAUAUAUAUAUUAGUUAGAUCAUUGAAAACUUUGAUUACACAAUGAAUUUUGCCAGUCUUGAAUUAUGGAUCAAUGUGCUAAGUUAAUAAUUUGAGCUCGAUGAUGAUCAGAUCUUACCCAACUUGGAGGAACUGGCAUCAAGUGGAAAAGACAUCACGAUGAUUUUGCAAGGCGAUUUCCCACAACACCUCUUUGGCAGUCUUAAACUACUACAGGUUGGGGAUGAUGACUUAGCUUGCUUUCAACUUGGUUUACUUGAGAGGUUUAACAAUCUUGAAUUUCUCUUCCUAUCGGAUUGUUCGUAUGAAGUGGUAUUUUCAAAUGAAGGAUAUUUGGAGAAACAUGGGAGGAAGUUGGCACUGAUAAAAAGGUUAAACCUGACCAGACUUAAUCGUCUGCAGCAACUGUGGAAACAUGACUCCAAACAGCUGGACUUCAUUUUUCAACAUCUUGAAAUUCUAAGAGCAUAUCACUGUCAAAAUCUGUUAAGUCGAUUGCCAUCAUCAUCGGUAUCUUUUCGGAAUCUCGCACAUCUGCAAGCUUUUGCUUGCAAGAAAUUGAUGAACUUAGGAACAUGCUCCACAGCAAAAAGUCUGGAGCGACUCUUAUCAUUGAAGGUAUUUGGAUGCACAGCAAUGACAGAAGUCGUAGUAUGUGACGAAGAUGAAACAGCAAAUAUAAAAGAAGAGAUUGUUUUCAGCAAAUUGAAUGUGCUGUAUCUGUCUGAUUUAGAUAGUCUCACAAGCUUCUCCUCUGCCAAUUACACAUUCAAAUUCCUAUCUUUGCAAGAUUUGUCCGUGAUUGGUUGUCCCAAGAUGAAGAUUUUCACCAAAGGAGAAUCAACCACGCCUCCGAGAGUAAACGUCCGGUACGGAAGGAGUGAGGACAAACUACGUUGGUCUAAUAAUGACCUUAACACAAUCAUACAACAAUUAUUAAUGAGUGAGUUUUUUAUCACGUUUUUAUAUGAGAAUCUUAUGAAAUUCCUCGGAAAUUCAUUAAUCAUUAGUUUUUAUUUCAUAAUAUGAAUUUUAAUUUAAAUUGAUGAAUGCUAAUUUUAUUUUCAGCUGUUGGAGGGGUCGUCUCGUUACUCAUCGCAGUACUGAUCUCAUACGCCUUUAGUACUAGGCGAGCUGUCAAUCUGAAGAAUAAGGUCCCACGUAUUUUAUUUUUAGAAUGAAAUCCCUAGAAAAUAUCAUUCAAAGUGACAACACUUUCAUGUGGAAAGCUUUCAGACUUUUUUCCCCCGCUUUAAUCGAGGGGUCUGUCAAAUUUAGUUUUUAAAUGAGAAUAAUUUUCAUGGGCCAUUUCACAAUGAAAAAUUAGUUUUUUCUAAAGUGAUGACAGUAAAAACAUAUGAAUUAAUGACCCAGUACAUUACCACAAAAUUAAUCUUGGUUAGUUAGGUUAUAUGAAAAUUGUACAAAAUAAAUAUUUUUUCUAGUUCAUGCUCAAUGUCGUGCUCUAUAAUUGCAGAAUUCCCAAGUGAUGAAGAAGAUUGAGGUCACUCCUCUGUGUUUGCAGCAUCAGAAAUAAGAGCUGUUUUUCUGUCAAACUCGUGCUCCGUCCUUUGAAGUUAAGUUUACAUGCUGAGGUUAUUCACUUUACUGUAUCACUAAUGCAGCUUUGAAAGUGUUUCAUUAACCCUCCGUUGUGUUUCUUUCAUUUGACUAUCUUAAGUUCAAAAACGAUGUAUCAAUUUACCAUUGGUGUGUACUGCUUCUUGUAAUAUAUGCAAUAAAUUUCCAGUUUAUUUUGACAUUUUGAAUAUAAAUUCUUUUGAAUUUUCAGUCAGAGGUUUGGUAGUUGUUCUGAUUUAUCUUCAGUUUAAUUUUGUGAUCACAGGAACGUUAGGACUUGCAUGCAUGAACGCACAUUAAAUCACAGAAUUUUUGUCAUACAUCCAUGCAGAUGAAAUUUUAUCAGCAAUCUUGUAAUUUUCUGUUAUUGUUGUCGUUGUCAUUAUUCUAUUGCUGGUCCUGUUUGAAAUUUCUAGUAUUUUAGAUGUGAAAUUUAUUAUAUUAGGUAUUCAAGGUAUAUAUAUGAUGCUGAAUACAGGGCUUCUGUUGUCUAAAUUUGUUUUAUUUUGUUUGCUUCACAUAUAAUUUUCAAAAACUUUUGAAGAAUGCUGAGAGAAGGAACAAUUGGGCUAAAGAAUCAAAUGUAAUAUUGAAGUUAGUUUGUUAAUUGCCAUCAUUGCUGUCCUGUUAUUUUAAUUUUUGCCCUGUUUGUUCUGUUUCCCUGUUUGCUCCACAUCUAUCUUCCCUAACUUAGAAGGCAAGGAAUUUGUACUUGAAGACGAAUAGCAGUUGCACAAAAUGUGGCAACCACACCAAAUAAUCAGUUUGUUGAGAAAUUUUCAAAGCUUUACUUGAUAAAAAUUUGAAAGUUUUGAAGAGGAUUCAGGUCGCUCUUCUGUGCAGCCUCUGGAAUAAGAGCUGUGUCACUGUUGAAAAGUUUACAUGCUGAGAGGCUUCCAUCUUCAUUGUUCUACUUAUGCUUUACUUCAUCUUCACCGUGUCACUACAAGGUUAAGGCAGCUACAGUUAUGACGGAGAAGGAUCAUUCCCUGAUUUUGGCUGCUUCAAGUUAGUUGGGUUUGGUGAACCAAGUUGUGUCAGGAUUAGCUUAUAAGGGCCCACAUGAUUUCAGACGAGCCUGAGCUUUUGUCUCUCCCUCAUCCAUCUCAACACACUCAAUCUUCAUGUGGCUUUUGCCCGCCAAUCCACUAGCUCCAGCUUCCUGAAAAUGUAAAACAACUACUAGUAUUAUGGUCAGUGAUCGCUGUCAGAUUGAUUGGAUUAAUUAUAAUUACAGAUCAAACUGUUGAAAUUCAAUUUAACAGAUACACACGCCUUGGCGCGUUUCCAAGUUUCGGCAACGGUGAGAGGACCGUGUUCCUUGACUAUGGCAAACAUAACCCUCGUAAUUCUCUGAGUUUGCUCCGGUGGAGUUUUUGAGAUCUAUGGGUUUCAUCUUUGGUUUCGGCUUCGUCGACAAAUAUCUCACAAACAUUCUGCAUUCAAGAAACAACACAACUCCCGCUCUAAAUGUAUUUUAUACACUUUCAAACGCACCGUUUUGAUUUUUGUUAUAAACAUGACGCCGCCAUUUUUAUUUUUUAUUUUUUUUUUGAACAGGCGUAGCACUACUGUUUUCAGUAAUUUUGGGAUGUGUAGCACUACUGUUUCUUUUUAAUCCUUUCCUUUUAUCUUUUAUAGCCAUCUUCCAUGUUAUUAGGAGGAGUGGUUUUUACUAUUUUAAAAAAAAUUUGAUCAAAUUAAACUUUUGAUCAGAGUUCAUAACAAAAAUCAAAACGGUGCAUGACAUCGAGAUUAUGAUGAAUCAAAUUGAACUCCCAGUACGUUAGUUCAUAAAAAAUGCUUUUCUUCUUCCAAGUAAUCUUAUCAUUUCCUUCAUUUUAUUCACUCUCCUCUUUUCAAGUCUUCAAUCUUACACUCGGUAAGUAAAAUAUUCAACUGCUUUUUCACUUCAGUUCCGGACAACCGAGAAGGUGCUUGUCUCUACUCUCCACUCCCUAUUCUCUAGUUUUAUCAAAAGACACUAUUUUCGAAACCUAUGAUUCGUUGGUUAAAAUCGACGGUAACCCAGUGACAAAAUUUUCUAUUAUGUAUCAACCAAUUAGAUCUAGUGUUUUGUUGGCAAACAAGAAAUGCUUAUUUACCUUUAAUAGUCCACCCAAACAAGUUGGCAUUUGCUAGAAAGUCAGAGAUAGUCCAUAACAAUGCUGCAUGUAACUUGAACAUUUGAUUACGUGAUGCAUCGUGUAUCAUUCCAACCAUACUAUCAUCAGCACCCGAGCCAUGACUAACCUGUUUCUUAGUUAGAUUUCAAAGAUGAAGAUGGCUUACCCUGCAAUAUCCAGCUUUAAUACUUUAACCAAAAACCAUUUAUAAUGAUAUGGUCUCCUGCCACUUCCCUUAUAACGAAAUAUCGAUUACGACACUUCUUACAAGGACAAUAAAUACUUGUAUCACCAACAACAUUCUCAAAUGCAAAAUCUAGAAAUUUUUCAACCCCAUUGGUAUAUGACUUGGAUAUCUAUUUGGCAAACCAACCCAACUCUUGUCCAUGACUAUCUCCCUUUAAUGCACUACAAAAAUUAGUUAAAUAAAUCAUUUUAGUUCUUCAUUUCUACUACUAAACAAGAUAUUUUCAUGUGUGCACAGUUUUGGAAUAUAAUGAAAAAAUCAUUAUACAAUUUUAUGGUUAAUUUCGUUAGAAUAUUUAUAUAGAUGAAAGGAAGCAAAGCCAAAAGAAUCAGAGAAAAAGAUGUGAAAAUUAAAGUAUAUAUACAAUAAUAAUUAAUGUAAAAAAAAUGUUUCCAAUACCUUGUGCAAAGAAAUAUCCUCACCCACUGCUGAGAACUUCACUUGGCUAUCAAUUACAGAUAUAUAAAGCCUGUUACCUUAAAAAAAAUUAGGCCAGCCAGCUGAAGCAUACUUAUAAACCAACAUUGGAGAUAGUACUCCAUUUAUAAACAAAAUUACAACUUUACAAGCUCAAAACCAAGUCAACUCAGCAAAACCAUUACCGAUUACAUCCAUCCAACUCAGCUCCUCCACUCCCAUCAAUGCAUCCAACAUUCCCUUCAUAUUUACAAAAGGUAAGUGGUUCUAUAUAUCCCACUCAAGAAUGCAUAAGUUUCUUCAAUCUCAAGUAUCUAGAGUUUUCUUCUAUGUUUAUAGAAAUUUCAGAAGAAUCUCCCUAUAAUUCUUCAAGUACAUGACAUAGAUAUAUGAGUGUUUAUGUGCUAUGCCAAAACAACACAUAGUAUGUACCCAGAGACCAUGAGGAGCAGCUACUAAGAAACCCAUUUUUACAUCGGAAAAAAACUUCAUGUACUAACCAAUGAGUAGUUGUUAAAAGCCAAUGAAUAAUUUUAUAAGAAAUCAACAAUAAUGUUGAAAAAAAAACCAAACAAAAAUAAUAAAGCCAAUGAAUAGAUUAAGGCUCUUUAAGGUCUAAUAAACUAAUCAAACUAAGUUGUGGGUAAAGGCGAAUAUGUUUGUUUGGUCAAUAAUAAGCUCAACAAAUCACUAAUAAUCACCUAAUCACUUUUCCUUAUGCUAUGCAAUGUAAUGGCCUGGGUAAUGGCUGCAAGGCAGGCAAUAACUAGCUAGCCAGUUAUGAUAGUGGAUUAACUUAACCUACUGGAAAUCUGAAGACCAAAACGAAGAAGCUUUGACGAGAACUAGAAUAGGAACGUUCAUACCCAAAACUAAUAUAUAUGAUUAAGAAACUUGAUUAAAUGUAUAAUUUUGUUUGCCGCAAUUUAAGAGAACUUUCAAAAGAUGCUAAGGUACACCAAAUCCCACUAUUCCAUACUCGUAAACACAAAAAACCAUGGCAAAAAUUAAUUACUAUAUCAAAUAAAAUAGGUCGUAGGACAUUGAGAUUAGGAAAACAUGAUUUGUAUACUGUAAAAUAACUAUAUCUGCAUAGUCAACUAUAUUUCUGUUAGAACUCUAAAGUUUUCCAUUAAAUUUUUUUUCCCUCUUAAGUAAACCACUUAACUGAAAUGCUUAAGCCAAUAUUGACAAUCAUAGACAUACAAGUAUUAUUAAGCUCGUUCAAGUGAAAUGAGCAUUAUUUUACAUAUCCUUUAGGUUUUUAAGUCAUUUAGAAGUCAUUCAUGUUAAAAAAUUUCUUCAUAUACUUUCAAUAUAAUUAGUACCUGCACAAUUAAUUAAUUAAAUAAAUCUGUUUCAGCUGGCACAGGAACUUAAUUGAUCAGAGCUAGUAGUCAUAGCUAGGACUUGAACGGGGCACCUUUCAAAGUUCAAGAGGAGCAUCUGAACAGAAUGAAAGCAUAUAACUUAUCAGACAAUAUAACAAGCACUUGGUGAGUAUACAAGAUAAACUAAAACAAGUUAUCUAGAAAAUGAAACUAAAACCCAAGCUCCGCUAUUCAUUGUAGAAGCUUUAAACAUAAAAUUAAAGUAAUUCUAAUUGCAAAACAUUAGAAUGGAUGUUGAAAUUAAAGCUAAAUUCAAUAGUAAUUCAAAUGAAUCCAUUUGAACUUUGUUAAUUCCGCAGAACAAAAUUAAUUUGAGUGAGCAAACUCACCAAUGGAACAAGAACACUGGGGCUUCAACUUGUAGGAAUAAAAAAAGGAAAAAUAUUGCUGGCGGGACAAAAAUUGACAAUGACGGCUAAAAUACGAAUUAUAAAAAAAAACCAAAAUCUAUAAUUACAAGCUAAGAGAAGAAACUCAUAAUCACAAGCUUACCUCAAAAGAUGAAGGGAGAAUACGAUGAAGAAGAAGAUGGCCGGUGUUUUACGCCGUUCGCCGGCAACCAGUUAGGUUUACGAUGGUGGCUAGUCCAGCGAAUAGUUUUGUAACUGGAAAUAAAUUUAAAAUUCUAAAAUAGUAGGAUACCGAACGGCUCUUUACCGUCACGUGGUUAGUAACAUAUGCGACAGCAGUGUGGCUGUCACAUAAAGGGUAACAAAAGCAACUCGGGUUUACAAAGCUAGAAGUUAGUGAUAUACGUAAUGGCUUUGUUUGCAUUCACAUUAGGGGUCACAUAUACCCUAUUUUCUUGUAGUACAUGGUAAAUUCUAUUUGAAAAUUGCUAAGUAUUUUAGAUUUGUACGAAUUCAUUUUUGUGUGCUCGUUGAAUAAUAAUGUAUAAUAAAUUAAAUUUUUGGUGUAAUUUUCACAAUAUUGUAUUAUAAAUAUGUCUCGUUGAGAGGUUUUGAAACCGUUUUGAUUUAUCAUAAUUGAUAUUUCCACAAUUACAAAAGAUGCCAGAGAAAAUUUGAUUAUCUUAAGAAAUGAGUGCAUGAGAUAUGAAAUCAACCAUACCAUAAAAUCAAAUUUUAUCAUGUCAUCCUUCCUUGUUCAAAUUUAUGGAAACGAUAAUCAAAUGCAUCCAUGAACUAGUAUAUUCCGACAUAGGUACCAUCAAAUUAUUGCUAUGUCAUACUUAUAAAUUUUAAUAACAACAAUUGGGCCAAGCAUAUGUUGGGCAUUUGAAGAUUUAUAAGCUCCAUCCUUGAAAAAAUAAGGCUUGACUAUUCUCAAUAUAAUUCUUUUUGUUUUAAGUUCUUAAUUAAGCUUUCUUGCUUGUUUUCAAGAGCCAGUAUUGUAAUGAUCGACAAAGAUGAUUUGCAUUUAUUGCACUUGGCAGUUAUGUGUCACUUAUUAAUUAGAUUUAAAUUUUAUAAAUUAAUUAAGUUGAUUAGUACUUUAUGUUGAUGCAGAAAUCUGGUCAAGUCGGUUGUUGACUCAAUACCACAUCCUCGCGUCAGCAUUAAAUUUGUUUGGUGGAGAAGCGGCUUGUUAAUCUCCAAGAAAAUCCUCUAACCACGAGCAGAUAAUCCAUGAGCAGAUGAUCCAUGAGCUGCUAAUCAGUGAGCACCAUGAGCAGAUGUUCUAUGAGUAGAUAAUGAAUGAGAAGAUGAUCCAUGAGCAGAUAACCCGCAAGCAUGCAAGCACAAAGAACAGUCAGGGGGCACCAUAAGCUUUUCCAGCGAAAACCCUCUGACGCUCAAGUCAGGGAUUUGGGUCUACUUAGAAAAAUCCGUACCACAAUUCACGCGGCUUAAUUAUGAAUACUUUAAAAAAAAGCUUUUAAAUAAAUUUAUGGAAAAAGAAUAGAAAAUAAUCAAUCUUAAAAAAAGAAAUCAUGGCAGAAAGAGAAGUUUCCCAGUGAUAGAGAGAAAAAGAUCCCAUGGGUUCAGUCGCCCAGAGAGAGAGAGAGAUAAAAAGAAUCCCCCCAUUUUCCUCCCUUUCCCAGAGUUUUUAUAGGAAAUUAUAAUUGUUUUUUUCCUCUCACCUAAAACUCUCAAGAAGACUACUAAUUUUCAGCCCGCUAAGAAUAUGGUCCCUAAUAUUUCGAAGAAAAUAAGUGAGAUUUGUUUUGACUGAGUCGUGCUUCCUGGUAACCUCCUGGUCGAGAUAAUCUGCUCGAGGUCACCAAAUAAUCUCAAGGUCGAGGUGAUAUGCUCAAGGUGGCCAAAUAAUCUCUUAGUCAAGAUGAUGUGCUCGAGAUCACCAAAUAAUAUAUUGGUCAAGGUGAUGUGCUCGAGGUGACCAAAUAAUCUCUUGGUAGCCUAUCAACUAUUUGUUCACUUUUUACUUUGAGAAGAGCACAAUAAUGUAUGAGUAAAUACCUUAUCUUGGUCACCCUAUUUCAUUCCCCGAAUACUUUAUAUGUGCACUAAAUGAUAGAUACUGCAUAAAUUGGGACACUAGUAACUAUGUAUCCAAACUAUGUAAUAUUUUUUUGUCACAAACUCAAUCAUGGCCUGAUAUUCUAAAUAUUAUUUAGAAUACCAUUUCAAGCCCCAUGGGGGCUCCUUCCAUUUAAAAAAAAAAGUAUGAAAUAGAUGUAGAUUUUUCUUCAGAUAUUAUUAGUAAGAAAGAGUACCUUUGGUGGCAAUGGUCCGGGAUGAUUUGGGAUUUGACAAUUCCACCCUCAUCUUAAUUAUAAAAUGGAAUGUAAGUAAUAAGUAUGGAUAAACUCAUCCUGCUUAUAUAUUGGUGAUCAAAAUUAGGACCAAUCUCAAACCGCUCACAAUUAUGUCCUAUCCUAACUAUCCUGAAUGUCUCGAAUGCCUCCCUUAAUUAUCAUUUUAGUUCUCAUUAACAUAUUAGCAAAAUUUCCAUAUAUUAAAAAUAUUAGGGUCUGACUAUCUAUACUUAAAAAAUUACUAUGAACACUCAAUUAUUUUAUUCCCUCAUCUAAUAAAUUUAAAAAAUUAAGUUUUAUUUUGCACACUUUUUAAAUAACAAAAACAUCUUUACAUGAACCUAAUAAGUUUCUUUAAAAAAAUUAAAUCAAUUAUUUUUAUUUAUUCAAAAUACUAAUAAAACUAUUCAGCAGACCGUGAAAUAAAAUUUUUAAGAAAUUUAGCAUAUACAACAUUGAAAUCAAUUUAUGUUUCAAAUAAAUUCUUUAAUACAAUCAUAGUAAUUACUUAUUGUUUAUUAAAGAAUGUGUUCACGAUUGUUUUUAAUUUUGCGAAAUCAAAAAAGAAGAAGAAGAAGUUUGGGGUUUAAGAUACAUUUAAUUUUUAGUGUAACAGUUGUAUCAAACAAAAUAAAAACUAAAACAUCCAAAAGUUACAAGUUCCAACACCUCCCAAAUAAAGGCCCGUUAGGAUUGUUUUUGGGAAGCUCAAAAGUGAUUUUGAAAACUAAAAGCUAAUUUUUAGUGUUUUAUAAAUUUUUUUAGUAAUUACUUUUGGAAAAAUCAUUUCAUCAUACAGUGGAUUUUAAAAAGUAUAAAUAGUUUUUCAAAAUUUGAUUUUGAAAAUCACUUUUAUACUUAAUCCAAUUUUAUAUAUAUAUCCUCAUUAUAUAAUAAAAAUCCAAAAAUAUCUUUAUUAAUUAAGAAAUAAAAUUAUUAAGUUUAAAGAGAUUAUUAUUAUUAUUACCAAUUAUAUUGAGAUAACAAAAUAAAGAAUAAAAUUUAAUAAUAUAAAAUAUUUAUUUUAGUUAUCAAUAAUUAUAUGUACAUAAUAAAAAUAUUUUAAAUACAUGUCUGUAAAUGUGUAAAUAAAUUUUAUUUAGCAUUAUGUCCAAUUUAGUUAUUUACAUUCUUGGACCAGUUUAACAAUAAAAUUUAUGAAAUAUAUACGACUGCUUUUAAAACUAAAAGUACUUUUAAAAAUAAAUUUUACUAAAUGUUCAGCUGAUUCUCUUCACGAUUGAUCAAUUUCUACAACAUAGCUAACUGUAAUUAUUUUAAAAUUACAGGAUUACCAAAAUGACCCUAAAUCAAACCAAUAAAAAUGUCUAAAAGUAACAAUAAAAAACCAAAGCAAACGUACAAAAAUUCAUGCAUAAAUUGAUAAUCAACAAAAACAUCCAAAAGUUCAACUCCAAGUUUUCUGUUCAAUUGACAUAACCCUUAAAUUUCAAAAGGCAUAAUCAAUUUUGUGUCUAAUCGUAUAAAAUUAGAAAAUUAAAGAAUAUUAUAUACUGAUAAUUAAAUAAUAUGCAAUUAAUAAUGUUAAAAAAAUAAUGUCAAACAUAUUGUCAACUAAAAUAAUUGGGAGAAUUGGAGUUCCAAGAUAAAUUCUUAUCUAGUCCCAAAUCAACAAUUGGAAUUAAUUUCAAUCUUAAACUCUGACUGCCUUUAAAAUUGGUCCUAAUAAUAUGGACAAAUCCCAUUCUGAUCAGUAUGGAAUUCCAACCCCAUAUCUUUGGGUCUCGAUGGUGUUUAGUUGGAGGGAUGAGACGGGAAGGAAAUGAAUUCAAAUUCCUUUCACUUUUCUGUUGUUUGGUUUUCACUAAUAUAUGGGAAUUCAAUUUCUAUUGAAAUUUAAUUUUCAUCAAAUUGUGCAUUUUGGAUUCCUCACCGAAGGUUGUAAAAUUCAAAUGCCCCUCCUAUUAGAAAUCGAGUCAUCCAAAAUUGCUCCUCUCAAAUAUUUAUCAAUUAUUUUAAUUCUUAUCAAAUAAUUCUUAUUUAUGAUUUUAUUUUUUCAAUUUAAAUUGUCACUAAGGAUUCUUGACUUACUACCGUAGAAAAGCAAAAAUACAAUUUAUAGAUUAUGAUAAUUCUAUGUAUUGUAUGAGAAUUGCAAUCCAAAAAUUUUCCCUACUAAACGAUUUUCAAUCGACAGCAAAUACAUGCUUUCAAAUUUAGUCAGCUGAACUAAUUUUUGUUUUUUUGGAUUAAUUUUGAAAUGUUGCAUCCAUAACGAGCUGCCAUUGAAAUUAAUGUUAACAACAAAAGUAGAAGCAAAAGGAGAAACAAGCGUCAUGUGCAGUACCCACUGUGAACUACUCACAUUGGAAUAAGUUGUUGGCAGCUGGUCUGUUUGGCCAUUAAUAUUUUGACUAUUCAGUGUUGAUUUUGAUUCCACUAAAUUAAGCCAUCAAAAAUUGCUGGGAAGGGAGUAAUAUCUAUUCAUAAUUGGAAAUACUCACCGUACAAUGAAGGUUAGAGCUGCAUGUAUCAUUUAUUAUUAACAACUAACUUAUGAAAUGCUUUGAAUGUACCUCCUAGGUCGUAUUUACUAUACUGGUUAGGAGAAACUACAACAUUAAAUUAUUUGAUAAAUACUUAUUAUAAUUUUAAAAAUAUAUUAAUUUUAUCCUUAACUUUAUGAUAAAAAAUUUAAAAUAUAUAUAAAUCAUUCAUUUUAUAAUCUUGAACUUUAUUAAAGUUUCAAAAACUAUUACUCUAUAUGAUAUAAUAGUGUGAUGUUAUUACACUAUUAUACCAUAUAAAAUAUAUUUGCUUUCUUAAAUUUUAAUAAAGUCUAGGUUUUGGAGAGAAGCACUUUAUAUAUAUGUAUAUAUAAUGAUUCUCCAGUGACGACAUCCUCAUUUUAACAAAGUGAUGAUAUCGCUAACAAACUAAAUAACACACAUUUCAAUACACCAAUAGAUUAAAAAAAUCCAGUUCUUAAUGUGUUAAAAUAUAUGUCUUUUGUAUAUUAUUGAUAUUUUCACUUUAACAAAGUGAGAGUCUCCUCACUAUAGAAGUACUUUAUAAAUAUUCUUUGUAUUUUUGUGAAAAUUAUUAUUUAAAAGUCAUAUCUUACCAAAGACUAAUAGUUUUUAUUUUAUCAUUACGCCGUACUUUUCAAGACAGAACACCUCAAUACCAUGACCUUAAUUUUUGAACUCUGCUGUACAAAGUUGUUGGUUGGUCUAUUUACUUUAGUGUUUCAAUUAUUUGUCGUUUGAACUGAGAUGAUCCGAAUAAAGCUAUAUAUCAAUAAUUUCCUAGUGAAACUUCGGGAAAAAAUAAAAAUCCUCUCAUACAGUAGCAUUAUUUUAAUUCUCAGCUUGAUUAUGUUUUGAGUUAACUUAUAGAUUAUUUGAAAUAAAAAGAAUAUAAUUUAUUUUUUCUAACUAAAUAUUUUAAAAUAAUUUUGUUAAUUUAAUGAGUACUUAUACACUUACAACGUUAUGAUAUAAAAUUAUAUCCCAGAAUACUGCUAUGUGUUUCUUAGUAAUUAACUUUUUAUACUAUUAUUAAUGAGAUAAUUAACUUCAACACCAAUAAACAAAUUUUAUAUUAAUACAUCCUCUAGCUUUAUUAUCAAAUAAUCAUAUGUCAUAAUCAAAGCAAGCUACCAGAGCCUACCACUAAAAGAUUUAUUGAAGGGUUUUCCAAGUUUGAAAAUGUUAGUAGCAUUGGCAAAUGGCAACUUCCAGGAAUCUUCCGAUCAAAAUAGUUGAAUCAACUAUUCAAUGAAAUACGCAAAUGGCACAAAGGACCCCCACCACCCAUUAAGUCACGUCAUUUAUUUAUUUGUAAAAGAAAAAUAAGGUUCCGAUCGGAAGAAAUCAGCACCUUAUAAUGCAUGAUUACUCGUAUGUCAAGUUUACCGAUUAUAAGUCAUCAUCACAAUAACUUUGGACUUUAAUAUUUAAGUCUCUGUUUGGGACCAAUGUAUGGCAGUUGGACAACACAUCACUCAAUUAUAGAGUGUGAAAUAUUGAUAUUGUUCUUAUUAUUUUAUGUAAUGUAUAAACGUUUCCUUUUAUUUUUGUUUGAUUAUUUAUUUUUUAUACUUAAUAAAUAUAAAUUUAUUUUUUUAAUAUUUAACAAAUAGUCACGGCUAGACAAUAUUGUCAGAUAUUACAAACGAUGACCCAAAUCCUUUUAUCUCACAGAAAUAAUUUAAAUUCACAACAACUAUGACGUUACAUUAUCAAAUAAACACUAAAUACUUUGAUGAUUAUAGUUUAUCUUUCAUUCAUAGCAUGAAGAGUUUGAAAUAUGAUCUCAAAACAAAGAGUACGACAUGUCAUGUUCGGUUUUCAGAAGAAGUGUACGCCAUGUCAUCCGAAAACUAAAAGGCACGUAUGACAACCAGACGCUGUCAUCUCUGAUUUGCUUACACUUUAAGGAUGAAUUCUGGGUUUUGAGUGACAAUUAAAAGCUAGAGUGAGAAUUAGAGAGACAGUUAUAUAUUCUUAUUUAUUCCUAGCACUUGCUAUAUUGUGUAGGUCUUUUGUGACUCCAAUAAUAAAAACGCUCAUAUUAUUUUUUAUAGAGCAAUAUUUGUUAAAGCAUGAAGAACGGCAGAAAUAUUGUAAAUCCAUCUCAACUUUUUUGUUUAUUGUGGUCGUUGAUAGCGCUAGCUGUUUUCUUAUUUAACUUUGUUCCCUUUUGCCAUCAGCUCUUAGCAUUUUCAUUGGAUCAAGCGACCAUUUUCUUGCUUCAAUUUCUGAUCUCAAAAGCACUUUGACUCUCUUCAGUUACACUGAUUUUCUCCUUGUUUUGUACACAUAUCUUUUCUCUUUCCCAUUUAGCUUUGAUUUGCUUCUACUUGACUAUCAAUUGCCCAGUCGUUGAACCUGUUGUAUUUUUAUUUUGUUCACUUCAAAUAGACCAAAAAAAACAAAUGUUGGAUAAAAGCCAAAAAUCUAAUUUGAUUUUUAAUAUGAUUUAGCUAAGAUGUCCAAUUUAAUGCUAAGAGUAAUGUUAAGGAUCCCAAUAAUUGAAUCUCAACUGAUAUGAUAGUCAUUUAUUAGAUGAUCGAAAUAUUAAUUUUACUAAUUAUGAAAUUCAUUAUCUAAUAAAAUAAUGACACAUAACAAUUGGGUCUCAAGUUAGAAUUCUACUAUUGAAAUUCCUAACAUUAUUCUAAUAUUAAAAAUUCAUCAAAAUAAUAUCUAUUAUCUAAAAAAAUAAAAUAAAAAUCUAAAACCAUAAAUUUACUCUUCGAUCUUCGUGAUUUGACUGAUUUCUUUAUAUUUUUAUCGGUCAUUUUAUUGGUACUGGUUUGAUUUUCUGACUAAGCUACUGUUUAGUUCUAAGUUUUGGCAAUUACCCGGACUGCUCUGUUUUGUGUAUCAUCGACACAAUAAGGCUUAGCAUUUAAAAGUCGGCAGCCACGCAACUUCUUGGAAUCUUCGUGCAAGUGUUGGAUAUCGACUGUUCGAUAAUGAUGGCAGCAUUUGACUGGAGUGUAAUUGACGCAGUGGAAUAAGGAUCACAUGUCUCAAACUUUUGGUGAAGAUAUUGUCAGAUAUUUUAUUGAUCAAGUAAGGAUCACAAAUAAUGGAUAUUGGAUGAGGAUCACAUGUUUUAUGGGACUUAACUAUGUUGCAACAGUGAUACUAUACCAUUGUUUUUGUCAUUAUUCAUCGCGGCCAUUGGAUGGUAACUUAUUUAAUCUAAUGGUUUAAAUUAGUUAAUGGAGAAAUGACGCGGCAACUUACAACCCUUGCAGCCGGUUCUGUAUUGAUCUAAUAGCAUGGAGUAGUAAGCGUGCGUUCCAGAACCUUGUCACUGAUCAUGAAGAACAUUGAUCCAAUAGCAUGGAGUAGUAAGCGUGCGUUUCAAAGAUGCUAAGAUACACCAAAUCCCACUAUUUCCAUACUCAUAAAAACAAAAAGCCACGGCAAAAUGAAUGACUAUAUAAAAUAAAAUAGGUCAUAGGACAUUGAGAUUAAGGCAACAUGAUUUGUAUACCAUAAAAUAACUAUAUCUGCAUAGUCAAUUAUAUUUCUGUUAGAACUCUAAAGUUUUCCAUUAAAUUUUUUUCCCUCUUAUGUAAACCAUUUAACUGAAACGCUUAAGCCAAUAUUAAAAAUCAUAGACAUACAAGUAUUAAUAGGCUCGUUCAAGUGAAAUGAGCAUUAUUUAUUUAGGUUUUUAAGUCAUUUAGAAGUCAUUCAUGUUAAAAAAUUUCUUCAUAUACUUUCAUUAUAAUUAGUACAUACACAAUUAUUUAAAUAAAUAAAUCUGUUUCAGCUAGUACAGGAAAUUAAUUAAUCAAAGCUAGUAGUUAUAGCUAGGAUCUGAAUUACAGAGUUCAAGAGGAGCAUCUGAACAGAAUGAAAGUCCUUUAUAGAAAUGGUAAUGUCGCUUUACCAUUUAGAUAUCUUCUAGAAAGUACUUACAUCACGCAAUUAGGGACCGAUAUUUAAUGACAAUAACAAUCCAAAAGAUUGGGAGGGCCAACUAAAGGAAUAAAUCACUCAACCAAACCCUUAGGGACAGAUAGUUAAUGACAAUAAUAAAAGAUCCAUUCCUAUGCAUACGAGCUUAGUCUAUUAUGUUAAAGAGGCACCCUGUUGUUCGAUAGUCAGCACAACAAGUGAUCAAUGAGGUUGUUGCACAGACUGAUGACAUGGAAUUACGGCUCAGCCCAAGUGGUUCUGUGAUCUGUAGUAGACAAGCUGAGUAGUGGGAUUGGUUAGCUUGAUUUGCUGUGAAUAGUAGCUUAGUUAACAAGUUUGUUAGAUUACUGCAUAUAAAGCAAGCGAACUCUCUGUGUAUUCAUACUGUGAAGUAAAUCAAUCGAUUCAUUUUCUCUCAAAUCUCAAUGGUACUUUCUCUAUUUAAAUUUUAAAAUACCUUUAAUUAGGAUUAAUUAGAUUUUUCGCUUAUUAGGAUAAAAGCGAGAAAAAAGCACAACUACAAAAUUUGAUUGCAAAGUGUAAACCUACAAUUUUUUUGGGUAAAACAUGGAUAGUAAAACAUACAAUUAAAGAAGGAGAUAAAAAGCGUUUAUAUUUCACCUGAUUAGUUUCAGAAUUUGAGUGGUCUCAUCCCCACCAGCCAUUGAAUCGUUGAUAUGAUCACAUGCAUUGUUUUUAGAGGCACACAGGAGAGGUCUAUUUAGCACAACUAGCGUGACAAACGUUUUGCUGCACUCGUAGCAGACACUUGUACGACCGAUCGGGAUGGGUGAUUUCUGUUUUGCAACAACUUUCUGAAAAGUUAUGAAUGAUCACCUUCAACUUUUUUGGCAUCUUCUCUUCCCUGGCAUAAAUUAUAUGUGUUAUGAAUGAAGCACCCUUCAGAGUUCAAGAGGAGCAUCUGAACAGAAUGAAAUCACUUUGUAGAAAUGGUAAUGAUGCUUUACAUCUACAUGCUCUUACACAAUAUGAACUUUCAUUUAUUCAAGAACAUAACACUACCCCAAGCUCUUAUUCUACAAGUCAAUUCAGUUUGUAGAUGCACGCCAUUGUAAAAACUUUUGUAUUAUAAUUUCUGAAAAUAGAACGUAACAUUAUUAAUAUAGAAUCAGCAAUGUAUAUAACUUAUCAGACAAUAUAACAAGCACUUGGUGAGCAUACAAGAUAAACUAAAACAAGCUUUAAACAUAAAAUUAAAGUAAAUCGAAUUGCAAAACAUUAGAAUGGAUGUUGGAAUUAAAGCUAAAUUCAAUAGUAAUUCAAAUGAAUCCAUUUGAACUUUGUAAAUUCCGCAGAACAAAAUUAAUUUGAGAGAGCAAACUCACCAAUGGAACAAGAACACAGGGGCUUCAACUUGUAGGAAUAAAAAAAUAUUGCUGGCCGGACAAAAAUUGACAAUAACGGCUACAAUACGAAUUAAAAAAAAAAUCAAAAUCUAUAAUUACAAGCUAAGUGCGAGAAGAAACUCAUAAUCACAAGCUUAACUCAAAAGAUGAAGGGAGAAUACGAUGAAGAAGAGGAUGGCCAGUGUUUUACGCCGUUCGCCGGCAACCAGUUAGGUUUACGAUGGUGGCUAGUAACACGGAGUCCAGCGAAUAGUAGCAUACCGAACGGCUCUUUACCGUCACGUGGUUAGUAACAUAUGUGACUGCAGUGUGGCCGUCACAUAAAAGGUAUCGGGGUUACAAAGUUAGUGAUAUACGUAAUGGCUGCUUUUGCAUUCACAUUAGGGGUCACAUAUACCCUAUUUUCUUGUAGUACAUGGUAAAUUCUAUUUGAAAAUUGCUAAGUAUUUUAGAUUUGUACGAAUUCAUUUUUGUGUGCUCGUUGGAUAAUAAUUUAUAAUAAAUUAAAUUUUUGGUGUAAUUUUCACAAUAUUGUAUCAUAAAUAUGUCUCGUUGAGAGGUUUUGAAAUCGUUUUGAUUGAUCAUAAUUGAUAUUUCCACAAUUGCAAAAGAUGCCAGAGAAAAUUUGAUUAUCUUAAGAAAUGAGUGUACGAGAUAUGAAAUCAACCAUACCAUAAAAUCAAAUUUUAUCGUGUCAUCCUUCCUAUUUCAAAUUUAUGGAAACAAUAAUCAAAUGCAUCCAUGAAUUAAUAUAUUUCGACAUAUAUACCAUCAAAUUUUUGCUAUGUCAUGCUUACAUAUAUAUAUAUAUAUAUAUAUAUAUAUAUAUAUAUAUAUAUAUAUAUAUAUUGAAAUUUUAUUAACACCAAUUGGGCCAAGCAUGUGUUGGUACUUGAACAUUUAUAAGUCCCAUCCUUGAAAAAAUAAGGCUUGGCUGUUCUCAAUCUAAUUCUUUUUGUUUUAAGUUCUUAAUUAAGCUUUCUUGCUUGUUUUCAAGGGCCAGUUUUGUAAUGAUCUGCAAACAUGAUUUGCAUAUAUUGCACUUGGCAUCUAUGCGUCACUUAUUAAUUAGAUUUAAAUUUUAUAAAUUAAUUAAGCUGAUUAAUACUUUAUAUGUGCACCAAAUGAUAGAUACUACAUAAAUUGGGAUACUAGUAACUACGUAUCCCAACUAUUUAAUAUUUGUUUGUCGCAAAUCCAAUCAUGGCCUGAUAUCCUAAAUAUUAUUUAGGAUACCAUUUCAAGCCCCAUGAGGGCUCUUUCUGUUUUUUUUUUUUUUAAAGUAUGAAAUAGAUGUAGAUUUUUCUUUAGAUAUUAUUAGUGAGAGUACCUUUGGUGGCAAUGGUCCAGCAUGAUUUGGGAUUUGACAAUUCCACUCUCAUCUUAAUUAUCAAAUGGAAUGUAAGUAUCGAUAAACUCGUCCAGUUUAUAUAUUUGUGAUCAAAAUUAGGACCAAUCUCAAACCACUCGCAAUCAUGUCCCAUCCUAACUAUCCUGAAUGUCUCGAAUGCCUCCCUUAAUUAUCAUUUUAAUUCUCGUUAACAUAUUAGCAAAAUUUCCAUAUAUUAAAAAUAUUAGGGUCCGACUAUCUAUACUUUAAAAAUUAUUAUGCACAAUCAAUUAUUUAUGCACUCAUCUAAUAAAUUUAAAAAAUUAAGUUUUACUUUCUACACUUUUUAAAAUAACAAAAACAUCUUUACGUGAACCUAAUAAGUUUCUUGAAAAAAAUUAAAUCAAUUAUUUUUAUUUAUUCAAAAUACUAAUAAAACUAUUCAGGAAAAUUUUUAAGAAAUUUAGCAUAUACAACAUUGAAAUCAAUUUAUGUUUCAAGUAAAUUCUUUAACACGAUUUUAGUUAUUACUUAUUGUUUAUUAAAGUAUGUGUUCACUAUUGUUUUUAAUUUUUUUUUUAAUCAAAAAAGAAGAAGAAGAAGAAGAAGAUGUUUGUGGUUUAAGAUACAUUUAAUUUUUAGUGUAACAGUUGUAUCAAACCAAUAAAAACUAAAAGAUCCAAAAGUCACAAGUUCCAAUACCACCCAAAUGAAAGGCCCCGUUAGGAUUGUUUUUGGGAAGUUCAAAAGUAAUUCUAAAAAUUAAAAACUAAUUUUUAGUGUUUUAUAAAUUUUUUUUGUAAUUACUUUUGGCAAAAUCAUCUCAUCGUACAAUAGAUUUUGUAAAAGUAGGGAAUGAAAAGUUUUUUUAAAUCUAAUUUUGAGAAUCACUUUUAUAUUUAAUCAAAUUCUAUAUAGAUAUCCUCAUUAUAUAAUAAAAAUCUAAAAUUAUCUUUAUUAAUUAAGAAAUAAAAUCAUUAACUUUAAAGAUAUUGUUAUUAUUACCAAUUAUAUUGAGAUAACAAAAUAGAGAAUAAAAUUUAAUAAUAUAAAAUAUUUAUUUUAGUUAUCAAUAAUUAUAUGUAAGUAAUAAAAAUAUUUUAUAUACAUGUUUGUAAAUGUGUAAAUACAAUUCAGUCAUUUACAUUAUUGUAUCAGUUUAACAAUAAAAUUUAUGAAACACAUACGAUAGCUUUUAAAACUAAAAGUACUUUUAAAAAUAAAUUUUACUAAAUGUUUAGCUGAUUCUCUUCACAAUUGAUCAAUUUCUACAACAUAACGAACUGUAAUUAUUUUAAAAGGUACAGGAUUACCAAACUGACCCUAAACCAAACCAAGAAAAAUGUUUAAAAGUAAUAAUAAUAAACCAAAGUAAACGUACAAAAAUUCAUGCAUAAAUUGAUAAUCAACAAAAACAUCCAAAAGUUUUACUCCAAGUUUUCUAUUCAAUUGACAUAACACUUAAAUUUGAAAAGGCAUAAUCAAUUUUGUGUCUAAUCCUAUAAAAUUAGAAAAUUAAAGAAUAUUAUAUUCUUAUAAUUAAAUAAUAUGCAAUUAAUAAUGUUAAAACAUAUUGUGAACUAAAAUGAUUGGGAGAAUUGGAGUUCUAAGAUAAAUUCCUAUCUAAUCCCAAAUCAACAAUUGUGAUUAAUUUCAAUCUUAUACUCCGAUUGCUUUUAAAAUUGGUCCUAAUAAUAUGGACAAAUAUCAUUCUGAUCAGUAUGGAAUCCCAAUCCCAUACCUUUGGAUUUCAAUGGUGUUUAGUUGGAGGGAGGAGAGGGGAAGAAAAUGAAUUCAAAUUCCUUUCACUUUUCUGUUGUUUGGUUUUCACAAAUAUAUGGGAAUUCAAUUUUUAUUGAAAUUUAAUUUUCGUCAAAUUGUGCAUUUUGGAUUCCUCACCGAAGGCUGUAAAAUUCAAAUUCUCCUCCUAUUAGAAAUCAAAUCUUCCAAAAUUGCUCCUCUCAAAUAUUUAUCAAUUAUUUUAAUUCUUAUCAAAUAAUUCUUAUUUAUGAUUUUAUUUUUUCAAUUUAAAUUGUCACCAAGGAGUCUGACUUACUACCAUAGAAAAGCAAAAAAUACAAUUUAUAGAUUAUGAUAAUUCUAUGUAUUGUAUGAGAAUUGCAAUCCAAAAAUUUUCCCUAGAAAACGAAUUUUAAUCGACAGCAAAUCAAUGCUUUCAAAUUUAGUCAGCUGAACUAAUUUUUGUUUUUUUUUGGAUUAAUUUUGAAAUGUUGCAUCCAUAACGAGCUGCUAUUGAAAUUAAUGUUAACAACAAAAAUAGAUGCAAAAGGAGAAACAAGCAUCAUGUGCAGUACCCACUGUGAUCUACUCACAUUGGAAUAAGCCGUUGGCAGCUGGUCUGUUUGGCCAUUAAUAUCUAUUUAUAACUAGGUUUUUUUUUUUUUUUUUGAGAAGAUUUAUAACUGGAAAUUACUCACCGUAAAAUGAUGAAAUGCUUUGAAUAUACCUCCUAGGUCGUAUUUACUAUACUAGUUAGGAAAAAUUACAAUGUUAAAUUAUUUGAUAAAUACUUAUUAUAAUUUGAAAAAUAUGUUAAUUUUGUCCUCCACUGUAUGAUUAAUAAUUUAUAAUAUAUAUAUAUAUAUAUAAUUCAUUCUAUAAUCUUGAACUUUAUUAAAGAUAAAAAAACUAUUACUCUAUAUGAUAUAAUAGUGUGAUGUAAUUACACUACUAUACCAUAUAAAAUAUAUUUACUUUCUUAAAUUUUAAUAAAGUCCAGGUUUUAGGGAGAACCACUUUAUAUAUAUGUAUAUAUAACGAUUCUCUAGUAACGACAUUUUCAUUUUAACAAAAUAAUAAUAUCACUAACAAACUAAAUGACACACAUUUUAAUACAUCAAUAGAUAAAAAAAAUACAGUUUUAUUGUGUUAAAAUAUAUGUCUUUUGUAUAUUAUUGAUAUUUUCACUUUAACAAGUGAAGGUCUCCUCACUAUAGAAGUACUUUAUAAAUAUUUUUUGUAUUUUUAUGAAAAUUAUUAUUUAAAACUGUUUUGUGUAUCUUCGACACAAUAAGGCUUAGCAUUUAAAAGUCAGCAGCCACGCAACUUCUUGAAAUCUUCGUGCAAGUGUUGGAUAUCGACUGUUCGAUAAUGAUGGCAGCAUUGGACUGGACUGUAAUUGACACAAUAAAAUUAGGAUCACAAAUAAGGAUGAAACUAUGUUGCAACAAUUGUAGCAUGCCACUAGAUUUUAUCUUUUUUUUUAAUUAAUUACACUGCACUACCUUAUAUUUUAUGAAAAAAUUGAAUAGACAUUAAAAGUUACAAAAUUUUAUAUAUAAAUCCCUUUUUUUGGGAUAAAAUGGCUUUUCAAAAACAUUUGACUGUUAUUAUUAGUAUUAUUUAUUAAUAUCAUUAUUAUUAUAUUAAUAAGAAUAAUAAUAAUAAUAAUAUUAUCAAAAUUUAUUAUUUUAAUUAUUAUGAUUAUUUUUAAUUAAGUCAUUAUUAUUAUUUAUUAAUUUUAUUACUGUCAUUAAUAUUAAUUUUAUUACUAUUGUUAAAAUAUAUUAAUUUUAUUAUUUUAAUUAAUGUUAAUUAUUGUUAUUAUUAUUUUAUUAAUAUUAAUAUCAUUAAAAUUUAUUUGUUUUAUUAUUUUAAUUGUUAUGUUAUUAUUAAUGUCAUCAACAUCAUCAUCAUCAUCUUUAAACUUUAUAGAUUUUUUUGUUUAAAGUAAUACUAUUGUUAUUAUUAUUAUUUUACCUUAAUUGAACAUUAAAUAUAUUUUUAUUUUUAUUAUAAUAAAUAAAAAUAUAAAAUAAAUUAUACUAUCAUAUUAUUUUAUUAUAUCAUAUUAUAUUUAUAUAAAAUAAUUAAUAUAAAAAUAAUAAUUUAAUAUAAUUAAUAAUAAAUUUAAAUAAUGUUAGUAUAAUAUUAAUAUAAAAUUAAUGCAGUACAAUGUAAUACCAAUUACCAAAUGUUGUACAAAUAUUAUUAUAAUUUAUUACUAAUGUAAUAUAACAUAAUACAAUAUACCUUUAUUGAAUAAUGAAAUACAGUAUAGUAUAAUACAAUAUGUGAAAUGGACCCUUAAUUCUUUGAGUGAUGAUAGUUUAAAGGGAUGUAGAGAAAGUAAAAAUAAUCAUGGUAGAGUCUUUUGCAGUGGUUGAUUAGCCAUCAUCAAAAAAUUUAAGGUAACAUAAUAAAAAUUAAGCAAUCACCCUACAUUUAAAAGAGUAAUUAGAAACCAAUAAAUUUACUAUUCAAUUAUUUUUAAUCAAGAAUAAAUAAUAAAUUAUCAUUACAGCAAGAUUCACAAGCUCAAAUAUCUAUAAAAAAAAGUUAUAAUUCUCAAGAAACAUAAAACUCAAAUGCUUUUGAAGUAUUCUUAAAAAAAUUAAACUAACUUCCUUUUAUGCUAUUCUUUAUUUAUAUGACUUUGUUGGGCUACAUUUAAAAUUUUAAAAAAUUAAAAUGGUUUCCUUAAAUUUCAAGAGUAAUAUUAGUAUUUUAUAGGUAAAUUAACAUAUUUUAUAUACAAAUAAACUAACAUGUCAACUAAUAUUAAAAACAAAAAUGUAAUAAAAAAGUAAAGUUUUGUAAUAUUAAAAUAAUAAAAUUUUAGAACCUAAUACUUUUUACAGUUCCUUAUUUUGAAAUUUCACCUUUUUUAUUUUAUAAUUUUUUGAAGUAUUACAAGGUUAAUAACCUAUAUUCUUUACACAUAUUUAGUUUAUUUAUUCUAUAUUAAAUAUAAUGGGUCCGCCUACCUUGCAACAGUUGCACGGUACCCCAAAUUUUAUAUUUUUCUAAUUCAGCUGAUGAAUCUAAUAUCUAAAGUGUUCAACGGUCAAGGCCGGCUCAACCAUAUUUGGGGCCCUAGGCAAAUGAUUUUAAUUAAUUCUUAUAAAAAAUUAGGGUAAUCUAUGAAAUUUUAAUUCAAUUAUAACAUUUUUACUUAUUGUUCUUUAACUCAAAUUACAUCUUUUUUACUACUCCUUUUCUAGAUUAAACUAAUUUUUCUAUUUUAUAAAGUUUUUCGAUAUAGUUUUAUUUCAAAAUAGAUAAAACAAGCAUACAAAAAAAAAGAGUAGAUGAAUAAAAGAAUAUAUUGAAAAAAAUAAGAAUAAAUAAAUAAAUAACACAACUAAUUAAGAGAAUAAUAAAAAGAUAAAAUCUGGAAUUUGAGAUGAAAUCAUGAAUUAACUUUAUCUUUAUAUUAAUUGUUUGUGGAUUUGAGUAAUGACCAAUAGCCAUAGAGAAUAGAGAAAAUUAUUAGAUUUUUUUCUUCUUCUUGAGUGGAAAGUAGAGGAAGCAUGAUUUUUUCCCUCUCUCUCUUUCUUUCUCUCAAACACUAACAACAUAUCGUGUCUUGAUUAUUGGAGGAAAAAUUUAAUAGAUAAGUAAUAAAAUAUGGGGUUUUUAUAGAGGUUUAAAAUGAAUAUAAUACUUUUUAAUUAUAACAUAUUAAUUCUAACAAUUAAAUAGAGAAUUUGUAGGAUUGAAACUAUUAAUUUAUUGGUUUUGUAGGAAUUAAAACUACUAAGUACUACAUUAAAUAAACUUUAUAGAAAUUUGAUAGUUUAUUUAGGAAAAAGAUAAUUACAAAAUAAUAACAAAUUAAAUGCAUAAUAAUGACUUUUAAAUUCACUUUUCCCUUUUAUAUACAAAAUAAUCAUCUUACGGGGCCUUAAUGUAAAGUGGGGCUCCAGACAACCGCUUAAGUUGCCUAGAGGUCGAGCUGCUACUGUCAACGGUUGAGAUGUGUUCAAUUGGUUAUUAACACUUAAGUCUCUACUGUUUAUUAUAAUAUCAUAAAAACAAAAUUUUUAAAAUAUUUAUUUAUAUAACUCCUAUUGUUUUAAGUUUUUUAAAGUUUGAUCCAUUAGCCAAGCUUGAUCAUAAAAAUGAUUGAUGGUGUAAAGAUAAUAAUGUAAUAUCACAUAAAAUUUUUUUUAAACACAUGAAAAAUUGAUAAAUGUAAAUAUUGUUUUUUUUGGUUAUAUAAUAUAUUAACUUUAUUAUUUUAAUUAAUGUUAAUUAUUGUUUUUAUUAUUUUAUUAAUAAUAAUAACAACUAAUUUGUAUUUUACUUUUAAGGUUGAUUUGAUAAAUUUAAAUUUUUCUUUACAUUAACAUAUCUAAGAAUAUUGUUGCAAGCAUGUUAUUAUAAAAUCAAAGAAAAAUUAAGGGUAGGAUUAUAUUGUGCUUACCGACAAAGGUGUCUUGAGGGACUAAACGGUACUUCAUUCAAAAUAUAGAGACUGAACAAAUAUUUAUCAUUAUUUAAGCUGAAAUAGUGCAUUUUAACUAGUCCCGGGUUUGAUUCAUUGUAAAUAUCAUUUUCCUUCAUGAAAUACCUAUAGAGAAUCAUAAAUUUUGGAGAAAAGGACGUUACACCUAAGUUUUGGGAAAUAGUCAUGUAGACCCCUAAAUUUUUAAUAAGGAAUACGAAUACCUCUUUUGACUAUAAUACAUUUUGACUCUAUUAACUCAAAAAAUUGACUCCUAUGUUUUAUAAUAAAUAGAAAUAUAAUAUUGAAAUAAACAUAAAAUAUUAACAUUUUAAAACAACUUCAAUUUAGGAAAAUAUUUAUAUACUUAAGAAUCUUAUAUUAUAUUAGACUAAAUUUUAUAAUAAAUAAGAACAUAAUAUUAAAAUAAAUUUUAUAAAUUUUUUCAAUAUUAUAUAAAAUAAUUUCAAUAUUAUUACUACAUGAGAUAUAUUUUAUUAAUGAGAUGUGUUUUAUUAAUUUUAAAUUCUAUUUAACCCCAAUGAUUUAUUUGAUAUUUUUAUGAUAAAUAAAAUAUAUUAUUAAAAUAAAUAUAAUGUUUUUAUUUAAAAAAUAUUUUAUAUAUUAAAAAUAUUCUAAUAUUAUUAGUCUAUUAGACAGAUUAAACUAUUUAAGUUAUAUUUAUAUUUAUUAAAAAAUUCUUAAAGUCAUUUUUUUAUUUACUAUGUACAAAAAGUAUUAUAGUCAAAAAGAUAUUUUGGUUACUGAAAAUUGAAAGAUUUACGUGACCAUUUCUUUAAAUCUUGGAGUAUAGGUGUCUUUUCCUAUAGAUAUUAGAAUAAGGGCUACAUGUCUAUAUGUAAAUAGCAAGUAGUGGCGGACCUACAGUUGGACUAGACUGGGUUGUAGCUUGGUCUAGUACAGAAAAAAUCAUUUAUACACCUUGUUUUCUUAUAAUUUUUUUAUAAAAAAGAGUUUUUAUUUUGUUUUCAUAUAUGUCCCUAACUCAAGUAUCCUUAUGUUUUCAUCAAUUUAGUUUAACAAUAGAGUUUUUACUUUAUAUUCAAAUAUUUUCCUAACUCAAUUACCCUUAUAUUUUCAUCAAUUUAGUAUAACAAUUGAGCUAUUAUUUUAUAUUCAAAUAUAUCCCUAAUUCAAUUGUAUUGUUUCCAAUUGAAAUUAGUGACUUAUUUUAUAAAUUGAUUAAAUUAUAUACUCAUUGGAUAGAUUGAAAACAUUAGGGAGCUAAAGUAUUAUUAUCAAUUUAAUUUAUUUUAAAAAAUUUCUAAUUGAAAAAAAUAUAAAUCAAUGUAAUAUAACAUCGUCACUAGCAUUAAAAAUACUUACGAAAACAAUAUAUAGUAACAAUUAUCAACAUUUUCAUAAACAUUUUAUGUGAUUUUUUAGAUUCUAUUUAUUAGUUACAUUAACUACGACAAGAAGUUAGAAUAUAAAAUUUAGGUAUUUUGAGGAGCUUUAAUAGAAGAAUCAUCAACAUCUACUUCUAUAAAGAAAGUCAGUGCACUGGCAAUGAAACAACGAUAUCCAAAUAACUUUUUGUUGAAUUGAGUUUAGUUUAUUACUAAAACUUUUGACUAAUAAUACUUUUAUAAUUCGAAAGAAUGAAUGAAUUUUAAUUUUUAAAUUUAUUUAAACUUGGUAAUUUAAUACUUGACUUCAAACAUAAAAGUUUUACUUGUAAUCUUUAAUUAAUUUUAAUUACAUGUACUGAUCUAAUUUAGUUUGAAAUUCUUAAUUGAUUUAUUAAUCCUUAUAUAAUUACAUGUUAUUAUAGUUGCAAUGUCGGAUUCCAUAAUUGAAAAAUAGUGUUUUGAUAUUUGAAUUGCCUUUUGGUUUCUAUUCUUUUCUUAUAAUUAUUUUUGUUUAUAAUACAUAUUCAUAGGGAUAUAGCUCUCCAUGUCUCCCCUCAUUUAAUAUACUUCUUUUUACUUAUAAAUUUUUAUGUUCACUUCAAAAUAUAAAUUUUAAAAUUUAACCCAAAAUAAUAUUAAGUCCUGAAUCCGCACAUAUAGCAAGUUAAGUCACAUCCUUUUAUCUUUUUAUUUUCAUUUUAUAAAUAAAUAAAUAAAUAAUGCAUAUUGAAUUAGGAUCACGCGUCUGAAAUCUUUACGUGAAGAUUUUGUUAAACACCGUGUAAAAAAAUAAUAUGAAUAGUGAAAGCUUAAUAGUAAAAAAAUAAUAUGAAUAGUGCAUUGCGAUCUAUCAAUCGCAAUGCACCGAUGAUUGCAACAAUUAAAAAUCUUGAAAUAUGAUUAUUAUACAAAACGAAAAUGUACAACCACUCAUGAAUUAGAGUUAUUUUUUUUUAGAGAAGAUAAUUCGGGUUUUUAAGAUAGGUUCUUUUUUUAAAAAAAUUAUUAUCCUGAGGAUAUUUGAAUAAUAAUUUUUUAAAUUAAAAAAAUAAAUUUUAAAUAUAUUUUUGUGAGUUUAAAUAACCUCAUUCCCAGCAUAACUACAUGAGCUACGUAGUGCUUAUUUAUUGACAUUAAUAAACUGCAUCAAUUUAUACAAAAUACUGUUUUUCUUCUUCGUUUUUCUUUUUGACAUGUUGUGCUAAUGCUGUUUGUUGGCCUAGAUGGCGAAUAAAAAAUAUGAUAAUAUAUGCUAUCUACAAGCUUAAUUAUGAACGAACAGUUAAUAAUUACCCCAAAGUUCAUAUUUUAUAAUAGGUGUAGAAUCUUUUCACUCUAAUAAGUUUAUCUUCAAUUAUUUAUCACUAGUUUAGUUAAAUAAUGCACGUCAAUGUUGAAUUGACAUCCGCGAAUAUCACCUUUGCACUUUUAAAUCAAAUAAUCAAUGGCCAUCAAAUGAAGCGAAAUAAAUGGUUAAACUAAUUUAUGUUAAAACAAAUUAUUGUUGAAUAGAGUAGUGAUAGAUGAUAUCCCAAAUUUUUGGGUUCCUAAGGAAUAAUCAUUGUCAAAUUAUUAAACCGAACCUUACAUUCAGGAAUGAUAAAGAUUGAAGACCAAUAUCUGCAACAUUAACUCUUGUCAUACAUAAGCAAGAACAAAAAAAAUAAAAAAUCAUUGAAUUAUAUUAAUACAUGAAACAGAAAGGCCAAAAAUUAAACCCAAAUGAAUAUACAGUGAAAGGAAAUCGCAGUUGUAAUGUAACGCAUAUUCACAAAAGCUUUGUUGAUGAAGUCUAGUACUCUAAUGAUACUUUAUAAUGUGGGGGCAGAGCAGUAAAUUUCAAAGAAAUAAUUUUCUCUUUUGAUGUUUUGUCGUUAUUGUUGACUGAGACGAGAAAGAAAUAAUUGCUCGUUUGGAUAUUCUCUAUAUUGUAAAAGAAUUGCUUAUUAGAAUUGCUUAUUAGAAUUGCUUCAAAGCAGUUUUACCAGUUAUAAUUCAUCAGCUCCUACUCUUUGCGUUCAAUUCUCAAUCAAGAAACCCUCUCCUGACUUUCAGCUUUUAACCUCGAACACGCUCUGAUUCUGUUUAUUGUACCCACUGCUAUUGCUAGCUGUUCCCUUAUUUUGCUUUGCUCCCUUCUGCCAUCAGCUCUCUGUAUACUCAUUGGAUCAAGAAGCCCUUUUCAAUUUUCUGAUCUCAACAACACUUUGAUUCUCAUCUAUUACACUGAUUUUUUUUCCUUGUUUUGCUCAAAUACAAUUUCUCUCCCUAAUUUUGUCCCGUUCCCUUUCGCCGCCAUCUGUUUGUUCUUCGCUUCUUCAUUGAUUAACAAUUGUCCAGUCGUUUCACCUGUUCUUUUUCUGUUCCUUUCACUUCAGAUCAAUCCAUCCUCGCACAACCCCCCCCCCCCCCCCCAAAAAAAAAAAAGAAAAAAGAAAAAAGAUUGAAGGUGAUGGAAUGCAUUGUUACUGUCGUUUUAGAGGUUGUAAAAUGCUUGGCUCCUCCAACACAACAACAACUUCGUUAUUUGCGUAGUUCCAAUGCCAACUUUGAGAAUCUCAAGGCUGAAAUCGAGAAUCUUAAGGAUAAAAUUAGGAGCAUUCAGCGCAGAGUCUCAGAGGCUGAAAGAAAAGGAGAAAAGAUUGAAGAGGAGCUUGAGAAAUGGCUGGUUAAUGCGAAUAAGAUCAUUGAGCAUGCAGACAAAUUCAUUGACGACGAGGAGGCAACAAAUAAGCGAUGUCUCAAGGGUCUGUGUCCUAAUCUGAAGACCCGCCAUCAGCUUAGCAAGAAAGCAGAGGCAGAGGUGAAGGCAAUUGUCAAAAUCCGAGAAGAAGCUGGGAGAUUUGACGAUAGAAUUUCCUACCGUACGAUUCCGGAGGAGAUAUGGCUCAAGUCUCACAAAGGCUACGAGGCCUUCGAGUCAAGACUUUCUACCUUGAAGGCCAUACAAAAUGCAUUGAUCGAUGUUAAUGUUAGUGUCGUUGGGGUGUACGGCAUGGGCGGCAUUGGAAAGACGACACUGGUGAAGAAGGUCGCCAGGCAAGCUAUGGAAGAUAAACUCUUUGAUAUGGUGGUCUUUUCAGAGGUUUCGCAAACUCCAGACAUAAAAAAGAUUCAACAGGAAAUUGCCGAGAAGUUGGGCCUGGAGUUGCACGAGGAAGUUGAAUCUGGAAGAGCAAGUAGACUAUUUGAGCUAUUGAGAAAUCACAAGAAGAUCCUUGUCGUUUUAGAUAACAUUUGGAAACACCUUGAUUUGGAGACAGUUGGAAUUCCUUUUGGAGAAGAUCAUAAAGGCUGCAAACUACUGCUGACGGCAAGAGAUCGUAGUGUCCUCUUAAAAAUGGGUUCUAAAGACAACUUUUUGAUAAACAAUUUAAAUGAAGAAGAAGCCUGGAGAUUGUUUAAGAUGAUGGCCGGUGAUGAUGUUGAAAAUCGUGAGUUGAAAUCUACAGCAAUAGACGUCGCCAGGGCAUGUGGAGGUUUGCCCAUUGCCUUGACUACAGUAGCAAAGGCACUGAGAGGCAAGAGUCUGUAUGAAUGGAAGAAUUCCUUGCGAGAACUCCAAACGCCUUCAAUGGUAAACUUCGAAGGGGUAUCUGCAGAGACUUAUUCAAGUAUUGAGCUCAGUUUCAACCAUUUAAAAGGUGAGCAGCUCAAGAAAAUUUUUCUGCUCUGUAGUCUAAUGGAGAGCCAUAUUACUUUGGACUUGUUUAAGUACUCCAUGGGUUUGGGUAUAUUUAAAGGAGUCAAUAAGAUGGAAGAUGCACGAGACAAAUUAUAUGCAUUGGUCCAUGAACUUAGAGACUCUUGUUUGUUGCUUGAGGAUGAUAGCAAUGAACGAUUUUCAAUGCAUGAUGUUGUUUGUGAUGUCGCAAUAUCAAUUGCAUGCCGCCACCAACAUGUGUUUUUGGUGAGAAAUGAUGAGGAUGUGUGGGACUGGCCAGAUGAGGAUGCACUUCGAAAAUGCAAUGCUAUCUCUUUAAUAAAAAAUAGUAAUUGUGAAUUUCCUGAAGGAUUAGAAUGCCCAAACCUUGAACUUUUAUAUAUUUCUCUCAAAGAUUCUUCUCUUGAAAUCAAUAUUCCUGAGAACUUUUUUGUAGGGAUGAAAAAGCUUAGAGUUCUAGAUUUUACUCGAAAGCUGUUUUCUUCAUUUCCAUCUUCAAUUGAUCUUCUAGUAAAUCUUCACACACUAUGUCUGGAUCAAAGUGCGUUGGGGGACAUAGCAAUCAUUGGGAAGUUGAAGAAUCUAGAAGUCCUUAGCUUUUUGAUGUCUGAUAUUAUGCAGUUGCCAGAAGAACUAGGUCAAUUGAAUAAGUUGAGAUUGUUAGAUUUAACCAAUUGUUUCCAUCUAAAAGUUAUUGCGCCCAAUCUCAUAUCAAGCUUAACUCGAUUAGAAGAUCUGUAUAUGGGUAAUUGCUCCAUUGAAUGGGAGGUUGAAAGAGCCAACAGCAAAAGAAGUAAUGCUAGCCUUGACGAAUUGAUGCAUUUACCUCGGCUAACCACUCUAGAAAUUGACGUUAAAAAUGACAGUAUGUUACCAGAAGGUUUUUUGGCCAGAAAGCUCGAAAGGUUCAAAAUAUCUAUUGGAAAUGAGUCAUUCAUGCCUCCCAAGAGUGUUAGACAAGCUUGGUUUAAAAGUCGGCCGCGCUUUUCGAUCCACAGUUAUCGCAAGAGUGUAAGAGCAUUGAAGCUCAAGCUUGAUUUUAUGGACAUUUGCUCCAUGAAAUUGCAGGGCAUCAAUAACGUUGAAUACUUAUGGUUGGACAAGCUGCAAGGCACUGAGAAUGUUCUUUUCAAUUUGGACACGGAGAGCUUUUCACAAUUGAAGCUUCUCUGGGUUCAAAAUAAUCCUGACUUCUUUUGCAUCGCCGAUUCAAGGGCGAUGGUCGCUUGUGAUGCCUAUAGCUUAUUUUUAACUUUGAAAAAUAUGACAAAGCAUCGAUAAAUUAAUACUCAAUAAAUUAAAAACUUUUAUUAUACAAUAAUCUUUGCUAGUCUAGACUAAGGGAUCAAUGUGGUAGAUUAAUAAUUAUAUGAACUGUUUUAGGUAUAGCAUUUCUAAAAGAAUCCUUAGUCUUUCCAUAUAAAAGAACUUACAAAAUAAAUUAGUAAUUUAUUAUUGUGCAAUAAAAUAAUUUCGUUUUUUUCCCUAAUUUCUUUUUUACCUCUAAAAUUAGCAUAUAAAAAAUCAUUUAAUAAAUUUUAUCAAUAAUUCAAUUUUUUUUUUAAAAUAUAAUAUAAAAUAAAUACUAUAAAAUCACUGUGUGUGACCAUAGAUCAUCAAUUGACCUUAUUAGUUAUUUUGAUUGAUGAUGAUAUCUUACCCAACUUGACGGCACUAUCACUAAGUGGAAAAGAUGUGAAGAUGAUUUUGCAGGCCGAUUUCCCACAACACCUUUUUGGCAGUCUUAAACAACUAGAGAUUGUUGGAGAUGACUCAGCUUGUUUUCCAAUCUGGAACGUACUGGAGAGAUUUCACAAUCUCGAAAUACUCAUACCGUUUUUGCAUUCCACGAAGAGGUAUUUUGGAUGGAAGGAUGCUUAGAGAAACAUGUGGGGAAGUUGGCAAUGAUAAAAGAAUUAAAGCUGCACCGGCACUAUCAUCUGAUGCAGCUGUGCAAACAAGACUCCAAACUUGGCCCCAUUUUUCAGUAUCUUGAAAUUCUAAAAGUAUAUAAUUGUCAAAGUCUGUUAAUUCUAUUGCCAUCAUCAUCGGUAUCUUUUGGGAACCUAACAAAACUUGUAGCUUUCGAUUGCAAGAAAUUGAUACACUUAGUAACAUCCUCCACAGCAAAAACUCUGGUGCGACUCGUAACAGUUCAAGUAUAUGGAUGCAGAGCAAUGACAGAGGUGGUAAUAAAUGACAAAGACGGGGUUGAAAAAGAAGAGAUUGUUUUCCGCAAAUUGAAGACGUUGGAUCUGCGUGAUUUAGAUAGCCUCACAAGUUUCUGCUCUGCCAAUUACACCUUCAAAUUCCCAUCUUUGCAAGAUUUGUGGGUGAUUGGUUGUCCCAAGAUGAAGAUUUUCACUACAGGAGAAUCAAUCACGCCUCCAAGAGUAAAUGUCCGGUAUGGAGAGACAGCGGAUCAACGGCGCUGGGCUAAUAAUGAUCUAAACUCAACCAUACAACAAUUACAUGCUGAGAAGGUACGUAUAUACAUGUAUAUACAUCUUUACAAAAUUUGCUUUCUUAAAUACAAUAUAGAUAAGAUAUUUGAUGAAUAAGAAUUUUACUUUCAGCUGUUGGCGGUGCAGUCGGCGAUCUCUACCCAGUACUAAUUUCAUAGGCUUCUUAUGACUUGGGAGUUGUGAAUUUUUAGAAGAAAGCCUCAGCUGGUAAUUAAUUUUUAUUUCAUUUAUUUGAUCUCAUGGCUUGUUUCGCAAUUUCAUCUGAAUUAUUUAGAAUGGGUCAAUCGGCUUACUGUUAAAUUUGGAAUGCAAUUUUAAUGAUUCGUUCAGACUUUUGUGGACAGAUUUUGCAUCAUUGAAUGUCUUCUAGUCUAGUUUAAUUUGAGUAUUUUUUUUCUUUUUUUCUUUUUUUGAGAGUUCCCCUUGUUUUCUAAAAUUUUAUAAUUCCUUGCAUACUUUGUAUGAUAAAAUUUCAUUAAAAGCCUUCAUAUUUUAUAAUUCCUUGAAAACAUCAUUGCUGUUCUGUUAUUUUAGUUUGUUCAUUUAGUUUGGUUUGCUUCACACCUAUCUUUGUUUGGAAACUUUUUUUUAUUUUUUUGAUGAUCUUUCCAAAUGCUCUCCCCUAUGAACACAUAAUUAAGACCAGCUGAAAAUCAUUCAUCGGAUAAAAAAUAAAAAAUAAACAAAAUCUAAUCAGAGCAUUAUGCCUAGAACAAAUCCUUAGACCAUCAAAGCAAAACUCUUCGCUAUGAAAAACUAUAUUGUGGAAAUAUUGUUUGAAAACGUUGGAUACCAAGAAAGGGACUAAUCUGGUCUAGUUUUAUGAGAAGUGCAGAAGAACAGUAUUUUCUCUGUUGUUCCUAUUAAAAUUCUUUACUAUGUGAUUGUAGAAUGUCUGGAUACUGAUGAAGAUUCAGGUAACUCUUCUCCUGUGCAUCAUUUGAAAUAAGUUUUUUUUUUUUUUUUGGUAAUAUCUCCUACUGGGUUAUAGUUCAUACAAAGAGAAAUUCUUAAAUCAAGCCGGAUACUGGUAGAAACAAGUGGGGAAGUAGGCACUGAUAAAAUGGUUAAUCCUGUCCAGACUUAAUCAUUGAAGCAACUCCAAACUGGACUCCAUUUUAAAUAUCUUGACAUUCUAAGACUAUUUUACAAGCAUUUAAGUCUAUUCACAUGAUCAUCUAUAUCUUUUGGGAAUCUAAAAGAACUGUUGGUUUUCCAUUGCAAGGAAUUGUAACAUCCGUCCACUACAGCAGAAAGUCUAGUGCGACUCGUAUCAAUGAAGGUAGCUGGAUGCAGGGCAAUGACAGAGGUGGUAAUAGGUGACGGAGAAGAAGACGGAGCACCAAAUUUAAAUUCAAAACAAGAGAUUGUUUUCAGCAAAUUGAAGACAUCGAGUCUGUGUGAUUUAGAUAGUCUCACAAGUUUCUGCUCUGCCAAUUACGCUUUCAGAUAAAGAUUCUUGAAAUUGUCCUAUUUACAGCUGACAUUUCCACAAGAGUUAGAGAAAUAUAAAAAAUUCAUUAAUCGUUAGUUUUUAAUUUCAUUAUUCAAUGAAAAGUCCUGUCAAAUUAAAUUGCAAAUCUCAAUGUGCAAGUACCUAAAUUUACAAAAUUUACUUUAAAUUAAUGAAUGAAAGAAUUUAUUUUCUGCUGUUGGAGGAGUCGUCAUCUCUCUCGACAUAGUAUACGAUAUGUUUUGAUCCCAUAGGCUUUUUAAUAUAUUACCUUGUGUUGUUUGAUCUCUAGGUUUAUUUGCAAUGCGUCAGUUGGUUUAUUUGUUAAUUUUGGAAUGAAGUUGAUGCAGCUGAUGGUUGCAUAGGAUGAGUAGGAUAUCACUCCUAGAUCAUAACUUGAUCUAACAAUAUUGUGUAGGUCUUUUGUGACUCCAACAAUAAAAAAACUCAAUAUUUUUUUUAUAGAGCAAUAUUUGUUAAAGCAUGAAGAAAGGCAGAAAUAUUGUAAAUCCAUCUCAACUUUUCUGUUUAUUGUGGUCGCUGCUAGCGCUGGCUGUUUUCUUAUUUAACUUUGUUCCCUUUUGCCAUCAGCUCUUUGCAUUUUCAUUGGAUCAAGCGACCCUUUUCUUGCUUCAAUUUCUGAUCUCAAAAGCACUUUGAUUCUCUUCUAUAAUUCUGUUACACUGAUUUUCUCCUUAUUUUGUACAAAUAUCAUUUCUCUUUCCCAUUUAGCCUUGAUUUGCUUCAACUUGACUAUCAAUUGCCAAGUUGACCCUGUUGUAUUUUUAUUUUGUUCACUUCAAAUAGACCCAAAAAAAAAAAGAGAUGUUGAAUAAAGCCUAAAAUCUAAUUUGAUUUUUAAUCUGAUUUAGCUAAGAUGUCCAAUUUAAUAUUAAUAGCAAUGUUAAGGAUUCUAAUAAUUGGGUCCCAACUGAUAUGAUAGUCAUUUAUUAGAUGAUCGAAAUAUUAAUUUUACUAAUUAUGAAAUUCAUUAUCUAAUAAAAAAUGACACAUAACAAUUGGGUCUCAAGUUAGAAUUCAAAUAUUGGAAUUCUUAACAUUAUUUUAAUAUUAAAAAAUUCAUCAAAAUAAUAUAUAUUAUCUAAAAAAAAUAAAAAAUCUAAAACCAUAGAUUUACCCUUCAAUCUUCGUGAUUUGGCUGAUUUCUUUUAAAGCUUUGGUUUCUUUGGAAGUGCAACGAGAAAUAGUAAUAAGAUUAAAAAAGCAAUGAAGUAAAACUUUAAAAUUUUUAUUUUUUUAUAUUUUUAUGGGUCAUUUUACCGGCACUGGCGUUUGAUUUUCUGACUAAGCUACUGUUUAGUUCUAAGUUUUCAAUUACCCGGACUGCUCUGUUUUGUGUAUCAUCGACACAAUAAGGCUUAGCAUUUAAAAGUCGGCAGCCACGCAACUUCUUGGAAUCUUUGUGCAAGUGUUGGAUAUCGACUGUUCGAUAAUGAUGGCAGCAUUUGACUGGAGUGUAAUUGACGCAGUGGAAUAAGGAUCACAUGUCUCAAACUUUUGGUGAAGAUAUUGUCAGAUAUUUUAUUGAUUAAAGGAUCACAAAUAAUGGAUAUUGGAUGAGAAUCACAUGUUUUAUGGGAUUUACUAUGUUGCAACAGUGAUACCAUACCACUGUUUUUGUCAUUAUUCAUUGCGGCCGUUGGAUGGUAACUUAUUUAAUCUAAUGGUUUAAAUUAGUUAAUGGAGAAAUGACGCGGCAACUUACAACCCUUGCAGCCGGUUCUGUAUUGAUCUAAUAGCAUGGAGUAGUAAGCGUGCGUUUCAAAGAUGCUAAGAUACACUAAAUCCCACUAUUUCCAUACUCAUAAUCACAAGCUUACCUCAAAAAAUGAAGGGAGAAUACGAUGAAGAAGAAGAUGGCCAGUGUUUUACGCCGUUCGCCGGCAACCAGUUAGGUUUACGAUGGUGGCUAGUAACACGGAGUCCAGCGAAUAGUAGCAUACCGAACGGCUCUUUACCGUCACGUGGUUAGUAACAUAUGUGACCGCAGUGUGGCCGUCACAUAAAAGGUAUUGGGGUUACAAAGUUAGUGAUAUACGUAAUGGCUGCUUUUGCAUUCACAUUAGGGGUCACAUAUACCCUAUUUUUCUUGUAGUACAUGGUAAAUUCUAUUUGAAAAUUGCUAAGUAUUUUAGAUUUGUACAAAUUCAUUUUUGUGUGCUGGUGCCUGGUUGGAUAAUAAUAUAUAAUAAAUUAAAUUUUUGGUGUAAUUUUCACAAUAUUGUAUUAUAAAUAUGUAUCGUUGAGAGGUUUUGAAAUCGUUUUGAUUGAUCAUAAUUGAUAUUUCCACAGUUGUAAAAGAUGCCAGAGAAAAUUUGAUUAUCUUAAGAAAUGAGUGCAUGAGAUAUGAAAUCAACCAUACCGUAAAAUCAAAUUUUAUCGUGUCAUCCUUCUUGGUUCAAAUUUAUGGAAACAAUAAUCAAAUGCAUCCAUGAACUAGUAUAUUCCAACAUAUGUACCAUCAAAUUUUUGCUAUGUCAUACUUAUGUAUGUGUGUGUGUGUGUGUGUUUGUGUAUAUUGAAAUUUUAAUAACAACAAUUGGGGCAAGCAUAUGUUGGUACUUGAAGAUUUAUAAGCUCCAUUCUUGAAAAAAUAAGGCUUGACUGUUCUCGAUCUAAUUCUUUUUGUUUUAAGUUCUUAAUUAAGCUUUCUUGCUUGUUUUCAAGAGCCAGUUUUGUAAUGAUCGACAAACAUGAUUUGCAUAUAUUGCACUUGGCAUUUAUGUGUCACUUAUUAACUAGAUUUAAAUUUUAUAAAUUAAUUAAGCUGAUUAAUACUUUAUAUGUGCACUAAAUGAUAAAUACUACAUAAAUUGGGACACUAGUAACUACGUAUCCCAACUAUGUAAUAUUUGUUUGUCACAAAACCAAUCAUGGCCUGAUAUUCUAAAUAUUAUUUAGGAUACCAUUUCAAGUCCCAUGAGGGCUCUUUCCGUUAAAAAAAAAAAGUAUGAAAUAGAUGUAGAUUUUUCUUUAGAUAUUAUUACCUUUGGUGGCAAUGGUACGGGAUGAUUUGGGAUUUGACAAUUCCACUCUCAUCUUAAUUAUCAAAUGGAAUGUAAGUAUGGAUAAACUCGUCCUGUUUAUAUACUUGUGAUUAAAAUUAGGACCAAUCUCAAACCGCUCACAAUCAUGUCCCAUCCUAACUAUCCUGAAUGUCUCGAAUGCCUCCCUUUAUUAUCAUUUUAAUUCUCAUUAACAUAUUAGCAAAAUUUCCAUAUAUUAAAAAUAUUAGGGUCUGACUAUCUAUACUUUAAAAAUUACUAUGAACACUCAAUUAUUUUAUACACUCAUCUAAUAAAUUUAAAAAAUUAAGUUUCAUUUUGUACAUUUUUAAAAGUAACAAAAACAUUUUUACAUGAACCUAAUAAGUUUCUUUAAAAAAAAUUAAAUCAAUUAUUUUUAUUUAUUCAAAAUACUAAUAAAACUAUUCAGCAGACCGUGAAAGAAAAUUUUUAAGAAAUUUAGCACAUAAAACGUUGAAAGUUUCAACUAAAUUCUUUAACACAAUUUUAGAAAUUACUUAUUGUUUAUUAAAGAAUGUGUUCACUAAUGUUUUUAAUUUUGUGCAAUCAAAAAAGAAGAAGAAGAAGUUUGGGGUUAAAGAUACAUUUAAUUUUUAGUGUAAAAGUUGUAUCAAUCCUAUAAAAACUAAAAGAUCCAAAAGUUACAAGUUCCAACAUCACCCAAAUAUUACGAUUGUUUUUGGGAAGGUUAAAAGUGAUUUUAAAAAUUAAAAGCUUAUUUUAGUGUUUUAUAAAUUUUUUUUUAGUAAUUACUUUUGGCAAAAUCAUCUCAUCAUACAGUAGAUUUUGAAAAUUAAGAAAGGGAAUAGUUUUUCAAAAUCUAAUUUUGAGAAUCACUUUUAUACUUAAUCCAAUUCUCUCUCUCUCUCUCUCUCUCUCUCUAUAUAUAUAUAUAUAUAUAUAUAUAUAUAUCCUCAUUAUAUAAUAAAAAUCCAAAAUUACCUUUAUUAAUUAAGAAAUAAAAUCAUUAACUUUAAAGAAAUUAUUAUUACCACCAAUUAUAUUGAGAUAACAAAAUAAAUAAUACAAUUUAAUAAUAUACAAUAUUUAUUUUAGUUAUCAAUAAUUAUAUCUACAUAACAAAAAUAUUUUAUAUACAUGUUUGUAAAUGUGUAAAUAAAUUUUAUUUAGCUUUAUAUCCAAUUUAAUCAUUUACAUUCUUGCACCAGUUUAAUAAUAAGAUUUAUGAAACACAUAUGACUGCUUUUUAAACUAAAAGUACUUUUAAAAAUAAAUUUUACUAAAGGUUCACCUAAUUCUCUUCACGAUUGAUCAAUUUCUACAGCAUAGAUAACUGUAAUUAUUUUAAAAGCCAUAGAUUACCAAUAAAAAUGUCUAAAAGUAACAAUAAUAAACCAAAGUAAACGUACAAAAAUUCAUGCAUAAAUUGAUAAUCAACAAAAACAUCCAAAAGUUUUACUCUAAGUUUUCUAUUCAAUUGACAUAACCCUUAAAUUUCAAAAGGCAUAAUCAAUUUUGUGACUAAUCCUAUAAAAUUAGAAAAUUAAAGAAUAUUAUAUACUGAUAAUUAAAUAAUAUACAAUUAAUAAUGUAAAAAAAAAAUCAUGUUAAACAUAUUGUGAACUAAAAUAAUUGGGAGAAUUGGAGUUCCAAGAUAAAUUCCAAUCUAGUCCCAAAUCAACAAUUGGGAUUAAUUUCAAUCUUAAACUCCGAUUACUUUUAAAAUUGGUCCUAAUAAUAUGGACAAAUCCCAUUCUGAUCAGUAUGGAAUCUCAAUCCCAUAACUUUGGGUUUCGAUGGUGUUUAGUUGGAGGGAGGAGAGAGGAAGGAAAUGAAUUCAAAUUCCUUUCACUUUUCUGUUGUUUGGUUUUCACAAAUAUAUGGGAAUUCAAUUUCUAUUGAAAUUUAGUUUUCAUCAAAUUGUGCAUUUUGGAUUCCUCACCGAAGGCUGUAAAAUUCAAAUUCUCCUCCUAUUAGAAAUCAAAUCUUCCAAAAUUGUUCCUCUCAAAUAUUUAUCAAUUAUUUUUAUUCUUAUCAAACAAUUCUUAUUUAUGAUUUUAUUUUUUCAAUUUAAAUCGUCACUAAGGCGUCUAACUAAGGGCCAGUUUGGGAAUACUAUAACUUUUAAAAUAAUUAUUGUUAGUUGUGCUUUAGAAAUAAUCAGCUGUGAAGAAAAUUAAUUAAGUGUUUGGUAAAUUUUGUUUUAAAAAUACUGUGAGUUUUAAAAGCAGUUAUGGACAUUUAGUAAAUUUUACUAUUAAAUUGCUGAGAGAAAACAUAUGACUAAAAUGUAUAUAAUGUAGAUAAGAUUUACUUAUACAUAUAAAAACAUGUACAUAUAAUAUUUUUAAUUGUGUAUUAUAAUAAUUUUUAUUACAAAUAAAAUUUAUAAUAUAUUGAUUUUUUUAUUUUUUUAUCUUGAAACAAUUGAUAAUUAAAUUUGUAAUAUAGUGAAACAAAUUUAAUAAUAAUUCGACCAAUAAACUGAUAUUAAUAUAUUUAUAUAACCAAAUUAACGGGUGAAUUCUAUAAUCGAUUUCUUUUAUUAACAUCUCAUAACUAUGAGAAGUUUUAUAUUUUGAUAAAUGAUCAUACUCAAUUAUGUGCCUUAUUGGAUGAAAGACGGAGAAGGAAUGCCUUACCGGAUUCAAUUCAAUAUACACUUUUUGUUCCCAGGUCUAGCCUUUCGCGGGUACCUCAACAAAAAACUGAAGAGUAAUGGCAACAAGUGAUUGAGUUAAGUAGUUCCUCAUGUAAAAUUAUUGACUCUAGAGAUAUAGUAAUAUGGAGAAGACUAAACUAUUUCGUAUUGAUGAAUUAUAGUAACAAUUUAUUAAAAUAUUGAUUUUGAUUCUAAUUUUAAUAAGGAAGAACACCAAGAACGUUAUCCCUCUAAAUAUGUACUAUAUACAAAAAAUAAUUGUAAAAAAAGGGUAGAAAAAUAAAAGACAACUCAGAAAAUACUAUUUUUUUUAAUUAUAGAAUAUGACAUUGCAACCUAUAAUUACAUGUAAUUAUAUAAAGAUUAAAAAAUCAAUUAAGAAUUUCAAAUUAAAAUAGAUCAAUACAUGUAAUUACAAUCAAUUAAAAAUUGCAAGUAAAACUUUUGAAGUGGAAUACUAAAUUACCCGACUUAAUAAAUUAAACAAUUAAAAUUUAUUCAUCCUUUCAAAUUGUAAAAGUAUUAUUAGUCAAAAGUUUCAAUAAUAAACUAAACUCAAUUCAGCAAAAAGGUAUUUGAGUGCAAUUGUUUCUUUGUUAGGCGCUUUGCCUCUCUUUAAAGAACUAGAUGUUAAUUAUUCUUCUAUCAAAAAAUCCUUAAAAUAAUUAAAUUUUAUUUUCUAACUUGUUCUCUUAGUUUUUUUGAAACUAACAAAUAAAAUCUGAAAAUUCACAUAAAAAUUUUAUGAAAAUAUUGAUAAUUAUUACUAUAUGUUGUUCUGUAAGUACUUUUAAUACUAACAACGAUGUUAUAUUAUAUUGAUAGAUUUUUUUUUCAAUUAGAAGUUUUUAAAAUAAAUUAAAGCAAUAAUAAAAUUUUAGCUCCCUAAUUUUUCAAUCUAUUCAAUAAAUACGUAAUUUAAUCAUUUUAUAAAAUAAGUCACUAAUUGCAAUUGAAAAUAAUAUAAUUGAAUUAGGGACAUAUUUGUAAAUAAAAAAAACUAUUGUUAUAUAAAAUUGAUGAAAACAUAAGGAUAAUUGAGUUAAGGACAUAUUUGAAUAUAAAAUAUUGUUGUACUAAAUCGAUGAAAAUGUAAGGGUAAUUGAGUUAGGGACACAUUUAAAUAUAAAAUAAAAAAUCUAUUGUUAUACCAAAUUGAUAAAAACAUAAAAGUUAUUGAGUUAGGGACGUAUGUGAAAAUAAAAUAUAAACUCUAUUCUUUUACUAAAUUAAUGAAAAUGAAAAAAAGAGGUAUAAACGAUUUUUUCCCACAUGUAGGUCCGCCACUCGUGUUGUAUGAGAAUUGUAAUCCAAAAAUUUUCCCUACAAAACGAUUUUUAAUCGACAGCAAAUUUUCACUACAAAACGAUUUUAAACGAUUUUUGUUUUUUUUCGAUUAAUUUUGAAAUGUUGCAUACAUAACGAGCUGCCAUUGAAAUUAAUGUUAACAACCAAAGUAGAUGCAAAAGGAGAAACAAGCAUCAUGUGCAGUACCCACUGUGAACUACUCACAUUGGAAUAAGUUGUCGGCAGCUGGUCUGUUUGGCCAUUGAUAUUUUGACUAUUCAAUGUUGAUUUUGACCCCACUAAAUUAAGCCAUCAAAAAUUGCUGGGAAGGGAGUAAUAUCUAUUCAUAACUGGAAAUUACUCGCCGUACAAUGAUGAUUGGAGCUGCAUGUAUCAUUUAUUAUUAACAACUAACUUAUGAAAUGCUUUGAAUGUACCUCCUAGGUCGUAUUUACUAUACUGGUUAGGAGAAACUACAAUAUUAAAUUAUUUGAUAAAUACUUAUUAUAAUUUAAAAAAUAUAUUAAUUUUGUCCUCCACUUUAUGAUAAAAAAAUUAUAAUAUAUAUAAAUCAUUCAUUCUAUAAUCUUGAACUUUAUUAAAGUUCCAAAAACUAUUACUCUAUAUGAUAUACUCGGGUGAUGUUAUUACACUAUUAUACAGUACAAAAUAUAUUUGUUUUCUUAAAUUUUAAUAAAGUCUAGGUCUUGGAGAGAAGCGCUUUAUAUAUAUGUAUAUAUAAUGAUUCUCUAGUGACGACAUCCUCAUUUUAACAAAGUGAUGAUAUCACUAACAAACUAAAUAACACACAUUUCAAUACACCAAUUGAUAAAAAAAUCCAGUUUUUAAUGUGUUAAAAUAUAUGUCUUUUGUAUAUUAUUGAUAUUUUCAUUUUAACAAAGUGAAGGUCUCCUCACUAUAGAAGUGCUUUAUAAAUAUUUUCUGUAUUUUUGUAAAAAUUAUUAUUUAAAAGUCAUAUCUUACCAAAGACUAAUAGUUUUUAUUUUAUCACUAUACUGUACUUUUCAAGAUAGAACACCUCAAUACCAUGACCUUAAUUUUGAACUCUCUUGUACAAAGUUGUUGGCGGGUCUAUUUAGUUUAGUCUUUCAACUAUUUGUCGUUUGAACUAAGAUGAUCCGAAUAAAGAUAUAUAUCAAUAAUUUCCUAGUGAAACUUCGGAAAAAUAUAAAAAUCCUCUCAUAUAGUAGCAUUAUUUUAAUUCUCAGCUUGAUUAUGUUUUGAGUUAACUUAUAAAUUAUUUGAAAUAAAAAGAAUAUAAUUUAUUUUUUCCAACGGAAUUUUUUAAAUAAUUUUAUUAGUUUAAUGAGUAAUUAUACACUUACAAAGUUAUGAUAUAAAAUUAUAUCCCUAAAUCCCAAUAAUAUGACACCAAUGAACUACUGCUAUGUGUUUCUUAGUAAUUAACUUUUUAUACUAUUAUUAAUGAGAUAAUUAACUUCAACACCAAUAUAAAAAUUUUAUAUUAAUACAUCCUCUAGCUUUAGACGUUACAGACUCUGUAUGUAACGCAGCAAAUGAGGAGCAUCCACGCGUUGCAGGAGAGAGGAAAAGUUGUUGGAAUUUAGCUGAUACAAGACUAAUUUCCAUUGAGCUGUUACAUACAGAGUCUGUAAGGUAGUUUUAUUAUCAAAUAAUCAUAUGUCAUAAUCGAACCAAGCUACCAGAGCCUACCACUAAAAGAGUGAUUGAAGGGUUUUCCAAGUUUGAAAAUGUUAGUAGCAUUGGCAAAUGGCAACUUCCAGGAAUCUUCCUGCUACAAUCAAGUUGAAUCAACUAUUCAGUGAAAUACGCAAACGGCACAUAGGACCCCGCCACCCGUAAAGUCACAAUCAUUUGUUUAUUUGUCAAUCAAGUUGAAUCAACUUGAAUAAAGCCUAAAAUCUAAUUUUUUAUUUCGUUCACUUCAAAUAGACCCCCCCCCCCCAAAAAAAGAGAUGUUGAAUAAAGCAUAAAAUCUAAUUUGAUUUUUAAUCUGAUUUAGCUAAGAUGUCGAAUUUAAGACUAAGAGCAAUGUUAAGGAUCCCAAUAAUUGAGUCCCAAGUGAUAUGGUAGUCAUUUAUUCUAUGAUCGAAAUAUUAAUUUUACUAAUUAUGAAAUUUAUUAUCUAAUGAAAAAAUCACACAUAUCAAUUGGGUCUCAAGUUAGAUUUCUACUAUUGAAAUUCCUAACAUUUUUCCAAUAUUUAAAAAUUCAUCAAAAUAAUAUCUAUUAUCUAAAAAAAUAAAAUAAAAAUCUAAAACCAUAUAUUUACUUUUCAAUCUUUGGCUGAUUUUUUUUUAAAGUUUUGGUUUCUUUAGAAGUGCAAAGAGAAAUAGUAAUAAGAUUAAAAAAGCAAUGAAGUAAAACUUUAAAAUUUUUAUUUCUUUAUAUUUUCAUCGGUCAUUUUACCGGUACUGGUUUGAUUUUCUGACUAAGCUACUGUUUAGUUCUAAGUCUUGGCAAUUACCCGGACUGCUCUGUUUUGUGUAUCUUCGACACAAUAAGGCUUAGCAUUUAAAAGUCGGCAGCCACGCAACUUCUUGGAAUCUUCGCGCAAGUGUUGGAUAUCGACUGUUCGAUAAUGAUGGCAGCAUUGGACUGGAGUGUAAUUGACGCAGUGGAAUAAGGAUCACAUGUCUCAAACUUCUGGCGAAGAUACUGUCAGAUAUUUUAUUGAUCAAGUAAGGAUCACAAAUAAUUGACGCAGUGUAAUUUGCUUUUUUUGCUACUGAUGUAAGUCUUGCAAUUAUUUUUAAAUAAUGAUAUUAUAAUUAAAAAUCAAGAAAUAUUUAUAAUACUUAAAGACUGAUUCAGAUUAUUAAUUCUUUUAUAUGACUUAAUUAUUAGCUGACAAAUAAUUAAAAAGUCAUGGAACAAUACUUUUAUUCUAAUAUGACACAACUUGUACUUUCAUUCCUAUGCUAAAAUAUAUCUAACUUAUUAAUAGUCAAGAAAUAUAUCUAUUCAACAUAUAUUUGUUAGAAAGAUUAUCUACUAAUUAAUCAUUCAGACAAGAUUACGAGUCUCAACAUAAAGAGUAAUGAUAUAAUCAUAAAUUUUUGUAUAAAUUUAUUUUGUAUAAAUUAAUAUGUCAUAAUAAGAUUGGUUAAAUUAAAUAUCACUUGACUCAUAUAAUUUAUUUUUAUUAUUUUAUAUUUUCAUUCAACUAAUGAAUUAAUGUCAUGUUAAUUUAUACAAAAAUAUUUAUACAAAAAUUUAUAGUUAAUUUAUACUCCAAAUUAAGAUAAAAAUUAAUACAUUGAAAUUCAGAACCCUUUUUUAUUUUUUUUUUCCUUCUGCAGUUUAAAAAGGAGUCGCCCACGAUUAUUGAAAUAAUUUUAUCAGAUUCGCUUGAAAGUAGUUUUACGAGCAAGCGGUUUUUCCCUCUUGAUCCCCGUAUUCGUCAGCUCCUACUCUUUGCCUUCAAUUCUCAGUCAAGAAAACCUCUCCUGAUUUUCGUCUUUUGAUCUCAUACACACUUUGCUUCUGUUCAUCGUGGUCGCUGCUCGUGCUAGCCGUUUUCUUAUUUAGCUUUGUUCCCUUUUGCCAUCAGCUCUUUGCUUUUUCAUUGGAUCAAGCAACCCUUUUCUUGAUUCAAUUUUCUGAUCUCAAAAACACUUUGAUUCUCUUCUGUUACACUGAUUUCCCCCUUGUUUUGUACAAAUAUAAUUUCUUUUUCCAAUUUUGCCUUGUUUUGCUUCUACUUGAUUAUCAAUUGCGCGGUCGUUGACCCUGUUCUAUUUCUAGUUCGUUCCCUUCCCCCCCCCCCCAACCCAAAAAAAAUGGACAUUUUGAAAAGCAUUGUAAACUGCUUGUCUCCUCACGCACAACGCGAAUUUAGUUAUUGGCAUAACUCCGCUGCCAACUUUGAGAAUCUCAAGGCAGAACUCGAUGGGCUCAAGGAUGAAAGAGAAAGCAUUCAGCGCAGAGUUUCUGAGGCUGAAAGAAAAAGUGAAAAGAUUGAAGAGAAGGUUGAGAAAUGGCUGGUUAAUGCGAACAAGAGCAUUGAGCAGGCAGCCAAAUUCAUUCAAGACGAAGAGAAAGCAAAUGAACGAUGUCUCAUGGGGCUGUUUCCUAAUUGGAUUACUCGCUAUCAGCAUGGAAAGAAAGCAGAAACAGAGAAGGAGGCCCUUUUUAAACUCCGAGAAGAAGCUGGGAGAUUUGAUAGAAUUUCCUACCCUACCAUUCCGGAGGAGAUUUGGCUCAAGUCUCACAAAGGCUACGAGGCCUUCGAAUCAAGACUUCCUACUUUGGAGGAUAUAAAAAACGCAUUAAUCAAUGUUAAUGUCAGCAUCAUUGGGGUGUACGGCAUGGGCGGCAUUGGAAAGACGACACUGGUGAAGGAGUUUGCAAGGCGAGCCAUUGAAGACAAGCUUUACGAUAUGGUGGCUUUUUCGGAGGUUACCCAAAGUCCAGACAUAAAAAAGAUCCAAGAGGAAAUUGCGGAAACGUUAGGCCUACAGUUGUCCGAGGAAGCUGAGUCUAGAAGAGCUGGUAGACUAUAUGAAAGAUUGAAGAAUGAGAAGAAGAUCCUUGUGAUUCUGGAUAACAUCUGGAAACCUCUUGAUUUGGGGACUAUUGGAAUUCCUUUUGGAGUUGAGCACAGAGGAUGCAAAUUAUUAUUCACAACAAGAGAUCUUGAUGUGCUGUUAAGGAUGGGAUCUGAAAAAAACUUGUCGAUUGGCAUUUUAAAUGAACAAGAAGCCUGGAGAUUGUUCAAGAUAAUGGCUGGUGAUUAUGUUGAAAAUCGUGAGUUAAAAUCUGCAGCAACAAGUGUAGCCAAGGCAUGCGGAGGUUUGCCUAUUGCCCUAACCACAGUAGCAAAGGCACUGAGAAAAAAAGAGCUGCCUGUGUGGAAGAAUGCCUUGCAAGAGCUCCAAACGCCUUCAGAGGCGAGCGUCGACGAAGGAGUACCAGCAGAGGCAUACUCAACAAUUGAGCUGAGUUACAAGUACUUAAGAGGUGAGCAACUCAAGAAAACUUUUUUACUGUGUAGUCUUAUUACGCCAGCACCAAUUAUGGACUUGUUCAAAUAUAGCAUGGGCUGGGGUGUAUUUAAAAGUGUCCACAAGCUAGAAGAUGCACAUAACAAAUUAGAUGCAUGGGUCCAUCAACUAAGAGACUCUUGUUUGCUGCUUGAGGAUGGUGGCAGUAAAUACUUUUCUAUGCACGACGUUGUUCGCGAUGUUGCCAUUUCAAUUGCAUGUCGUGACAAAAUUGGAUUUGUGGUGAGAAAUGGCCAAAUGCAGAUGAAUUAAAAAAAUAUCUUGCAAUUUCUUUAAAAGAUAGUAUUAUUAAUGACAUUCCUGAAGGGUCCGAAUCUCUACAACUUGAACUUCUACUCAUGUCUCCCAAGAACUCUUUUGCUGUGCCUAAUAUUCCUGAGAACUUCUUCAAAAGGACGAAAAAGCUUCGGGUUUUGGAUUUGACUAGAAUGCGGUUAUUGUCAUUGCCAUCUUCAAUUGGUCUUCUAGUAAAUCUUCAGACACUUUGUCUUAAUCAAACCAUUUUGGGAGGCAUAGACAUAGCCAUUAUUGGAAAGUUGGAAAAUCUAGAAAUCCUCAGCUUCGUGCGGUCUGAUAUGGUGCAAUUGCCCAAAGCACUUGGUCAACUGACUAAGCUAAGGCAGUUAGAUUUAACUGACUGUUUCCGUCUAAAAGUUAUUGCUCCAAAUGUCAUAUCAAGCUUAAUCCGAUUAGAAGAAUUGUAUAUGGGUAAUUGCUCCAUUGAAUGGGAGGUUGAAAGAGCGAACAGCAAAAGAAGUAAUGCUAGCCUUGAUGAAUUGAUGCAUUUACCUCGGCUAACCACUCUAGAAAUUGAUGUUAAAAAUGAGAGUAUGUUACCAGAAGGCUUUUUGGCCAGAAAGCUCGAAAGGUUCAAAAUACAUAUUGGAAAUGGGUUAUUCACACAUCCCAUGCUUUUUAGACAACAGUGGUUUAAAAGUCGGCAGCACUUUUGGAUCAACAGUAAACGCAAGAGUUUAAGAGCAUUGAAGCUCAAGCUUGAUUUUAUGGACAUUUGCUCCAUGAAAUUGCAGGGCAUCAAUAACGUUGAAUACUUAUGGUUGGACAAGCUGCAAGGCAUCGAGAAUGUUCUUUUCAAUUUGGACACGGAGGGCUUUUCACAAUUGAAGCUUCUCUGGGUUCAAAAUAAUCCUGACUUCUUUUGUAUCGUCGAUUCAAGGGAGAUGGUCGCUUGUGAUGCCUUUCCUCUUUUGGAGUCACUUAUCCUUCACAACUUGAUCAACAUGGAGAGGAUAUGUAUUGAUCGGCUCAAAGUAGAGUCUUUCAACGAACUCAAAAACAUAGAAGCAUAUAAUUGUGAUAAAUUGAGUAAUAUCUUUUGGCUCUCUACUACAAAAUGCCUUCCAAGACUUGAGAGAAUUGCAGUUAUUAAUUGCAGCAAGAUGAAAGAGAUUUUUGCAAUUGGGGAAGAAGUUGAUAAUGCAAUUGAGAAGAUAGAGUUUGCUCAAUUAAGAUCUUUGAGUCUGGGGAAUCUUCCAGAGGUUACAAGUUUUUGCCGCGAGGUGGAGACUCCUUCAGCAUCACCAAACAGACAAGUGUCGCAAGAGGAAUCGACGACUAUGUAUAGCUCCAGCGAAAUCACUUUGGAUAUUUCAACUCUGCUUUUCAACGAGAAGGUGCGUAGGCUAACAGAUUUUAUUCUAUCAUGCGUUCUGUUUUGAUGUCAUACGUGGAAAAUAAUUAAAUCAUUUAAAGAAUUGAAAGAAAAUGGAAAAAAGGAUAAAAAGAAUCUCACGCGCUCACUAAUUGAGCUCUUAACAAGUAGUAUGAAUUAGAAUGCAUACUCAGCUGUCAGUUGGAAAUUGAUUCUGACUUGCAUUAAUUUGUAAUCAAAGAAGAAAAUUUCAACAAGUGCUUCCCAUAUGGAUAUUGGAUCUAACGAGAAAUUCUUAUUUUUUUAGGUAGUGUUGCCUAACUUGGAGGCUUUGGAGAUAUCUACAAUUAAUGUCGACAAGAUUUGGCACUACAAUCAUCUUCCGGUCAUGUUUCCUCGCUUUCAAAAUUUAACACGAUUGAUUGUAUACUGCUGUAUCAAAUUAAAAUACAUAUUUUCAGCGUCUAUGAUCGGAAGCCUGAAGCAGCUCCAACACCUAGAAGUAUGCUUAUGUGAGGAUUUACAGGAGAUCAUUUCUGAAAACAGAGCAGAUCAAGUGAUCCCUUAUUUUGUCUUUCCACAGCUCACCACUCUGAGACUCCAAGAUCUACCAAAACUUAGAUGUUUGUACCCUGGAAUGAAUACUUUGGAAUGGCCCGUGCUAGAAAUUCUUUUUGUGUAUGGUUGUGACAAAUUAAAGAUAUUCGCUGCAGAUUUAUCGCAGAAUAAUGAGAAUGAUCAACUUGGUAUUCCUGCACAACAGCCCCUAUUGCCGUUGGAAAAGGUAUGAAGUCAUUUUCUAGAUUUUUUAUCAAUAGCUUAUUUUUAACUUUGAAAAAUAUGACAAAGUAUCGAUAAAUUAAUACUCAAUAAAUUAAAAACUUUUAUUAUACAAUAAUCUUUGCUAGUCUAGACUAAGGGAUCAAUGUCGUAGAUUAAUAAUUAUAUGAACUGUUUUAGGUAUAGCAUUUAUAAAAGAAUCCUUAGUCUUUCCAUAUAGAAGAACUUACAAAAUAAAUUAGUAAUUUAUUAUUGUGCAAUAAAAUAAUUUCGAGCCAGUAUAAAUCAACCUUUUUUCCCUAAUUUCUUUUUUACCUCUAAAAUUAACAUAUAAAAUAAAUUUUAUCAAUAAUUCAAUUUUUUUUAAAAAUAUAAUAUAAAACAAAUACUAUAAAGUCACUGCAUGUGACCGUAGAUCAUCAAUUGACCUCAUUAGUUAUUAUGAUUGAUGAUGAUCAGAUCGUACCCAACUUGAAGAAACUAUCACUAAGUGGAAAAGAUGUGAAGAUGAUUUUGCAGGCCGAUUUUCCACAACACCUUUUUGGCAGUCUUAAACAACUAGAGAUUGUUGGAGAUGACUCAGCUUGUUUUCCAAUCUGGAACGUACUGGAGAGAUUUCACAAUCUUGAAAUGCUCAUACUGCGUUAUUUUUCAUUCAACGAAGAGGAAUUUUCGAAGGAAGGAUGCUUAGAGAAACAUGUGGGGAAGUUGGCAAUGAUAAAAGAAUUACAGCUGCACGGGCACGAUCAUCUUGAGCAGCUGUGCAAACAAGACUCCAAACUUGGCCCCAUUUUUCAGUAUCUUGAAAUUCUAGGAGUAUAUUAUUGUCAAAGUGUGUUAAUUCUAUUGCCAUCAUCAUCGGUAUCUUUUCGGAACCUAACAGAACUUGUAGCUUUCGGUUGCAAGGAAUUGAUACACUUGGUAACAUCCUCCACAGCAAAAACUCUAGUGCAACUCGUCACAGUGAGUAUACAUGGAUGCAGAGCAAUGACAGAGGUGGUAAUAAAUGACAAAGAUGGAGUUGAAAAAGAAGAGAUUGUUUGCUGCAAAUUGAAGAUGUUGGGACUGUUUGAUUUAGAUAGCCUCACAAGUUUCUGCUCUGCCAAUUACACCUUCAAAUUCCCAUCUUUACAAGAUUUGAAUGUGAUUGGUUGUCCCAAGAUGAAGAUUUUCACUACAGGAGAAUCAAUCACGCCUCCAAGAGUAAAUGUCUGGUAUGGAGAGACAGGGGAUCGAUUGCUUUGGACCAAUAAUGAUCUCAACACAACCAUACAACAAUUACAUGCUGAAAAGGUACGGAUAUACAUAGUACUCUCUAUCUCCCAUGGAAACAUUUUACAAAAUUUUUAUUUUAAUAAAAUAUAGAUAAGAUAUUUGUUAUAAAGUAAAAGUUUAAAUUGAUGAAUAAGAAUUUUAUUUUCAGCUGUUGGCGGUGCAGUCGGCGAUCUCUACCCAUUACUAAUUUCAUAGGCUUCUUAUGACUUGGGAGUUGUGAAUUUUUAGAAGAAAGCCUCAGCUGGUAAUUAAUUUUUAUUUCAUUUAUUUGAUCUCAUGGCUUGUUUCGCAAUUUCAUCUGAAUUAUUUAGAAUGGGUCAAUCGGCUUACUGUUAAAUUUGGAAUGCAAUUUUAAUGAUUCGUUCAGACUUUUGUGGACAGAUUUUGCAUCAUUGAAUGUCUUCUAGUCUAGUUUAAUUUGAGUAUUUUUUUCUUUUUUUCUAAAAUUUUAUAAUUCCUUGCAUACUUUGUAUGAUAAAAUUUCAUAAAAAGCCUUCAUAUUUUAUAAUUCCUUGAAAACAUCAUUGUUGUUCUGUUAUUUUAGUUUGUUCAUUUGGUUUGGUUUGCUUCACCCCUAUCUUUCUUUGGAAACUUUUUGUUUUUUUUUUUAUGAUCUUUCCAAAUGCUCUUUCCUAUGAACACAUAAUUAAGAACAGCUGAAAAUCAUUCAUCGGAUAAAAAAUUAAAAAUAAACAAAAUCUAAUCAGAGCAUUAUGCCUAGAACAAAUCCUUAGACCAUCAAAGCCAAACUCUUCGCUAUGAAAAACUAUAUUGUGGAAAUAUUGUUUGAAAACGUUGGACACCAAGAAAGGGACUAAUUUGGUCUAGUUUUAUGAGAAGUAUAGAAGAACGUUGUUUUCUCUGUUUUUCCUGUUAGAACUCUUUACUCUAUGAUUGUAGAAUGUCUGGAUACUGAUGAAGAUUCAGGUAACUCUUCUCCUGUGCAUCAUUUGAAAUAAGUUUUUUUUUUUUUUUUUGGUAAUAUCUCCUACUGGGUUAUAGUUCAUACAAAGAGAAAUUCUUAAAUCAAGCCGGAUACUGGUAGAAACAAGUGGGGAAGUAGGCACUGAUAAAAUGGUUAAUCCUGUCCAGACUUAAUCAUUGAAGCAACUCCAAAUUGGACUCCAUUUUAAAUAUUUUGACAUUCUAAGACUAUUUUACAAGCAUUUAAUGAAUGAAAGUCUAGUGCAGCUCGUAACAAUGAAGGUAGCUGGAUGCAGGGCAAUGACAGAGGUGGUAAUAGGUGACGGAGAAGAAGAUGGAGCACCAAAUUUACUUUAAAUUAAUGAAUGAAAGAAUUUAUUUUCUGCUGUUGGAGGAGUCGUCAUCUCUCUCGACAUAGUAUACGAUAUGUUUUGAUCCCAUAGGCUUUUUAAUAUAUUACCUUGUGUUGUUUGAUCUCUAGGUUUAUUUUAUCGUUUCAUCUUAUUAUUUGCAAUGCGUCAGUUGGUUUAUUUGUUAAUUUUGGAAUGAAGUUGAGCGGGUAUCUAUUCGGCAAGAAAUUCUGUUUAUUUCCUAGUUAUUUUACAAAGUUUAAGAGAUUUUCUUAUUUUUCUUAUUAUUUUCAAUAUUUUUAUAUUUUUUCUCUAAAUAUAAGAUUUUAAGUAUGAUUUAUUUUAUUUUUCUUAUUUCAGUUAGGAGAACGUUAUUAUGUAAUAAUAUUUUAAGUUUGCCUAUUUUGAUAAAUACAUAAUACUUAGAAUUUGUGUAAAAAGGGUCCAAUACCCUAAUUUUGUUAUUCAAACUUCUAUUAAUAAAAUUUCAGACUUUUUAAAAAAAAUUCUCUAUAUUUUCAAUCUCAACAUCUAUGUUUCCCUUUCAUCAUAAGUUUUAAUGUCUGGUUCUGAGCUAGCUUUAUGUGCAUAUUAAACAUCAUUGAAGGUCUUUUGAUCUAAGUUGUGAUCAAAAAAUUAUGCUCGCUUCUGUCUGGUCGUAUGAAAAUUGUGCAAAAUAAUAUUCUUAUAUAAUUUUUAUCCUCCAUUGUUACAAAAUCCCAAGCUUCGAAUUUGUAAACUUUGAAAGCAUGGCAGAAAACUUAGUACUUAAUAAGGCUCUGGAAUAAGACUCUUUAUGGCUUCAAUAUUUUAUUUAACAUGAAAAUUUCUUUCUAACUAGCAUCAUUGCGAAGAUAAAUUGUGGUAGUUCUGACAAGUACUGCACAAUUAAUGUUACCAGCAAUCAAUUGUUGUGAGCACCGACAACCAUUUUCAUAUUUAAGCCUUAAGAACAGUAACUCAAAAUAUGGCAAGUGGCAACCACAUCAAAUAAUCAAAUUGUUGAUAGAUUUAGAGAGCUUUAAUUUGCUUGAUAUAUAUUUGAAUAUUUCAACAGAUGCAUCUUUUCUCUACUCACGGGGCACGUUGAGUUAGAAACGGUUUGAAUGUCAAUAUUACUCCAAGUGCCUCAACCAAAUUCAGAAUGAAAAAAACCAUCUGGUUACCUGCACUUUAGUUUAAGCAGCUGAUUAAGUUAGUUAGCACCAAGUAAUUCACAUACUGGUGAGAAAUUUCAUUAGUAAAUCAUCAUACCGGGGAGGAAACCAGCAUCUUGACGCUUUUGUGACCAAGAAAAUCUGCACAACCCGAUUAAUCAAGUUGUUACCAAACAAAUGAUCAAUUUAAUCAUGCCUUAAUUUUUUCUUUUUUUUUUUUUGUGCCGGGGGGGGGGGGGGGGGGGGGGGGGGGAAUAAAAAUCGUAACUUCAUUUACAUAUAAUUUUACAAAAUCAAUAGGACACUUACGGAGCACCUCCUACAGUCAUAGCAAGUCCAUUGGCAGCUCCUCUUUGAUGCUGUUCCCGUUAUUGUGGCAUAAACCAACAAAUUAAAUUUAAACUUUGACACAUACAAAAUUUGAUAAGGCUGAAAUCAUGGAAAUGUACUAAACAAAUAAAAGAAAAAAAUAUUUACCACUGCUCUGUUUUGAAGAAGGAAUAAUCCAGUUAUUAUAGCCACCUGAUGUUACAAUUCAGGAAAAGUAAAAAAGAAUUACAAGAAUUCUAAUAAAAAAGACAUAAAAUAAUUUUAUACAUACUUGCUGAUGGAUAAUAUAACCUACGUAUAUGGAUCAAUGAUUAGGAUAUCCACUUACAGAUAAAACAUUCUUCAUCACAGAAGCACAGUUUAUCAAUAAGGCAAGGCUGAACCCAGAUAACAUUGCUAUAAAAGUGUAACUUGUCAAAAGCGCCAUCGAUAAAACCUGUACACACAUAGAAAAUUAUGGGACCAAAACCAUGAAGAAAAGUGUUUUAUAAACAAAUAUGUUUGAAACAAACUAUCAAAUGGUCUAAAUGCCACAUGGUGUGUUCAAAAUUUUACCCCUGCAAUGCGUGUUAUGAUUAUUGGCCCAAUGAUCCUCUCGACGUAAGGGUAUAGAGUGAGUUGAAAAAUAAGGAGGCUGAAUCUUGUAGUAAGUUCAAAAUGAGGACAAUCAUCAAGCAUGUGAUGGUGUCAAUGUAGUCAUUAUAAGAGAAGCGAAAGUUAUAUUUUAUAGUCUCACCAAUAAGAAAAUUUGAAGUUAUGGGAGAGUUGCUAUUACAUGUACAAUUCAGCCUGAAAAGAGAGCUAAAGGCUACGUACCGGAAUCCAGCAAGAAGCAAUAGUUACCGCAAAAGCAAAGAGUGACAUACAGAGACAGGGCAGAGAUGAAUUCAGUCAGCUGAAUCAAUUGAAGAGUGAAGUGCCAGCUCAGCUGAAGUUAGUUAGACACGUUUAGAUCAUAUUCAGUUAGUUUCUUCAUUUUCUGUUAAGCUGUAAACAGCUGAGUAUAAAUACAAGCAUCUUGUAAUCAUUGAAGUUUUAAGCAAAAUAAAAUAAAGCAUUUGAUUUCAUAAGUCUUUUACAAUUUUCUCAGCACUUGAAAAUACAUUUUCUCAGUAACCAAACAGUCUAUUCAUUCAAGCUUUUAAGCUUUCAAACAUGGUAUCAGAGCCAUACAGAGCUAGUUCCAGUAAUCAACAGUCAAGCUUUCGUAAUCAAACAACAAACAACACAAAUCAACCUACUCAAAUCAACUUCUCUUUUACUAAUCCUAUCAAGCUAGAUCGAUCAAAUUACUUACUCUGGCGUUCUCAAGUUCUAGCUUCAAUAAGAGGCAAUCGUUUGGAAGAUUUCGUCAUAGGAGACAGAUCAGUACCUGAUAAGUGUCUUCUGUUAACUGAAGCAGAUGGAUCUAUACAACAAAUUGAAAAUCUAGAAUAUCAGAUCUGGAGAUCACAGGAUUAGACACUUCUUGAUUGGCUACUGUCGUCAUUAAGUGAAGGUAUCUUAAGUCUUGUUAUCAAUUCUGAGAGUUCUUUUGAUAUAUGGAAAACUUUGGAAAAGAAAUUUGGAGUUCAAUCUAAAGCUCGACUGCUUCAGCUCAUAUAUGAACUAAACACUAUUAAAAAGGAAGCUCUUAGUGUUGAAGAUUAUUGUAUUAAAAUGAAAGCAAUAGCUGAUAAGCUGGCCAGUGCUGGUAGUUCCAUUACAGAGAAGGAUCUUAUGUUAACUAUUCUUAAUGGAUUAGGACCAGGAUAUCGUGAUAUUGCUACAUUUAUAACUGGUUCACAAAUGGAAUUUGAUGAUGUUUAUGCACUGUUACUCACUCAUGAGACUAGAUUAGAGCAGGAGCAAGGUGACAAAAGUAUGUUUAAUGCAAACUAUGCAUAUACGAAUGCAUAUUAUCCUAGAGCUUAUUUUGCACAGCCUAGAGGAAGUUUUAAACGAGGAGGUUAUUCUGGUGGUAGAACUCCUUUCUUUGGCAGAGGAAAUAUGAAUUACUCUCCAAGAAUGUUUAAUGGAGGUUUUAAAAAUGGAUAUGGCAGAGGAUUUUUUUCCUGGAAACAACUGAUUUCAAUCAUUUUCCAGCUCCUAGGAAUCCAGUACCUAGGAACUCAUCUUUUCUAACUAGAAAUGGAUCUGCUAACAUGAGUGGAUCACAAGGAAGUUUUAAUAAUGCUGGGGAGCUGGUAUGUCAGAUUUGCUUUAAGAGUGGUCAUACUGCUGAUGUCUGUUGGCAUAGAUUUGUUGAAGACUUUGUACCUGUUCCAAGAGGUUUUGGCAGGGGAAAAACACCAAGAGCAGCAUAUUUCUCAAACUUUGAUGGCUCUACUUCUAAUCCAGAUUUUGGCUAUGAAAAUCUUAAUAAUAUGUUUCCAGGUUAUGAUUCUAUGUCUGGCAAUAGUUAUUAUUAUGGAAUGGAUAGAUACACUUCUGGAGCAGCUGGAACAGCCUUUAUGGCUAAUUUUGAAGGAACUGCUGAUGAUGGAUGGUAUCUGGAUAGUGGGGCAACUCACCAUUUAACCAACAACAUGGAGAAUUUGCAGAUCAAUGAAGAGUUUAAAGGUACUGAUCAGCUUAUCAUUGGAAAUGAUCAAGGUUUGUCUAUUACUCAUGUUGGACAUGCAUUUCUGGUGUUAAGAGCUUCUAAAUCCUUAUCUACACAUGCUAGAAUAACACUUAAAGAUAUGUUACUUGUUCCUUCAAUUACCAAAAAUCUAUUAAGUAUUUCCAAACUCACAUCUGAUAAUCCUGUAUAUGUUGAAUUCUGUGGAAAUGUUUGUUUUGUGAAGGACAUGAAAGGUCAAGUUCUUCUGCAGGGUAUUGCUGAAAAAGGCCUUUACAAGCUGCUGCUGAACUCCAAUUCUCUUUCUUCAUCACCUACAUCCUAUCUUUGUAAAUCCCAGCCAAAUAAACCAGUUUCUAUGUUAUCUGCUUUCAAACACUGUGAUAAUGGUACUCGAGCUUGCUAUCAGUCUGUUUUAAAUAAGUGUAAUGCCAAACCUGAUAUAAUAACUUUGUUACAUAGAAAGUUUGGUCAUCCAAGCUCAAUGACAUUGGUGCAUUUGCUUAAAUCAUGUAAACAAUUUAAAGUCUCUUCAAAAGACAUGUUAUCUUCUGCAAAUACUUUAUGUGAAGCAUGUCAGCUAGGCAAAGUCCAUAAGCAACAUUUCUCAAUAACCGAAACAAAAACAAAAGGGGUAUUAGAAUUGAUCCAUACUGAUCUUUGGGGGCCUUCACCCACUAUGUCUAGAGAUGGAUACCAAUACUACAUUAGUUUUGUGGAUGAUUAUACUAGGUACUCUUGGAUCUAUCCUCUUAAGCUCAAAUCACAAGCAUUUGAAGUUUUUAAAUUGUUCAAAACUCAAGUUGAGAAUCAAUUUGAUACCAAAAUUAAGAUGCUACAAUCUGAUCUUGGGGGAGAGUUUAGAGUGUUUACUGAUUUUCUUAAUCAAAAUCGAAUAAUUUUUAGACACUCAUGUCCUUACACCCAUCACCAGAAUGGUCUUGUUGAGAGGAAACACAGGCAUAUAGUUGAGCUAGGCUUAACUCUCAUGGCUCAAGCAAACCUUCCUCUUCAAUUCUGGUGGGAAGCUGUUCAUACAGCAGUGUAUCAUAUUAACAGAUUGCCUACCCCUGUUAUGAAAUUCUUAUCUCCUUAUGAGAAACUUUUCAAACACAAACCAGAUUACACAUUCCUGAAGUGUUUUGGUUGUCUUUGCUAUCCAUACUUGGGAGAUUUUAACAAACAUAAGUUUGAUUUUCACACUUCUAAAUGCAUCUUUAUUGGAUACAAUCCCUCUUACAAAGGAUACAAGUGCUUAGCAAGUUCUGGUAAAGUCUAUGUUCUUAGACAUGUUAUUUUUUAUGAAAACACAUUCCCUUAUCCAAUAAACACUACAUCUCACUCAUCAGAAAACCCCAUAUCUUCUUAAACCUCAGUGUCUAAUUUCUCUCAACAACAUAUCUAUCAUCUUUCUACAAUGGCCUUACCCAACAGCAGCUUUGAAGGUCUUCAGUCAGCAGGCUCAGCAAGAAAUGAACAAAUUCCCUUUGUUCCCACACAUACAAAUAUUCUGAAUCAACAAGAACAUCCAUCACACACAUCUUUAGAGUUAUCAUCCUCAACCUCACCAUCACCAAACACAUUACCACUACAAUCAUCCAUUCUACAACCAGAGGAAAUUUCUAUUCCACAGAACACAGACCAAAUUCAAACCAGAAGUCAUUCUCAACCAUCUUCUCAUCCAAUGAUUACAAGAUCAAAAUCUGGAAUCUUCAAACCAAAGGUUUAUACAGUCACCUUAGCCAACAAAGAACUAAUACAGUUCAAGAAGCUCUUAGCAGUCAGAAUUGGCAUCAGGCCAUGGUAGAUGAGUAUGAAGCUUUGAUAAAGAAUGAGACUUGGUCACUAGUACCAUUUUCAAAUGCAUACAAAGUAGUUGACAACAAAUGGGUGUUUAGACUCAAGCAAAAUACUGAUGGAAGCAUAGCCAAACACAAGGCCAGGUUGGUUGCCAAAGGUUUUCAGCAAAUUGAAGGUGUAGAUUACUUUGAGACUUUUAGCCCAGUUGUAAAAGCUUCAACAGUAAGGAUUGUUUUGAGUUUAGCUGUGAUGCAUAAAUGGAAAAUAAGGCAAGUGGAUGUGAAUAAUGCCUUUUUGAAUGGAGAAUUGACAGAAGAUUUCUAUAUGGAUCAGCUUGAAGGUUUUAUUGAUCAACAAAAACCCAAUCAUAUAUGUAAGCUGAAGAAGGCCUUGUAUGGCUUGAAGCAAGCUCCUAGAGCUUGGUAUGACAAGCUUAAGAAUUGUCUGAUUGCUACUUGGAAAUUUCAGAAUUCAAAGGCUGAUACCUCUCUCUUUUUCAAAGAAGUGCAAGGCUCAAUGACACUUAUCGUAAUCUAUGUUGAUGACAUUCUAAUAACAGGACAUGUUAAUGAUGAGCUGGAAAAAUUCAUCUCAGAAUUCAGUAAGACUUUUGCCUUAAAAGACUUGGGAAUUCUAUCAUAUUUUCUGGGGAUAGAAGUUUCCUAUGUUGAAGACUGCAUCUAUCUAUCUCAGAAGAAAUAUAUCUUGGAUUUGUUAUCCAAAGCUGAUAUGCAGAAUUGUAAAGGCUGUGACACUCCCAUAGUUACUGGAUCAAAGCUUCAGAAAGAGGUCAAAGGCUGUUUGGCUCAAUAUAUUGAGGAUGCAACAAGCUAUAGAAGCUUAGUUGGAGGUUUACAAUAUCUGGUAUUAACCAGACCAGAGAUAACAUUUGUUGUGCAUAAGUUGAGCCAAUAUGUGACAGCUCCAACACUCCAGCAUGUUAUGGCUUGUAAAAGAGUUCUCAGAUACCUUAAGGAAACUAUAGAUUAUGGUUUGAAGUUUUCAGCAGGUGGGGAAAUGAAGAUCACAGGAUUUACAGAUGCAGAUUGGGCAUGUGAUGUUGAUGACAGAAAAUCAAUAGGAGCAUAUUGCAUCUAUUUUGGAAACAAUCUAAUUUUAUGGUCAUCCAAGAAGCAGGCUGUGGUUACACGAUCCAGUGCAAAGAGUGAAUAUCGUGCUCUGGCUUCUGCAAGUGCAGAGAUAACAUGGAUCCAGUCAUUAUUCAGUGAACUUAGCAUUAAGUGUACUUCAUUACCAACUAUCUGGUGUGAUAAUAUAAGUGCAACAGAGUUAGCUAAGAAUCCAGUUUAUCAUUCAAGGACUAAACACAUUGAACUAGACAUGCACUUUAUUAGAGACAAAGUUUUGGCAAAGGAGUUGGAGAUUAACUAUAUUCCCAACGAGGAGCAAAUUGUUGAUGCUUUGACAAAGCCUCUGACAUUCAUUCACUUCAAUUAUUUCAGGGCCAAACUCAAUGUGCAACCAUGCCCUUGAGUUUGAGGGGGGCUGUCAAGGAAGCUCAUAAUGCAUGGAAGGAUGCAGCACACGUGUGAGAUGAAUGCAGUCAGCUGAAUCAAUUGAAGAGUGAAGUGCCAGCUCAGCUGAAGUUAAUUAGACACGUUUAGAUCAUAUUCAGUUAGUUUCUUCAUUUUCUGUUAAGCUGUAAACAACUGAGUAUAAAUACAAGCAUCUUGUAAUCAUUGAAGUUUUAAGCAAAAUAAAAUAAAGCAUUUGAUUUCAGAAGUCUUUUACAAUUUUCUCAGCACUUGAAAAUACAUUUUUUCAGUAACCAAACAAUUUGUUCAUUCAAGCUUUUAAGCUUUCAAACGGGCAGGAAGUAAGGAAACCUGCAUAAAUUUGUUUUUCAGAAUACCAUCAUUUUGAAAGUACUACAGAAAAAGAAAAGGCUAAUGGCAGUAAAAAUUCACUUACUUUCCAAACAUAGAUUCUUUGGAAAAUGCCUUUGGAUAUUUCUCUGCUGGCUAGAUUGCAAAAUUAUCCACGAAUAUAUAUAAGAACAAUAUUUAUCAAGCCAAACUACUAAAAAUUCAAAAAAAAAUGCCCAUAAUAAUCAAGUAAAAAUUGCAGAACCCGGGCCAGAAAGCCACCCACUGCAGGGCCAAUAAUCAAUCCUGUGCCCCAUGCUGUACUGAGCUGAAAUUAUAUUGUACCUAAAAAUGUAACUUUUAGAGUCUCUAGCCACUGAUGAGGACACGUCUUUUGUCUGCUAGCGGAAAGCGCGUGACGGCAUGUUUUUUGUCAGAGCCUAGAGACGAAGAGGGAAGGAAAAAAAAAUAUCAUUAAUUUUUUUUCCUCUCUCGGUGGGCCCCACGUAAGGUGGGGCUUUGGUUUUUGUCGCAUUCUGUGGAGGGUGUAUAUCUAAAUCAACCCCUUGAAUACGGACACGUGUCGAUCUCAGAGAAACUCACGUUUUGUUGUUGGGACCCAUUAAUUCCCGUAAAAGUCCUAUUCUUAAAACAAGUCGAUACGAUGAUCAAUACUCCGCCUGUGGGUCCCGGCGACGACCCCCUACGCUGGGCAGUACAACACUCAAAAAUCGCCACGUGUUAUAUUUUAAAAAGCUUUGGGGGAGCGAAUCGAUAGAUUUUUUCUUUUCGUGACAAAGCACGCGGGGGGGGGGGCCUCCCUGGUGGAUUUGCCCGCCGUUGAUCAAUUUGUUUGAUGAUAAAGAUUCAAGCAAUCAUACACGAACUUGAUUCAAUGGAGCUUCAAAAGAUUGGCAUUGCAGUGAAGUCCUGAGUCUUCUACUCAUCUUUUAACAACCUUUGCAGAAGCACAACAACAGGGACAAAUUCUGCAUAAUCGGGAAAAGAAAAAUCAGAAGACGUCAUAUUGAAAUGCAUUCAUAUUAAUUUGACAAGAAGAGAAUCAAACGCAGACCUCGUUAAAAAUCUUGUAUGCAUACGCAUAUAAGAGAAGUUCAAUAAUUGCGACGCAGGAUCAUUGCCGAAGCAUUAAACAAAUACGAGGCAGAGAAAGAGGAGCUCUGAGGAAGAGCGUGUUAGUGUGGUAAUACAAUAUCCUCGAUGCUUGCUGAAUGGUGGACAGUGGCGUUGGAAUAUCAUCUAAUAAAAGGAGAGAAAGAGGUGGCAACUGGCAAAGUGGGUGAGUGAAAGUUCAAGGCUGAAGCGGUUGGCUAAACUUUGUUAAAAAGAUGCACAUAUUGAUAAUAAUAUACGACCGUACGUUGUCUGUUAACUUGGAACUCUUUAGCAUUUAAGCGAGUCUCUCUCUCUCUCUCUCUCUCUCUCUCUCUACGAUUGGGAAUUGGGAUUUCGGAUCGGGAUCUACCGUAUUCUCCGUCUAUCCUAUGCAUGUCAUCAUACAUCAGUAAGCGUGCGUGCCUCUGCGUCUCCCCCUCUCCUUUUUACACAACUAUUUACCGUUACUAUUUCUUUGUCAAUUCCCUUAUUUCGUGGUACUUGUAAUAAGACGAAAUUAACAAAGGAAGAAAAUGCUAAGGUACUUCAUUAGGCACAUUUCUCAUGCGUACUUGAAAGUAAUCAGAACCGUUGAUCUUUCCCCGAUGGGCCACCCACUGCAGGGCCAGUAAAAUUUUCUCAAGACCUUUGCAAUCAUACACGAACUUUGCAAUCAUACAUUCCUAAAGUUUGGUGUUUAUGGCGCAAUAUUUCACAUGCAUAUGCCUGGUGUAAGAGAAGUUUGAGCACAAAUAUUUGCAAGAAUUAAAUUGGAAUUAUCAACAAAUACCCCAAUCAAUACCUUUAUUGCUCCAAGUAAACCAUUCAAAGCCCCAAGGAGAAACCUUGUAGCUAUGGCCAUCCAGAAAUUCACACUAAGCCCAAAGAGAGUGUUAAAAAUAACCCUGUGAGCAUUUUAAGACAAAUAAGAAACCCAGAAAUUGCCAACGUAUCAUCAAUUUCAAGCUUAAUCAUUUGAAAAUAGAGGUCACUAACAAUGUGAUGCAUCCUAUUAUUAUUACAGGCUUUCGACCGAAGCGGUCAGCUCCCAUUCCCCACAAAAAAGAUGUUAAAGCUCUGCCAAGCAUGUAUGAAGACCCUUCAAUUUCAUCAAGGUAUUAAGAGGUUUGUCAGGAUGGCUUCUUGAGGAAUUUGAAAUGUUACAUACAUAUAUGUUAAUUAUUUGUCAGGAUGGCUUCAAUUUCAUCAAGGUAUAAAGGCGCAAGUCUGCAGUGUAAAACCCUUGUACAGUACCUUUACAGUGUCGUAAAGCCCUCGGUAGAAUGUUUUUACAGAGUUGUAAAGGCGCGAGUCUGCACAUUUGUACCAAAAAAGGACUCCAUACCAUGUGUCAUUUAUUAAACACAAUAAAAUUAUAAAAAUACAUAAAUUAACUCACCCACGUAACCAGCAUAGAAUCCAAUAUCUUCCUCCCUUUUUGCAAUGUGAAAAUCCCUAAUCUGAAAAGAAAUCAUAACAUACUGUUGUGAAAAAGCAAUGAAUUGUUUGAUAGAUAAAACUUGUCUUUUCUUAUAUUUCUAAGAAAAUCAGCAAGCAUGAUAGAAAAAUAUAAAUUUUCUCACUAGUAACUACUCUGGUGAAGGCAACAACAGUCCACUCACCAUAAAAUAAAGAAAGGGAAAGAGAGAUGCGACCGGCAGAACUGAAAAAAAAAAAAUCACCAAAGAAUUAAGGACAAAACUAGAAGAGCACAAUAGGCCAAAAUCAUUGUAAAUGGUUCUCUCAAAAAUCAUUAUAUCGAGUUGAAGUUGAAAAAUUUACCAGUUGCAAGCACAACAAUCUAAAUUAUAAAAAGCUUGCGAAUUGGUAAGCCUCGUUCCGACUCUUUAAGCUUAUCAACCUUACAGCCUGAGCAGUUCUCAUAAUAUUUCUUCUUCAGCAGCGGCUCUCUCACUUUCGCCUCCGCCAUACUUGAAAAAUUUUCAGCUCAAGUAAUCGUCUUAGUCUAUGCAAUCCAAUUUCAAUGCCUAAAUAUAAGUACUAGAAAAUAAGUAACAAAAUCAAUAUGCUUAAGGAUAUAGUAGAACUAUAUAAGUGAUCAUUUAAAGAAUUUUCAAUAGAAUUGUAAAAUCAGUUGAUUUUGCAGCUGGGUCUGUCACCACCAUGGUAAUUAAAAUUAUUGGAUCCCAUGUAAAACAAAAUUUUUUCAUUACAUGCCCUCAUUGCUGACGUCCAAUUAAUCAUUACUCUUGUGAGAAUAAUUUUUGGUGACAAGAACGGCGGCAUCCUAGGACGUGACAAAAUAGUCACAAAAAUCCCUUAUUUUAAAAAAUGAUCAUGAAAAUUUAUCCACGGACACACAAAUUCAGGAUCUAUGUAACUAUUUUUAAAUACAAAAAGAGGUCUAUAUAUAUAUUUGAAAAUAAGGGAUAUUCAUGAUUACCAUGUUAAGCCACGAGAUGUCGUGCUGUUUUUUUAUUUUUCAUUAAAUCGUUGUUACACAAUUCGACAUGUAAAAGUAAUUUUUUUUUUUUGAGAGAUGGUAACAAACAUAGUGACAAAACUAUCAAAGUACCGUCUAAUGAUGAAACUAAUUGUUAAUUAAUUAAUAAAAAUACUAAGGUGACGUUUGUUUUUUAACUUAAUGACUUAAAGUGACUUAACUUAAUUAAUUAAGUUAAUUAGAGGUGUUUGUUUUUAUAACUUAAUGAGACUUUUUAGAUAAUUUUGACUUAAUAAAAUAAGCCAAUUUUUUUAGUUUUUUACUUAAUGGAGAAAUUUGAAUUAAGUCAAUUACUUACUAAUGUCAAAAAUAUCCAUGUUUUAUAAUUUAUUUUUCAUGUCUAUCCCAAAACUCACCCAUAGACAUUUAUCCCACAUAAAAAUAUCCUUGUUUUUUCUUUCUUAUAUUAUAUAUGAUAAAAUUUAAAAUUUAUGGUAUUUUAUAUAUAUAAAUUCCAAAAUAAUUAUGUAUUCACUUGAAUAUAGUUUUACUUAUAAAUGUUAAAAUAUUGUGGUAUUUAAUAUAUUAUUUAUUUGACUUUCAAAUUUAAUAAGGAUACAAAAGUAAAAGUACAUAUUUUCAGUUGAAAAAAACAAACAACUUAAUACUUAUUUUCUGAGAUUCAGACGAAAAAACAAACAUGUUAUUUAGAUUCAGACAUUCAGAUCUAUUCAGAAUUCAGACUAAUUCAGGUCUAUUCAGAUUUCAGACAAAAAAACAAACGCCACCUAAGUGAUUGUAGCAGUUCCGGUCACAGUCACAGUCAAAUACAAUUAGGAUAAUUUAAUUUAAAUAAUGUGUAAUUUAGCGUUAGCCCCAAUUGUUUUGACAUUUUGCAUUGUGCCCCCCAAUCUUCCGACCAUGUCCACCACCCUCAUUUCUUUCAAAUCUAAUGUUAACGGAAAGAGGGGUAGAAUGGUAAUUAACACAAAAUUAAAAUAAUAUAUAUAAUUAAAAAAAAAACCCUUUUUUCCUUCGCCGCCUCUAUAAUUUAAUUUUGGGUUUGAUAUCUUUAGUUUUAAGAUUUUUGAUUAUUGAGUUUCUUUUUAUCGAAUUUUCUUAGUAUGAAUUUAUUUUGUAAUAGAAUUUUACAAUGAAAUUUGCUCUCAGGGAUUUUGGUAUCAUUAGUUUAGGGUUUCUUUCUAUUGGGUUUUAUUUAUUUUGGUGGGAUUAUUGGACUUAUUUUGUAAUGUACUGAUGAAUGUGUGUUUGAUUUUUUUCUUUCACAUUGGAAUCAUGCUUUGCCUCUGAUUUUGUAAUUUACUAGGUUAUAAUCUUGGGUUCGUAAUCCGGAAAAAAAUUGUUUCCAUAUAAUUUUAAAAAUAUUAUAAUAAAUUUUUACUUUUUGAUUUAAAUUUUAUUAGUUGUAAGGGUAUUUUAGUACUUAUAUACCCAAUUCAUUUCAAAACAGGGGGUAGUAUAGUCUUUUAAAUUUAUAACAGCCUAAAUAGUUAGAUUAGUUGAUUUUUUAAUAGAAAUAGGGGGAGGUGCACAUGGUCAAAAGAUGUGGGUGCGCUGUGUGAAAUACUGAACAAUUGGGGGCUGAUACUUAAUUAUCCUUAAAUAAAUUAUUAGUUUAAUGGAAGGAACAAAAUUCAGGAAAAGAGGAAUCAAACUGCAAAAGGAAUUAGGAUACCUGAAAAGAAAGAAUGAAAAUAACUUUUUUUUAAAAUUAUUUAUUUGGACAUUGUGACAAACAAGUGAUGUGCAUUGUUAAUUCUGAUUACCCCAAAAUGUCGAGUCUUUAAAAACGACAACAUUACAUGAUUCAUGAGAAUCCUAUCACUUUGAGAUUAAUUUAAUUAAAAAAAAGUUCCGUUUGCUUAAUACUAAAAUGUCACACUGAUCCAUAGUUGAGCCAAUUAUCUAGUUAAAAGCUACCUCCAUAUUUUUUAUUUUUACCCUAAUGCAUGUUUGAUUCUUUUAAAAUUUUACGUUAUAUAUAUUAAACAAAAAUUAUAAUUUUAAUCAUUGGAAAAUUAAUGACAGACAUCUUUUGAAUAAUUUUUUUUUUUGAAAAAUACAGAGCUAGAGAUAAUGCUAUAAUUGAUUGAAUAAGAAGGCUACAACUUGAUGAUAACCUUAUUGCAAUGUUGCGUGAUCUCAAUAUAUUAUUGGCUUUUGUGUGAGUAAAAGUUGCUGGCUCGUGUUUUACUAAUUUGCCUUUGUAUUUGACUGGCUCGACAAAGAAUCGAUUUACCUCAUACUCAAAUUACAAACAUCAAAACCGGAUCUGUCAUUACGUUAAUUGGCCUCCUAAAAUAAUCAAUCACUUUCUCUUUAGUCUACCAUCCACUCUUUCCAGUCGUUAAUUAUUCUGUACCCAUCAGCUCUUUUAGCUCUUUACGUCGUGAUAGAAACCCUUUUCUUGUUUCCUUCAUCUCAUCUGAAAAACACAAUUGCUUGUCCUAUCGCUGUCUCUUUGUUUUUACUUUCGUUUGGCCUUCUUCGCUUCUACGUUUUUGUCAGGCUUCGAGAUGCUGGAAAUCAUUGUGACUAUCGUCUUGGAACUUGUAAAAUGCUUGGCUCCUCCAACUGCACGCCAACUUGUUUAUUUGCGAAAACGGAACUACAAUGCCAACUUUGAGAAUAUCAAGGCGGAAAUGGAGAAGUUGAAGGUUGAACGUACGAGCAUUCAGCGCAGGGUUUCAGAGGCGAAAGAAAAAGGGAAAGAGAUUGAAGAGAAGGUUGAAAAGUGGCUGGUUAGUGCGAAGUGCGAACGGCAUCAUUGACCGGGCAGCCAAAUUCAUUGAAGAUGAGGAGUCAACGAAUAAGCGCUGUGUGAAGGGCUUGAGUCCUAUUUGGAAGAGUCGCUAUCAGCUUAGCAAGAAAGCAAAGACGGAGGUGAAGGCCAUUAUUGAACUUGGAGAAGAAGUUAAGAAGUUUGAUACUGUUUCCCACCGUACCAUUCGGGAGGAGAUAUGGUUACGAGGCCUUCGAAUCAAGACUUCCUACUUUGCAGUCUAUAAAAAAUGCAUUGACGGAGGCGAAUGUCAGCAUUAUUGGGGUGUACGGCAUAGGCGGCAUUGGAAAGACCACACUGGUGAAGGAGUUUGCUAGGCAAGCCAGGGAAAAGAAGCUGUUGUAUCGGGUGGUUUUAUCAGAGGUUUCAUAAACUCCAGAGAUAAAAAAGAUUCAAGGGGAAAUUGCAGAGAAGUUAGGUCUGGAGUUGUCCGAUGAAGCUGAAUAUAGAAGAGCUAGCAAGCUGUAUGACCGAUUGAAGAGUGAGAAUAAGAUUCUUGUGAUUCUAGAUAAUAUCUGGAAACAUCUUGAAUUGGAGACGGUUGGAAUUCCUUUUGGAAAUAAUCAUAAAGGAUGUAGAUUGUUGCUGACAGCACGAGAUAAUACUGUGCUUUUAAGUAUGGGCUCCAAAGAUAACUUUUUGAUUGGCAAUCUAACUGAACAAGAAGCCUGGAGAUUGUUUAAGAUAAUGAAUGGUGAAGAUGUUGAAAAUUGUAAGUUCAAGUCUACAGCAAUUAAUGUAGUUAAGGCAUGUGGAGGUUUGCCCAUUGCGUUGAGGGCACUGAGAAACAAGAGUCUCCAUGAAUGGAAGAAUGCCUUGCGAGAGCUCCGAACGCCUUCAAUGGUAAACUUCGAAGGUGUGUCUGCAGAGACUUAUUCAAGUAUUGAGCUGAGUUUCAAUUAUUUAAGGGAAAUUAUCAUUUGUAUACCCUUAGUUUACUCCAUUAUCAAAAAUACUACAAUACUUUGAGGGUGUAUCAAUUGUCCACCCUAAGUUGACAAAAUGUAUCAGCUGACCACCAAACCGUUAGUUGCCGUUUAAGUAUGAUGACGUCAGAAGGGUAAUUUGGUCUUUUCAUAUGAUACAAGUGAUAAUUUAAGGGUAUAUAAGUGAUAAAAAGAGAAUUUAAGGGUAUACAAGUGAUAAUUUUCAAGGGUAAGAUUGUCAAUUCACUGUAACUCCGUUAACUUUCAAACGGCAACUAACGGUUUGGUGGUCGGCUGAUACAUUUUGUCAACUAAGGGUGGACGAUUGAUACACCCUCAAAGUGUUGUAAUAUUUUUGAUAAUAGAGCAAAUAUAGGGUAUAUGAAUGAUAAUUUCCCAUUAUUUAAAAGGUGAGCAAGUCAAGAAAAAUUUUCUGCUUUGUCGUCUAGUAGGUAACAGUGUUUGGUUUUCAGACUUAUUUAGAUACUCCAUGGGUUUGGGCAUAUUUCAAGGAGUCAACAUUCCCUUCAUAUUUACCAAAGGUAAGUGAUAAAUCCUACAUAUCCCACUCAAGAAUGCAUAAGUUUCUUCAAUCUCAAGUACCUAAAGUUUUCUUCUACGUUUAUAAAAAUUUCAGCACCAUCUCCCUAUAAUUCUCCAAGCUCACGACAUAGCUAUAUAAGUGUUUAUGUGUUAUGCCAAAACAACACAUGACACCCGUUCACCUAGAACGUACCCAGAGAACACGAGGAGCAGCUACUGAAAAAGCCAUAUUUAUGUGGAAAGAAAACUUCAGCUACUAGCUACCAGAGAGAACUAUGCAUUCCCAAACUGUCCAAGCCUGGACAAUUCAAGAAUUAUUAAUAGACAUAUGAUCCUCACUAUCAUCCAAAGAUGACACUAAUACAACAUGUGUCUAUUAAUAAUUUCUUAAACAAGUCUAAGCUUUCAAUGCACGUAUCAAAAGUUUAAAAUUGAAUCUGAAAUUUGAAUAACACAUAAAUAUCAUAAAUCUCUUCAAUUUAUUCCUGAAACAAUGUAGCAUUAUUUCACACGUCAUUUCUUAAGCAAAACCAUAAAAAAUACAAACGAUAAAUACAUUUUCCCACUGAUGCAGAUUAUGUUUACUGAGUAAUAAGUUUUAUGUCAUUCAUGUUGAAAUACUUCUGCCUAUUCUUUCAACAUAUAACUAGUACGUACACACAAUUAAUAAAUUUAAAAAAAAAAACUGGUGGUGAAUCUUGCAAAAUCUUCCUUUUUUCUUUUUUUUUUCUUUUUCUUCUUUUUUUUGGGGGGGGGGGGUGUGUUGGGGGAACUAUGAAUCUUGCAAAUCCUCAAGAAGCCAUGUUAAGACAAGGCCAGCUUACUAUUAGGGUAUGAAAGAUAAAACCUUUUAUUUCCUUUUCAGAAUAAAAAGGACAUUGACAGUGUUAAAAAAAAUCUAGAGGAUUUCAGGCCUCCAGAUCCUUACAAAUCAAGGAUAUUAAAAAAAAUUACUUAAGAGGAGAAAGGUUAUGCUCAUUUGUAUCUUGUUAGAAGAAAUUGAUCCAAAGCCUCAGUUUUAAUUUGCUUCAUAUAGCCAAUGACUAGGUGUUUAAAAACCAAUGAAUAUUUUUAUAAGAAAUCAACAAUAUUAUUGAAAGAAAAACCAAAUAAAAAUAAUAAAGCCAAUGAAUAGAUCAAGGCUCUUUGUGGUCUAAAACUAAUCAAACUAAGUUGUGGGCAAAGGCGAAUAUGUUUGUUUGGUCAAUAAUAAGCUCAACAAAUCACUAAUAAUCACCUAAUCACUAUUCCUUAUGCUAUGCAAUAUAAUGGCCUGGGUAAUGGCGCCAAGGCAGACAAUAAGUAGCUAGCCAGUUAUGAUAGUUGAUUAACUUAACCUACUGGAAAUCUGAAGACCAAAACGAAGAAGCUUUGUCUAGAACUAGAAUAGGAACGUUCGUACCCAAAACUAAUAUACACAAUUAAGAAACUUGAUUAUAUGUAUAUUUCUGUUGGCCACACUUAAAGAGAAUUUCCAAAAGAUGCUAAGGUACACCAAAUCCCACUAUUUCAUACUCAUAAACACAAAAAACCAUGGUAAAAAUUAAUGACUAUAUCAAAUAAAAUCGGUGAUAGGACGUUGAGAUUAGGACAACUUGAUUUGUAUACCGUAAAAUAACUAUAUCUGCAUGGUGAACUAUAUUUCUGUUAGAACUCUGAAGUUUUCUAUUAAAUUUUUUUCUCUGUUAGGUAAACCACUUAACUGAAGUGCUUAAGCCAAUUUUGACAAUCAUAGACAUAAAAGUAUUAAUAGGCUCAUUCAAGUGAAAUGAGCAUUAUUUCACACAUCCUUUAGGUUUUUAAGUCAUUUAGAAGUCAUUCAUGUUAAAAAAAAAAAAUUCAUAUACUUUCAAUAUAAUUAGAACAUACACAAUUAAUUAAUUAAAUAAAUCUGUUUCAGCUAGUAUAGGAACUUAAUUAAUCAAAGCUAGUAGUUAUAGCUAGGACUUGAACGAGGCACCUUUCAAAGUUCAAGAAGAGCAUCUGAACAUAAUGAAAGCACUUUCUAGAUAUGGUAAUGAUGCUUUACAUCUACAUGCUCUUACACAAUAUGAACUUUCAUUUACUCCAAGCUCUUAUUCUACAAGUCAAUUCAGUUUGUAGAUGCAAGCCAUUGUAAAAACUUUUGUAUUAUAAUUUCUGAAAAUAGAACGUAACAUUAUUAAUAUAGAAUCAGCAAUGUAUAUAACUUAUCAGACAAUAUAACAAGCACUUGGUGAGCAUACAAGAUAAACUAAAAUUUAAUAAUAUGUGGAAUUAAAGAUAAACUAAAAUUUAUGUUUAAACAUAAAUUUAAAGCAAAUCGAAUUGCAAAACAUUAGAAUGGAUGUUGGAAUUAAAGCUAAAUUCAAUAGUAAUUCAAAUGAAUCCAUUUGAACUUUGUAAAUUCCGCAGAACAAAAUUAAUUUGAGUGAGCAAACUCACCAAUGGAACAAGAACACAGGGGCUUCAACUUGUAGGAAUAAAAAAAUAUUGCUGGCGGGACAAAAAUUGACAAUAACGGCUACAAUACGAAUUAAAAAAAAAAUCAAAAUCUAUAAUUACAAGCUAAGUAAGAGAAGAAACUCAUAAUCACAAGCUUACCUCAAAAGAUGAAGGGAGAAUACGAUGAAGAAGAAGAUGCCCGGUGUUUUACGCCGUUCGCCGGCAACCAGUUAGGUUUACGAUGGUGGCUAGUCCAGCGAAUAGUUUUCUAACUGGAAAUAAAUUUAAAUUUCUAAAAUAGUACUAUACCGAACGGCUCUUCACCGUC
RNAcentral lists this long non-coding RNA (188670 nucleotides) under Citrus maxima (pomelo). RNAcentral describes it as "long non-coding RNA (CMAX_LNC000098)". The stretch from base 16791 to 16897 matches the Rfam family "Plant small nucleolar RNA R71". The record is from RNAcentral. Lineage: Eukaryota; Viridiplantae; Streptophyta; Magnoliopsida; Sapindales; Rutaceae.